AAAUAGAAACUGAUUGACAAUACAAAUGGCCAAUAACAUGGAAAAUAUGUCCCUCGAAACAUUACAACUACAAUAAUGUUGCUUAGAACUCGUGACGAGAGAAUAGGAACUACCAUCUUGCAAGUGAUCCGUCAUGCUCGGAUUCCAGUAUGUUGAAAAAAGUGGAUUAUAGUUAAAAAACUGAAUUAUAAGGCUAUUGUGCUGAGAGGAUAAAAGAAAAACAUGCACUGAAAGUGAUGUAACCAACUUGAUUUUUAUUCCUCUGAUCAUUUCAUAUUUAUACAAAGUUGUUGUACUGUGUUAACAGCUGUAACAUCACAAGAUCAAGGGCCUAGGUAAAAUGGUGAUAAGAACCGUUAUUGUACUGUUGUCUCUUUUUACUGCACAGUCUUAGCCAUCCAUCUUGUUUCUUAAAUCUCAGCUGUUUGAUUGGAUGAAGCUUCUAGACUCUUCAAUUUAAGCCAGCCGCCAAUAUUGAAUUCACUGCAGCAAUACAUCAUAUAGCUUGUGUGCUUAUUAUAGAUUCCUUAUUUUAACUCCCCCUCUCAAGCUCAGUUAUCUGGAUAGACAUUGAGCUUACUUCUAACGUAUUUAAAGCUUGCUAUUGGCAAGGCUUUGGUCAAGAUAUCUGCUGCUUGAUUCUUAUUGUUUACAUACUUCACUUUCUAGCUCAUUCGCUGUAAUUUCAUCCCUGACGAAAUUUUCAUCGAUUUCAAUGUGCUUCGUUCUUCCAUGAAAUACGGGGUUUUUAGCAAGUGCAAUGGCACUCUUUUUGUCACACCAUACCGUAGGGAUUUGACUGAGCUCAAUUUCCAAUUCUAAAAGAAGUGACUUCAUCCAACUGAUUUCUGCAGCUCCAUGGGAGAAUGCUUUGUACUUUGCUUCGGUACUUGACUUGGAUAUAACUUUUUGCUUUUUUGAGCUCCAUGAUACUAGAUUCCCAGCCAAAAGGUUGCUAUACCCACUCGCUGAUCUCCUAUCAUCUUGGUCAAUAGCCUAAUCAGCAUCGGUAUAUGUUGUAUGGUGUGUGAUUUCUAAUACUAUGGGUGUCAAUGUGCAAAUGUACACAAUAAGUAAUAUACUAAUAAGUAUUCAGAUUAUCUCCACAUAGACUGAUGUUAUCAAAUUGUCUACGACAAUCUUAACAAUACAGUUCUAUUCUAAAUUAAAAUAAGACAGUUUAUGAAACUAAAUAACUAAUAAAAAAUACAAUAAAUAAAACGCAAUAAAAAAAAUUCUCAUGUCAAACACAAGGAUGUAACCAAUGGGAAUAAAGUAGUUGAGUUAAUAAACUCACUUAAUGGCUUUGACUAUUUUUUCAAUUACAGUGCCAUUGCUACAACAUCUACUACAACACUAGACAGAAUCCCUCAUGCAUCAUCAGCUGUCGCCUAUUGGAUAAAUAUAAUACAAUACCAUUGCUACAACAUCUACUACAACACUGGGCAUAAUCUCUCGUGCAUCCUCAGCUGUCGCCUAUUGGAUAUCUUGUAUCUAAUGCAGCUUAACAGUUACCAAUUGUUAUGCCAACAUUAAAUAUAGCAUUAAAUGAUCUAGAUUUGAUUUACCCUGCAAGGUGAAUCUCCAUGUCUAGUCUUUACUAAUUUUCGAUCAAGUAUGACCCUAUUCAAAUUAAGAUUAACUCAACUUAAGAAACCCAAUGUAAAACCAAGUAUUAUUUUAAUGAGAUCUACAAAGUCAUACCUUUUUUAGGCUCUUUCUUAGUUAGUAUCCACUAAAUGGGUGGUCAGUCAAAAUAUGGAAUUAAAAUAAACAUAAUUAAGACAAAAUGCUAUAGCAAACAUAAAGCAACAAGUGUAUAUCACUCAAACAUCUAUUGAGAUGUUUAUUACUCAACCACAAUCAAAAUCAAUUUAUAAUUUGUGAUAAAAAUAAAUAAAAUUGUUUUAUCCACCAAAUACAUCCCCAUAAAUAAAUAGAAAAUAAGAAAAUAAGAUAAAGAGUUGAAGUCCGCUUAAUCUUACGAUCUUUCCUUCUUGUUCACUGUGAAUCCUCUGUUGCAGCCUGAAAAUCUAUCUUAUUUUAUGUUUUUCUUUUGUUUUUCUCUGUGAUUUUUCUGUGAGUGAUGACUUUCUCUUUUCCUUUGCAAGUGUGCUCCUUUUAUAACCCAAAAUUAGGCAACCGAAAGUUUAACGCGUGCAUCUUCGAUUUUUGAAACUUUAGAUCACAAUCUUUUAAUUGUUGCGCACGAAAUCCAGUCUGUCAUUGCUCCAGGAUUGUACAGCAACAGCUAUAGCAUUUGUACUGUUCCAGAUUUGUUUCAAUUCCUCUAUAGCCAAGUUCUUUCAUUGUCUCUACAAGUCUAUUGCAGCAAUAUUUCUUCCUUAAAACUUGUGCUUUCAGUCACCUAUAAUUAUGCAUAUAAUCUAAGUAUAAAUUAUUUUAAAACAACUCAAUUUAUUAAAAAUAAAGCAAAAUGGAUGUUCAUGCAAAAUAUAACUAAAAUGCAAUAAAAAUAUGUCUUUUACUUUCUAAGUAAUCUUGAUUUAAGUUUAAAAGUGUCAUGAUAACUCUUAUUUCAUAGAGUUAUCACUGUAAUUUCCAUUCUUCUUGUUGGAGUGAAAUAGAGAUCAUGGUCUAUAAUUCCAUUGAGGUAUCUUAAUAUUCUCUUACUCCCCUGCCAAUGUAUUUGCCUUGGAUCCUGCACAAAUUGAGACAACUUGUUAACACUAUAUGCUAUAUUCGGCCUUGUUAUUGUUGUCUAUUGAAGUGCUCCAAUUACACUCUUAUACAAUGUUUUGUCAUCAAAUGCUCUUCCUCCAUCUUUUUUAACAUUUGACUAUACUGGACAUGAGCUUAUGGUAUGCGACUUGGUUUACAAUCGACCAUGUUUGUUUUAGUUAAAACAUCUUGUAUGUACUUUGCUUGACAUAAAUACAUUCCCCUACGAUCUCGCUUAACUUCGAUUCCCAAGAAGUAAUUCAAAUCCCCCAACAUCUUGAGUGCAAAAUUUUGUUUUAAUUUUUUUUUUUUGGUCUGAACCACGAGGUGGUCCUGAGUGGGCCCCAACUGUGGGAGGCACCUUUAAGCCCGUACCACAACCCAGACUAAUCCCCACUCGCACCAGGUUGGCCCAUAAGGGGUAAAGUGCUGGCCAAAGUUGGUUGGUGUGAGUGGUUCGGCACUCUCACUCCUUAAGAGAGGUCAGGGGUUCAAGCCCCGCUCUCGUAUGUAUCAUCACAUUAUUAUUUUCGGUUAUCAGUAUAUUAUCAACAAAAAUCAGUUGGUAGACUGAUUUUUCUUUAUUUUUCCAAUAUAACAAGAAAGCAUAUGAGAUUGCUUUUUGAGCUCAACUUGUGGCUCCAUCAUUGCUCUUCUCUACAUUAUACAAAUAGAACCAUAAGAAAAUUCCCAGCAAACUAAAACCAUAAAUAAACUAAAGAUUAUUAAAUUAAUAGUAAUGGGGACUGAUUUAUAUAAUAAAAGUCCCCAAAAAUGUGGAAAACACAAACCUUGAAACAAUAUAAUUGCAGUGGACAACGAUUUGUUUUUUAAGUGUUUUUUUCUCUUCUAAUCAUUCUUAUUAGUGAAACAAGUAGGUAAAAUUGAAUUUUAAAUUUUGAUACUAACAAUUGAACAAACAUUUUUCAUUGUAUUUAUAAUUACACCAAUUUUUUCAUUAGAUUUAAAAAAAUAGGAGAGACUACGAGAGGAUUGUAAGCCAAUUACAGUAUCCAUUUGCAUUCUUCUUCUUAUUUGAAAACUUUUGCCAUCCCUCGACACCAUCAUGCUUUGUUGUAGUUGUAAUUUCUUUAUUGUUUCUUUUUUGUGAGCUAAAUACUCCAUUGCGGUUACGACAUCGCUCAUCUUGGCCUUGUUCCAGCUUCUUCUUGCGGACUCAUAUUCCUGCCACUGCACAUUCUUUGGUGGUGUUUGGUUGGGAGGAAAGAAUAGAGAAAAGGAAAAUAAUUUAAUUUUAUCUUUAUUUUCAUUUUUUGGUUGAACAAAGUAUAUAAGAAUUUAAUUUCCAUUAUCCUUUAAUUUUUUAACUUGUUUAAUGCCAUUAAUAAUAAUUAUUUAUAAUUUUAUAAGUUAAUAGUAUAAAUAAUUUUAUAUUAAUUAAGUUUAAUGAAUAAUUUAAGAAACUUAAAAAAAUAAAUAAAUGUUAGAGUGCAAUUUAUGCACUAGUUUUGCAUUGUUUACUUCCCUCAAUAUUGAUGUUUCGCACUUAAUAAUAGUGAUUUACUUGUGUUUUACUUUUGUAGGUGCAAUUCUAUUGAUUGGUGAUAAAAUUGAGCUACAAGAUGAUGUUUAAGGAUGAUUGUUCUCUUGGAGAAAUUAUGAGCGUCAGAAGAACUUUGUUGAUAAGGCGUGGGCGCGUGCUGUCAACUGCGGACCUGCAGUUUUUAGUUUAACGUGUUUUGUAUUUUUGGUUAUUUUUGUAAUUACGAAUUUAAUAUUUCAGAUAUUAGUAUUUAUUUUAAAUAGAAUUCUAAAAGAGAAGAGAGAGAGAGUAUUUAAGGGAGGAAUCUAUUGUGAAAAAGGGGUUUGGAGAAAAAGAAAGAAACCCUAGAUCUAAACUUUUAUCUUUUCUCUAUGAAGAACUAAACCUAUUUUUCUGGUUGAAGGAUAAUGAAGCUUUGAUUCAUCACUACUGUGAGAUCUAUUUUAUGCUUUAAUUGUUUUAUUACUUUUUGGGUAUUUGUUUAUUCUUUGAAUUAUUUUCAUGAUUAUGUUUGUUAAUUAGGUAAUUGGCCACUAUUUAAUUAUCAACUUAAUCUAUUGUUAAUUAAAGGAUUCAUCGUAUGAAGAUUUUAAUGUUUGUGACAAAUAACAUAGCAGUGAGUUGUAUUAUGAGAAUAAACAAUCUAAUUUAAAUGAAUCAUCGUGUGUGUUGAUUAGGAUUUGGGUCUCUCUGGUUUUUCAGGCUGUCAAUUGAUUAAAUUCUAUGAUCGUAUCUAGGGAUGUCUAUUGAUUAGGGAAAUAACCAACGGUCGUACCUUGGUUAUCGACUAGUUAAGGAGAGAUUGGCUAUUAGAGGGUCUCAAUAGCUAUAACCGGUCUAUUAAUAAGUAAUAAUAAUCUAUAUUUGAAUCAAUGAUCAGUAGUCGAAUCAAGUUGAGUUAAUUCCUUCAACCAGAGCUUUCUCCAAUUUGAAUUACAACUUUAAUUUGCAUUCUUGUUAUUUUAAUUUGAUUUUUAUUAUUGUUAACAAAAACCCCAUUUUAUGUUUUACGUUUUAAAAGGACUUAAAUAAUUACCGAUCUCUGUGGACACGACCCUGCUCACUCACUAUACACAAUUUAUUUAGAGUAGGAAUUUAUUUUUGUUGGCUUCGACAACCAUCAAUAAACUUGUUUAUUUAUUUAUUUAAUAUGAAAAUAUAAAUUAACCGUUGUCAGAACUUUGACGGACCAUCGCCAGACAGUCGCCCGAUAUCUGCGGGACCAUAGCCAGAACUCUAUCAGACCGUUGCCGAAACUCUGCCGGACCGACAUUUUAUACACACACACACACACACAUAUAUAUAUAUGGUUUUAAAAGGAUUAAAACUAUAAGGCUUUAAAGCCGUGCGGUUUUAAAGCCGUGCAGUUUUAAAACUUUCUCGAACUUUCCUACACUUUAAAAUUCCUAACAAAAAAACUACUGUAUGUAUAUAUAUGUAUGUAUAUAUAUACAUAUAUAUAUAGGAUCGAAGGAUGGAUGUGCUUUCGUUGGAAUAUCAAUUAUUUAAAACUCAAAUUAAACAAUGCUUGGAUUGGGUCGGCUUUAUCCAAUUUUAAAAGUAAUUACCAGCUUUGAAAUAAAUAGAUUUGCUUUGGAACGUGGUUGGUCAAAUUUUAAUAAAGGUACGUGGCGUUGUAUCUAGAUCGAUGCAGAGACAAGUCUGCCUUUGGAACCAGAUCUGACUUAGAACAGAUCAAUAUUCCGCACGUUCUAGUUUCCAGCCGAUAUACGAAUUUUAUUUACCAAAUAUUUGUUAAGUUCUUUAAGCAAGCCUAGCAACAACAUUCAUCUAAGGCUAGGGUGCAUACACAGUACCAGAUCUGGUUCCCGGAAAUGGUGCUCUGAAGGAAUGGAGGGAGAAGAGAAGAUUUACAACUGAGGAUCGAGAUCUGGUCUCUUUGCCUCAGAGGAACGUACAAUUUUUAUGGCAGAUCUGAUAUAGAUCAGUCUGCAAUCAUGCUUUGUAAAAGAGAAAUGCUUUAAAAUUAAAUUGCAAAAAUUUAAAUUACAUAAAGUAAAUUACAGAAAUUUAAAUUACAAAAAUUAAAUUGCGGAAAUUUAAAUAUACAUGAAAUUGAAAUUGCUUUAAAAUAACAUUACAUUUAUUUCUUUAUUUCUUUAUUUCUUUAUUUCUUUUGAUUCGACAGCUUUAUGAGUGGAAAAUCAGAAAAUAGUCUGAAAACAAGGAACUUAGGGAAAAUUCCUUGAAUACAGAAGAUCUUCUUUAAUCCGAGAGAGAGAGAGAGAGAGAAUUCUAGAGAGAAGGAGGAGAAGAAGAGAGAGAAGUUCUAAACCAAAAAUGAAAAACUUGAGGAGUCUAAGUCUUCCUCUUGGUUUUUAUACAAAAUUUUUAAACUGUUCACUGUAGCGGAGCUUUGAGUGCACAAUAAUCUUUGGAAAUCGGCACUGUUCACUGUAGCGGAGGUGAAGCAAACAGUAAGCUUUGGAUCGUAUGUAACAGUAAUCUUUGGAGCGUAUGUUGGAAUAGAAGCUUUGUAGAAAUACGGGUGAAGAGACAUGUGCGCUCCCACUUGUGUCCAGAGGACCACCCGAAAAUGUAAAAUUAUAUAUAUAUAUAUUUUUUUUUUUUUUUUUUUGAAUAGUUACAUGAACUAUUUACAAUGCUUUAAUGGAGAGAAAAUUCCAAAACAAUCAUCUUCAUUUUCAUCUCCGAGAGAAACGGUUGGCUCUUCAUCUUCGUCUUCAUCUUCGGAGGAGUCAGCCACUGAUGACUUUGACCGGGAGGCGAGGAGUUGUUCCAUGGCUUUGAAGUAUUCUUCUUCUGUCUUGGCACUUGCCAAAAGAGACUGGGCUUUGGACUUUUGGGUAAGGAAAGUUUGCUGGGCUUUGGAGUCUUUUAUAGAGGGUUGAAGGAAGCCUUUGGAUGAUAACCAAUUUGUGAUAAGGUUAUCGGUUAAUUUGGAUUUCUCAUCAAAUUUUGACCACCAUUUUACUUUAAAUGUUCUUUGAAGGAUGAGCUGGGCAUCUUGAGUAUGAAGCCUAAGGUUCCACAUCCAUACCCAUGGAAGGAAGAAAUUUGUACAGAAACAGAGAAAUGGGGGAAAUCUUUUUUCGGAUUCAGAAGGAAUAUAGUGGGCUUUAAAGAGGUUUAAACAGUGGGUGGCAUUUGGGGUUAAAAUUUGUGGUGCAGGACCAAAGGAAUUCCACCAAUGAUGGAACCAGUUUGGAAGGCUUUGGACGGUUAUCUUCGAGUUGAAGAAAAAUAACCAGGAGUGGGAUUUUUUGGGGUUUUGGAUAAAAAAUGUGUUAUACCAGGCUUGUUGGUAAUCCCAGUAGGAAUAAGUCCGACAAUGAGGUAAACGUGUUUGAAAAUUUAAAGGGAAGGUUUUAAAAUUAUGGAGUAGGUCACCCCAUUGGUUUGGGCUCAAAACUUUUAAAAUAGUAGCCGUGGAAUAGGCUGGCUCUGAAUGUGACUCACUGAGAAAGAAAUGUUUAAAUUUUACUGACUCUAUGAUUUCUAAAAUGCUUUGAUAAUAGGACUGGGGUUUUGUUAAAUCCCAUGAUUUGAAAAACCAGCCCUUAGGGAAAAACUUUGAAAUUGCUUGGAAAGGAUCAGCAUGGUAAAAUCCAUCUUCAAUUGAUAAAAUGUUUUGAAAAUGGGUUUUAUCAAACCAAUCGGAUGAUUUCUUUGAAAGUGUUGGCUGGGAAAGUACAAUUUGGGAAGAUGAACUUUCACCAGAGACAACCACAUUUUGAGAGGAAGGUUUUGAAAUUUCUUUGGAGAUUUCUUUUUCUUCUUUUGGAAGAAUCUGGCUUUGGGAAAGGUUUUGUAGAGCGAGCAUAAGCUCAGGUGAUUUUGUAAUGGAACUCAUCCAUUGCUUUACUUGGUCAUCAGAAGAAGUGGUUUUGUAUUGGGCUUCAUGUGCUUCAACCAAUUCAAUCCAGGAUUUAAUGGGCAUGGCUGAAGAAAGCAAUUUUUCUUUAGAAGGCGUUAGUUGGGGUUCUUUAGGGGUUGCUUGAGAUUCAGCGUCUUUAAGGACAGCUUUGCCUUUAUCCUUCUUCUUUGGCGGCAUUAUCUGUUUUGAAGAAAUUCUCUGGUUAGAAAAUCAAGAACAGAAUUCGUAUCUCCUUUAAUAAAUUCAAUAUCAAAAUCAAAAACACUUAAAAUGGCUUGCCAACGUGCAAAAAUCUGUUUGGAUGCAAUAUUUUGAACAUCUUUUUCCAAAACAUGUUUUGCAGCUUUGCAAUCAAUUCUAAGUAAAAAAUUUUGGUUUAACAAAUCACUUUGAAAUUUAGAGAUGCAUAAAACAAUUGAUAAAAUUUCUUUUUUAAUGGUGGAAUAAUUCUUUUGACAAUCGUUCCAAUGUGCAGAAACAUAUUGUACUAUUUGUUCUUUACCAUUCUCUUUUUGCUUUAAUAUGCCUCCAUAACCUAAAUCUGAUGCAUCUGUUUCAACAACUUUAGGCAAUGUAGGAUUAGCAAGGAAUAAACAUGGAAUGCUUUUUACUAUGGUCUUUAUAUGCUGAACAAUUUUUGUAUGCUCGUCAGACCAUGCAACAGGGGUUUUCUUUAGCUUAUUAUGCAAUGGUUUGGCAAUCCUAUUUAUGUUGGGACAGAAAUCAAGAACAUAAUUAAGACUGCCCAAAAAUCUUUGUAACUGGGUCUUAUCAAGGAUUUUAUCAGGAAACUUGUCUGUAAAGGCAAGGGACCUUUCAAUAGGAGUAAUGGUUCCUUUAGAAAUAUAAUGACCUAGGAACCUGACUCUAGUUUGGAAUAAUGAAAUCUUUGAACUAGAAAAGGCUAGACCAGCUUUCCUAGUGGCAUAAUAGAAAGUCUUUAAGUGUUUGAAAUGUUGAUCAAUUGAUUGAGAAAAAAUCAACACAUCGUCUAUAUAGACAAUGCAAAACUCAGAAUAAGGGUUGUAAAUGUCAUUCAUUAUUCUUUGGAAUUCUGAGGGUGCAUUCUUUAAACCAAAUGGCAUAACAGUCCACUCAUACUGUCCAAAAGGAACAGUAAAAGCAGUUUUGUAACGAUCUUUUGGAUGAAUUUGAAUUUGCCAAAAACCAUAUUUCAUGUCAAAUUUUGAAAAAAUAAGAGCAGAACAUAAUUUUUGAAGCAAAUCCUUUUUAUUAGGUAUGGGAUACCUAAUCCAUUUUAAAGCUUUGUUUAAAGGUUUGUAAUUUAUUACAAGUCUUGGUAUGCCUCUUUCAAUUUCAGAAUUUUUAUUCACGUAAAAAGCAGCACAAGACCAUGGGGAUCUGAACUUUACAAUGAGUCUUUUUGACUCUAAAUCCUUUAUUUUAUUUUUACAAAGUUGUUCCAAUUCCAUAUUCAUCUGGAUUGGACGGGCUUUAGUGGGUAUCUGCUUUUCAUCAAAAGAGUUUUCAUAAGGUAAAUCAACUAAGUGUUGUUUCCUAUCCCAAAAAGCAGAAGGUAGAUCAGCACAAAUUUCUUUUUCAAUAAGGGUUUUGAAAUCAGAAAUUUGUCUUUUAAUGAAGUCAUUUUGUAAAUGGGUCUCAAUUCUUUUUAAAUUUAAAUCCUUUUUUAAAAAAAACAAGUCAUUUUGUUUAGAUUUAAGAACGACAUUGAUAUGGUUUUGAUAGACAGAGCAAGCUUUAACAAUGUUUAGAUUUCUUGUUUUUGGUUUUUCAAUAAAAGGAAAAAUAAGUUUUUUGGAUUUUGCUUUAAAAGAUAUACUAUCGUAAUUGACAGUAUAUGAGGUAAUCAAAUUUAUAAAUGGGGUUCCUAAAAUGACAGCAUGGUGUAUGUCAUUUGUAAGGUAAAUCAACUAAGUGUUGUUUCCUAUCCUAUUACCAGCUUUAAAACAAAUCACCACUAGAAAAUAUUUGAUUAAAGUCACCUUAAUCUUUUCAAAUGAUUUUGCAAUAGACGUCAUUGCCCUUUUUGACACUGGUGCUGAUUUAAAUUGCAUAAGAGAAGAUAUUGUCCCUAAAAGAUUUCAUGAGAAAACUAAAGAAAGACUUUCUGCCGCCAAUAAUUCAUAACUUAAAGUCAACUCUAAAGUCGAAGCUUCUAUUCAUAAUAAUGAUUUUGAAUUCAGAACUUCUUAUAAGAUCUGCCAUAAAAAUUGUACGUUCCUCUGAGGCAAAGAGACCAGAUCUCGAUCUUCAGUUGUAAAUCUUCUUUUCUCCCUCCAUUCCUUCAGAGCACCAUUUCCGGGAACCGGAUCUGGUACUGUGUAUGCACCCUAGCCUUAGAUGAAUGUUGUUGCUAGGCUUGCUUAAAUAACUUAACAAAUAUUUGGUAAAUAAAAUUGGUAUAUCGGCUGGAAACUAGAACGUGCGGAAUAUUGAUCUGUUCUAAGUCAGAUCUGGUUCCAAAGGCAAACUUGUCUCUGCAUCGAUCUAGAUACAACGCCACGUACCUUUAUUAAAAUUUGACCAACCGCGUUCCAAAGCAAAUCUAUUUAUUUCAAAGCUGGUAAUUACUUUUAAAAUUGGAUAAAGCUGACCCAAUCCAAGCAUUGUUUAAUUUGAGUUUUAAAUAAUUGAUAUUCCAACGAAAGCACAUCCAUCCUUCGAUCCUAUUUCCUUCUGGUAUCAGAGCCAAGGGGAGGAUUGUGUAAAGCAGUUUAUAGAUUUUGUGUUUAAAGACUUGUGUUUUAUUUUAAAGUUUUGUUGUGUGGUGAAUUCCUUACUGGUAGUAAGUCCCGUUUUAGGAUAAGAUUUUCCGCUUAGGGCUGUAAAACCAUACCUGUAGCCAUUCUUUCAAAACCAUAAAUAGACCAUAGGUUUUUACCCAUGGACCCUAUACACUGUAGAACAUCAUCCUUUUCUAGCUCUUCUUCUGGGAAGACUAGUGAUUCAAAGCAUGUUGUGAGUUCAGAAGAAUUCUUUAUUGAGAACUUUGAUAAAGCAAUAGAUUGUUGGGAACUUCCUAAAAUUUCUAAAGAAAAGAUUUACAAAACAAAAAAGCUUGAUUUCUUAAAGAAUGAUUAUAUUAUAAAGACUGAAGAGCGUGACAUAACUCUUUCAAAUCCAUUUGAAACAAUUCACUUGUUUUCUGAGCAUUCUUUAAAGAAAUUAAAAGAAAAGAAUUUCAAUUAUAUUCAUAUCGGCCUAAUUCAAGUCGGAAUAAAACCUUUAACCAAAGAAGGCUUGGAUACUUCUAUCCUUGCUGUCCUAAGAGAUGGGCGAUUCAUCUCUUUUGAUGAUUCUUUGCUAAGUAGCAUCGAAUCCAGUCUUUGUAAAGGUCCAAUUUCAUUUGAUUGUUAUCCAAACAUAACAAUUUCCCUUAAAGAUAAAAAUAUUUUGAAAAGCAUGAUUUUACAAAUCAAGACUCAUAAUUACAAUAUGAUUGAGGGAUCCAUCCCAGUUGCUUUGAUUUUUAAAAUUUCUUAUAAAGCUAUGAUCACUGCAUUCAGUACACAACAUAAAUUCCAGUCAAAAAGAGAUGAGACUCUUCUCUUGCAGACUGAUUUGUCUAGAGCCAACACUGUCAUUCAAAAACCCAUCCAAUGGAAAGAUGUCCAUCUUCCAGAAGAAUGGAUUCUUGAAGGAGCCGCUCCACCAGCGAUUCCAAAACAACUUGAGCCUAAUACAGAGUUGCAAAAUGUGACUCAGUAUUCUGAUGGAAAAGUCAAAUUGUCAUUCAGAAGAUCUGCUUCAACUAGAUUUUCUGAUAAAGAGUCGUGCUCAAGUAUUCCUUCAUUAGAAAUGAAAUUUACAAAAAUCCCUUCUGUUAUAAAUCUUCCUUUUUAGAGUCAACCUAGGUUUUCUACUUCAGAUAUACCUAGCACUUCUAUACGAUCUGUUGACUAUGCCACUAGUGUUCCUAUUUACACUAGUAGUCAACAUGAACAAAGACAUGAAGAGAAGGAACCUUCUCCUCCAACCUCUCCUACUUUUUCUCCAGUCACAGAAAAUGUCAUAAAUGUUAUUGAAAAGAAUUUUGAGCUUGAUAAAAAUCUUCUUCAUAAUAAUUUUUAUUCAGAUACUAAUAAAGAAAAAACACUUUGGUUUUUUAAAUAUUUUUUGAAUCAAAGAAAAGAAAUCCAACAAAUCUAUUAUGAAUUUGUGAAUUUACAUCAAAUUCAUAUAUUGUUUUUUGAUUGGUUCGAAAUAUAUUCUUCUGAGAACAACAUUUCUUAUCCUUUUAACGAGUCAAGCCCUAUUAUUAUUAGAAAAAAAAUCCCUGAUUGGAAACUUACUGAUAGUAAUAGAACCAUCGAAUCUGAACAUCCACCUUUUAGGAGUAUAAUCAUAGACCAUGGUGAACCUCCUAUCGAAAUCAGAGCUUCUCCUUACAAAAUCCCUAAACCAAAUGAUUCUGAUAUAAAUUUAAGUAGUAUUAUCCAACAGAAUAAUUUCUGUAAUACUAACUUAAAUACUAUCAGAAAACAGUUGACUAGAAUAGAAAACCAAUUCCAAAAGUCAACCAUAGCUGUUUCUUCUACUCCUAUUCCAUCAAAAUCGGAUUCUGGCAAGAAGCUUAAAGAGCCUAUUUUCAAACCUUUUCAGGUUUCGAAAACUAGUCAAAAGCUUGUUUAUGAGUCAAAAUCAGAUUUUGCUAAAGCCAUUAGAGAACAACUAGAUAGGAUAGAAGCUGCUUCUUCCUCAUCUAGCAAAGUUCAGAUAGCUCCUGAUACUCCUCAAUCUAGCAAGAUUGGAGUAUUAGAACAAGACCAAAUGUCUGAUCAAACUUCUAUUGCCUCCUCUGAUCUAGAAGCCUUUAAAGAAGAACCUAUUCCUAAAGCCAAUAAAAUCCAAUGGGAAUUAGUCCUUCCCACUGUUAAGUCUCCACCUGAUUUGACCAUAAACAACAGGCCUAGUGCAUUAAAUCAAUCUCGAUACAAUGCAUCCUCUGUCUAUGAGUGGAAUUUAGAUGGAAUGUCUGAGUACAACAUCCUAGGAUUGUUGCAACAGAUGACCAUGGCAGCUAAUGCUUAUAAAACCCAAUCAGGAACUUCUGACAGAGCCAUUGCAGAAAUCCUUAUUGCUGGUUUUACAGGUCAACUCAAAGGUUGGUGGGAUCAUCUUCUCACCCAACAACAACAAUUAGAUAUUCUUACUGGGAAAUAGGAUCGAAGGAUGGAUGUGCUUUCGUUGGAAUAUCAAUUAUUUAAAACUCAAAUUAAACAAUGCUUGGAUUGGGUCGGCUUUAUCCAAUUUUAAAAGUAAUUACCAGCUUUGAAAUAAAUAGAUUUGCUUUGGAACGCGGUUGGUCAAAUUUUAAUAAAGGUACGUGGCGUUGUAUCUAGAUCAAUGCAGAGACAAGUCUGCCUUUGGAACCAGAUCUGACUUAGAACAUAUCAAUAUUCCGCACGUUCUAGUUUCUAGCCGAUAUACCAAUUUUAUUUACCAAAUAUUUGUUAAGUUCUUUAAGCAAGCCUAGCAACAACAUUCAUCUAAGGCUAGGGUGCAUACACAGUACCAGAUCCAGUUCCCGAAAAUAGUGCUCUGAAGGAAUGGAGGGAGAAGAGAAGAUUUACAACUGAGGAUCGAGAUCUUGUCUUUUUGCCUAAGAGGAACGUACAAUUUUUAUGGCAGAUCUGAUAUAGAUCAGUCUGCAAUCAUGCUUUGUAAAAGAGAAAUGCUUUAAAAUUAAAUUGCAGAAAUUUAAAUUACAUAAAGUAAAUUGCAAAAAUUUAAAUUACAAAAAUUAAAUUGCGGAAAUUUAAAUAUACAUGAAAUUGAAAUUGCUUUAAAAUAACAUUACAUUUAUUUCUUUAUUUCUUUUGAUUCGAAAGCUUUAUGAGUGGAAAAUCAGAAAAUAGUCUGAAAACAAGGAACUUAGGGAAAAUUCCUUGAAUACAGAAGAUCUUCUUUAAUCCGAGAGAGAGAGAGAGAGAGAGAAUUCUAGAGAGAAGGAGGAUAAGAAGAGAGAGAAGUUCUAAAACCAAAAAUGAAAAACCUGAGGAGUCUAAGUCUUCCUCUUGGUUUUUAUACAAAAUUUUUAAACUGUUCACUGUAGCGGAGCUUUGAGUGCACAGUAAUCUUUGGAAAUCGCCACUGUUCACAGUAGCGGAGGUGAAGCAAACAGUAAGCUUUGGGUCGUAUGUAACAGUAAUCUUUGGAGCGUAUAUUGGAAUAGAAGCUUUGUAGAAAUACGGGUGAAGAGACAUGUGCGCUCCCACUUGUGUCCAGAGGACCACCCGAAAAUGUAAAAUGUACAGAAACAGAGAAAGGGAGGAAAUCUUUUUUCGGAUUUAGAAGGAAUAUAGUGGGCUUUAAAGAGGUUUAAACAGUGGGUGGCAUUUGGGGUUAAAAUUUGUGGUGUAGGACCAAAAGAAUUCCACCAAUGAUGGAACCAGUUUGGAAGGCUUUGGACGGUUAUCUUCGAGUUGAAGAAAAAUAACCAGGAGUGGGAUUUUUUGGGGUUUUGGAUUAAAAAAAUGUGUUAUAUCAGGCUUGUUGGUAAUCCCAGUAGGAAUAAGUCCGACAAUGAGGUAAACGUGUUUGAAAAUUUAAAGGGAAGGUUUUAAAAUUAUGGAGUAGGUCACCCCAUUGGUUUGGGCUCAAAACUUUUAAAAUAGUAGCCGUGGAAUAGGCUGGCUCUGAAUGUGACUCACUGAGAAAGAAAUGUUUAAAUUUUACUGACUCUGUGAUUUCUAAAAUGCUUUGAUAAUAGGACUGGGGUUUUGUUAAAUCCCAUUGUUUGAAAAACCAGCCCUUAGGGAAAAACUUUGAAAUUGCUUGGAAAGGAUCAGCAUGGUAAAAUCCAUCUUCUAUUGAUAAAAUGUUUUGAAAAUGGGUUUUAUCAAACCAAUCGGAUGAUUUCUUUGAAAGUGUUGGCUGGGAAAGUACAAUUUGGGAAGAUGAACUUUCACCAGAGACAACCACAUUUUGAGAGGAAGGUUUUGAAAUUUCUUUGGAGAUUUCUUUUUCUUCUUUUGGAAGAAUCUGGCUUUGGGAAAGGUUUUAUAGAGCGAGCAUAAGCUCAGGUGAUUUUGUAAUGGAACUCAUCCAUUUCUUUACUUGGUCAUCAGAAGAAGUGGUUUUGUAUUGGGCUUCAUGUGCUUCAACCAAUUCAAUCCAGGAUUUAAUGGGCAUGGCUUAAGAAAGCAAUUUUUCUUUAGAAGGCGUUAGUUGGGGUUCUUUAGGGGUUGCUUGAGAUUCAGCGUCUUUAAGGACAACUUUGCCUUUAUCCUUCUUCUUUGGCGGCAUUAUCUGUUUUGAAGAAAUUCUCUGGUUAGAAAAUCAAGAACAGAAUUCGUAUCUCCUUUAAUAAAUUCAAUAUCAAAAUCAAAAACACUUAAAAUGGCUUGCCAACGUGCAAAAAUCUGUUUGGAUGCAAUAUUUUGAACAUCUUUUUCCAAAACAUGUUUUGCAGCUUUGCAAUCAAUUCUAAGGAUAAAGGCAAAGUUGUCCUUAAAGACGCUGAAUCUCAAGCAACCCCUAAAGAACCCCAACUAACGCCUUCUAAAGAAAAAUUGUUUUCUUCAGCCAUGCCCAUUAAAUCCUGGAUUGAAUUGAUUGAAGCACAUGAAGCCCAAUACAAAACCACUUCUUCUGAUGACCAAGUAAAGCAAUGGAUGAGUUCCAUUACAAAAUCACCUGAGCUUAUGCUCGCUCUACAAAACCAUUCCCAAAGCCAGAUUCUUCCAAAAGAAGAAAAAGAAAUCUCCAAAGAAAUUUCAAAACCUUCUUCUCAAAAUGUGGUUGUCUCUGGUGAAAGUUCAUCUUCCCAAAUUGUACUUUCCCAGCCAACACUUUCAAAGAAAUCAUCCGAUUGGUUUGAUAAAACCCAUUUUCAAAACAUUUUAUCAAUAGAAGAUGGAUUUUACCAUGCUGAUCCUUUCCAAGCAAUUUCAAAGUUUUUCCCUAAGGGCUGGUUUUUCAAACCAUGGGAUUUAACAAAACCCCAGUCCUAUUAUCAAAGCAUUUUAGAAAUCACAGAGUCAGUAAAAUUUAAACAUUUCUUUCUCAGUGAGUCACAUUCAGAGCCAGCCUAUUCCACGGCUACUAUUUUAAAAGUUUUGAGCCCAAACCAAUGGGGUGACCUACUCCAUAAUUUUAAAACCUUCCCUUUAAAUUUUCAAACACGUUUACCUCAUUGUCGGACUUAUUCCUACUGGGAUUACCAACAAGCCUGAUAUAACACAUUUUUUUAUCCAAAACCCCAAAAAAUCCCACUCCUGGUUAUUUUUCUUCAACUCGAAGAUAACCGUCCAAAGCCUUCCAAACUGGUUCCAUCAUUGGUGGAAUUCUUUUGGUCCUACACCACAAAUUUUAACCCCAAAUGCCACCCACUGUUUAAACCUCUUUAAAGCCCACUAUAUUCCUUCUAAAUCCGAAAAAAGAUUUCCCCCCUUUCUCUGUUUCUGUACAUUUUACAUUUUCGGGUGGUCCUCUGGACACAAGUGGGAGCGCACAUGUCUCUUCACCCGUAUUUCUACAAAGCUUCUAUUCCAAUAUACGCUCCAAAGAUUACUGUUACAUACGACCCAAAGCUUACUGUUUGCUUCACCUCCGCUACUGUGAACAGUGGCGAUUUCCAAAGAUUACUGUGCACUCAAAGCUCCGCUACAGUGAACAGUUUAAAAAUUUUGUAUAAAAACCAAGAGGAAGACUUAGACUCCUCAGGUUUUUCAUUUUUGGUUUUAGAACUUCUCUCUCUUCUUAUCCUCCUUCUCUCUAGAAUUCUCUCUCUCUCUCUCUCUCGGAUUAAAGAAGAUCUUCUGUAUUCAAGGAAUUUUCCCUAAGUUCCUUGUUUUCAGACUAUUUUCUGAUUUUCCACUCAUAAAGCUUUCGAAUCAAAAGAAAUAAAGAAAUAAAUGUAAUGUUAUUUUAAAGCAAUUUCAAUUUCAUGUAUAUUUAAAUUUCCGCAAUUUAAUUUUUGUAAUUUAAAUUUCUGCAAUUUACUUUAUGUAAUUUAAAUUUCUGCAAUUUAAUUUUAAAGCAUUUCUCUUUUACAAAGCAUGAUUGCAGACUGAUCUAUAUCAGAUCUGCCAUAAAAAUUGUACGUUCCUCUGAGGCAAAAAGACAAGAUCUCAAUCCUCAGUUGUAAAUCUUCUCUUCUCCCUCCAUUCCUUCAGAGCACCAUUUUCGGGAACUGGAUCUGGUACUGUGUAUGCACCCUAGCCUUAGAUAAAUGUUGUUGCUAGGCUUGCUUAAAGAACUUAACAAAUAUUUGGUAAAUAAAAUUGGUAUAUCGGCUAGAAACUAGAACGUGCGGAAUAUUGAUAUGUUCUAAGUCAGAUCUGGUUCCAAAGGCAGACUUGUCUCUGCAUUGAUCUAGAUACAACGCCACGUACCUUUAUUAAAAUUUGACCAACCGCGUUCCAAAGCAAAUCUAUUUAUUUCAAAGCUGGUAAUUACUUUUAAAAUUGGAUAAAGCCGACCCAAUCCAAGCAUUGUUUAAUUUGAGUUUUAAAUAAUUGAUAUUCCAACGAAAGCACAUCCAUCCUUCGAUCCUAUUUCCCAGUAAGAAUAUCUAAUUGUUGUUGUUGGGUGAGAAGAUGAUCCCACCAACCUUUGAGUUGACCUGUAAAACCAGCAAUAAGGAUUUCUGCAAUGGCUCUGUCAGAAGUUCCUGAUUGGGUUUUAUAAGCAUUAGCUGCCAUGGUCAUCUGUUGCAACAAUCCUAGGAUGUUGUACUCAGACAUUCCAUCUAAAUUCCACUCAUAGACAGAGGAUGCAUUGUAUCGAGAUUGAUUUAAUGGACUAGGCCUGUUGUUUAUGGUCAAAUCAGGUGGAGACUUAACAGUGGGAAGGACUAAUUCCCAUUGGAUUUUAUUGGCUUUAGGAAUAGGUUCUUCUUUAAAGGCUUCUAGAUCAGAGGAGGCAAUAGAAGUUUGAUCAGACAUUUGGUCUUGUUCUAAUACUCCAAUCUUGCUAGAUUGAGGAGUAUCAGGAGCUAUCUGAACUUUGCUAGAUGAGGAAGAAGCAGCUUCUAUCCUAUCUAGUUGUUCUCUAAUGGCUUUAGCAAAAUCUGAUUUUGACUCAUAAACAAGCUUUUGACUAGUUUUCGAAACCUGAAAAGGUUUGAAAAUAGGCUCUUUAAGCUUCUUGCCAGAAUCCGAUUUUGAUGGAAUAGGAGUAGAAGAAACAGCUAUGGUUGACUUUUGGAAUUGGUUUUCUAUUCUAGUCAACUGUCUUCCGAUAGUAUUUAAGUUAGUAUUACAGAAAUUAUUCUGUUGGAUAAUACUACUUAAAUUUAUAUCAGAAUCAUUUGGUUUAGGGAUUUUGUAAGGAGAAGCUCUGAUUUCGAUAGGAGGUUCACCAUGGUCUAUGAUUUAUGAUUUACCAUGCUGAUCCUUUCCAAGCAAUUUCAAAGUUUUUCUCUAAGGGCUGGUUUUUCAAACCAUGGGAUUUAACAAAACCCCAGUCCUAUUAUCAAAGCAUUUUAGAAAUCACAGCGUCAGUAAAAUUUAAACAUUUCUUUCUCAGUGAGUCACAUUCAGAGCCAGCCUAUUCCACGGCUACUAUUUUAAAAGUUUUGAGCCCAAACCAAUGGGGUGACCUACUCCAUAAUUUUAAAACCUUCCCUUUAAAUUUUCAAACACGUUUACCUCAUUGUCGGACUUAUUCCUACUGGGAUUACCAACAAGCCUGAUAUAACACAUUUUUUUAUCCAAAACCCCAAAAAAUCCCACUCCUGGUUAUUUUUCUUCAACUCGAAGAUAACCGUCCAAAGCCUUCCAAACUGGUUCCAUCAUUGGUGGAAUUCCUUUGGUCCUACACCACAAAUUUUAACCCCAAAUGCCACCCACUGUUUAAACCUCUUUAAAGCCCACUAUAUUCCUUCUGAAUCCGAAAAAAGAUUUCCCCCCUUUCUCUGUUUCUGUACAAAUUUCUUCCUUCCAUGGGUAUGGAUGUGGAACCUUAGGCUUCAUACUCAAGAUGCCCAGCUCAUCCUUCAAAGAACAUUUAAAGUUAAAUGGUGGUCAAAAUUUGAUGAGAAAUCCAAAUUAACCGAUAACCUUAUCACAAAUUGGUUAUCAUCCAAAGGCUUCCUUCAACCCUCUAUAAAAGACUCCAAAGCCCAGCAAACUUUCCUUACCCAAAAGUCCAAAGCCCAGUCUCUUUUGGUAAGUGCCAAGACAGAAGAAGAAUACUUCAAAGCCAUGGAACAACUCCUCGCCUCCUGGUCAAAGUCAUCAGUGGCUGACUCCUCUGAAGAUGAAGACGAAGAUGAAGAGCCAACCGUUUCUCUCGGAGAUGAAAAUGAAGAUGAUUGUUUUGGAAUUUUCUCUCCAUUAAAGCAUUGUAAAUAGUUCAUGUAACUAUUCAAAAAAUAAAUAAAUAAAUAAAUAAAUAAUAAUAAUUUUACAUUUUCGGGUGGUCCUCUGGACACAAGUGGGAGCGCACAUGUCUCUUCACCCGUAUUUCUACAAAGCUUCUAUUCCAACAUACGCUCCAAAGAUUACUAUUACAUACGAUCCAAAGCUUACUGUUUGCUUCACCUCCGCUACAGUGAACAGUGCCGAUUUCCAAAGAUUACUGUGCACUCAAAGCUCCGCUACAGUGAACAGUUUAAAAAUUUUGUAUAAAAACCAAAAGGAAGACUUAGACUCCUCAGGUUUUUCAUUUUUGGUUUUAGAACUUCUUAUAUAUAUACAUACAUACAAUAGUUUUCUAAUCAAGGAUCCAUGAGUUUAAUAAAGUCAUGGAUUAGUUAAAAGAUAAAAUAAAUAUAGACUCUAAUGCACUAUAUUUUUUCAUAUAGUGUAUUAAAAUUUAAUUUUUUUUCUCUUUUAGCUAAUCCCUGACUUUAAUAAAGUCAGGGAUUGAUAUCACACACACACACACAGCCAUAAGCUCACAUGCUCCUCCCCUUUCUUUAAACCAGACAUGGCCUUAAUACAAACCUUUUAUAAGGUAGUUCCCUUCUAAUGAAAAUUGCCAAUAACAUAAAUGAUGAUUGAUUUCAUACUUUUACGUUAUUGAAUCUUUUGUACAGUAAAAUUAUGCUUUGGAGUCAUUUGAAACAAUAAGAGAGUGAAUUAUUAUUCUUCCUUUAACUGUUUUUAAAUUCUUUAGAUGAAGCUGAAUUUUUUACUUUCUUGGUGACUAAUACUUUGGACAAUGACUUGUGGCCUGAUAUAAAUUUUCAUCUAAGCAUAUACAUGUUGGUGUUAGUUGUCAAUAUAAUGCAAUCAACUUCAUUGUCAAUAAUGAGUACACAAAUAAGGUCUUAUUUGGUAUUAAAGUUGAGCAGUUGUAAUUUAAAAACUACAACAAUAAAGUGUUUGGUAAAUAUUAACAUUUACGGUUUAGAAUGUAAGAUGAUUUAAUCCACACUUAUAUGAUAAAAAAUUUAUCAUAUGAUUUGUCAAAAUUAUCAUAUUAUACAUUAUUGAUUGUUAUUUCAUAAUUACAAUUUUUUUUACAGUAGUUGUAACUUAAAAGUUACAAUAUCCAAAAACCAAACAUGGCCUAACUAUAUUAGACAUAUUCAUUAUUUUAUUUGAAAUACACACUUGUACAUUAUUAUUAUUUGAAUCCCUUAGUUAGCUACUUGUGCCUUGUUCUUCAUAAUUUUAUAUCACAUGUGCAUGUAUGACAGUUAAAAUUUAAUUAUUUUUAUAUUCUUAUCUAAUAAUUAUGAAUUAUAUCUUUUAAAAAAUUAGUAAAAAGGCCAGCUCAACACUGAACCCAAAUUGUAGAGUUUUAUAUUCCAAUGUGUCUUCUUCUUCUUCUUUCGGGGAAAAUGUUCAUAAAUUCCAAGAAAUAGACCUUCAAAUUAGCCAUAAAUGUAGCAUAGAACCCAAUGUGUCUUCUUCUUCUUCUUCUUUCGAGAAAAAUGUUCAUAAAUUCCAAAUAAUAGACCUUCAAAUUAGACCAACAAGCACGUAGAUCAACUUGCAUGAGGUUAUUCUAGCUUAACUAAGGUUCUCGAUUCAAGGCUUGGGAAAGCAGCUGCGUUAAAUAGUUGUUGGGAGAGUUUUACCGCCCUAGUGGUCAUACCCGACUCAAAUCUGGAUUAGUUGAGACCCAAUGUAGUUAUUGGAUACCAGAUGGCUUAAUACACCGAAAAAAAAAUAGACCUUCAAAUUAGCCACAAAUGCAGCGUUGAAAGGAAACUGCAUUAGUGCUAAAACAGUCACUGGAAAGAAAACAACAGCGUAGAGAGUGGCUUUCCAUUUCUUCUCCGAAUGAAUCAGAAUUGAAGCCAAGAAAGUGAUCAUGCUGGUUAGUAAAGAGAAGAAGAGUAAAGUGAAGCCAAUGGUCAGCUUGCUUGGAAGUACGCUAAGGAAAUCAGAUGAAUCAAAUGACGACGUGAAGAUAGAGAGAAGCAUUACAACGGAUGACAAAGAUAAAGCUAAGGUGAAAACGUCCAUUACAGUAAAAACGUAGAAUAGUGGUGACUCAAGGAAAUGGGGAAACCCCUUAUCAUUGGUCCCUCAAGGCACCAUGAAGUUAGCUGUAAAGAUGACAGUCGCGAUGAGAAUUGUCAGAGUCGAGGAUGAUUGAGAGUUUCUUUGAUCCAUUUUUGUGCUUAUCUAAGUUGAUCUUGAUGUGUUAGAUCGAAGAGGUCACUUGCAAUCAUUCUCUUGUUUUAAUCACGGUACAUCGCAUAACGGGGAGGCGCUACGUCUUUUACACACUGCAUAUAAUAAUGCAUGCAUGGAGACAAUUAAAAAAAAAAAAUUAGAGUAAGCUUUUAUACAUUAAACCAUUUCGCAAUGUUGUAAACUCAUUUGACAAUAUUAUAAAAAUUCAUCCUGCCCCUCCCCCUCCCCCCGGUGUUGAUGUUUACUAGCGUAGUGACAGUAUAGGGACUGCGUUCCUUCGUAUUAUUAAGCUUUAGCUUCUGUUAGGCUCGCCUUCUUUAUAAAAAAAAAUAUAUAUUAUAAAAAUUCAUAUCGCACUUUAACAAAAUGUAGGAUCUCUUCUUAAAAAAUGCACUACAUAUAUAGCGUACUUGUAUGGUUUAGAAUCUUAAAUUUUAUUAAAAUCUAAAAAAAACUAUUAUGACAGUCUUGAUGGAACGACGGUUUCCCUUUAAGGCCAUUCCAUAAGGAUUGCAGCCCUUCGUUUUCCACAUGUUAUCCAUAUGAUCCGUCUCUAUAGCGUUAUCCUCAUCACAUCCGUACGAUCCAUUUCGCUAUCUCUCUCGCUCUCUCACUUGUAUAUAUAAUUGAUACAAAGAACAAGCUGUACGUAGAUGUCCUUCAAUAUCCUUGGUUUUAAUUGUCUUAGUAUUAUAAGGUCCGUUCCUUGCAUCCUUAUGCAAGUUCUAAACGAAGUUGGCAUAAUUUUAAGAAUAUUAAUAAUGGUAAAGUUAAUCUAUCGAUGGGGUCAGGAAAAAGAAUAGAACAGAUUAUUUAAUUUUCAACAGCUUAAUUUUGUCUCUCCGCGAAUAUAAUAAUCACAUUUAUUCUGCUACUUUUGUGCCCAUCGCUUAUUUUAUCCGCGAAUAUAACAAUCACACGUUUUUAAAGUAAAGGCGAUUUUGGAAGAAGGCUGUACGGUUUGGAAAGAGGUUUCGACUGAUAUAUAAAAAAGAAGAAAAAAAAAAAGUGAAUUUACUCCAAGGCCUUUGGCGCAACUAUACAUAAACAUAUAAAUUACACUUGAAAAGGGUGAAUAAUCAAUUAAAGCGGCGGGCGCUACAACCGACCGUAAAAGAGAGGAAAUCCGCCACAUUUCCUUCUGAAAAGGUCCUUGAUUUUAUCCAAAAGCGUGCUGUGCCCGUUACAGGCCAAUCCUUGGUCACUCUCAUGACUAAGGUUUUGUCUGGCCGCCACAAUCAUUAAAACAAGAGGGAAAAUAAAUGGGAAAUUAUCAAUUUUUCAUCUGAUUGGUAAAAAUGCAAAAAUAAUUGAAAAUUUUAGAACUUAUCAAUUUUUUUUUUCGCUAGAAAAAAUAUAUGAGAUUUGACAGAGAAUUAGGUCUUGAUUAUUACUGAUGUAUUGUUGGAAAAAAAGUUGCAAUUAUAACAUAAAAUUAUGCGACAAAUAUAGUUUUUAAAUAGUAAUUUUAAUAACAAUAGUAAAAAUUUAUAGGUUUUCAUCAUACAAAUUUAAAAUUAAAUCAAACUUAAUUUUCAAAUCACAACAAUAAGUGUUUACCAAAUACUUUUAAUUCUGUUGUUUAAAAAUUACCACUACCCAACCACAAUAACACAAGGCCUUCAUCUAAGUUAAUCCCGGCAAAUUUCUGAUUGUAACUCAAAAAAAUCAUAUUAGUAUUAAAAAAAUCAACACCUAUUUUUUAUUAAAAUUUUUUAAAUAUCCUAUUAUAUGAACAAAACACAUGCUCGAUUUUUUUUUUUCAAUUAAACCUUGAUCAGUAAGGCAAUUUAUUAAAUUAAAAAGCAGGGAACAGUUAUUUAGGGGACAUAAUAAACUAUAUCCCGCAAAAUAAUUUUAGAAGAACCAAUACAGAUGGGUGGCCUACAUAACAAGACGGUUUAGCCGAAAACGAAAAAAUAAAAAAUAAAAAAACCAUCACUCCGUAUUAGCAUUAUUAUGAGCUAGGCAGCUCAGGCCCGAAUGAGCUAGGCAGCCGCCGCACAGCCCCUCGAAAGUAUGGCUAAUACGAAAAUUCAUUCGACUCACUAGAUGACAACAAUUAAACACAUGCUCGAUCGAAAUGCCAGUAUGAAUGGAAUUUUAAAUCAUCAAAAUCUUUAACCAAUGAUUAACACACUUGUUGUUAUUCAAUGGAGUUGUGAUUUUUACACCCCUCCAAAGUCCUUAUAAUUAAUCCCCCUUUUACAUACACGUGACUACUAGAAGUUUUGAAAAUUAUGAUACUUUAAUUUAAUUCCCAAUCAACCCUUCAUAAACAUUUCUACAUCUCUAAGGUAAUUGUCUACUUCCUAAUGUCCCUUGUAAUUAAAUGAUGAAGGCUGAUUUUGCUUUAUUUCUAUUUUCAGUAUCGUUCAAAGAACAUCAACGGCCCCAUUUCAUUUUCACUUUGGGUGUGAAGCUAAAAGAUCUAUGUUAUCUUCAAUUAAGUAUUCCUUUUUCUUAAAUGCUCUUUUAUCUCUCUUUUUCUAAAACCUAAAUCAUUCAAAAAAAAAAUUGUAAAAUUUCACCCAAUUUAGCCGAAAAAUUGCCAUUCCUACGGUAUUGAUAAUUGAGGAGUGAACAACUUGCAUCUAUCAGCGGGAUUGCGGGAAAAAGAAAACCUAGAAAGAGAGUUUGCUCUUGAAGGGUUGUAAGUUUGUUCAGGGGUUAUUCGUAGAAUAAAUAUUAGAUAAUUGUAAGCACCGAAAUUUAAAAACUCUUUUAAAUGGAUUUGUUUAGAAAAAAAAAGGUUCAUAAGAGUUCCGGAAGGGGUGCUAAUAGCUCAACUCCAUUCAAUAUUCGACGUUAUGUCUUGGCUGGAUGUGAUGAUUCAUUGAUUCCAUUGCAUCAAUCAAUCGUCCGGUGGAAUAUCAUAUUAUUUUGCCUUAAAAUAAUUUCUAAUUUCUUUCUUGAAUGUUCUACAACAUUCUGAAAUACAUCAAUUUAUGCUUAAUUUUUUAUUUCAUAAUCCAAAAUUCAAGUGUUCAUUUGAUUUACGAUUCAGAAAUAAUUUUCAAAAAUAAAAAAUGAAUCUAAAAAUGUGUUGAAGGUUUUAAUGUGUUUAUUUUCUUUAUGAUUUAUAUUAAUGGCAACCUAAUCAUCUCCCUACCUAUGUGAAAGAGAUUUGAAUUCUAAACCUCUUUUUUCAAGAAAAGGGAUUUUCACCAACCUAACUAAAUGAUGCAAGUUUAAUAUGUUUAUAUAAUAUCCAAAAACAAUAAUUUCAACAACUGAAACAUGUUUAACAUAAUUUCUAAUUAAGUUAAAAAAAAAACAUGUUUACGAUAUCCCCUGUUCUUUGUGUCUACAUAAUGUAUGGUCCAUCAUGUGCAAAUUUUAUGAACUUGAAUCCAGUAGCCCCUGAUAAGAGACACAGCAUUCCAAUAAAAUAGGAUAUUCUUUAUUAGAAGCUCACUCCAUAUACAUGUGUGUGUGUGUGUGUUUGUGUCAAGAAUCAUUGCUAUUAUAACAUGUGCAUUAGAAGAAAUCAUGAUCAUUAUGGAUUACAUAAUUUGGUGGAAGAUGAAUUUGUGAUUUAUGAUCAUUUUCUUAUUAUCAUAAUUUUAAAGGUGAUGAAUCCGUUAUUUAUUAUUAUUUUUAAUAUAUUUAAUGAAUUUUCUUUUUAAGAUAGCGGGGUGUGUAAAGGCCAAAUCAAUUUUUAUGAUAUGUCUUAUAAAAAAUUAUUAAAUUAAUGAUAAUGGAGACUGAUUUAGAAUAGAAAUUGCCAAAACAACAGAAAUGAUGAUUGGUUUCUUACUUUUUGUCUUUUGUAUAAGUUAGACCUUGAAGCCAUUUAAUUGAAGCAAGAGGACAGUGAAUUCAAUUGUUUUUUAAAUUCGCCGGAUGCAGCUGAAUUUUAUUUUUCUUUCUUGAUGAAUAAUACUUUGGACAUUGACUUUUGUUUUGAUCUAAAUUUUUAUCAGCGCAUAUACACGUUCGCGUUGGUUGUCAAUAUAAUGCAAUUAACUUCACUGACGAUAAUGAGUAACAAUUACAUGUGUUAACACAUUCAAUAUUUAAUUCGAAAUACACCCAGUACAUUAAUAUUUUACAUGACAUGAUACAACACACCCAAAGGAAAAACCACUGUUAGAACCAAGCAAAAUAAUUAGAGGUACAAUACAUAUAAAGAUUGCCAUCCUAUCAUGCAUACAACUUAGAAAUAACGCGUCUACUUCUUCUUCUUCUUCUUCUUCCAAGGAAAAUUAUUCAUAAAUUCCAAGUAAUAGACCUUCCCAUUAGCCAAAAAAUCAGCACAGUAAGGAAACUCCAUGAGUGCUAAAACAAUCACUGGAAAGAUAGCAGCGGCAUAGAGAGCAGCGGUCCAUUUCUUCUCCAUACGAAUGAUGAGUAGAAGUGAAGCCGAGAAAGUAAUCAUGCUUGUUAGUACAGAAAAGAAGAGCAAAGUGAAGCCAACCACCAACUUGCGCGGAAGUUCUCUAAGGAAAUCAGAUGACUCACGUGGCGACGUGAGGAUGGAUAGGAACAUAACAACGGAUGACAAAGAUAAGGCCAAGGAGGCAACGUCCAUUACAGUAAAAACAUAGAAAAGUGGUGACUUAAGGAAAUGGGGAAACCCCUUAUCAUUGUUACCUCCAGGUAUCGUGAAGGCAGCUGUAAAGACGACGGUUGCGAUUAGGAUUGCCAGCACGGAGCAUGCCUGAGAGGUUUCUUUGAUCCAUUCUUGUGCUUUCCUAAGUUGAUCUUCAUGUGUUAGAUUAAAGAGGUCACUUGCAGUCAUCUUAUUUUUUUCGUCGCGGUGCAUAGCAUAAUGGCGAGGCAUUAUCUCUUUUACAUGCUGCAUACACACACACACACGUUAAAUAGGGACGGAGGCCUAUACACAUAGCCACAUGUGUAGUCAUUACCUCUGUAGCAUUUUAAAAUAUAGAUUCAAGGUUUUACUCAAUUGUAAAAAACUUCUAAGAGCGUUGUAAAAGGUUUUACACAAUUAAAGAAAAAAAAAUGUUUUAUAAAAUAAUGAAAUGGUGAAUCACCUGAGAAUGAAUAUACAUAUACAUACAUAUAUACAUAUAUAUAGAGAGAGAGAGAGAGUGAGGGGGAGGGGACAGAGAGAGGGAGAGAGUACUAAUUUAGUCCAAGAUUGUGUACUUUAUUAAAGUUUAAGAACACUAUUAAACCACAUAGUAUAUAUAGGGGGAGAGAGCGAACGAGCUAUUAUUUAAUAACAGAUCUCUUAAGUUAGUAAAGUAAAGAAUAAAUUAAAAGACAAAUAAAAGUGCAGUGUAUUUUAUCUAGUAAUAUAUAUUGAUGUAUGUGUUUUUCUUAUUUUUUAACUUGUCCCUUAUUUUGGUAAGUUAAGGAGAUCCUUCAAUGAAAAAAAUUAUUUUACAUAUAUGAAGAUACUCAAAUAUGGUGUGUACACAAAUUUUUUGUGUGGAUUUUAGGUUUUAUAACCGUUUGAAAGCCUUUCACAUUAUUUCAAAAAUAUUUUACACUGUUCUAAAAUCCUAUAUCUGCAUGAAAAUUCAUGUGCACAUAAGUUAUAUAUAUAUAUAUAUAUAACUGAAUAAAUUACAUUUUGUGGGACAAAAUUAAAUAUUAUCGAAGGGCUUACCUCGAACAAUUGUAACUCCUCCUGAAAUUGGAGAACAGGGCCAGGGCGGGUUCCUUCUUUAUAAUGUUUCAUGUCUGCGACAUGGUGCAGUAAUGUGUAGCCUUUCUUGUCAAUUCUUGAAGCCCAUUUGGGCACAGACAGUUGCAUUUCCUUCGUGAUGAGUUCAAAGACCUUAUAUUGACGACGCUUUACGGCCACAUGUAAUAUAUUCUGCUCUUUCUCAUUCAAGUUAUCUAACAAUAUUGCUUGAGGAUGUUGAUGGAUUAGCUCCUUCAAAAUCUCUGUUAUUCCAUUGCUUGCUGCAAAGAGUAGCGUCAACCUGAUUGCCCAAUUCUUAUCCUUUUUAUGAUUAGGAACUCCUUUGAUAGUGCAAUCUUUCUUCACAAACAAUUCGACCAAUUCUGCAGCUGAAAAAUCAACAAAUUUUUUUGCCUUGAUCAUAUUUCCUUUGUUAGUGCAAUCUUUCUUCAGCAGCAAUUCGUCCAAUUCUCCAGCUGAAAAAUCAACAAGUUUUUUUGCCUUGAGCAUAUUUCCUUUGCCUAAUCCUAAGGAAAUUGUGGAAAUAUUAUCUUGCCAAGUUGUGGAACUUUCUGGGUCCGGCGAGAAAAUUUCUGGGUUCGGCAAGGAACUUGUGGAACUUUCGGGGUUCGACGAGGAAAUUUCUGGGUUCGGCAAGGAAGUUGAGGAACUUUCUGGGCUCGGCAAGGAAAUUUCUGGGUUCUGCUCUCCAUCCCCAAGAAAAAGGGUUUCUUCUUUAACCAGCUUUUUGAGCAGUUUAUUCGCAUUUUUAUGCAUUUGCUUUUUCAUCCAGAUUUUCUUUAUCGCCGGACGUCCUGGUCAUGCAUGCAUCAACAUCUUGUUAAUUUAUAAACAAUUUCGCACGCAAGUACGGCAAAUCCAUUCAUCAACUGAAUGAAUUGCUCAAGUUAUGUUACAUUUCCCCUGUUCUGCUGCGUAAUUCAUAAAUGUAGAAGUAAUUAAUGAAAUUAUUAUUGGUCGCACCUUCAAUCACUUGCCCCCAAAUGCCAAUGUACAUCUUCCAAAUUGGAAUUCCUGCAUUUUGAUUAACUGCUCAGGCGCAAUUUUACAACUAUAAGUAUAUUUAUACGAUAUGAAAAUAUGAAAAAUUAAUGCCGCCACAUCAAAAAGGAAACCGUUCCCUAUAAUAAAAUACUGUAUGUCUGGACAAAAAUAUUGUGUCUGGAAAAAUUAAUACCACCCUUCUAGAAGGUGGGCGCGCUCAUUUUGAAAAAGGAGGCGCUGCUUCCUUCUUUGACUCGAAUAAAUGAAAAAAAAGAAGGAAAAAAAGAGUGAUGCAGCACCGCAUAGGUAAAAAGAAAUAAAAUAAUAAAAUAAUAUUUUUAAUUGAAAACGAAGGGAAAUGAAGCCUAUAAAUAGAAGGGUUCAUUUCCCUUCCCAGCAUCCAAUUCUUCUCUUCUUCUUUAGAUCCAUUUUGAGAGGAGAAAAAGUCAGUGAGAGUUGAGUGAUUAGUGAGUGAGAGAUUGGGUGUAUUGAGGUUCUAGAUAAUGAACUAAAAUAUUACAAUACUUAUAAUCUUAAUUUCACUAGUAAAAUAUUUUCUUUCUGUCUUCGCCCAUGGACGUAAACUAAAAGUCAAACCACGUAAAUUUUGAUGUCCCUGUGUGAUUCUGUUGUCUCAUUAUUUCUCAAUUUUACUUUAGUUGCCUGUAUGCUUCACCAAUCAAUUUCCAACAUGUCUUUGUAUCAAUCGGUAGUUAAGGUCCUCAUCAUGAGAAUUUGUACAAGUCCAUAGAAAUUAAAGAAAAAAGGAACUUCAUCUUUUCCCCCUUACAAUUUAAGGUAUUUCACACUUCCCCCCUUAGUAUUUUCAAAAUUGGCAUAUUGUUAUUGCGUCUAGAGGAUUCCACUUCACUGUGAUGAUUCUUCAUCUAUAUCUAGUGUAUUUUUGAGUUACCAAAAAAAAAAAUAAAGGAACAAAUCGACGUCUAAAAGAAAAACUAGCUUUUAUAUUAUACUAUUUAUUGUUUAUUUAGGUCUCAAAACUAAUAUUCUGUUUGGUUUCUAAGAGACAAUUGCUCUAAAAUGAAAGUUUUAGUUAUUAAUGGAAAAUUCGUGGGUAUUUGGUUAAGCUAAACCACUAGAUGUCAUAAAAGUUCUUUUUUUAUUCUCAUUUUUGGAGUAAACUUAUCAAUAAAUAAUUGUGAAAAAUAAUCAAUUUAAAAGGCAAACUGAGAAAGUGUUUACAGCUGAGUCGUCAAAAAGAUAGCCAAAACAAAUAUUAUGACUUGUAACCACAGCUAAAGCCGUUUGUUCGGAUUUUCAUUUUUCAAUUUAUAGAGUUAUAAUGAUUAAUGAAACCACUAUAUUAUGAUUAUGAACAAAUUAAAGCUGCCUCAACACUACCUCUCGUCCGCUUUCUGCAGGCGACGCAAUUAUCAAUUUUACCAGUCUCCAAAUCUUCUUUGUAAUUGUAGUCAACGUAAUCGUCAUCAUCAUACGUUGGAAGACCUGCAAUUAGAAAUUGCAAUUGUAACGGCAUGCAUCGAAGUCAACUGGACUAUAUAUCCCCUUAGAGAUGGAACUAUAUAUAUGUGUAUAUAUAAUUAAUAUAUAAAAAAUGCUAAAGAAAUUGAAGGCUGAUAGAAUGUUAACAGGGAUAACGGUAUAUCAAGUCGGGCUUACUACACGGUAAUCUCGGCCAGACGUACCGUUGUUUUUGUUGAAUUUUUCUUUCUUAGUAGUAAUUUUCCCAUGAAGGAUCUCUUAAGUUAUUAAGUUAAUUGCCAACAAAGUAACCCCGAACGGAUGUAUUUGCACUUCAUUAAUCAGCUUUAAUCUCUUUCAUAUGGUUUUUGUAUCCACGAAAGCAAGAAAUAAAUGAAUAUAUUCACGUACAAGAAUAGACAAGACUCGUCCAUAUAUCCGCGGUCUUCGAAUAACUCUUGAAAGCAGAUGGCAUUAGAGCUAGUAGUUGAAGACAUGUCAAGCCAUCAGGCCCCUCGGACGUUAGUUUGUUCGCAAGGCUUGAGUGGUGUUUAAGUAACCAAAUAGCAGUGUCUGUACGUAUUGAAGCAGAUUAAUUAAUUAGUUAAUUAAGAAGACAACUAAUAAAUUUUUAAACUUUAAUCUUUUUUUUUAAUUAAUAACCACAAAAAAAAAAUGGGGUUAGGCGGGAUCCCUGCUUAUCAUAUAAAUCAAUACAAAAAUAAUUACAUAAGAAUAAUAACAUAACCCAAAACCUUCUAAAACAGAUGAAAAUAAAAUUUAAUUUAACUAUUGAUCUAUAUAUGAAUGAAUGAAAGAGAGAUUUAAUUACUAUAUUUUACCGAAGUGUUGGCCAAGGACAGCCAUAUGAAGAACGGUCUUGCCAUCAUUUCUACGGAAAUGAUGACGUAAGUCACCAACUUGCUCAGUGCAGAUUUGCAACAGUUUAGUUUUCCCAAGAGCAGCAGCCCUGUAAACUGGGGUUUCCCCCAAACCGUUUUUAGCCUCAAGUAGAUUUUUGUACGCAUCACCAGACUGUCUGGAAAAGUCAAUCAAAACCCUGGCCACGUCAAAAUUUUCGACGACGGCCGCUUCGUGAAGACCAUUGUUUCCAAACGCAUCUGUUUGCUUCAAGACUUCAAGUCUGGUCUCCGAUGUUAGACUUUCGAGAAAUUCCUGGAUCAGCUGAGGGUCUUCCAUGGCCGCUGCAAUGUGAAUUGCUCUGUCCCCGUUGACUGUUCUGUAAUCCAACAAGUCUUUAGCAGUUCGUUGAGCAAAGUACUGCAAGAAGCCUCGACAGUCUCCCUUCAAGGCCAUUCCAUAAGGAUCCAUUUCUCUCUCUCUCUCUCUCUCUCUCUCUCACUCACUCACUCACGCGUGUUCUUAGACGAUUUUAAUUUUUAUUGCCUUAAUAUAUAUAGGUUUAAUCAUUCUGGAAGUUCUAAACGAAGUUAUCAAAUUGGCACAAUCACUUUGCAUAUUAUAUUAGUAGGGCUCAAGCAUAUUAAUUAUAAGAAUAGAAUAAAGGUGAAGUUAAUCUCUCGGGUCAGGCAGAAGAAUAGAAUAAAUUGUUUCCAACAGCUUUGCUGGUCCCUAUUCCUUUUUCUGUGAAUAUAAUAAUCACAUUUAUUCUACAACUUCUAUCUCCAUUGCUUUUUAAUUUCCGCGAAUAUAAUAAUCACAUUUAUUCUAAAGUAUUAAAAUACCUAAAAAUUUUGAAUUUAAAAAAAAAUCAUCUUUUUUUUUCACCUAGGCGUUAAGAAAGUUGGAAUUUGUUAGGAAAUGUUUGCAAAAUGAUAAUUUUACUCUUGUAAUAUAAACAUUGACGGAUUCCAACGUUUAAUUUCAGAAUAUUUUGACUUUUAAUAAUUUCUAAUUUCCUUCUUGCAUGUUUUUCGACAUCGUUAAAUACAUUAAGCUUAUUCUUCAAUUUUUAUUUCAUAAUGACAUAAUCCAAAAUUUUGACGAUUCAUUGGAUUUAUGAUUAUUCAAAAAUAUUUUUCAAAACUCAAAACAGAAUCUAAAAAAUUGAGUUGAAGUUCUAAUAUUAUCUGUUUAUUUUUAACAUUUAUCCAAUUCUCUUCCCUAUUAGCGGGGUCGAAAAUUGACCAACUUAGAAAGCCAAACUGACAAGAUGUUUACAGCUGAGCUUUCAAAAAGCUAGCCAAAACAAAUACAGCCCAAGUACAAUCGAGAGUCGUCUGUGUAAGUGGGUUAUGACUUGUGACCGUAGCUAAAGUUGUUUGUUCGGGUUUCGAUUUUCGAAUUUAGCGUUAUAAAGAAGCCACUAUUUCAUGAUUAUGAUGAACAAAUUAAAGCUGCUCUUUCGCCAUUACUCUUCUCUGCAAUCCUACCUGUCUUCAAAUCUCUUUUAUAAUUGUAGUCAACGAUAUCCUCAUCCAGAUACGUUUGGAAGACAUGCGAGUAAAAAUGCGAUUAAAUUUAACUCUCUAUAUUUUAAGUUCUAAUGAUGUAGACCUGCAAGUAUUUAUUUAUUUAUUUAUUUUUAAAUUUCACUUCAUCGUAUACAUGUAUAAAUGCAAAUUAAAUAAUAAUUAUUUCUCCUAAUUAAUUUGCUUAUUGUUUCCACUGCAAAGGCAUGCACCUAAGUCAACUGGACCAUAUAUCUCAUAAGAGAUGGAACUAUACGUACAUAAUUAAUGUAUAAAAAAUGCUAAAGAAAAUGAAGGUGAAUAGAGCGUUGACAGAAAUAAUAGUAUAGUAAAUCGGGGUUUAUUAUGUUAAUUAAUUGAUUUUUAAUUAAGUAUAAGUCGAUAAUCUCGGCCGGGUGUACCACUGUUUCUGUCAAAUUUUUCAAUCUUACUCAUUAUAUAUAAAUAUCAUGCAUAUGUUUUUCAUAAGAGAACUGAUAUUCAGUCAAAAUACGAACAAAAAUAAAGUAAAUCUGGCCAGGUUUACAUAGUUAAAUGCCAACAUAGUAACCCUGGCUAGGUGUAUAUAUACUGUAUUUGUCAGCGUUUAAGUCUAUUUUAUCAUUUUUUUUCUCCAUGAAAGGUAGUAAUUAGUUUAUAUAUCUACGUAUUAAGAAUGUAUGGACAAGACUCGUCCAUAUCUUCAUGCGCUUCGUAAUCUUGAAGAUAAUAAUAAAUUUUUAUACUCUUGAUCUAUAAAGAAAUAAAUUCAUUAAUUUAUGUAUAUAAAUUCACCAUUAAUUACUCAUGAUCACCAGCUCGUUUCUAAAAUGCAGAUUGAACCAGAGAUUUAAUUAUUAUUACCGAAGUGCUUGGCAAGGACAGCAAUAUGAAGAAUGGAGAUAUUAUCCCAACAAAUCUUCAGCUGUUAGUUGAGCAAAGUAAUCCAAGAAGCCAUCAUCACAUUCUCUCAUUAAGGCCAUUCCAUAAGCAUCUUCCUUCGUUACCCUCAUCUCAUCCAUAAACAUAAGCGCCAUCUCGCUUCUCUCUCUCUCACUUGUAUAAUUGAUACACUGAACAAGCUGUGUUCUUCGAUUUCCUUAAGUUUAAUUGUCUCAAUAUAAGUUGGCAUAAUCACUUUGCUUAAUUUCUUAAUGAAGCUCAAGCAUUAUAAGAAUAAAAUAAAGAUAAAGUAUUUAACCUAUCGGGUUCAGAAAAGGAAUAGAACAAAUUAUUUCAACGAUUUUUGUCUGCAUUGCUUUUUGAUUGAAUAUACAUAAUAACCACCAAUUCACCAUGUUCUCAUAACGUAAAGGUGCUUGUGCUUUGCCUAAGCCUUAAGGUUUUUGCUAUUUUAUAAAGAAAUCAUGACCAUUAUGGAUUACAUUGAAACGACCUGCCCCAAAUCAUAGGGAUGAGUCUAUUUAGUCUCAUCAAACUGAAUAGAUUAUAAUCUAAUUAGCAGGGAUUCUGCCGAAAAUUUGAUAAAGUUUUCUUUAUAAAUAUAACACUUCGAGCUUGUAAAUAUGUAAUACAAGUACUCCCAAAAUAAAUCAAUAUACAAGCAACUCCAAGGAUCAACAUUCUCAGUGAAAAAUACUGAAUUAUUACAUAAGAUAUCUCCAGAGUAUCGAAAGAUUAUAUUAGAACUAAUAUUAAUAUAUAUUAGUUUAUUCUUCAUCCCAAAAGAAUAAUACAACAAAAUUUAUACAAUUUAAAAAGAAAAAGAUGAUCUGGAUGUCUUAACAAAAAAAAUCAUCUAUAUUUUAUAAUAUCAUCACGUGACUAAAACUCAAAAUAUAUCUACAGUUGUUGGGUUGAUUUGGUGUACCUGCAACCUCUUAUUGUGGGGGGGGGGGGGGGGGAAGGGGGAAUAUAAUAAAACGAAAUGAGUAUAAAACUCAUUGAGCUCAGUGAGUGGAUAUUAGUUUUUUUUUUAAAAUAAAAUUACUAAAAAAAAUAAUUUAAUCUUUCUUUGAACGAUCCCAUAAAAAUAUCAUAAGAACUUAAAUAAAUUUAUUUAAUUUAAAUCAUGCACUGAUAUAACAAUAAUACAUAAUGCUGCAUAAAAUCAAGGAAAUCAUAACACUUAUAAUAACAGAGCGUGAAUGCCGAAAUUAUGACUAAACAAGUACCCAUGAGAAAUAAUCUUGUCAUAUCCUAACCUCAAUGGACGGGCAAUGAUGUACUAUCUAGAUACUAUCAUGCCCUCGGGCUACACGAAUAGACAGGGAGGUGCCAUCUCAUAUCUCAUCAUAUUUGUACAUGCAUAAUCUAAUCCCCAAAGGAUAAAAACACCCAAGCACACAGCUCAAAACCUUUAUGUGUAUUUAGACGGGCCCCAAAGGCCUGUAUCUCAUCUGUAUCUGUAUUAUUGUUAUCAUCAUAUCACAUGCAUAUGCCCCCAAAAGGCAGAAGUGCCUCGAAAUAAAUUUUGUUCACGCAUUGAUAUUUUAUUAAAAUGUUUGGUUAAUGGUUUUUCGUAUUGAUUUCGAAUAAAUUAUGAUAGUAUUUUAAAGGCGAGAAAGGUGAAUUUAGAUGUGAUAAUGAAAAGAAAAUGGAUUUUAAGUAUGUUAAAUAGAAAAGAAACAAGAUAUAUAUUAUGAUUAUAUGUUUAUGUAUAUGUGUAUAAAACGUUGUUUGUAAAAUCAUUGGACAAUAUCCUUCCUUGGUUAUAGUGAUACAGAUAUGAUGAGACUUUUAGGGCCUGUUUGAUCACAUAUAGAGGCUUUGGGCCGUGUGUUCAGAACAUUUAAAAUAUUUAUUUUGCAAACGUAUUUUACUAUCAUAAUUAACUAUGAAAAUAAGUUUUGUAUAUUUUACUCACGGUGAUGAUUUUUAGAUUCGGUUAUCGCCCAUGUUCGAGGACUGGUUUUCGCUUGCAGAUCCUUCUAAAUUAAGGAAAUGACAUAAUUAUUUUCUGUAAAUCGAAAUUAGGACUAAAUUUAUGUAAUAAACUCGAAACGAACAUCUAUCCAUAAUUUACAACUUUCGUGUCGAUAAAAUUACUAAAAUAUCAUCGAAUCAUUAAAUCAUUAGAAUACUUUAAAAUUGUAAAUCACUACAAUACCCUUGAAAUCGUAAUUACAUCCAAUCCUCAAUUUCAGAAAUUAUUAAAAUCUAUAUCAGGUCAGAAAUUACAAAAUCACCCUCAAAAUGUGAAAUUACCGAAUUGCCCUCACUAAGGUCAAGUGUGAAAUUUUCAGCCAUGAUGAGUCUAAUGGUGCCUGCAGUGACCUCCCACGUGUGCAGACGGUGGCAGAUCGAAGUCCCAAAGCCGUGAGCUUUCCGGCGGGCGAUCGACAGCAAUCCGGCCGUUUCGGGUGGCGGGAUUGGUCGGAAAAUGAUGAGGGUGAGCUAAGGAUCAAGAUCCAGGCAGUGGCAUCAUCCAAAACUGGCGGAAUCGACAACGAGAAGAGGUGGGUUUUGCCGCAGCUUUUCGAGCUUCAAAAGGCGGCGUUCCGGUCAGUUUUCGGCGGCUAGGAUGGUACAGAAACGAUGGCCGUCUUCCAAGCUUCAAAUCGGUACCUUGAUCGGCCGGAGGGGGUCAGAAUUGCGAGAUAUGGCCGGGUCGAUUUUGUGUCAAACGGGUCAGGUUUUCGGGUCGGUUUGAUAGCUUCCUCCCUCCCUCUCUCACACGUGUGGUCUCUUCCUGUCCUUCAAGCCUUUUAUUUAUUUAUUUUUUAUUAUUAUUUUCUUAACCGCUUUUUUUUUUCACAUAUGUUACAUACAUAAUUUGGAAGGUGAGGAGUUCGUGAUUUAUGAUGAUUUUUUUACCACAGUUCGAAAGAUGAUGAAUCCAUAAUUUUUGAUGAUUUUUUAAUAUAUAUAUAUAUAUAUAUAUAUAUAUAUAUAUAUAUAUAUAUAUAUACCAGAAGGAAAUAGGAUCGAAGGAUGGAUGUGCUUUCGGAAAAACUUUAUUAUUAAGAAAUAUGAAUUACACAAUUGUUCGAAUUGGAACGGCUUUGUCAAAGUUUAAAACUAAAUCGGUACGUGGCGUUGUUACACCUUAGACCACCAAUUAAGGCCUUGAGGUCUGAUCAAACUUAGACUUUAUCAGGAUCCCUGCACUAUGGUUUCCAGCCUGAUAUACCAAAUUAGCUUUCUUUUACCAAAUAAUAAUUAGAUUCUUUAAAUUGAUCUGCUUUGGAUCGCGGUUAGUUGAUUUUAAAAUUAUUUUACCAGAUCUUUAUUAGGUUCUUUAAGCAAGCCUAGCAACAAUCAUACAUCUAAAGGCUAGGGUGUAUACACAGUACCAGAUCCGGUUCCCGGAAAUGGUGCUCUGAAGGAAUGGAGGGAGAAGAGAAGAUUUACAACUGAGGAUCGAGAUCUGGUCUCUUUACCUCAGAGGAACGUACAAAUUUUAUGGCAGAUCUGAUACAGAUCAGUCUGCGAUCAUGCUUUGUAAAAGAAAAAAUGCUUUAAAAUUAAAUUGUAAAAAUUCAAACUACAUAAAUGAAAUUGCGGAAAUUAAAUUGCUUUAAAUUAAAUUACAGAAACAUAAAUCCUACAUGUUUGCUUUGUUGCUUUGUACUUGAUACAAUUUUUCAGAUCUGAAAGAAAAGAAAGAUUGAAAGACGGGAAGAUUACAAGACAGGAAACUUCCUUGAUGUCUUGAUCAUUUACAAGACAGGAAAGGUUCCCUGGAUUUCUUGAUCCAAACUUCCCAAGAGGAGAGAGAGAGAAGAAGAGAGAGAGAGAGAGAGAGGAAAAACGAAAGAAAGAAAAACUAGAUCUGAAACUUCUGAGGAGUCUCAGUCUUCCUCUUGAAUUAUAUACAUUGACUUUAAACUGUACCGGGGCUGUAGCUUUAAACUGUAGCGGGAACGGAGUUGCUUGAAACAGUGAUCUUUGGAGCAUACAGUGUUUUCUAAUUUUACAAACUUUAAAUAAAUUCGGGUGAAGAGACAUGUGCGCUCUCACUUGUGUCCAAAGGACCACCCGAGGGUACAAAAAUACAAAAGUACAGAGGAAAAUACUGGAAUACCUUUUUUUUUUUUUUUUUUUAGUACAGGAAUAUUACAAAUAAUAAUCUAAUGCUUUAUUGGUGAGAAUAUUCCGAAGCAGUUAGGAAUAUUACAAAUAAUAAUCUAAUGCUUUAUUGGUGAGAAUAUCCCGAAGCAGUCAUCUUCAUUUUCAUCACCAAGGGAAAUAAAAGGUUCUGUUUCACCUGAUGAGCUUGAAGAGGAAGAUGCAACGGACGGCUCAGAUCUUGAAGCAAGGAGUUGCUCCAUAACUUUGAAGUAUUCUUCUUUUGUUUUGCAGAGGCUAAUAAGGAUUGAGCCUUGGAUUUUUUAGAUAAGAAGGUGCUCUGGGCUUUGGUUAUGUCUUUACUUGGGCCUAAGAGGCCUUUUGUAGUAAGCCAUGACCGAAUGGUGGAUUUGAAUAAUUUUGACUUUUCAUCAAACUUUGACCACCAUUUGACUUUGAAUGUUCUUUGUAGGACUAAUUGGUUUUCUUGAGUGUGGUAUCGGAAAUUCCACAUCCAGACCCAAGGAAGGAAGAAAUUUGUACAAAAACAGAGGAAAGGAGGAAACCUUUUCUCAGACUCAGAAGGAAUGUAAUGAGCUUUAAAAAGGCUUAAACAGUUCAUGGCAUUCAAGGUGAGAAUGUCAGGACUUGGGCCAAAAUAGUUCCACCAAUUUUGAAACCAAUUUGGAAGGCUUUGUAUGGUUAUUUUUGAAUUAAAGAAAAAUAACCAUGAGUGGGAUUUCUUUGGAUUUUGUAUAAAAAAUGUAUUGCACCAGGCUUGUUGGUAGUCCCAGUAGGAGAAAAAUAAACAGUGUUUUAUCCGCAUUUGAAAAUUUACGGGAAAGGUUUGAUAUUUGUGGAGUUGGUCACCCCAUUGUUUUGGACUUAGGACUUUAAGGAUGGUAGCCGUAGAAUAGGCUGGUUCAGUGUGGGUUUCACUGAGAAAGAAAUGUUUAAAUUUUACAGAUUCAGUAAUCUCAAGAAUGCUUUGAUAAUAGGACUGGGGUUUUGAUAAAUCCCAUGGUUUAAAAAACCAGCCUUUAGGGAAAAUCUUUGUAAUUGCUUGAAAUGGAUCAGAAUGAUAAAACCCAUCUUCAAUAGUUAAAACGUUUUGAUGGAAAAUUUUAUCAUACCAAUCGGAAGUUUUCUUUGAAGGUGUUGGCUGGGAAAGCACAAUUUGAUAAGAUGAGCUCUCACCAAAAACAACAACAGAUUGAGAAGAAGGUUUUGAAAUCUCUUUAGAAAUCUUUUUUCUCUCUCAGAAACUUGAGAAAGUGCUUUAGAUUUUGAAAUACCUUGCAGAGCAAGCAUAAGUUCUGGGGACUUUGUAAUUAAUUCCAUCCACUCUUUUACUUGCUGUUCGGAGGAGAUGGCUUUGUAUUGGGUUUCUUGUUCUUCUUCGACCAUUUCAAUCCAGGAUUUAAUGGGCAUGGCAGAAGAAAGAAGUUUUUCUUUAAAGGGAGUAGUUUGAGGUUCUUUGGAGGUCUUUAUAGGCUCAGUAUCUUUAAGAACAGCUUUACCCUUGUCUCUUUUCUUUGGCGGCAUUAUCUGUUUUGGAGAAAUUCCCGAAUUAGAAAAUCAGGAACAGAAUUUGUAUUACCUUUAAUAAAUUCAAUAUCAAAAUAAAAAACACUUAAAAUAGCUUGCCACCGUGCAAAAAUCUGUUUUGAUGCAAUGUUUUGAACAUCUUUUUCCAAAACAUGUUUUGCAGCUUUGCAAUCGAUUCUAAGUAAAAAGUUUUGAUUUAGCAAAUCACUUUGGAAUUUUGAAAUGCAUAAAACAAUUGAAAUAAUUUCUUUUUUAAUAGUAGAAUAGUUUUUCUGGCAAUCAUUCCAGUGUGCAGAAACAUAUUGUAUUAUCUGUUCUCUAUCAUUAUCUUUUUGUUUUAAUAUGCCUCCAUAACCUAAAUCAGAUGCAUCAGUUUCAACAAUUUUAGGUAAUGCAGGAUUUGCAAGAUACAAACAUGGGAUGCUUUUAAUAGAAUUCUUUAUAACUCUAACAACUUUAGUAUGAUCAUCAGUCCAUGCGACAUGAUUUUUCUUUAACCUAUCAUGCAAAGGUUUUGACAUCCUAUUGAUAUUUGGAUAGAAAUCAAGUACAUAAUUUAAACUUCCUAGGAAUCUUUGUAGUUGAGUCUUGUCUAAGAUUUUGUCUGGAAACUUGUCAGCAAAGACAAGAGAACGCUCAAUAGGAGUAAUGGUUCCUUUAGAAAUAUGAUGACCAAGGAACCUGAUUCUUGUUUGAAAUAGAGAAACUUUGGAACUAGAAAUAGCUAGCCCAACUUUCCUAGUGGCCAAGUAAAAAGUCUUUAAAUGUUUGAAAUGUUGAUCGAUGGUUUGAGAGAAAAUCAAAACAUCAUCUAUAUAAACAAUGCAAAAUUCAGAAAAAGGGUUAUAAAUAUCGUUCAUAAUCCUUUGAAAUUCCGAAGGUGCAUUUUUUAAACCAAAUGGCAUGACAGUCCAUUCAUACUGUCCGAAUGGAACAGUAAAAGCAGUUUUGUAACGGUCUUUAGGAUGGAUUUGAAUUUGCCAAAAACCUGACUUCAUGUCAAAUUUUGAAAAUAUGAAAGUAGAAUGUAGUUUUUGAAGCAAAUCCUUUUUAUUAGGUAUUAGGUACCUAAUCCAUUUUAAUGCUUUAUUAAGAGGUUUAUAAUUAAUCACUAGUCUUGGUGUUCCUCUUUCAAUUUCAGAAUUUUUGUUUACGUAAAAAGCAGCACAAAACCAGGGGGAUCUAGAUUUUACAAUGAGUUCUUUAGACUCUAAAUCUUUGAUUUCAUUUUUACAAUGUUGUUCCAAAUCCAUGUUCAUUUGAAUUGGACGGGCUUUAGUAGGAAUUUGUUUUUCAUCGAAAGAAUUUUCAUAAGGUAAAUCUACCAAAUGUUGUUUUCUAUUCCAAAAGGCAGAUGGUAAAUCAGCACAUAUUUCUUUUUCAAUGAGAUCUUUAAAUUCAGAGAUUUUUCUUUGUAUAAAUUCAUUUUGUAACUGGUUUUCAAUUCUUUGUAGAUUUAAAUCCUUUUUUAAACAAAACAAGUCAUUUUGUUUGGAUUUGAGUAUGGAAUUGAUUUGGUUCUAGUAAACAGAACAAGCUUCAACAAUAUUUAAAUUUCUUGUUUUUGGUUUCUCAAUAAAGGGAAAAUUAGCUUUUUGGAUUUUGCUUUAAAAGAUAUACUAUCAUAAUUGACAGUAUAUGGGGUAAUCAAGUUUAUAAAAGGAGUUCCUAAAAUGACAGCAUGAUGUAUGUCAUUUGUAAGGAUAAAAGAAGUUCUAAAUUCAAAAUCAUUAUUAUGAAUAGAAGCUUCGACUUUAGAGUUGACUUUAAGUUUUGAAUUAUUGGUGGCAGAAAGUAUUUCUUUAGUUUUCUCAUGAAAUCUUUUAGGGACAAUGUCUUCUCUUAUACAAUUUAAAUCGGCACCAAUGUCAAAAAGGGCAAUGGCGUCAAUUGCAAAAUCUUUAGAAAAAAUUAAAGUAGUUUUAAUCAAAUAUUUUCUGGUGGUGAUUUGUUUUAAAACAAACAGAAAAUCAUUUGGUACUGAUUCAAUGUUGUCUAAUCUUUGUUCUCCAUUAUCACCAUCGUCAGAUUCUUUAUCUGAAUUAUCCUAUAAUUAUUUUUGUAAGAGAAGUUGGAUAGUUUCAGAAUCAUUCUUUUGUUUUUCUUUUAACUCUUUUAUUUCGAGUUUAAUGUCUUUGAUCUCUUUUUGAAGAUCUUGGAUAUUAGGGGUUGUUUUCUUUAUUUUCUUUUUGUCUAAAAUUUGGGUGAGAUCAUAAGAACUCUUUUUAAUGAUUGGAAUUUUGGAAGUCUCUGCUUUAUUAGAAUCCAGGGUCUUUAAAAGUUUAUCAAGAUAUUCUUUUUGAAGAUUCGGAUCAUAAAUAUGUUUAACUAGUUUAAGAAAAAUUUCUUGGUCUUUAGUUAAAACAUUGAUUUUCUUUAAAUAAGAAUCUGACUCAGAAUCACUACUGCUAUAUGUAGAGGUUUCUGAAUCAAUUAUCUCAUCGACCUGAAGGGAAUCACUGUCUCCCGACAUGGAAGACUCAGAGUCAGAAGACUCUAUAAGAAGAGAGGCAACUUUGGAGAGGGUUUCUUCAUCGAGUCAUAACUCAUGAAGCUUUCGGUUCAUUCUGCAAUACUUUGCAGUAUGGCCUUUUAUACCACACUUAUGGCAAAUGGCUUCUUUGUAAUUGAAAGGGGUUUUGUUUUUAGGUUUAAAUUCCUUUUUCUUAGAGAAGUUGGGCUUCUUAUGAGGCCUCGAAGGUUUCUUAUAAGAAGAUUCUCUAAAAUUUUGGAAUGGCUUCCUAUGGCUUUUGGAUUUGUAAUGUCUUCUGUGAGGUUUGAAAGAACACUCACCAUUACAACCUUUGGAGGUGGAAGUUUUAAAGGGGUCAUAGUUGAAUUGCUUACAGAAACUACCUAAUUCUUGCUUGGAUUUCCUAAGCUCCCAUUUAAGUCGUUUCUGUAGUUUCAAAUCUUGACAGAUCUUUAAUCCUUCCUUGUUAAUAAAACUAACAAGUUCACCGUAGGUGAGCUCAUCAUAAGGGAUACGAUUAUCGUAUAAGGAUUUAAUGGAAUUCCUAACCUUUUCACCUAAAAGGGUAGGUAAACCCGCAAGGAAUUUCUCUUUCCAAGUUAUAUGAUUUGCAUCAUCUCUGAGAAAGAGUCUGGUAAAGAAAGUGGUUUUGUAGCUUUGGAAUUCACUAAGUGUUCUACAUCUUAAAUUAUGUAGUAACUCAGCGUUUUUAUCUCUAAGGUGAGAGGGAUCACCUAUGAAAUGAAGGGAAAUUGUGAGGAUUAAAGUGGCAACAGCAUCUUGAAUUGGGUUAUUAAACUCAUCAAGAAUGGGUGUUUUAUCCUCAUCGAUUUGUAUGGAAUUAAGAAUAUCUAAUUGUUGCUGUUGAGUGAGAAGAUGAUCCCACCAACCUUUAAGUUGACCUGUAAAUCCAGCAAUGAGGAUUUCUGCAAUGGCUUUGUCAGAAGUUCCUGAUUGGGUUUUAUACGCAUUAGCUGCCAUGGUCAUCUGUUGCAACAAUCCUAGAAUGUUAUACUCAGACAUUCCAUCUAAAUUCCACUCAUAGACAGAGGAUGCAUUAUAUCGAGAUUGAUUUAAUGCACUAGGCCUAUUGUCUAUGGUCAAAUCAGGUGGAGACUUUAUAGUGGGAAGGGCUAAUUCCCAAUGAAUUUUAUUGGCUUUAGGAAUAGGUUCUUCUUUAAAGGCUUCUAGAUCAGAAGAGGCAAUAGACAUUUGAUCAGACAUUUGGUCUUGUUCUAAUACUCCAAUCUUACUAGAUUGAGGAGUAUCAGGGGCUAUCUGAACUUUGCUAGAUGAGGAAGAAGCAGCUUCUAUCCUAUCUAGUUGUUCUCUAAUGGCUUUAGCAAAAUCUGAUUUUGACUCAUGCACUAGCUUUUGACUAGUUUUCGAAACCUGAAAAGGUUUGAAAAUAGGCUCUUUAAGCUUUUUGUCAGAAUCCGAUUUUGAUGGAACAGGAGAAGUAGAGGAAACAGCUAUGGUUGACUUUUGGAAUUGAUUUUCUAUCCUAGUCAACUGUUUUCCGAUAGUAUUUAAGUUAGUAUUAUAGAAAUUAUUCUGUUGGAUAAUACUACUUAAAUUCGCAUCAGAAUCAUUAGGUUUUGGAAUUUUGUAAGGAGAAGCUCUAAUUUGGACAAGAGGUUCGCCGUGAUCAACGGUUAAACUCUGAAGAGGUGGAUGUUCAGAUUCUAUGGUUCUAUCACUAUCAGUAAGUUUCCACUCAGGGAUUUUCUUCCUAAUAGUAAUAGGAUUUGACUCUUUGAAAGGGUAGGAAAUGUUGUUAUCAUAAGAGUAUAUCUCGAACCAAUCAAAAAAUAAUAUAUGAACUUGAUGAAGGUUUACAACUUCAUAAUAGAUUUGUUAGAUUUGUUUUCUUUGAUUUAAAAAAUGUUUAAAACACCAAAGUCUUUUUUCUUUAUUUGUUUCUGAAUAAAAAUCAUUAUGAGGAAGAUUUUUAUCAAGUUCAAAAUUCUUUUCAAUUACAUUUAUGACAUUUUCUGUGACUGUAGAAAAAGUAGGAGAGGUUGGAGGAGAAGGUUCCUUCUCUUCCUGUCUUUGUUCAUGUUGACUGCUAGUGUAAAUAGGGUGAGGAACACUAGUGGCAUAGUCAACAGAUUGUAUAGAAGUGCUAGGUAUAUCUGAAGUAGAAAACCUAGGUUGACUCUGCAAAGGAAGAUUUAUAACAGAAGGGAUUUUUGUAAAUUUUCUUUCCAAUGAGGAAAUACUUGAGCACGACUCUUUAUCAAAAAAUCUGGUUGAGGCUGAUCUUCUGAAUGAUAGUUUGACUUUUCCAUCUGAAUACUGAGUCACAUUUUGCAACCUGUAUUAGGCUCAAGUUGUUUUGGAAUCGCUGGUGGAGCGGCUCCUUCAAGGACCCAUUCCUCUGGAAGAUUGACAUCUUUCCAUUGGAUUGGUUUUGGAAUGACAGUGUUGGCUUUAGACAAGUGAGUCUGCAAGAGAAGAGUUUCAUCUCUUUUUUACUGGAAUUUGUGUUGCGUACUGAAUGCAGAAAUCAUUGCUUUGUAGGAAAUUUUGAAAAUUAAAGCAACUGGGACAGAUCCCUUAAUCAUAUUGUAAUUAUGUGUCUUGAUUUGUAAAAUCAUACUUUUCAGAAUAUUUUUGUCUUUAAGGGAGAUUGUUAUGUUCGGAUAACAAUCAAAGGAGAUUGGACCUUUACAGAGACUAGAUUCAAUGCUACUUAGCAAAGAAUCAUCAAAAGAGAUGAAUUGCCCAUCUCUUAGGACAGCAAGGAUGGAAGUAUCCAAGCCUUCUUUAGUCAGGGGUUUUAUACCAACUUAGAUUAAACCUAUGUGGAUGUAAUUAAAAUUCUUUUCUUUUAAUUUCUUUAAAGAUUUUUCUGAAAACAAAUGAAUUGUUUCAAAAGGCUCAGAAAGGGUUAUGUCACGUUCUUCAGUCUUUAUUACAUAAUCAUUUUUUAAAAAAAUCAAGUUUCUUUGUUUUGUAAAUCUUUUCUUUAGAAAUUCUUGGAAGUUCCCAAUAAUCAAUUGCUUUAUCAAAGUUCUCAAUAAUGAAUUCUUCUGAACUCACAACAUGCUUUGAAUCACUAGUCUUCCCAGAAGAAGAGCUAGAAAAGGACGAUGUUCUACAGUGUAUAGGUUCCAUGGGUAAAAACCUAUGGUCUAUUCUUGGUUUUGAAAGAAUGGCUACAUGUAUGGUUUUACAGCCCUAUGCGGAAAACUUAUCCUAAGACGGGACUUACUACCAGUAAAGAAUUCACCACACAACAAAACUUCAAAAUAAAACACAAGUAUAUAUAUAUAUAUAUAUAUAUAUAUAUAUAUAUAUAUAUAUAAAAUUUUUGUUUUAAGAUAGAGAGGUUGGGAAGCCCAAAUCAAUUUUUAAUUAUAAUCUUAUCAAAAAUUAUUAAAUUAAUGGUAAUGGGACCGAUUUACCGUACAAAUUGCCAACAACAUAAAUGGUGAUUGAUUUGUUACUUUUAUGCAAUUUUAUAUAAACUGAGCCUUGGAGCCAUAUGAUACAAGAAGAGUCCGAAUUAUUAUUAUUAUUAUUUUUUCAAUUGUUUCUUAAAUUCGUGGAUGAAGCUGAAUGUUUUUUUUUUUGUCCUUUCUUGAUGAAAAAUAUAUAUAUUCUUUGGAUAGUGACUUUUAUUCUGAUCUAAAUUUUCAUUUGAGCACAUACAUGUGGGUGUAAGUUGUCAAUAUAAUGCAAUGAUGAUUCUACCAAAAAAAGAAAAUAUUCAUAUUGAUGAUAAUGAGUAAACAGAUAGAUCAUAAAUUCAUUAUUUAAUUUGAAAUACACACAGUACAUUAUUAUUAUUUGCCACACCAAACCCAUCUUUUACAUGAAGUAAAACGACACACCCAAAGGAAAAAUAUAUGUGAGAACAAAUGAGAUAAAUAGUGUUAAUUAGAGCUGCAUUACAUAUAAGGAUUGUCAUCAUAUCAUGCGUACGUAUUAAUUAUUAACGCCAAUGCGCCCUCUUCUUCUUCUUCGAAGGUCCCCAGUAAUCCUUAAAAUUAGCCGCAAAAUUAGCAUAGACAGGAAACUCCAUGAGUGCUAAAACAACCACUGGAAAGAUAGCAGCAGCGUAGAGAGUGGCGGUCCAUUUCUUCCUCAAACGAAUAAUGAGCAGAAGUGAAGCCGAGAAAGUAAUCAUGCUUGUUAAUACAGAGAAGAAGAGUAAAAUGAAGCCAGUCGUCAGCUUGAACGGAAGGUUGCUAAGGAAAUCAGAUGACUCACGAGGCGAGGUGAGGAUAGAUAGAAACAUCACAACGGAUGACAAAGAUAAGGACAGCGAGGCAACGUCCGUUACGGUAAAAACGUAGAAGAGUGGUGACGUAAGGAAAUGAGGAAACCCCUUUUCAUUGUUACCUCCAGGUACCGUGAAGGCAGCUGUAAAGACGACGGUCGCGAUUAGGAUUGCCAGUACGGAGCAUGCCUGAGCGGUUUCUUUGAUCCAUUCUUGUGCUUUCCCAAGUUGAUCUUCAUGUGUUAGAUCGAAGAGGUCACUUGCAGUGAUGUUCUUUUCUUUGUCGCGGUGCAUGGCAUAAUGGCGAGGCAUUAUCUCUUUUACACACUGCAUACACACACACACAUAUAUAAUGCAUGGAGUCCAUCAGAAAAUAUAAAUAUAUAAUAUUAGAGUAUGCUUUUAUUUAUAUGAACACAACGAAUAAAUUAAAUGUACUUGGGGGACAAAAUUAAAUAUUAUCAAAGGGCUUACCUUGAACCACUGUAACUCCUCCUGAAAUUGGAGAACAGGACCAGGGCGGGUUCCUUGCUUAUAAUGUUUCAUGUCUGCGACAUGGUGCAAUAAUGUAUAGCCUUUUUUGUCAAUUUUUGCAGCCCAUUUGGGCACGUACAGUUGCAUUUUAUUCAUGAUGAGUUCAAAGACCUUAGGUUGACGACGCUCUACGGCCACAUGUAAUAUAUUCUGCUCAUUCAGCUCAUUCGCUUCAGAUAAUAUUGCUUGAGGAUCUUGUCGGAGUAUCUCGUCCAAAAUUUCUGUAAUUCCGUUGCUAGCUGCAAAGUGUAAUGUCCUAUCCUGUGUUGUGGCGUUUUCACCAUCCUCAACUGGGUCCUUAGUGCCAUCUUUUUUCCUCAGCACCUCGAUCAAUUCUUCAGCUGAAAGAUCAACAAGUUUUUUUCCCAAGAUGUCCUUUCCUUUGCCCAAUCCCAAGGUAAUUGUUUUCGGUUUUCCGGGAAUUUCUUGUUCCGUUGUUUCGGAAUUUUCUUGUUCCGUUGUUUCCGCCAAUCCCAACCUUUUUAUUUCAGCCAGCCUUUCGACAAGGGCAUCCGCAUCUUCAUGCGUUUUCUUUUCCUUCCAGAUUUCCUCAAUCCAUGAACAUCCUGGUGAUGCAUGCAUCAACAUCUUAUUAAUUUAUGAACAAAAUUAUGCACGCAAACGGCAAAACCGUUCAUCAAAUGAAUUGAAGUUAUUAGACAUUUCCCUGUACUUCUAAUGUGUCUCAUAUAUGUAGAAGUAAUUAAUGAAAUUAUUAUUUGUCGCACCUUCAAUCACCUGCCUCCAAAUACCAAUAUACAUCUUCCAAAUUGACAUUCCUGCAUUUUGAUUAACCUGGUCAGGUAAAAUUUUAUAUGCACAUAAUUAUGAUAUGAAAAAUUAAUGCUAACGCAUCGAAAAGGAAACCGCUCGGACUCAAGUUAAAAGCGUGGGGGUUUAAAUAUAAGGAGACAUGUGGAUGCAAUUUAUUUGAGAUGGUAAAUAUUUUAAUCUGCAAUAUGUAGAUAAGGUCCUUACCAUAAGAUAUGCAUGAGUCCAUAGAAACUAAAGAAAAGGGAACAUCUUUCCCCCAACUAUUUGAGGUAUUAUAUACUUUUCCUCGCGAUAUUUUCAAAACGGUCAUGUACCUCGUUGUUAAAGAGAGAAUACAUUAAAACAAUCCUUUUUACUAUUUUGUCCUUGAAACAAUAUACUUUUAUCCUAAAAAUUAAUGAAUAAAAUAAAAUCUAAAUAAUUAUUUCAAUAUUAAAUUUGUUAAAAUAUAGAUUGCAACAAAUCUCCGAUCGGUCUCUUUUGUAAUUAUUUUUUCUGACGUGCCAAUGAAAAUAUGAAAAUCAGACUUUCUAUUUGAUACAGAGAUAUUUUUCAAAGAUAAAGGUAGACUGGAUAGUAGCUCAAAUGUUUAAGGGGAACAAAUAGGUUUCUAACAAACAAUACAAAAAAAGAGCAUGCAAUGAUAAUACCAUUAGAUGUCAAAAUUAAGGCUUCGUUUGCCUUCUGGGCUAUAUAGAAUGAAAAUUUUCGUUACUAAUAGAAAAUUUAUGGGUAUUUUAUAAAAUUAAACACUACUAGAUGUCAAGUAAAAAUUGGAGUAUAUUAUCAAUAAAUAAUUGUGAAAAAUAACCUACUUAAUUAAAAGCCAAACUGACAAAGUGUUUGCGGCUGAUUAGGUGUGCAAAAAGCUAGCCGAAACAAAUAUAGCCCAAUUACGAUCCAGAGUCGUAUGCGUAGGGGGGUUAUGACUUAUAACCGUAGCUAAAUCCUAAAGCUGUUAGUUCGGGUUUUGAUUUUUGAAUUUAUAGAGUUAUAAUGAUUAAUGAAACCUCUAUACUAUGAUUAACAAAUUAAAGCUGCUCUUUCAGCAUUACCUCGCCUCUUCUUUGUGUGGCCGCGGCGAUUGUCAAUCUUAUCAGUCUCUAUAUCUUCUUUAUAAUUGCAGUCGUCAUCCAUACACGUUGGAAGACCUGCAAUUAGAACUACAAUUGAAUUUAGCUAUAUAUAUUCUAAGUUCUAAUAAUGUAACAAAGCACUUUUUUUUUUUAAAUUUAUGCUUAAAUACAAAUUAACUAAAAUAUUUCUCCUAAUGAAUUUUCUUAUGUUCCCAUCGUAGCCGCAUCCACCCAUGACAACGGGACUAUAUAGAUCCGUUUGGGGUAAUUGCGCUGCCACAGUGUAGCUCCUCCACCUCCUUGAUUUUAAGAAGAUUCUCUUAAAGUAAAGGGUAGAGCAGCUACCCCAAACGGCCUCCAUAUCCCUUUAGAGAUUAAAUUAUAGUUGCAUAUAAUUAAUCUAUUAAAAACAUUAAGAAAAAGUAAAGGCGGAUAGAGUGUUGGGCAGAAAUAACAGUAUCUCAGUCGGGGCAGGUGGACCAUUGUUUCCGUAUAUUUUCCAUGAGAACGCUGAUAUUAUGAAAAAAAAAAAUACUGAAAGAAACAAAAUUAAAUGCAAUCAAAUUUGCAUGGUUAAUUGCUAAUACUGUAACCCGGACCGAAUGUAUGUAUAAUAGACAAAGUCAAUAUUGAUGCUUAUUCAUUUUUAUAACUUUUCUCUGCUGUAAAUCUCUUUUAUGUAUAUUUUAGUUACGAUCGACCGUACAAUCAGUGGAACAAAUUGUUGUCUUGUAUUACAAAUAUUGAGUGAACUCAAUGAGAAAUAGUAGAGUCAUAUUUUCCAAACCUGACAUCAAACAAUGUAUCCACGCACGAUAAUGGAAAGGACUCUUGAUCAUUUCCUUCGUGUCAUCCGCACUCUUGAAAGCAUCUGGCAUUAGAGCUAGUAGUUCAAGACAUGUAAAGCCCUUAAGCUUGUCGGACGUGGACGAGAGCUCGUCGGACUUCAGCGUUGCACGUUUUUCUGCACCUGUUGCACGUUUUUCUGCAAGGGUUGAGUCGUGGUUAAGUAACCAAAUAGCCGUCUCUGUACGUAGUCGAGAAAAUUAAUUAAUCAGUUAAGAAAAUAAUAAUAAAUUUUUUAACUCUGGAUCUAUAAACGCAUGAAUUAAUUGGAGAUUUAAUUAUUAUAUAUUACCGAAGUGUUGGCUGAGGACAGCCAUAUGAAGAAUUGUCUUAUCAUCUUUGUUUCUACUGAAAUGACAACGUAAGUCACCAACUUGCUCAGUCAGCAUUUGCAACACUUUAGUUUUCCCGAGAGCAGCAGCCCUUUAAACUGUGGUUUCCCCCAAACAAUUUUUAGUCUCAAGUAAUUCCCUGUACGCAUCACCAGACUUUCUGGAAAAGUCAACCAAAACCCUGGCCACGGCGAAAUCUUCGACGACGGCCGCUUCGUGAAGACCAUUGUUUCCAAACUCAUCUGUUUGCUUCAAGACUUCACGUCUGGUCUCUGGUGUUAGCCUUUCGAGAAAUUUCUGGAUCAGCUGAGGGUCUUCCAUGGCCGCUGCAAUGUGAAUUGCUCUGUCCCCGUUGACUGUCCUGUAAUCCAACAAGUCUUUAGCAGUUCGUUGAUCAAAGUACUGCAAGAAGCCUCGACAGUCUCCCUUCAAGGCCAUGCCAACAGGAUCUUCCAUCGCCCUCUCUCUCUCUCUGUUUCUCACUUGUAUAAUUGAUGCACAGAACAAGCUAUACGUGUUCUUCGAUAUCCAUAUAAUUAAUUACCUCCAUCGCCGUCCCUUAUAUAGAAGUUCUAAACGAAGUUGGCAUAAUCACUUUGCCUAUUUUACUAAUAAAGCUCAAGCAUUAUAAGAAAAAAAAUAAAGUUCUAAAGUAACAAAACGGAAAAGAUGAUAAAAGAACAAAGUUUUGAAAAGAGAAUUGAUUAUUGAUGAAAAGUUGUUUACAUUGUACGUGUAUUAUUCCCUUGAAAUUCAUAGAAUGUGAAGUUACCAAAAGAGCAAAGUUAAAAAUAAAAUAAAAUAAUUAUGUUUGAGGUAAAAGAGAGAAAGAAUAAGAAAAAGAAAACGCACGCAAUUAAAAAUGAAAUUAGCUUUUGUCUUCCUGUACGUUUGGGAACGAUAUAUUAUAUAUGCAAAAACGAAUAGUUUUGGGAAAGUAUAAAGUUCAUGCUCUACGUCAUAAAGUUUGUUAAUCAAUGACGUCAGAAAAAAGAGUAGAAUAUAUAAAUUAUUUCCAAACUCAAGUUACAACUCGGAGAAGGUGAAAAGUCCAUGCUGUACAUCAUAAGGUCUGUUAAUCAACGGUGUCAGAAAAAUAGAGUAGAAUAUAUAUAAUUUAUUUCCACAACUUAAUUUUGUCUCCAUUGCUUUUUCCGCGAAUAUAUAUAAAGAGUAGGAGAGAUCCUAAUCCUUACUUUAAUAACAUGGUGAUUAUUGUAAACGCGAUUGUGCUUUGACUAAGACUAAAGCCUUUUGCUAUUCUACAUGUUACUUCAUUAUUUCUCGUCAUGGAGUGGCAGCCAAUCAUUAAAAAAUAAAUAAAAAUGUAAAAAUAUUUAGAAAGUUAAAACUUAUGAUAGAAUUUGGCCUUAUUUUUUAUAGAUGUGUUGUAAAAAUGAAUUGUAUUUAUAAAAUAAAAGAUAAUAGCAUACGGUAAAUAUGACUUUAGAAUAAUAUCUUUAUAGACUUUUAUCGUACAACUGUAGAAUAAAAUCAACUUAACUUCCAAACCAUAGCAGUAACUAUUUACCAAAUACUUUAUUGAUAUAUUUUAAAAACUACCACUGCUCAAUUACAAUACCAAACAAGGUGUUCUAAGUUGGUUCCAACCACAAUACGAAAUAGGGACUUACAUUCUAUAAGUUAAAGUCAUUAAGUUUAUUUGUUUUUUUAACUUAUUAAAAAUUUUCAAUCAUUAAGCUAUUAAGCCUAUUUUCUUAGCUUCUUAUUUAAUCUAAAAAGUCUGAAUAAUGUUAUUAAAAGAUAUUAUUUAAAAUAUUCCUAUCCAACUAAUUUAUUUUCAUCUUUACCUAAAUAAAACUUACUAAUUAGCAUACUAUUCAUCUUUAUAACUUGUGAGAAUAUAGUAUAUUUUUUUAUUUUAAUCUUUUUAUUUUCUUCAAAUUAGCAUUAUCUAUUUUCAUAAUUUUUUAUGAGUAUUUUUUAUAUAAAACAUCAUAAAGUGCAAUAAAAUUGAUUCACAUCUUCUAAUUUAGAAUAUUAAAGGGUUGUAUUCACCUGAACAUGAUUCAUAUUAUGAUAAAAUAAUAUCAUAUUAUCCGCGAAUAUAAUAAUCUCCAUUUUAUUUAAGUAAAGGCGAUUGUGCUGUGCCUAAGCGUAAAGCCAUUUGCUAUUUUGGCGGCUACAUGUGUUACAGGCCAAUCCACGAGCCAAGAAUAGACAAGACAUGUCCAUGCAUAUCUUCGUGCGCCUCGUACUCUUAAAAGCGGAUGCCAUUAGAGCCAGUGGUUGAAGGCAUGUCAAGCCAUCGUCCUUCUUGGACUUGGUUCUUUUCCAAGACUGGACUCGCGAUUAAGUAACCAAAUAGCAGUGUCUCUGUGCGUGAUAAGUCCACGAAUCAUCAGUUUGAAGCAACUGUGGCAACAUGCGCUGCAUUAGCUAGCCAGGUGUCUACACUCUACACAAAGACCCCUUUAAGGCAAAUUCUGGAUGUUAGAGAUUAUACUAAUGAAGAAUUUGGUCACCUUGAACAUAACUCAAUAGCAACAGACCUGAUGCCUCCCAACGGCUCCUAGAAUAUCAUGCAUAAGAUUAAGUCAUGAGAUUGCAUCAACGAUGAAGCCUUUAGUUUAUGUAAAUAUCUUUGUAAUUAUGAGAUGUGUUUUAUUCCUUUUAAAGCAUGAUACAACUUGUAUAUAUGCUGUACGAUUUGUUUGAGUAGAAACAAUCUCAAUUACUUUCUCAUAUUUACAUUUUCCACAGCACGUAUUCAAGCAGGACAGAAAUGUAAUUAAUUAAUUAAUUAAAAAGAUAGCAAUAAAUGUUUAAACUCUUGAUAUAUAAAUAAAUAAAUAAAUUCAUUAAUAUAAAUAUAUUCACUACUACUCAUAUAUAAAUAAAUAAAUUCACUGAUAUACAUAUUUUAGUUUUCUAAAAUACAGAAUGAAUGGAAAGAUUUAAUCAUUAUUACCCAAGUGUUUGGCAAGGACAGCAAUAUGAAGAAUGGAAAUUUUGUCCCAACAAAUAUUCGGCAGUUAGUUGAGUAAAGUAAUCCAAGAAGGCCUCACAGUCUCUCUUUAAGGUCAUUUGUUAUCAUCUCCACUGCUAUCUAUCUCUUUCUCACUUGUACAGUUGAUACACAAAACAAGUUGUACGUACCCGUUCUUCGAUAUCCGUAAUUUUAAAAUUGACCAUUUUCUCACUCUAAGAAAUUUGGGAUAUGACAUAAUAGAACUAGAUCUCGAUUGUAUUGCGGUGUUGUGGAAAAAAAAAAAGGAUAUAGCUAAAAUAAAAGUCAAUAUUUUAUGAUAAAUAUAGUUUUAAAAUAAUUUCGAUAAAAAUAAUAAAGAAUAUUAUAGAUUUUCAUUGUACAAGUGUGGGAUAAAAUUAACUUAAUUUUCAAAUCAUAAGUCAAUAAUAAUAAAUAUUUGCCAAACAUUUUAAUGUUGUAGUUUAAAAAGCUACUCUAUGCACAUCCUUGAUUGUACAAGCAUAUUAUUAUUAAAAAAAUUAUUAUCUAUUUUUUUGUUAAUUACUUCUUUUCCCAAUUAUUGCAAAAUAUAGACAAAACUCAUGCUUGGUCGAACGUUUUUAUUGUUAAUAGAUUAUUGUAAGUUGACUAUAAACUUGGUUGAUAUUCAGUAUUCGACGUAAUGUCUUGGCCGGAUGCGGUUAUUCCAUUGCAUCAAUUAAUUGUACGGUUGAAUACCAUGAUUGUUUUGCCUUAAAACAUUUUCUAAUUUCUUUCUUGGACGUUCUUCAAUAUUGAGAAAUAUAUUUAAUUUUCUCCGAUUUUUUUUUUUCUUUCAUAGUGACAUAAUCCAAAAAUUUAAGGGUCCAUUUGAUUACAAUUCAAAAAUAAUUUAAACAAAUAUAAUCUCAAAAUUUGUGUUGAAGUUUUAAUGUGUUUACUUUUUAUUAUUUAGCCUGACAGCACUCAAUUCCCUCUCCACCUGUGUGAACGGAAUUUAACUCCUAAAUCUCUUGUUUCAAGAAACUAAAAGAGAUUUUAUUAUCUUAACUAAAUGGUAACUACAAGCUUUAAUGUCUUUAUAUAAUAUUUAAAACAAACAAUUUCAACAACUGAAACAUGUUUAACAAAAUUUCUAAUUAAUAAAAAAUAAAAAUACUUGUUUAGGUGGUGUGAUUUCAAAGGUAAUAUUUACUUAAGCAUUUACAAUUUUAUUUUCCUUUCAGCUAAUUACAUUAUAUCAAGCAGUAACUUGACCAAAAUAAGCAUAAAACAAGCUUCAUCAAGAUUCAAUAUUGAUUAUAUUCUGUUAGCUUCUAUUCUGUUACAUUAUACCUGUUAGGCUUGCCACCAAAUAAAAGCUGGCGCAGUUGUGUGUCACUUUGCACGUUCAUCUACUUAGCAUCAGGACAAUGCUUAGAUGCCCAUUUUCGGAACCUGUUAACGGCAGCUUCUUGCUCUGCUCUGGCCACCUUCUCAAUCUCAGAAAGAUAUUCCCGAUCAACCAACAUCCCCUCAGUUUCCAUUUUAACUAGAAUCUCACCGAAUGGUUGCCAGUAUUCCGGAUAAAAGUCAAACAUGGAUUUUCCUGGAACUGGUUUCCCAUCAAGUUUCCAUGACAUUUCUAAAAGUAUUUUUUUUCAAGCUCUUACAAAGCUUCAGUGUGUUUAUUGAAUCAAAGGCAGAAUAAGAGAUCCACAAUUCUCGCUCCUCUCUUUGAAGCUCUUCAACAGGAGCAAUGGUGCUUAUUUUGCCAGCAGAUCCAUCCUUUUUCAACUUUCUCCUGCCAAAGAUAUCUUUCAUUGAUAUUUUGCCCAUGAAACCCUCAUCUGUGUUGUCCUUAGACAUGUCUUUCUGAUAAGCUUUCUUAUCCUCAGACAUGACUUUCCGAUCACCUGUAAGUGCUUCAGACUGUAACCACCCUCUGUGUGUCUCGAUGAAUCCCAAAGCUGUGCCAUAUGCAUUGUGUCAGCAUGAAAACCAGAAACCUUCAGCCCAUAGUUCUCAAGGACAUGGUUAUCAGAGCUAUAGUUAUGCCAAACCUACACAAAUGAUAGCUGUUAAUAUAAGAUCAUAUGAAAAAGCAGACGACAUAAUUUUUUUUUCUUUUUUUGUGAUCCAAGUAAACUAAUACGGAGUAAAGCAGUUUGUUUAGCUAAGUAAAGGAAAUUGGAUCAGUUACGUCUAUAGAAGGUGGAAACAGCUAGAAAUCCACCAUAAAAAGAGAGAGAGAGAGAGAGAGAGCACAGAGAGAGGAAACAGCUCUGCAACUGAGCAGAGUAUUUCCUUUCUUUGAUCGGCGUACAACAUAUUUUCCUCAACUAACAUAAAUAGCUAUCUAAGGGGGAAAUUGGAGUUUUAGGUUUCAUCAAAUCUAUGAACUGUACCACACGGGUAGGAGAACAUAGCAUAGAUGUAAGGGUAAACUUGUAACCCAGUAGACAGCAAUGGGAACCCUAGCUUAAAUUGGAAAAGAGCAACAAAACUUGAAAAAAUGCACAGCGUAGGCAGUCACCGUAAAUCUUAAACCUGUCACUGCAAAGCAAUGACAAUAAGACUCCAUCUAAUUAAACCAUAAUAUGUGAAAAAUCAGUUAUCCAGAAAUUUACUAAAGCGCAUAACCAGCUGCAAGUCCAAUGCUUGAACCGUGCACCAAUCACAUAAUGACUGGUGCAGAUUAUCAAAGAAAUAUCCGCCAAUCCAUUUCUCCCUACUGCUAACCAGAUGAUAAUUAUUCUAAUUAAAAAAAAGCGUGCAUAUGAAAAGGACUAUAAACAAGAAAAAGACGUGGUGAAGGGGGAGGAAGGGCUCACCUUUUUGAUGGAUGGAUCCUCAAAAAAUGGAGCAAAUUCAUUCAAAAGGUCCCUGCCACCACCGUCAAGAAGAUCAACCCAGAUGCAGGACUUCCCAUUUCCAAAAUCUGCUUCUGGUCCAGAAUAAAUACUGAAGCAUAUCACUUCUCCAUGAUCAACAGGUGUCUCUUGCUUCACAUCAAUUUUGGCCACCUAUAAACAUGCUAUAAUUAGAUUCCUGUAUGCACAAAACUAGGGUAUCUACAUUGAGUAAAAUGUGUGCUUGUAUACAGGAAGACAUGCAAGGUAGAAGUAAAAAAGAAGGCAACUAAGUACAUCACUCAUUACCUGCCGGCAAAAAAAAAAAAAAAAAAGUACCAAUUUCAACUAGAAGAAGAAAAGAACAAAGUACCUCAGUAUCACAUGCAUGGACAAGAUGCUUAUAUUUGUUUGUAAGCAUCCAUACAACCUUCUUUGCGGCAGAAACAUUAUCGACAACCAUAACAUUGCUGUAGAAGCUAGCAAGUUUACUGCGAAGAAUCUCGAGUUUUUCACUAUUUUCAUUUUCUGAAGCCUUUAUGUUCUGGCCAGUACCUUCUGCAGCAUCAUUCUUAGGAUUCUUUUGAUUACUUCGCUUAGAACUAACUAGUUUUGGAGGAGGUGAAUAGGAACUACCAUCUUCAAAGCACUCAAUCUCUGAGUUCCUGAAAUCUGACAAGUUGGGAGCUGUCAAAACAGUGGCUCCUUUUCUCUCUUGAUAUUCUGCAACUUCCUUUUCAUAUCGCAAGCACUCCAUAUUAGUCUUCUUGUCUAAGGGUAUUUGAUCAUUCACAAAGUCUUUGCUUUUUUCUUCACUGCCAGUAACUUCUUGUUUAAUAACAGCCAUCACAGAUCCAGGAUGAUUCGUAGGAUGACCACCUACUGCACCAUUUCAGAAAUCUGCCAGUCCCUAACAAUGGGCUUCUUCUGCUGCUUAAAUUUCUGAAAAUAAUGUUGCUUAGAACUCGUGAUUGAAGACUAGAAACUACUGUCUUGCAAGCACUCAGUCUUUGAUGAAGUAAGUGAUCUGUCAUGCUUGGAUUCCAGUAUGUUGAUAACAGUGGAAAUGGCAGCUCUUUUUCUCUCUUGAGCUUUUGCAUCUUCCUUCUCAUCUCUCGAGCUCUCUGUAUUUGUCUGACAAGAUUCUGAUUCUUUCAUUACAUGCAGUCUGGUCGUUUCUGUCAUCCACCCUCUCAAACUGCGGACAGUAUUUUUUGCAGAAAAUGUUUCAUUACUGGAAAUAGAAGGAUUAGGACGAUAGUAGGAUGCAACCUCCAGAAAUUGAUUUUUGUAAAGUUUUUCUUCUCUUUUUUCAUCUGUUUUUGGCAGAUCAAAAGUUCCUUUUGAGGAGUACUUUCCUUCAAAACUGUUGAGAUCUUGGCAGAAAGGGACCAUCUUAGCUGGCGCAGCACCCACCGAAAGUCUAUAAGCAUAUUUUUUAAUGGGAAAUCUCCUAGCAUUGUUAAAAGAACUAUAAAAUCGGGGAAAACUACUCGAUAUCAUAAUGUUGGGAAAGGUAGUGUUGGUUACGCAGCCUUCUUUCCUGAAAUUUUUUUCAAUGGAAACAAUAUCAAAGGCAGCAGAAGGUAAAGCAACCAUGAUAAUAUACAACUUGCUGCAUGCCAAGUAAGAAAGGCGGAACAUCUCAAACAGCACCAAUAAGAAUUUAGCACCAUAUGCACAGCUCAAACCCACUGAACACUGAACAUCAGUACAGGAUGACAUUCGAGACAUAACAUAUCAUACAUAAUCACACAUAGCAUCGAUAUGACAAACCGAAACCCAGUUAACAGAAAUAAAAUGUGGGUGUUACAUAAUCUUCAAAAGUCAAAACCCAGAUGGCAAAAGCUAUGCACGCAAAAAUACAAUCUUUUUAACCUCUCCAAUUCAACAAAGCAAAACUGUAAGUGGGUAUCAAAUAACCCUAAAAAGUCAGAAUGAAAAAGCAAUAAACAGCACAAAAACACAACAAAUAAUUUCAUAACAUAACAAAUGAGAGCCAAAAAUAUAUAUGUAAAAAAAUUGAACCGAACCUUUUAAAAGAAGUGAGAGAGACAUGAGGAGAGGAGCAAGGAGUCCACUUUCUGGUGGUGAGAUUCGGGGAGACUCCCAUGACCGUUAUCAAGUUCGUAACUUUUGUUCUGCUAAACAGCAGCUUGUUGCCAGUGGUGGUUGUGCUUGUAAGAGCCGUUUUGAAGGGUUUAAGAGGGGGCAGAACGGUAAUAAAGGUGGGAUUCUGAGGGUGGGGUUUAAGAGUAUGGCGGUUCUGUGUCUGUUUCUGUAGCUGAAAUACGGAGUGUGGCCAUCAACAAUCUCAACUCAGCACUGGCGCCCUUUAUUAUUAUUAUUAUUAUUAUUAUUAUUAUUUAUUCUUAUUUUUAUUUUAUUUUUUAUUUUUUUUUACUUUUGGGUAAUUUUUCAAAAUCUCCCUUCAGGUAUGGUGAAUUUCCAAGUAGAUGACGAGAAUUGUUUAUUUUUGAAAACCCUCUACAAAAUUUUGAAGUUUGACUUUUGUUAACUGGUUGAGUAAAAUCAUAAAACUACUUGACAAAGUGAAAUACUCAAGCUUUACGUGUGUAAUCAUUCAUAAUUAUAGAUAAUUUACUAUUUAUUUGAGAUUAAGGUUUAACUUAAAUUUUCGGAUUCCUAGUAUAGUAUUAUAGAAUUCAUAAUAAACACCAAACCAAAUCUAGCACUUCAACACUUUCUCUCAUAAUUCAUUUAUAAAAACUAUUAAAUAAAUAGACUAAUCACAUCGCCUUGCUCUUUCUUGACAAUAUCUAAGUCAAAAACUACCACAUUUGAGGUAAAAUUAAAACAAAAAAAAUCUAAAAACAAAAAAUAAAGAAAUUUAAUGUUUCUAAUUUUCUCAUUAAAUUAAAUGUAACGGUAAAUCAAUAAAUAAAGAGUGGCUAGUUAAAAAAGACUAUCAAUUUUGUUAAACACAUUUUGAUUGCAAAAGGCACUAUUUGUACACAAACCAUUUUUGGAUUUGGUUGUUUUAGUGGCUCUAAAGAAAUUAAUUGCCUUUUCAGUAUGACUUGUUUAAUAAACAUAAGUAUUUAUUUAUUUAAUUUAAUGAGCUCUUUUCAAAUUUAUUGUUGUUGUUUAAAUUUUUUGGUAGAACUUCUAAAGGCUAAAUAAGUUAUUUUACUUUUAUCUGCAAAAGUUCAAAUUUUGAGUAGAAGUUAAAAAGUUUUUUUUUAAUUAUUAAAAUAUUAAAAUUAUCCUUUAUUUAUUUGAGAAUCUUAUUCAUUCAUUUCACAAUAUAACUUUAAAAUAAUUUUAUAACUUUUACUAAAUGCUCUUAUUGACAACUAAAUAAUUAAAAAAAAUUAGAAAAAUCUCUACUUACAAAAGUUUUACUGACAAUAAUUCUACUCAAACAAAUUUUAUUUGAAAAGUUAUAUCUAAUAGAGAUUAAAAGUAUCAUGAUCAUUUGUUAUUAUGUAUUGGUACGAGUUUUUUUCUUUUAUUUUUAUUUUUUCCCAAAAUUUUUUUAUAUGAACUUUUACAAAGAUUUCCCUCUGAAAUUGAGUAUAUAUUUGUAGGUAAGUCAGGCCUUGAUUGUAUCUAAGGGCGUUGUGAUGCUUUCUCAGUUAAGAGAUGAUCAACAAAAAAUUUAACAAAUGAUGAGAGGAUUAUAAUCAAUAAAAUGACUUUUCCAUCUAAUUGCAAAUAGAUUAUACCUCAGGGGAGAUUACGAAAACGUACGCACAAGAGAACAAACAUUGUAUACAGUGACUGAUGUUGACUUUGCCACGUGGGUACUUGUGAUGUGUGGCUCUGUAGUUGUCAGAUUUCUGUCAAUUUUUUAAAAUUUUUAUAAUAAAUCCCACUUUUUAACCCAAAAAAAAUAUUUAUGCGGCGUUUACUAAAUUGAAAUCGGAAUGAAUUGAAAUUGAAAUAAGUAGAAAUAAGAAUGUUGUAGAAUUAGAAUAGAGAAUGAGAAUUAAAAUAAGUUGUUUAUCUCAACUAUAAGAAUCUGAAUCGAAAUCAGAAUGAGUUAGAUUUGUAUUAAUGUGUUUACUUUAUCUUGUAAUCGGAAUCAGAAUAAAUUAAAUUGUUAUAAAUUACUAAAAAGUCGUUAAUAAUAAUGACAAUAAUAUUCAUUAAAAAAUAAAUAACAAUAACAAUAAUUAAUAAAAAUAAAAAUAAUAAAUUUAAUAUAAUCUAAUAGUAAUAACAACAUUUAAAUAUUAUAAAAUAAUAAAUAAAAUUAAUAAAUUUUAAUAAAAUAAUAAUAAUGGCAUUAUUAUUAUUAUUGUUAUUAUUAUUAUUAUUAUUACAACAACAACAGCAGCAGCACCACCAGCAGCAACAAUAACAACAACAACAACAACAACAAUAAUAAUAAUAAAUGACCUACUUGAGGGCAAUAUUAGAGUAAGCUUUUAUAUGCAAAACCAUUUCACAAUGUUGUAGACUCAUUUACAAUAUUAUAAAAAUUCAUAUUGCACUUUAAUAAAGUGUGAGAUCUCUCAUUAAAAAUGAACUAUAUAGAUAUAUAGGGUAGUAAUAUAGUUUAGAAUCUUGAAUCUUAUUAAAGUUUGAAAAAACUAUCAUGUCAAUCUUGACAAAAAUAAUGGUUUCCCUUGAAAGCCAUUCCAUAAAGAUCGCCUUUUCGUUUUCCACAUGUUAUCCAUAUGAUCUAUCUCUAGCGUUAUCCUCACCUCAUCCGUAUGAUCCAUUUCUCUUUCUUUCACUCACUUGUAUAUAUAAUUGAUACACAGAACAAGCUGUAUGUAGAUGUUCUUUGGUAUCCUUAAUUUUAAGGUAAAUGCCAAGUUACUUUUAACUAUAUUUUAUGCCACACAUACAAAUCAUGCAGAUCACACUAAUAUGUUACUGUCAUUGUGUGUGGCAUAAGUUACAGUUGAAUAUAACUUAGGGGGUCCUAAUUUUAAUUGUCUUUGUCUUAGUAUCAUAAGGUCCAUUCGAUGCAUCCUUCUACAAGUUCAAAGCGACGUUGGCACAAUUAUAAGAAUAAGAGUAAUGGUAAAGUUAAUCUAUCGAUGGCGUCAGGAAAAAGAAUAGAAUAAAUUAUUUAAUUUCUAACAGCUUAAUUUUGUCUCUCCGCGAAUAUAAUAAUCACAUUUAUUCUACUACUUUUGUCUCCAUUGCUUAAUUUAUCCGCGAAUAUGAUAGUCACACGUUUUUAAAGUAAAGGCGAUUUUGGAAGAAGCCUGUACGGUUUGGGAAGAGGAUACUUCAAGGCCCUGGGCACAACCAUACAUAAUAUAGAAAUUACACUUGAAAAAGGAUGAAUAAUUAAUUAAAGCAGCUGGUGCUUGCUACAACUGAUUGUAAAAGAGAGAAAAUCCGCCGCAUUACCUUCUGAGGAGGUCUCCUUGAUAUCCAAAAACGUGCUGUGCCUAGGCCCAAAGCCUUUUGCUAUUUUACCGAUUACUGCCCGUUGCAGGCCAAUUCUUGGUCGCUCUCAUAAAUAAGGUUUUGUCUGGCCGCCACAGUCAUUAAAACAUGAGUGAAAAUAAAUGGGAAAUUAUCAAUUUCUCGUUUGAUUGGUGAAAAUGCAAAAAUAGUUGAAAAUUUUAAAACUUCUCAUUUUUCUUUUCUUUUCCACUAGAAAAAAUAUGGGAUCUGACAGAGAAUUAGGUGUUGAUUGAUAUGAUCUAUUGUUAAAAAAAAGUUAUAAUUAUAAAAUAAAAUUGUUCGAUAAAUAUAGUUUAAAAAUAAUAAAUUUAAUAAAAUAGUAAAGAUUUAUAGGUUUUAUCGUAUAGAUGUAAAAUUAAAUCAAACUUAACUUUCAAAUUAGAACAACAAGUAUUUACCAAAUACUGUUAAAUAUGUAGCUUAAAAACUACCACUACUCAACCACAAUAACACAAUGCCUUGAUCUAAGUUAAUCCCAACAAACUUCCAAUUGUAACUAAAUAAAAAAAAUCAUAUUAGAAGUAAAAAAAUCAACAUCUAUUUUUUAUUGAUUUUUUUUUCAAAUAUCAUGUUAUAUGAACAAAACACAUGCCUGACUUCUUUUUUUCAAUUAAACCUUGACCAGUAAGGCAAUUUAUUAAAUUAAAAAGCAGGGAACACUUAUGUAGGGGAUAUAAUAAACUAUAUCCUGAAAAAUAAUUAAAAACCUGAAACAGUGGGAUCAAGAUCCUCUUCUGAUCUGAUCUUGAUUUGAGCAAAUUGUAUUAAUGUGAUUGGUGUUUAAUAAAUUCAAAAGAAAAAACAGUUAAAUCCUAAUUAUUCACUAACAUUAAAAGACAGAUAACACAAGAUCUGUAAAACAUCAGCAGUGCUCAGAUCAAAAGAAGAUCCUAAUCCGAAACAGUGAGCCCUGACCAAUUUUUUGGUUUACCAGAUAACCAAAAAAAAUGAAAAAUAAAAAACCAUUUCUCCGUUAGCGUUAUUAUGAGAGACGAACUUGGAAGCCUCUGGAAGUUCAGAGUCCCAGCAAGUGAAAGGACCAGCUUAGGCCCGAAUGAGCUUUGCUGCCGCCACACACACACAGGCCACAGCCUCUGGAAAGAUGUAGCUAAUACGAAAAUUCAUUUGACUCACUAGAUGACAACAAUUAAACACGUGCUUGAUCGAAUGCGCGUGUGAACGGAGUUUUAAAUCACCAAGGUCUUUAACCAACAAUUAACACUUGUUGUUAAUCAAUAGAUUUGUGCUUUUGACACCCCUCUAAAGUUAAUCAGGAAUGCUCAGAUCAUAAGAAGAUCCUAAUCCAUUUAAAAUACAUCUUACAAUUAGAAGCUUUGAAAAUUAUGAUACUUUAAUUUAAUUCCCAAUCAACCCUUGAUAAAUAUUUCUACAUCUCUAAAAGACCUAUCUACUUCCUAAUGUCUAUUGUAAUUAAAUGAUGAGGGCUGGUUUUGUUUUAUUUCUAUUUUCAGUAUCGCUUAGAGAAGGUCGAUGACCUGUUUGAUUUUCAUUUUAGUUGUGAAGCUAAAAGACCUAAGUCAUCUUCAAUUAAAUAUUCUUUUUUUUUUUAAAUGUUCUUUUAUCUCUCUUUUUCUAAAACCUAAGUCAUUAAAAAAAAAACUGUAAAAUUUCACCCAAUUUAGCCGAAAAAUUGCCAUUCUUACUGUACUGAUAAUUGAGGAGUGAACAACUUGCGUCUAUCAGCGGGAUUGCGGGAAAAAGAAAACCUAGAAAGUGAGUUUGCUCUUGAAGAGUUGUAAGUUUCUUCAAGGGUUACUUGUUGAAUAAAUGUCAGAUAAUUGUAAGCACCGAAAUUUAAAAACUCUUUUAAAUGGAUUUAUUUAGAAAAAGGGUUCAUAAGAGUUUUGCUGUUUUGGAGGGGGUGCUAACAGCUCGACUCCAUUCAAUAUUCGACGUUAUGUCUUGGCCGGAUGCGAUGAUUCAUUGAUUCCAUUGCAUCAAUCAAUUGUGCUAUUUUGCCUUAAAGCAAUUUCUAAUUUCUUUCUUGAAUGUUCUACAACAUUCUGACAUACAUCAAUUUAUGCUUAAUUUUUUAUUUCAUAAUCCAAAAUUUAAGGGUUCAUUUGAUUUACGAUUCAAAAAUAAUUUUUAAAAAUAAAAAAUGAAUUUAAAAAUGUGUUGAAGGUUUUAAUGUGUUCAUUUUUCUUUAUUAUUUAUAUUAAUGGCAACCUAAUCAUCUCUCCACCUAUGUGAGAGAGGUUCGAAUCGUAAACCCCUUUUUUCAAGAAAAGGGAUUCUACCAACCUAAAUAAAUGAUGCAAAUUUUAACAAGUUUAUAUAAUAUCCAAAAAUGAUAAUUUGAACAACUGAAACACGUUUAACGUAAUUUCUAAUUAAAAAAAAGAAAAAAACAUGUUUAGUUGUUGUGAUUUUAAAGGUAAUUCUUAAUGAAGUAUUAAGUUUCAUAAAAUUACAGUCUUGUUUUCCUUUUAGAUAAUUGCAUUACAUCAAGGAGUAUCUUAGAACAAAAUAAAAAUGAAACAAGCUUCGUCAAGAUUUCAAUAUUUAUUAUCUUUAGCUUAGCUUCUAUUCUGUUAUGUUAAACUAAAAAAAGUAAUUAAGUUAAUGGUAUGGAGACUGAUUUACACAACACAAAUUGCCAACAACGUAUACUUUAAUUUGUAGUUAACAUGGAAAAUAUAUACUUCGAAACGGUAUGAUUACAAUAUUCAUUACCAUCAUGCCUCUUCUAGCUGUAUUUUAUGUGUGCCUACGUAGUGUACGGUCCAUCAUGUGCAAAUUUUAUCAAUUUGAAUCCAGCGGCUCCUGAUAAGAGACACUGCAUUCCAAUAAAAUAUGAAUCAUUGCUCACUUCAUAUAUGUGUAUGUGUGUGUUUGUGUCAAGAAUCACUGCUAAUAUAACAUGUGCAUUGGAAGAAAUCAUUAUCAUUAUGGAUUACAUAAUUUGGUAGUAAAUGAAUUCAUGAUUUAUGAUUAUUUUUUUAUUAUCAUAGUUCAUAAGAUGAUGAAUCCGUGAUUUAUGAUGACUUUUAAUAUAUUUAAUUAAUUUUCUUUUUAAGAUAGAGGGGUGUGCAAAGCCCAAGACAAACAUAAAUGAUGAUUGAUUUCUUACUUUUAUGUUACUGAAUCUUUUGUAUAAGUUGGACCUUGAAGCCAUGUUAGACCUUGAAGCCAUUUAAUAGCAACAAGAAGACAGUGAAUUCAAUUGUUUUUUAAAUUCGCCGGAUGAAACUGAAUUUUCCUUUUCUUUCUUGAUGAAUAAUAAUUUGGACAUCGACUUUUAUUCUGAUCUAAAUUUUUAUCAGCGCAUGUACAUGUUCGCGUCAGUUGUCAACAUAAUGCAAUCAACUUAACUGACUAUAAUGAGUAACAAUUAAAUGUAUUACACACAGUACGUUAAUAUUAUUUGUCACACCAAACCCAUCUUUUACAUGACAUGAUACAACACACCCAGAGGAAAAACUAUUGUAAGAACAAGUAAAAUAACUAUCAUGAAUUAGAGCUAAAAUACAUAUAAAGAUUGUCAUCGUAUCAUGCAUAAAACUUAGAUAUAAUGCGUCUACUUCUUCUUCUUCUUCUUCUUCUUCCAAGGAAGCUUAUUCAUAAAUUCCAAGUAAUAGACCUUCCCACCAACCAAAAAAUCGGCACAGUAAGGAAACUCCAUGAGUGCUAAAACAAUCACUGGAAAGAUAGCAGCAGCAUAGAGAGCGGCGGUCCAUUUCUUCUCCAUACGAAUGAUGAGCAGAAGUGAAGCCGAGAAAGUAAUCAUGCUUGUUAGUACAGAAAAGAAGAGCAAAGUGAAGCCAACCAGCAACUUGCGCGGAAGUUCUCUAAGGAAAUCAGAUGACUCACGUGGCGACGUGAGGAUAGAUAGGAACAUAACAACGGAUGACAAUGAUAAGGCCAAGGAGGCAACGUCCAUUACGGUAAAAACGUAGAAAAGUGGUGACUUAAGGAAAUGGGGAAACCCCUUAUCAUUGUUACCUCCAGGUAUCGUGAAGGCAGCUGUAAAGACGACGGUUGCGAUUAGGAUUGCCAGCACGGAGCAUGCCUGAGAGGUUUCUUUGAUCCAUUCUUGUGCUUUCCCAAGUUGAUCUUCAUGUGUUAUAUUGAAGAGGUCCCUUGCAGUCAUCUUAUUGUUUUCAUCGCGGUGCAUGGCAUAAUGGCGAGGCAUUAUCUCUUUUACACUCUGCAUUAUACACACACGUUAAAUAGGGACGGAGUCCUACAUACGCAUAGCCACAUGUGUAGUCAUUAUCUCUGUAACAUUUUAAAAUAUAGAUUCAAGGAUUUACUCAAUUGUAAAAAACUUCCAAGAGGGUUGUAAAAGGUUUACACAAUUAAAGAAAAAAAAGUGUUUUAUAAAAUCAUGAAAUGGUGAAUCACUUGAGAAUGAAUAUACAUAUACAUCCAUACAUACGUGUGUGUAUAUAUAUAUAGGGAGAGAGAGAGAGAGAGAGAGAGAAGGGGGGAGAGAGUGAACUAAUUUGGUCCAAGAUCUAGGAUUUUAUUAAAGUCUAAGAAAACUAAUAAAUCACAUAGUGGGAGAGAAGGGGAGAGAGAGCGCGUGGACAAGCUGAUAUUUAAUAAUAGAUCUCUUAAGUUAUUAAAAUAAAGGAUAAACUAAAUGACAAGUAAAAGUGCAAUGUAUUUUAUCCAUUAAUAUAUUAAUGUGUGUUGUUCUUGUCUUUUAAUUUAUCUCUUAUUUGGUAACCUAAAGAAAUUCUUCAUUGAAAAAAAAUAUUAUAUAUAUAUAUAUAUGAAGAUACUUAGGUAUGGCGGCUACACAAAUUUUUGUGUGGAUUUUAGGCUUCACAACCAUAUGAAAGCUUUCCACAUUAUUAUAAAAAAUAUUUUACACUGUCCUAAAAUCCUAAAUCUGCAUGAAAAUUUAUGUGCACAAUGGUUUUAUAUAUAUAAGGCCGAAUAAUUACAUUUUAUGGGACAAAAUUAAAUAUUAUCAAAGGGCUUACCUCGAACAAUUGUAACUCCUCCUGAAAUUGGAGAACAGGGCCAGGGCGGGUUCCUUCUUUAUAAUGUUUCAUGUCUGCAACAUGGUGCAAUAAUGUGUAGCCUUUCUUGUCAAUUCUUGAAGCCCAUUUGGGCACAGACAGUCGCAUUUCCUUCGUGAUGAGUUCAAAGACUUUAUAUUGACGACGCUUUACGGCCACAUGUAAUAUAUUCUGCUCUUUCUCAUUCAAGUUAUCUAACAAUAUUGCUUGAGGAUGUUGAUGGAUUAUCUCCUUCAAAAUCUCUGUUAUUCCAUUGCUUGCUGCAAAGAGUAAUGUCAACCUGAACGCCCAAUUCUUAUCCUUUUUAUAAUUAUGAACUGCUUUAUUAGUGCAAUCUUUCUUCACAAACAAUUCGACCAAUUCUCCAGCUGAAAAAUCAACAAAUUUUUUUGCCUUGAUCAUAUUUCCUUUGUUAGUGCAAUCUUUCUUCAGCAGCAAUUCGUCCAAUUCUCCUGCUGAAAAAUCAACAAGUUUUUUUGCCUUGAGCAUAUUUCCUUUGCCUAAUCCUAAGGAAAUUGUGGAAAUAUUAGCUGGCGAAGUUGUGGAACUUUCUGGGUCCGGCGAGAAAAUUUCUGGGUUCUGCUCUCCAUCCCCAAGACAAGGGGUUUCUUUAACGAGCAUUUUGAGCAGUUUAUCCGCAUUUCUAUGCAUUUGCUUUUUCAUCCAGAUUUUCUUUAUACCGGGACAUCCUGGUCAUGCAUGCAUCAACACCUUGUUAAUUUAUAAACAAAAUUUCGCGCGGCAAGUACGGCAAAUCCAUUCAUCAACUGAAUGAAUUGAUCAAGUUAUGUUACAUUUCCCCUGUUCCUUGUGUAAUUCAUAUAUGUAGAAGUAAUUAAUAAAAUUAUUAUUGAUCGCACCUUCAAUCACUUGCCUCCAAAUGCCAGUGUACAUCUUCCAAAUUGGAAUUCCUGCAUUUGGAUUAACUACUCAGCCGCAGUAUUACAACUAUAUGUAUUAUACGAUAUGAAAAAUUAAUGCUACCACAUAAAAAAGGAAACCGCUCGGAUCAAUUAAAAAGUUUUUUUUUUUUUUUGGGGGGGGGGGGGGGGGGAAUAAAAUACCGCACGUCUAUGUAUCAAUUGGUAGUUAAGGUCCUUUUCAUAAGAAUUUCUACAAGUCCAUAGAAAUUAAAGAAAAAAAGAACUUCAUCUUUUCCCCGUAUUAUUUAAGGUAUUUCACACUUCUCCCCUUAGUAUUUUCAAAAUUUGCAUACUGUUAUUGCGUCUAGAGGAUUCCACUUCACUGUAACGAUUCUUCAUUUAUAUCUAGUAUACUUUUGAGUUACACCCAAAAAAGAAAAAAAGAAAAAAUCGACGUCUAAAAAGAAAAACUAACUUUUAGUCUAAAAAGAAAAAACUAACUUCUAUAUUAUAUUAUCUAUUACUUAUUUAGUUCUCAAAACUAAUAUUCUGUUUGGCUUCUAAGAGACAAUUGCUCUAAAAUGAAAGUUUUAGUUAUUAAUGGAAAAUUCGUGGGUGUUUGGUAAAGCUAAACCACUGGAUGUCAUAAAAGUUCCUUUUUUUUUUUAUUCUCAUUUUGGAGUAAACUUAUCAAUAAAUAAUUGUGAAAAAUAACCAAUUUAAAAGGCUAACUGGGAAAGCGUUUACAAAUAUUAUGACUUGUAAUCGCAGCUAAAGCUGUUUGUUCGGAUUUUCAUUUUUCAAUUUAUAGAGUUAUAAUGAUUAAUGAAACCACUAUAUGAUGAUUAUGGACAAAUUAAAGCUGCUUCAACACUACCUCUCAUCCGCUUUCUGCAGGCGACGCAAUUGUCAAUUUCACCAGUCUCCAAAUCUUCUUUGUUAUUGCGGUCAACGUAAUCGUCAUCAUCAUACGUUGGAAGACCUGCAAUUAGAAAUUGCAAUUGUAACGGCAUGCACCGAAGUCAACUGGACUAUAUAUCCCCUUAGAGAUGGAACUAUAUCUAUGUGUAUAUAUAAUUAAUAUAUAAAAAAUGCUAAAGAAAUUGAAGGCUGCUAGAAUGUUGACAGGGAUAACGGUAUAUCAAGUCGGGCUUACUACAUGGUAAUCUCGGCCAGAUGUACCCUUGUUUUUGUUGAAUUGUUCUUUGUUAAUAGUAAUGUUCCAAUGAAAGAUCUCCAAAUAGCAGUGUCUGUACGUAUUCAUGCAAGCAGAUUCAUUAAUUAGUUAAUUAAGAAGAUAAAUUAAUAAAUUUUUUAAAACUUUAAUUUAACACUUGAUCUGUUAUGAAUGGAUGAGAGAUUUAUUAAUUAAUUACUACAUAUUACCGAAGUGUUGGCCAAGGACAGCCAUAUGAAGAACGGUCUUGUCAUCAUUUCCAUAGAAAUGGUGACGUAAGUCGCCAACUUGCUCAGUCAAGAUUUGCAACACUUUAGUUUUCCCAAGAGCAGCAGCCCUGUUGUGAGAGUUUGUAAUAUAAUGUGUUUGGUUAACAGGAAAGUUAACGAGAAAAUGAAGAAGAAGAGAUAAGAAGAAUCUAGAGUUUAUUGGAUCUAAUUACACUUUUCAAUAAUGAUCUAAGCUUUGUUUUUAUACAAAGAUCAAUUCACAUACUCAAGUCUGUUAUAACAAAUACACGUGCUUAACAAACUUGUUAACAGUAAUCUGAGUCAGCUAACUAACUUGAACACGUCAGCAGUGGAAUUAUCUUAUGCCCGCAACUCCAUACUCUAAUCAUGCUCUGUAACAUCCCCUCUCAAGCUAAACUUUCCAGGAUGAACGUUUAGCUUGCUUCGAAGGUAAUGAAACUGAUCAAAAGUUAAUGGCUUGGUAAGUAUGUCUGCAGUUUGAUCUUCACUAGGAACGAAUUGCACAACUAUCUUCUUUGCUGCUACUUUCUCCCUGAUGAAAUGAAUAUCCAGUUCCACAUGCUUGGUUUUAGCAUGAUACACUGGAUUGUAAGCUAAGGCUAUAGCACCUUGAUUAUCACACCACAUUAUAGGAGCUGCGGCAAGCUUGAUUUUGAGUUCAUCAAGCAGUGCUUGAAUCCAUACAGCUUCAGAUGUGGCCUGAGCUAAAGCUCUAUACUCAGCUUCAGUACUGGACCUUGAUACCACUGGUUGCUUCUUAGAACACCAGGAAACUAAGUUUGAGCCAAUGUAAACUGCAUACCCAGCAACUGAUUUUCUAUCAUCUUUAUCACACGCCCAGUCUGAGUCACUGAAGCAAUUCAUUUGUAAAGUUCCAAAAUGAUAAAAAUGCAGACCAAAAUGAAUUGAGCCCUUCAAAUAUCUGAGAAGUCUCUUACAAGCUUCCCAAUGUUCUGAAGUUGGUGAAGACAAAUAUUGACUAAGUUUAUUAACAGAGAAAGCUAUCUCAGGCCUUGUAAGUGUCACAUAUUGCAAAGCUCCAAUUAUGCUUCUAUACUGAGAUGCAUUAGUAAUGGUUGAACCUGAUCCUUUUCUGAGCUGAUGUCCAGUAGACAUAGGAGUAGGAACAGGGCUACAAUCUGCCAUAUUAUGCUUAGCUAAGAGAUCAGCUAUAUACUUUGCUUGAGAGAGAUAGAAUCCAUUUGAAGUUUUUGAGACUUCAAUCCCAAGAAAAUAAUUCAACUCUCCUAAGUCCUUCAAAGCAAAAGUUUUCUGCAUAUUAAGAAUCACUUGCUGCACCAGCUGAUAACUAGAACCAGUAACAAUGAUAUCAUCCACAUAUACAAGCACAAGCAAAAUAUGACCAUUUUCCCACUUAUAGAAGAGUGAACUAUCAGACUUAGAGUUGAGGAACCUCCAUUGAGAUACCAUAGCAGAUUUGAACCUGUCAAACCAUGCUCUGGGGGCCUGUUUUAAUCCAUAGAUUGCCUUCUUGAGUUUACAGACAUGAGUAGGUCUGGUGGAAUCAGUAAACCCUGCAGGCUGGGCCAUAUAAACAUUUUCAACCAAAAUACCAUUUAAGAAGGCAUUAUUGAUAUUAACCUGUCUUAGAAUCCACUUAUUCAUAACAGCUAAGCUUAAAACUAUUCUGACAGUAGAUGCUUUCACAACUGGACUGAAGGUUUCAGUGUAAUCUUCUCCAUGUGUUUGAUGAAAUCCUUUUGCUACAAGCCGUGCUUUGUAUCUAGAAAUGGUACCAUCUGAGUUGUGCUUAAUUCUGAAAACCCACUUACUUCCUAUCACUUUGACAGGAGCUGAAGGUGAAACUAAGUCCCAAGUAUCAUUAUUUUUAAGUGCUUGAUACUCCUCUUGCAUUGCCUUGAACCACUUUGGAUUAGAUAUUGCUUGGGUUAUAGAUGUAGGUUCUGAAGGUGUAGCCAAAAGAUCAGCAAGAUAUGAUUUAGGCUUAAAAAUACCAGCCUUUGAUCUAGUUAUCAUAUGGUGUCCUACUGGAGGAGCAGUAGGUAUGACAUGAGGUGGGGAGUUAAUAUGGCUUGGUAAAGAUAGAUUAUGUGAUUGGUCUGUGGGAGAAGAUAUAGGAGAAGAAGAUAGAGAUGGUGAAGGAGCAUAUACCUCUCUAGGAGCUGGAGAUGAAGUCUCUGAGGAAUCACUUGCUGAUUGAGGUUGCAGAGGAGAUUGUAUUGGAAAAUGAGUAAAAGAAGGAAGAACAGAAGAGACUGUAUUUGAUGAAACACAAGACUGAGAGACAGAAGAAAAAUCUGAACCAGACACAUAUGGAAAGGAAUUUUCAUAAAAAAUGACAUGAUUUGAGAUAUACACUCGACCAGAGGAAUGAAGACACUGAUACCCUUUAUAGUGGCUGCUGUAGCCAAGAAAGACACAUCUUCUUGACCUAAAAGCAAGCUUGUGUUUAUUGUAUGGCCUGAGAUAGGGAAAACAAGCACAACCAAAAAUUCUAAGAAAGUUAUAAUCUGGUGAUUGAGCAAAGAGCUUUUGAUAAGGAGAAAUGUUAUUUAAGGUUGGAGUAGGUAACCUAUUGAUGAGAAAAACAGCCGUGUGAAAAGCAUUCCACCAAAAUUUGAGUGGCAAAUUUGCUUGAGCUAACAAGGUAAGGCCAAUGUCUACAAUAUGCCUAUGCUUUCUCUCUAUUCUACCAUUUUGAUGGUGAAUAUAAGGACAAGGAUGCCUAAACUGAAUUCCAGACUGAGCAAGAUAAGUAGAAAAACUUCUAAACUCCCCUCCCCAAUCUGUUUGCACAGUUUUAAUAUUUUUACUCAAGAACUUUUCAAUGAAACUUCUGAAGGUUUGAAACACUUGUAGUGCAUCAGACUUAGCAGCCAAAGGAAAAAUCCACGUAAACCUACUGAAAUCAUCUAAGAUUGACAGAUAGUAGGAGUAGCCUUGUGUUGAAGUAACAUGUGAGGGACCCCAGAGAUCAGAAUAUAAAAGCUGAAGAGGUUCAGUUGUUUUUGUGGCAACAGAAUCAAAAUGUAACAAAUGACUUUUUCCAAAUUGACAAGCAGAACAAAAAUUCAAGACUUUGGUUUUAUUGAAAAUACCAGCAGUACAACUUUUCAAUACAGUUUUAAGAGUAUGAAAAGCAGGAUGCCCUAGCCUUUUGUGAAGCAAAUUAACAUCUAUUUCACUUGCUCUAGCUAUGAAAGCUUUCUUACAUGAUAGAUGAUGAACUGUAUCAGAACUGUUUAGUGAACCAGAAGGAUUACAAGACAUAGAAGGAAAAUAAGCAAACAUAGACUCAAAUUUAUUGGAAGAAGAUUGACAUAACAAAGCUGUGCUAGCUUGAGAGAAUUGAGAUGCACUUUGAACUUGAUACAAUCCUCCUUUUGCAAUUCCUCUAAGCAAAAUGAUCCCUGAGCUCCUGGCCUUAAUGAAGCAAACAUUUGCAAAGAAUUCAAUAGAAACAUUAUUAUCAGCUAAGAGUUUGGAGACACUGAGUAAAUUUUUGGUUAUUUGAGGAACAUGAAGAACAUGAUUUAGUAAUAAAGAUUCAUAUGUGGUUGUGUUUAGCAAUACUGAUCCAAUGAGAUUAAUAUGCAAGGAGGAACCAUCUCCAACAAGUAGUUUUUCAUUUCCAGUAUAAGCUUUUGGUGCUAGAAGUUUACCUGAAUCAUUAGUGAUGUGAUUGGUAGCACCACUAUCAAUGUACCAGGUAGGAUCUUCAACUAUCUCUGGAGCAGGCACUAAUGGAGCUGAGGAAGAACCACCACUGUUAUAAUCUUCAUUGGAACAAAAAACAGGUGCAGAAGGUGUGAAACCUGAGGAGCUGCCAGGAUGAGCAACAUAAAGUGCAGUGGGAUCUGAGUACAUCACAUAGCCUUGAUAACCAGAACCUCUUGGCAUAUUAGAAUUUCCAAGAUUAGGUUGACCAAACAUAUUGCCAGGCUGAGGAUAAAAACCUCUACCAUAAACUCCAUUAUAAGAUCGACCACCAUUGUUUCCAAAACCUCUUCCAAAAUUCCUUUGACCAGGCCUAAAGUUGCCAUUAAAUGCUCCUCUAGCUUGAUUCUUAGAAGGCACAAAAGCAGAGUUGUACCUGUUUCUGCAUUUAUUUGCUCCAUGCCCAGGUAUAAAACAUAUUUGGCAGAUGAUUGUUGAAUUAAAAUCACUUGUCUAACCCAUACUAUUUCCACCAAAACCAGAGUUAUAAGCACCUCCAUUGUUAUAUUUUUGGUUACCACCAGCAUUUUUCCCAGAAUUAUAUUGCUUCUGAGCUAUAUUAGCUGUCAGAUGAUGUGUAACAUCACUAGCAAUUUUGCCUUUUUUCUGCUCAACUCUAUUUUCAUGACUUAAUAACAAGGAAUAAAAUUCAUCAAGACCUAUGUUGUCACCUCUAGCUAAAACACUAGUAACCAGAGAUUCAUAAUCUGAAGAGUCCAAUCCAGUUAACACAUGUUGAAGAAAGUCAUUCAACUCAACUGGUUUUCCAGCCAAGGCUAAGCUAUCAGAUAACCUUUUCAUUUUAGCAAAGUAAUCAAUCAUAGACAUAGAUCCUUUUUUAAGUGUUUGAAUCUGCAUUUUAAGUGGCAUAAUUCUAGCCUGAGACUGAGAGAUAAACAUACUUGUGAGUGCAUCUAGAAGCUCUUUAGCUGUGGAGCAAUGAAUCACUGUUGCAAGUAAGUUUUGUUGGAUGGACGACAUCAUCCAACUUAGAAUCAAUUGAUCAGUCUUAGUCCAAGCUGUAUAUUCUGGAUUGAUCUCUUGAUCCUCCACUAGAGUUGAUUGACUAGUAAUAGUGCUUGCUGACGAGAGAAACUUUUCUGGACAAAUUCGAUCACCAUUGACAAAGCUUUCUAAACCGUUUCCUUUGAUUGAUGUUAAGAUCUGAGUACGCCAAACAAUGAAAUUAUUCUGAUCUAGUUUGACUGGAGUUGCAAAGCUAUAAGAUCCAGAAAUCUGAUUAGAGCUCAUCAUGUUUGCUCUGAUACCAUGUGAGAGUUUGUAAUAUAAUGUGUUUGGUUAACAGGAAAGUUAACGAGAAAAUGAAGAAGAAGAGAUAAGAAGAAUCUAGAGUUUAUUGGAUCUAAUUACACUUUUCAAUAAUGAUCUAAGCUCUGUUUUUAUACAAAGAUCAAUUCACAUACUCAAGUCUGUUAUAACAAAUACACGUGCUUAACAAACUUGUUAACAGUAAUCUGAGUCAGCUAACUAACUUGAACACGUCAGCAGUGGAAUUAUCUAAUGCCCGCAACUCCAUACUCUAAUCAUGCUCUGUAACACCUGUAAACUGGGGUUUCCCCCAAACCGUUUUUAGCUUCAAGUUGAUUUUUGUACGCAUCACCAGACUUUCUGGAAAAGUCAACCAAAACCCUGGCCACGUCGAAGUUUUUGACGAUGGCCGCUUCGUGAAGACCGGUGUUUCCAAACGCAUCUUUUUGCUUCAAAACUUCGAGUCUGUUCUCCGGUUCUAGCCUUUCGAGCAAUUCCUGGAUCAGCUGAGGGUCUUCCAUGGCCGCUGCAACGUGAAUUGCUGAGUCUCUAUUGACCGUCCUGUAAUCCAACAACUCUGCAGGUGGUUGACGAAAGUAAACCAAGAAACCUUGACGGUCUCCAUUUAAGGCCAUUCCAUAAGGAUCCAUCUUUCUCUCUCUCACUCACACUCUUGAAUAUAUAAGCUUUAAUGCAUCAUUGUUGAAGUUCUAAACGAAGUUAUCAAAUUGGCACAAUCACUUUGCAUUUUAUAUUCAUAGAGCUCAAGCAUAUUAAUUAUAAGAAUAAAAUAUAGGUGAAGUUUAUCUCUUGGGUCAGGCAGAAGAAUAGAAUAUAUUAUUUCCAACAGCUUUGGCGGGUUCUUAUUGCUUUUGCUGCGAAUUUAAUAAUCACAUUUAUUUUACAGCUUCUGCCUCCAUUGCUUUUGAUUUCCGCGAAUAUAAUAAUCACAUUUAUUCUAAAGUGUUAAAAUACCUGAAAAUUUUGACACUUACGAUUUCUCCACCCGAGUUUGUUUUUUAUAAAAAAAAAUCAUCUUUUUUUCGCCUUGACGUUAACGAAGUUGGAAUUUGUUAGGAAAUGCUUGCAAAAUGAAAGUUCUGCUCUUGUAAUAUAAACAAUGUCGGAUUUGAACGUUUAAUAUCAGAAUAUUUUGAUUUGCCCCAAAACAAUUUAUAAUUUCCUUCUUGCAUGUUUUUCGACAUCGUGAAAUACAUUAACCUUAAUCUUCAAUUUUUAUUUCAUAAUGACAUAAUCCAAAAGCUUGAGGAUUCAUUUGAUUUAUGAUUCAAAAAUAUUUUUCAAAACUCAAAACUCAAAACAGAAUCUAAAAAAUUGAGUUGAAGUUUUAAUAUUAUCUGUUUAGUUUUAACAUUUAUCCAAUUCUCUUCCCUAUUAGCGGGGUUGAAAAUUAACCAACUUAAAAAGCCAAACUGACAAGAUGUGUACAGCUGAGCUUUCAAAACGCUAGCCAAAACAAAUACAGCCCAAGUACAAUCGAGAGUGUUGAGAAGUGAAUACAAAUCUGGAAUUGUGGUUGAAUAUGACAUGUCAGUUUGAUGUUUCGAAACCGGAUGAUAUGUCGGUUAGGUGGCAUAAGAGAGCCGUAUGACAAGGCUGGUUGAUCAGCCGAGUGAUUAAGUUAAGCACGUGCUGAGGCUGAAAAGAGUUGAAUGAAUUCUUUGUAUAUUAUUCAACCACCAUAUCAUGAGUUUAUAUACAAGAUACAAAAGCAGAGGAAUGCCGAAAUCUAAGGCAAACCCAUUAAUGUGAUUCCUUUCCAUAGCUGUACAAAAGUAAGAAAGGAACCAAAUAAAAUCAUAUAAUUAUACAAUCAAUUCAAAUCUUCGUGAUUGACUUCUCAAUCUUUAACAUUCCCCCUCAAGUUGGAGUGUAUAUUCAUAACACCCAACUUGCGAAGUAGAUGAUGAAACUGAGCUGAACCAAGAGCUUUAGUAAAAAUAUCAGCUGGUUGUUGGCUGGUGUGUACAUGGGCUGUUUGAAUCAUGCCGGUUUGAAGUUUCUCACGUAUAAGAUGACAAUCAAUCUCGAUAUGCUUUGUACGCUCGUGGAAAACAGAAUUUGAAGCAAUGUGAAUGGCUGCCUUGUUAUCACAAUAUAACAUAACUGCUUGCGAAUGUUUCACCUUCAAGUCUUCAAGUAAAUAUUUUAACCAAGUAAUUUCGCAACAAGUGGUUGCCCUAGAUCUGUAUUCAGCCUCAGCUGAAGAUCGAGAGACAGUUGUUUGCUUAUUUGUUUUCCAAGAGAUCAGUGAUUCUCCAAGCAUGAUGCAAUAUCCAGUAAUCGACCUUCGAGUAUCUCUACAUCGUGCCCAAUCCGCAUCACAAUAAGCCUUCAACUGAAUUGAGCUAUGUGCUGACAGGAAUAUCCCUUGGCCUGGUGCUUGCUUAAUGUAUCGUAAAACUCGAUGUGCUGCAUCUAAGUGUGAUGUACGUGGCUUGUCCAUGAAUUGACUUAGCACAUGUACUGCAUACACCAAAUCUGGUCGUGUUAUAGUUAAGUAAAUCAAUCUACCAACGAGCUUCCGAUAUGAUGAUGGUUCUGUCAAUAAAUCCCCAUCCGAUGCACUUAAAUUUAAGUUUUGCUCCAAAGGAAUUUUUGUUGGUUUUGCACCUAGAAAACCCGUGUCUUCAAGGAUUUCAAGAGCAUAUUUUCUUUGACAGAGAUGAAUCCCAUUUCUCGAGCGUGCAACCUCAAUGCCUAAGAAAUAUUUCAAGCUUCCAAGAUCCUUGAGUUUGAAACGACCAUUCAAAAAUUCUUUAAGUUCUUGAAUUUUCUUCAAAUUAUUUCCAGCUAAGAUCACAUCAUCAACAUACACCAAAACAACAGUGAAAUUUCCUUCCUCUGAUUGGACGAACAUUGAAUAAUCUGCCUUUGAUUGCUUGUAGCCAGCAUCUCUAAGAGCGGAAGAAAGUUUAGCAAACCAUUGUCUAGAUGCUUGCUUUAGACCAUACAAUGACUUGUUGAGUUUGCAAAACCUUGUGUCCCCCUUUCGUCCAAAUCCAGGAGGGAGAUCCAUGUAGACAUCUUCAUGAAGAUCUCCAUGCAAGAACGCAUUGUUAACAUCAAGUUGAUGGAGAUGCCAUUUUUGUGUAGCUGCAAUUGCAAGUAAUACACGAACUGUCACUAACUUGGCAACUGGAGCAAAUGUUUCUGUAUAAUCAAGCCCUUCUAUUUGGCUGAAACCUUUCGCAACCAAACGUGCUUUAUAUCGUUCAACAGAACCAUCGGGUUUAUACUUGACUUUGAAAACCCAUUUACACCCUACUGAUUUUUUGCCAGGAGGAAGAGAAGUCAAGGUCCAUGUCUGGUUGUUUUCAAGAGCAUCUAUUUCUACUCUCAUAGCAUCUCGCCAAUUUUUGUCUCGAAAUGCCUGCAAGAAGGACUUAGGUUCUGUUUGAAGAGAAAUGGAAGAGGUGAAAGCUCGAUGAGGAGAAGACAAACAAUCAUAAGAUAAAAAAUUACAUAAAGGAUAAGGAUUACCAAGAGAAGAGACCGUAGCUGAUUCCGACGAUUGAGACAUCUGAGAUGGGAGUCUAUGUUGGAUAUGGAAGUCAUGCAAAUACCCAGGAGGUUUAGUUGGGCGAGAAGAUCUACGGGGCACAAUAGAAGCAUUGAAAUCCAUAUUUGAAAUAUCAGUGGCUUGCUCUAGAGCUGGUGUGGGAUUAUCAUUGCAAUUUUGGGGCACAUUCUCGUCAUUUGGAAUAGGAAAUGGCAUGGGCAAAACUGGAGAAUGUGAUGGACUUGAAUAAUUAGAGAAAGGAAAUUGAUCUUCAUAGAAAAUGACAUCACGAGAUGUGAAAACUCUAUGAUUUUCUAUUUCAUAGACUCGAUAUCCUUUUUGUCCAUAAGGGUAACCAAUGAAUAUGCAACGAGUAGCACGUGCAUCAAACUUGGAUGGUUUUUUAGCGUGUGUGGAAGCAAAGCAUAAACAACCAAAAACACGCAGAUGGUUAUAAGAUGGUCUAAUUUUAUACAACAUUUCAUAUGGAGAUUUUCCAGAUAAAAUAGGUGUAGGUAUCCUAUUAAUCAAAUAUGUGGCUGUAAGAAUGGCUUCACCCCAAAAAUAUUUUGGUAAAUUAGCUUGAAAAAGUAAUGCACGUGCUACAUUAAGGAGAUGUCGGUGUUUCCGUUCUACCACUCCAUUUUGUUGUGGGGUGGAGACACAACUAGUCUGAUGAAUAAUUCCUUUGUUAGAAUAAUAAAGUGGCAUGAUGAAUUCUUGGCCAUUGUCACUACGGAUGGUUUUAACCUUUGAAGAAAAUUGUGUCUCAACAAGUUGUACAAAUGAUUGUAAAUGGUGACGGGUUUCAGACUUAUGACGCAUUAGAUAAACCCAUGUGCAUCGAGUGUGAUCAUCCACAAUGGUCAAAAAAUAAUGGGCUCCUGAAAUAGAAGAUGUUUGAUAGCCUCCCCAAAUAUCAACAUGCAAUAACUCAAAAGGUGCAGUAGAAGAUAUUGAACUUAAAGAAAAUUCUACUCUUGUUUGCUUUGCUAAAGGACACACUGGACAAUUACCAAUGUCGCAAGCUUUAAUGUCAAGUACAUUGGUAGAAAGUAGAUGAAGAGAUUUAUUUGAUAAAUGUCCUAAACGACGAUGCCAUAAUUGAGAAGGAAAAGAGUUCACUGAUUGACAGGUGACUUCCUUGAGCACAUUCAAGUAGUAUAGACCAUCCCGUUCAGUUCCCGUCCCAAUCGUCUUUCUCGAGCGUAGGUCCUGAAUUACACAAGAUUGGGAGGAGAAGAUAAAUGAAUAUUGUGAAUUUUGGGAAAGCUUGCUUACAGAAAUUAAGUUGAAAUGAAAGGUAGGUACACACAUAACAUUGGUCAAAGUAAAUUGUGAAGAAAAAUGAAUGGAUCCAAUGUGUGUGACAGGAGCUAAUGAACCAUUUGGUAGUUUGACAGUUUGAUUUUUCACUGGCGUAGAAUAUGUUAAAUAAGAUGGGGAACAAACCAUGUGAUCUGUAGCACCACUAUCUAUGAUCCAUGGAGUACAUUCUAAGGAUGAGGAGAGGCAUAUGAAUUUACCUGACAAGUGAGUCAUGGCAGAAGUACCUACAUGAUGUGCCAUAGGACCUGCUUUAUUAACAUUGUUCAAGAGCUCAAGAAUUUGCUUGCAUUGUUCCUGAGUAAAUGAAUAACCACUUGAUUCUUUACAAUCUGCAGCAAGUGAGGAUGUUUGAUUGGCACUUGGUUUAGAAUUUCCUUUCCGAUUUCGGUGAUCUGGAGGAAAUCCAUGAAUAUGAUAACACUUGUCAACUGUAUGGCCAACCCAUCCGCAAUGAUCACAUUUUGGGCGUUCACGUUUUCCGUCUUUUCUCUUCUCCACAUCCUUGUAUUCUUUCCUUUCUCGUGAGUUCAUUUUUGCAGCAAGUGCAGCAGCUUCUGGUGCAAUGGUUUGAUUUGAAGAUACCGCACGCUGACGCUCAUCUUGAAGCACCAAUGAAUAUGACUUGUUCAUAUUCGGAAGUGGAUCCAUCAAUAAAAUCUGUCCGCGAGUUGCAGAAUAUGAUUCAUUUAGUCCCAUAAGGAACUUCAUGGUUUUGUGACUUUGCUGAUAUUGGAUAACUGCUUUCAUUGAGCCACAAGAACACGUUGGAAUUGAACAAAGUGCAUCCAGUUCAUCCCACAAUGCUUUCAGCUUAGUAUAGUAUGUUGCUAUCGACAUGGUAUCCUGCACCAAGUUAUGGAUUUCUUUUUCAACUUGAAAAAUAUAUGGACCAUUUACCUGUGAAAGUCGUUCUUUUAAAUCCGCCCAAAUCUCACUUGCAAGUUUGCAAUAGAUCACACUAAGGGAGAUUUCUUUUGAUAUAGAGUUGAGCAGCCAUGAUUUGACCAUAUCGUUGCAGCGAUUCCAGUGCUGUGACUCAGCGGCUGAAGCGUCUCCAGGAUGCUGGAUAGAUCCAUCAAUAAACCCGAUUUUGUUCUUCGCACUUAAUGCCAUAAUCAUUGCACGGCUCCAGGUAUUAUAGUUGUCUUCAGUUAAGGGCUGUGACACUAAUAUUACUCCUGGAUGAUCAGAGUGAUGAAGGAAUAAUGGGUUACUUGGAUCUUCAUGGCUGGAGAUUGGUGAUGAAGUUUUUUCUUUGUUUGCCAUGGAUUGAUGGCUUUAAAAAAAUCAGAUUGCUGGGAUGAGCAGAAGAAUCUGGUUACCAGAAUCUUGCUCUGAUACCAUGAAAAGAGUUGAAUGAAUUCUGUGUAUAUUAUUCAGCCACCAUAUCAUGAGUUUAUAUACAAGAUACAAAAGCAGAGGAAUGCCGAAAUCUAAGGCAAACCCAUUAAUGUGAUUCCUUUCCAUAGCUGUACAAAAGUAAGAAAGGAAACAAAUAAAAUCAUAUAAUUAUACAAUCAAUUCAAAUCUUCGUGAUUGACUUCUCAAUCUUUAACAGAGGCACACGACUUCACUUAUUCUAAACGGCAGAAGAAGGCAGCGUUUUGGAUGCAGUUACUACACGUGUCUUGAGGCUGGUUUAAACGGCUGGUAAAGCUGUUAAAGAAAGCGGGAAAAUCAACAAACCCAGGGCUGUUACGCUGGCUUCUGGGGGUUGUUUCUAGAGCAAUCUAGGCGUGUAUAUAACGCUUCAUGGUCUCGUAUUUGGCUUGCUCAAGUGUGUAACAUUUUCUCAGAUUACUUGUAUCUUGUAAACACCAAAUCAGUCAAAGCUCUUUCUCUUUUUCACAGUGGAUGUAGGUCAAUUGGUGGCUGAGCCACUUAACUCUUUUAUGUUCGUGUGUGAUUGUUUCUGCUUUCUUUAAGCUUGUUAUCUAUUGAUUCGAAUUGAUGAUUUCACAAAGCUUUAGUUGGUCAUAAUUAGUUCUUGGAUUAAAGCUAAGUCGAGUGAAUCUUGGGGGAUUAAGAUCGGUUCUUGACUGGUUUUGGUCCUACAGAGAGUCGUAUGUGUAAGCUGGUUAUGACUUGUAACCGUAGCUAAAGUCGUUUGUUCGGGUUUUGAUUUUCGAAUUUAGCGUUAUAAAGAAGCCACUAUUUCAUUAUUAUAAACAAAUUAAAGCUGCUCUUUCGCCAUUACUCUUCUCUGCCUGGCUGAUGCGAUUCUGCAAUCCUACCUGUCUUCAAAUCUCUUUUAUAAUUGUAGUCAACGAUAUCCUCAUCCAGAUACGUUUGGAAGACCUACAAUUAAAAAUGCGAUUGAAUUAGAUUAGUUCUAAUGAUGUAGACCUGCAAGUAUUUAUUUUUUAUUUUUUAAUUUCACUUCAUCGCGUAUAUGUAUAAAUGCAAAUUAAAUCAUAAUUAUUUCUCCUAAUUAAUUUGGUUAUUGUUUCCACUGCAAAGGCAUGCACCUAAGUCAACUGGACCAUAUAUCUCAUAAGAGAUGAAACUAUACGUACAUAAUUAAUGUAUAAAAAAUGCUAAAGAAAAUAAAGGUGAAUAGAGCGUUGACAGAAAUAAUAGUAUAGUAAAUCGGGGUUUAUUAUGUUAAUUAAUUGAUUUUUAAUUAAGUAUAAGUCGCUAAUCUCAGCCGGGUGUACCACUGUUUCUGUCAAAUUUUUCAAUCUUACUCAUGAUAAAUAAAUAUCAUGCAUAUGUUUUUCAUAAGAGAACUGAUAUUCAGUCAAAAUACUAACAAAAAUAAAGUAAAUCCGGCCAGGUUUACAUAAUUAAAUGCCAACAUAGUAACCCUGGCUAGGUGUAUAUAUACUGUAUUUGUCAGCGUUUAAGUCUAUUUUAUCAUUUUUUUUUCUCCAUGAAAGGUAGUAAUUAGUUUAUAUAUCUACGUAUUAAGAAUGUAUGGACAAGACUCGUCCAUAUCUUCAUGCGCUUCGUAAUCUUGAAGAUAAUAAUAAAUUUUUAUACUCUUGAUCUAUAAAGAAAUAAAUUCAUUAAUUUAUGUAUAUAAAUUCACCAUUAAUUACUCAUUUCUAAAAUGCAGAUUGAACCAGAGAUUUAAUUAUUAUUACCGAAGUGCUUGGCAAGGACAGCAAUAUGAAGAAUGAAGAUAUUAUCCCAACAAAUCUUCAGCUGUUAGUUGAGCAAAGUAAUCCAAGAAGCCAUCAUCACAUUCUCUCAUUAAGGCCAUUCCAUAAGCAUCUUCCUUCGUUAUCCUCAUCUCAUCCAUAAACAUAAGCGCCAUCUCGCUUCUCUCUCUCACUUGUAUAAUUGAUACACUGAACAAGCUGUGUUCUUCGAUUUCCUUAAGUUUAAUUGUCUCAAUAUAAGUUGGCAUAAUCACUUUGCUUAAUUUCUUAAUGAAGCUCAAGCAUUAUAAGAAUAAAAUAAAGAUAAAGUAUUUAACCUAUCGGGUUCAGAAAAGGAAUAGAACAAAUUAUUUCAACGACUUUUGUCUGCAUUGCUUUUUCAUCGAAUAUACAUAAUAACCACCAAUUCACCAUAUUCUCAUAACGUAAAGGCGCUUGUGCUUUGCCUAAGCCUUAAGGUUUUUGCUAUUUUAUAAAGAAAUUAUGACCAUUAUGGAUUACAUUGAAAUGACCUGCCCCGAAUUAUAGGGAUGAGUCUAUUUAGUCUCAUCAAACUGAAUAGAUAAUAAUUUAAUUAGCAGAGAUUCUGCCCAAAAUUUGAUAAAGUUUUUUUUUUUAUAAAUAUAACACUUGGAGCUUGUAAAUAUGUAAUACAAGUACUCUCAAAAUAAAUUAAUAUACAAGCAACUCCAAGGAUCAACAUUCUCAGUGAAAAUACUGAAUUAUUACCUAAGAUAUCUCUAGAGUAUCGAAAGAUUAUAUUAGAACUAAUAUUAAUAUACAUUAGUUUAUUCUUAAUCCCAAAAGAAUAAUACAACAAAAUUUAUACAAUCUAAAAAGAAAAAGAUGAUUUGGAUGUCCUAACAAAAAAAAUCAUCUAUAUUUUCUAAUACCAUCACGUGACUAAAACUUAAAAUAUAUCUACAGUCGUUGGGUCGAUUUGGUGUACCUGCAACCUCUUAUUGUGGGGGGGAAGGGGGGAAUAUAAUAAAACGAAAUGAGUAUAAAAUUCAUUGAGCUCAGUGAGUAGAUAUUAGUUUUUUUUUUGAAAAAUAAAUUUACUAAAAAAAAUAAAUUUAAUCUUUCUUUGAACGAUCCCAUCAAAAUAUUAUAAGAACUUAAAUAAAUUUAUUUAAUUUAAAUCAUGCACUGAUAUAACAAUAAUACAUAAUACUGCAUAAAAUCAAGGAAAUCAUAACACUUAUAAUAACAGAGAGUGAAUGCCGAAAUUAUGACUAAACAAGUACCCAUGAGAAAUAAUCUUGUCAUAUCCUAACCUCAACGGACGGGUAAUGAUUUACUAUCUAGAUACUAUCAUGCCCUCGGGCUACACGAAUAGACAGGGAGUUGCCAUCUCAUAUCUCAUCAUAUCUAUACAUGCAUAAUCUAAUCCCCAAAGGAUAAAAACACCCAAGCACACAGCUCAAAACUUUUAUGUGUAUUUAGACGAGCCCCAAAGGUCUGUAUCUCAUCUGUAUCAUCUGUAUCUGUAUUAUUGUUAUCAUCAUAUCACAUGCACAUGCCCCCAAAAGGCAGAAGUGCCUCGAAAUAAAUUUUGUUCACGCAUUGAUAUUUUAUUAAAAUGUUUGGUUAAUGAUUUUUCCUAUUGAUUUUGAAUAAAUUAUGAUAGUAUUUUAAAGGCGAGAAAUGUAUUUUUAGAUGUGAUAAUGAAAAGAAAAUGGAUUUUAAGUAUGUUAAAUAGAAAAGAAACAAGAUUUAUAUUAUGAUUAUAUGUUUAUGUAUAUGUGUAUAAAAUGUUGUUUGUAAAAUCAUUGGACAAUAUCCUUCCUCGGUUACAGUGAUACAGAUAUAAUGAGGCUUUUAGAGCUCGUCUGAUCACAUAUAAAGGCUUUGGGCCGUGUGUUCAGAACAUUUAAAAUAUUUUAUUUCGCAAACAUGUUUUACUAUCAUAAUUAACUAUGAAAAUAAGUUUUGUAUAUUUUUCUCACAGUGACGAUUUUUAGAUUCGGUUAUCGCCCAUGUUCAAGGACUGGUUCUCACUCGCAGGUCUUUCUAAAUUAAGGAAAUGACAUAAUUAUUUUCCGUAAAUCGAAAUUAGGACUAAAUUUAUGCAAUAAACUCGAAACGAACAUUUAUUUAUAAUUUACAACUUUUAUGUUGAUAAAAUUAUUAAAAUACCAUCGAAUCCGUAAAUCAUUAGAAUACUCUGAAAUUGUAAAUCACUAUAAUACCCUUGAAAUCGUAAUUACAUCAAAUCCUCAAUUUCAGAAAUUAUUAAAAUCUAUAUUGGGUCAAAAAUUACAAAAUCACCCUCAAAAUGUGAAAUUACCGAAUUGCCCUAGCUAACAGUAACUCGGAAGGUCAAGUGUGAAAUUUUCAGCCACGAUGAGUCUAAUGGUGCCUGCAGUGACCUCCCACGUGUGGAGACGGUGGCAGAUCGAAGUCCCAAAGCCGUGAGCUUUCCGGCGGCCGAUCGACAGAAAUCCGGCCGUUUCGGGUGGCGGGACUGGUCGGAAAAUGAUGAGGGUGAGCUAAGGAUCAAGAUCCAGGCAGUGGCGUCAUCCAAAACUGGCGGAAUCGACAACGAGAAGAGGUGGGUUUUGCCGCAGCUUUUCGAGCUUCAAAAGGCGGCGUUCCGGUCAGUUUUCGGCGGCGAGGAUGGUCCAGAAACGAUGGCCGUCUUCCAAGCUUCAAAUCGGUAUCUUGAUCGGCCGGAGGGGGUCGGAAUUGCGAGAUAUGCCCGGGUCGAUUUUGUGUCAAACGGGUCAGGUUUUCCGGGUCGGUUUGACAUCUUCCUCCCUCCCUCUCUCACACGCGUGGUCUCUUCCUGUCCUUCAAGCCUUUUAUUUAUUUAUUUAUUAUUAUUAUUUUCUUAACCGCUUUUUUUUUUUUCUUCACAUAUGUUACGUACAUAAUUUGGAAGGUGAGGAGUUCGUGAUUUAUAAUGAUUUCUUCGGAAAAAGAUGGAUACGUAACUUAUGAUGACACUACUAGAAAAAUGAGUUUUACUGACACUAAUUUAGCGUCAGUAAUUACUUUUAUUGACACUUGUUAAUUGUGUCAGUGUUGCUCAAGCCAGAACACACUGACACUAAUUUUUAGUGUCAGUAAUUUUUGUGUCAGUAAUUUGUUUCACUAUAGUAUCACUAAAAUAAUGACACGAUGAUGUUGGUAUUUAAUGAUACUAUUUACACGUCAGUGAUUUAUGUGACUAUAGUAUCAAUAAUAAGCUAGCUCGAUAAUAUAAAAAAUUAUUAAUGUCAAUUUAAAUAUUUAGUGUCAGUAUUUAAUAAUGUUAUGCAGGAUUGGUUAAUAAAUUUUUUUUAUUCUAAUUAUAUUUUUCCUGAAUGUUUUACAACCAAAAGAAAGCUCAAAAUAUAUUAAAUAUAUAAAAUGUCACAAUAUAAUUCACAUAAUAAACAUCCCAAAUACAUCACUCAAAUUCACAUGAUUCAACUACACCACUAUCUGGAAAAGAAAAAUAUAAGUACUAAAUUAAGUUUUCAACAACCACAAAGUACUAAUUUAGUUUCCACCAAAAAGAAGCACAAGAACAUCACUCAACAUCCAUCUGCAGCUUCAUUUUUUUCCCACCUACAACAACAUAAAAUCAAUUAGUAUGGAAAUAGAUUAUCGAAAACAAAUUGAUUGUGAGUAGUUAAACAGAGCAAUUGAAGGAUGUUUCAACAACUAAUAAAACAAUAAGAAAUAAGAUUACAAUAAUACUGAAAGUUAUAGAAAUAAAGAACCUUAGCUUAAGUUGUCUGAAGAAACCAUGUUGGAUAACCUGCUACAAGUCACAGAAAACAAAACAUCUAAGUCAAUCUAAUUAAAAACUUCCUAUUUUUUAUAAUCAAACAACAGAAAUCUGCAAUCAAAACAUCCAUUUGCCCACUCAAACUUUCAGCCUUAGCAUAAACUUCUUUCACUUUAAUCUCAUAAAACUUGUCAAAUUUAUGAAACUCUCAUCAAGCCUUCUAAAAAACUACCGCUCUCAUUCCCCUCCUUCCUCAACAAUCCUCAAAAGUAUUUUCAUUGCAAAAUAGCCCAAAAAAAUUAUAGGAGUUGUUUUGACUUUAGAAUAGCAACAAAACAGCCCCGGGAAAUCUGUAGGGGCUGUUGUGCAGUGAAAACAGCCACUAGAAAUUUACAGGGGCUGUCUUGUUGCUGUUCUAUAGUAGAAACAGCCCCUGCAAAUUAACACUUUCAAAUGAAUUAGAAAAGAAAAUAAUGUUACCUAUGAUAGUCAUCAUUGUUGAAGUCAUAGCAGAUAGCCUGCAAAUUAACAAUAAUAACAGCAUUUACAUCAGUUUAUGAAACUGCUUUUAUUGGUUUUUUUUUUUGCAAGGAUAUGUAUAUAAAUAAUAGUGCAUUUAAACUUACAUAUAUAAUGCAUCUUAGAUCAGCCAUUAAUGUGGUAUAGUUUUUGUAAAGUACCCUAUUUACCUCAGAAACUUCAUUUUCCUCUAUGCCAAGAUUUUGAAUUAUCUAUUAUACACAAAGUAAAUUUGUAGAAACUAGUUAUACAUUUGUUAAACAAAUAAACAACUUAAAUGACAAAAGUUUACUAACUGAAUAGAAAUGCACCAAGGUCAUUAUAAAUUGGCACUACUUACUGAAAUGAUCAACAACAUUGACACUAACACCUCAUACAUAAAUUCAGAUUUUAAGCGUAUAAAGAGAGUUCAAAUGAAUGAUUGCUUAUACAUUUUAUAACAGAUUUUACAACAAUAAAGUAGAUAAAUGGCAACUCUACUAGAGGUAUGUUUCUAGUAUAAGGAAUCAAGCAUAAGUAAAGGAGCAAGGUAGUAUCUUAUCAUCCGCAUAAUCAACACACCAUGACAGAAAUCGAAUCAAAUAAAUACUACGAGUGCCGAAUGGAAGAAAGAAAUUAAAACAUUUUCUGUAAAAUAUUAUUAUUAAUCAAUAACAUGUCUUAAUAUAAAGCGAAAAGUUUCCGAUGAUAAUAUAAAUAUCCAAAACUAUAUAGUCAAAUACUCAAAAGCUGAAACCAAAAUAUCAGAAAAAAAUUUAUAAAAGCAAUAACAUGUGAUGUCUUAUCAUUUACAUUUUUCGAUAAACAUACUUGCCGCAUGCGAAGCACGGGACAUCCUCAAGCCUGGCAAGUCAUUGACGACAUGGUUUCCCUUAUUUGCCGCUUAUGCAAAGGUGAAACGCUACCUCAUUCUUUAAAACACAUCAAAGUUUGCUGUCUUCUCCAGCCAUAUUUCAAUCUGAAAAGGAGCAUUACAAGAGCAACAAUCAGCUCCUGAAUGUGAUAUUAUAAAAAGAAUUCUGUAUCACAUAUAUCCAAAUGACCUGAACAUCAACACAAAAUAUUAAUCAUCCUAGAGGGAAAUCAACAUUGCUGACAAAACCACGUCUACCAAAUAUAAUGUACACAGAAUUAUCCAAAAAUAUGAUGACCUAAGAUCCUCCAAAUCACCAGCUUUAAAUAAAAAAGUCCCCCCAAAUCACCAUCAAAAUUUGACUACACUGGGAGAAUGACGAAGAAGCAGAAAAUCAAAAAGAAAAAGCUAUAUCGUCCAUUCUUGCAAUUUCUGAAAAUGAAGGAAUAUGAAGAGGACCAUCCACAGCAGGUUUUUAUGUUGCACGUAUGAUACAUUAGUAAACCAUGCAGAAAUUGAAAGAAAGCACAAAAAGAUAAAGCAUCCAUUUACCUUGGCUUUCUGGACGGGUCGUCCUCGAGAUUCAUCCCUCAUAUCAACUGUCGAGGUCAUGAUCUCUGCAAGAGUACAUGUUAAUUACUGAACAAAUUGAAACUUCAUGGGUGGGGUAAAAGAUGUCUUAACUGGAAAUUAGAAAAUCUUACUCUUCUCAACAGCCAAACCAUUGUUUUUCAGAAUUUCAGCAACUGUGACAACUGUGGCAAUAGCUGCAGAAAUAACGAGAAAAAAGAAGCUUUAAGCGCAGAAUAAGCCAUCAUAAACAUUAUGUCAGAACAAAGUAAGAAAGACUUGUUUGAGCCCAGUAAUGGCAUUGGCAUGGACUAGAUGGAAUAAAAUGCAUUCAAAUGAAAGCUAAUUCGAGCACAAGUAUGUUUAUCGAAAAAUGUAAAUGAUAAGACAUCACAUGAUAUUGAAGAAAUCAGGAGCAAUAAAAACUGUUCACAGGAUAAAUUAAAAAGUGGAAUCUCAACUCACUGUCUCAGGCGGCCGGCGCGAUGGCGACGGCUGAACGCGGCUGCAAAAGCAAUAAUUUAGACUGGAGGGUGAGAUGGUGACCAGAGACGGAGAAAGUGAGAGCGACUAAACGAGCGUGAAAGAGAGGGGUUGUUGCUGCUGUGUGUGCCUUCAGAGAGAGAGUGAAAGCGAGCGAGCUACUGCAGUGUGUGGUGCGACCCGCUGGGCUGCCGCCGCCGCCGCCGCCGCGUGGGCUGCGUGUGCCGUUGUCAUCGUGCGUGCUACUAAGGCCUUAGAGAGGGGCUGCCGCUGGUUAGCGCUUAGGGAGAGUUAGGGAUUUAGGCACUUGGAAUUUUAGGGAUUUGGAUUUUAGUUUGUUUGAGAGGGAACAAAUUUUGGUGGAGGGAGAUCGAAAAUUUUGUGUUAAAUUAUAGCAAAGGGUUUGUAGUUAAUUAUAUACGGUUUAACCAAACAAAGAAAAUAUGCACACAAGUGGUUUGUAGUUUGAAAUUAAAAUUUUAACUUCGGACAUAUUGAGUUCGAGUCCAAGUAAAAACAUAAUUAGAAUUAUAUUUGUUUUUAUCACUGAUACUAAAGUAUCAGUAAUUACUGAGUUUUAUGCUACUGACACUUUAGUACCAGUGAUUUAUGAUACAUAUUUGUUAAAUGGAAAAAAUGAUCCAAAUGUAUAACAUUACUGACACUUUUUACGAAGUGUCAGAAACGAAGUGUCAGUAAAGGUCAUUUUUGUAGUAGUGUGAUUUUUUUAUCAUAGUUCGGAAGAUGAUGAAUCCAUAAUUUAUGAUGAUUUUUUAAUAUAUAUAUAGUGGUUUUUCAAUCAGGGAUUCCUGACUUUAAUAAAGUCAGGGAUCAGCUAAAAGACAAAUAUACAGUGUAUUUGAGUAUGUAUUUAUUUUAUCUUUUAGUUAAUUCCUGACUUUAUUAAAGUCAGGGAUCCCUGAUUGGAAAACUACUAUAUAUAUAUAUAUAUAUAUAAUUUUUGUUUUAAGAUAGAGAGGUUGCGAAGCCCAAAUCAAUUUUUAAUUAUAAUCUUAUCAAAAACUAUUAAAUUAAUGGUAAUGGGACCAAUUUACUGUACAAAUUGCCAACAACAUAAAUUGUGAUUGAUUUGUUACUUUUAUGCAAUUUUGUAUAAACUGAGCCUUGGAGCCAUAUGAUACAAGAAGAGUCUGAAUUAUUAUUAUUAUUAUUAUUAUUUCAAUUGUUUUUUAAAUUCGUGGAUGAAGCUGAAUGUUUUUUUUUUUCCUUUCUUGAUGAAAAAUAUAUUCUUUGGAUAAUGACUUUCAUUCUGAUCUAAAUUUUCAUUUGAGCACAUACAUGUGGGUGUAAGUUGUCAAUAUAAUGCAAUAAUGAUUCUAUAAAAAAAAAAAAAAAAUUUCAUGUUGAUGAUAAUGAGUAAACAGAUAGAUCAUACAUUCAUUAUUUAAUUUGAAAUACACACAGUACAUUAUUAUUAUUUGCCACACCAAACCCAUUUUUUACAUGAAGUAAUACGACACACCCAAAGGAAUAAUGAGCAGAAGUGAAGCCGAGAAAGUAAUCAUGCUUGCUAAUACAGAGAAGAAGAGUAAAAUGAAGCCAGUCGUCAGCUUGAACGGAAGGUUGCUAAGGAAAUCAGAUGACUCACGUGGCGAGGUGAGGAUAGAUAGAAACAUCACAACGGAUGACAAAGAUAAGGACAGCGAGGCAACGUCCGUUACGGUAAAAACGUAGAAGAGUGGUGACGUAAGGAAAUUGGGAAACCCCCUAUCAUUGUUACCUCCAGGUACCGUGAAGGCAGCUGUAAAGACGACGGUUGCGAUUAGGAUUGCCAGUACGGAGCAUGCCUGAGCGGUUUCUUUGAUCCAUUCUUGUGCUUUCCUAAGUUGAUCUUCAUGUGUUAGAUCGAAGAGGUCACUUGCAGUGAUGUUCUUUUUUUUGUCGCGGUGCAUGUAUAAUGGCGAGGCAUUAUCUCUUUUACGCGCUGCAUAUGCACACACACACAUCUAUAAUGCAUGGAGUCCAUCAGAAAAUAUAAAUAUAUAAUAUUAGAGUAUGCUUUUAUUUAUAUAAACACAACGAAUAAAUUAAAUGUACUUGGGGGACAAAAUUAAAUAUUAUCAAAGGGCUUACCUCGAACCACUGUAACUCCUCCUGAAAUUGGAGAACAGGACCAGGGCGGAUUCCUUGCUUAUAAUGUUUCAUGUCUGCAACGUGGUGAAAUAAUGUAUAGCCUUUUUUGUCAAUUCUGGCAGCCCAUUUGGGCACGUACAGUUGCAUUUCCUUCAUGAUGAGUUCAAAGACCUUAUGUUGACGACGCUUUACGGCCACAUGUAAUAUAUUCUGCUCUUUCCGCUCAUUCACGUCAGAUAAUAUUGCUUGAGGAUCUCGUUGGAGUAUCACCUCCAAAAUUUCUGUUAUUCCGUUGCUAGCUGCAAACCGUAAUGUCCUAUCCUCUGUUGUGUCGUUUUUACGAUCAUCAACUUCUUCCUUAUUUCUUUUUCCCUCAGCACCUCGAUCAAUUCUUCAGCUGAAAGAUCAACAAGUUUUUUUCCCAAGAUGUCCCUUCCUUUGCCGAAUCCCAAGGAAAUUGCGGAAAUUUCUUGUUUCUCUUUCGUUGUUUCAGCCUUUUGGGGAUUAGAGGAAGGGUUCAACCUUUCUAUUUCAACCAGCCUUUUGACAAGUACAACAGCAUCUUCAUGCAUUUUCUUUUCCUUCCAGAUUUCCUCAAUCCAUGAACAUCCUGGUCAUGCAUGCAUCAACAUCUUAUUAAUUUAUGAAAAAAAAUUUGCACGCAAACGGCAAAACCGUUCAUCAAAUGAAUUGAAGUUAUUAGACAUUUCCCCUGUACUUCUAAUGUGUCUCAUUUUUGUAGAAGUAAUUAAUGAGAUUAUUAUUGGUCGAACCUUUAAUCACUUGCCUCCAAAAACCAAUGCACAUCUUCCGAAUUAAAAUUCUUGCAUUUUGAUUAACCUGAUCAGGAAAAAUUUUACAACUACAUGUACAUAUUUAUGAUAUGAAAAAUUAAUGCUAACACAGCGAAAAGGAAACCGCUCGGACUCAAGUUAGAAGUGAGGCGGUUUAAAUAUGAAGAGACAUGUGGAUGCCAUUUAGUUGAGAUGGUACAUAUUUUUGUCUGUAAUUUGUAGAUAAGGUCCUUAUCAUAAGAACAUGUAUGAGUCCAUAGAAACUAAAGAAAAAGGGAACUUCACCUUUGCCCCAACUAUUUGAGGCGUUAUAUACUUUUCCUCAUGAUAUUUUCAAAAUGGUCAUGUACCCUCGUUGUAAAGAAGAAAAUACAUUAAAACAAUCGUUUCACUAUUUUGUCCUUGAAACAACAUACUUUUAUCCUAGAAAUUAAUGAAUAAAAUAAAAUCUAAAUAAUUAUUUUAAUAUUAAAUUUGUUAAAAUAUAGAUUGCAACAAAUCUCUGAUCAAUCUCUUUGUCAUUUUUUUCCCCCUAACGUGCCAAUGAAAAUAUGAAAAGCAGACUUUCUAUUUGAUACAGAGAUAUUUUUCAAAGAUCAGGGGGAGAGUGGAUAGUAGCUCAAAUGUUUCGGGGGAACAAAUAGGUUUCUAAAGAAAAAUACAAAACAGGAGUAUACAAUGAUAUAUUUUGCAUGCUGUUGUUAAUUUCGUUUGAAAGAACUAACCUUAGUAUUAUUUUAUUUAUUGAUCUUUUAGUCUCAAAAUUAAGACUUCCUUUGGCUUCUAACAAAUAUAGAUCAAACUUUAGUUAUUAAUAGAAAAUUUAUGGGUAUUUUAUAAAAUUGAGCACCACUAGAUGUCAACUAAAAAUUUGAGUAGAUUUAUCAAUAAGUAACUGUGAAGAAAAAAAAAAACCAACUUAAAAGCCAAACUGACAAAGUGUUUACAAGUGAUUAGUUGUGCAAAAAGCUAGCCAAAACAAAUACAGCCCAAGUACGAUCGACAGUCGUACGCCGUAGCUAACGCCUAAAUCUGUUUGUUCGGAUUUUCAUUUUUCAAUUUAUGGAGUUAUAAUGAUUAAUGAAACCACUAUAUUAUGAUUAUGAACAAAUUAAAGCUGCUCUUUCACCAUUACCUUGCCUCUUCUUCGUGUGGCCCAUGCGAUUGUCAAUCUUAUGAGUCUCCAAAUCUUCUUUGUAAUUGCAGUCGUCAUCCAGAUACGUUUGAAGAAAUGGAAAUAGAACUACGAUUGAAAGUCAAUAUUGUAAGUUCUAAUUAUGUAGCAAAGCAUUUAAAAAUAAAAAAAUUCACUAAUCCCUCUCUAUGUGUAAAUACAAAUUAACUAAAAUGUUUCUUCUAAUUAAUUUGCUUAUUGUUUCCAUUGUAACCGCAUGCACCCAUAUCAACAAGACUGUAUAUCUCCCUAGAGAUUAAAUUAUAUGUGCAUAUAAUCAAUAUAUUAAAAAUGUUAAAAAAACUGAAGGCGGAUAGAGUAUUGACAGAUACAACAGUAUCUCAGUCGGGGCGGGUGUACCCUUGUUUGCGUAUACCUUCCAUGAGAACGCUGAUAUUAUGAAAAAAAUACUGAGAAAAAACAACAUUAAAUGCUAUCAAAUUUACAUAGUUAAUUGCUAAUACUGUAACCCCGACCGAGUGUGUAUCCACUUCAUAUGUCGGUGUUUAGUCUCUUUUUCCGUUUUUUUUCCAAGUAAUUAGUUUAUGUAUAAUAGACUCAAGUCAAUAUUGAUACUUAUUCAUUUUUAUAUUUUUCUGCUGUAAAUAUCUUUUAUGUAUAUUUUAGUUACAACUGUACACAUGAUACUAGGAAUUGUUGUCACUUGUCAAGGAAUCGGUUGAAAAAAUUCUUCUCUUGUAUUAUAAAUAUUCAGUGAACUCAAAUGAGAAAUAGUGGAGUCACAUUUUCCAAACCUGACAUCAAACAAUAUAUCCACGUACGAUAAUGGAAAGGACUCCUCAUUUUCUUCGUGGCAUCCCCACUCUUGAAAGCAGUUGGCAUUAGAGCUAGUAGUUCAAGACAUGUCAAGCGAUUAAGCCUGUUGGGCUUGGACGAGGGCCCGUCGCACGUGGACAAGAGCUCGUCGGACGGCGGUGUUGCACGUUUGUCUGCAAGUCUUGAGUCGUGGUUAAGUAACCAAAUAGCAGUCUCUGUACGUAUUUAAGAAAAUUAAUUAAUUAGUUAAGAAAAUAAAUAAUAAAAUUUUUUUUAACUUUUGAUCUAUAAAUGAAUGAAUGAAUUGGAGAUUUAACUAUUAUUUAUUACCGAAGUGUUGGCCAAUGACAGCCAUAUGAAGAAUUGUCAUAUCAUCUUCCUUUCUACGGAAAUGACAACGUAAGUCACCAACUUGCUCAGUCAAGAUUUGCAACAGUUUAGUUUUCCCGAGAGCAGCAGCCCUGUAAACUGGGGUUUCCCCCAAACCGUUGCAAGCCUCAACUAGACCCUUGUACGCAUCACCGGACUUUCUGGAAAAGUCAACCAAAAUACUGGCCACGUCAUAAUUUUCGACGACGGCCGCUUCGUGAAGACCGGUGUUUGUAAACGCAUCUGUUUGCUUCAAGACUCCAAGUCUGGUCUCCGGUGUUAGCCUUUCGAGAAAUUCCUGGAUCAGCCGAGGGUCUUCCAUGGCCGCUGCAAUGUGAAUUGCGGAGUCUCCAUUGGCUGUCCUGUUAUCCAACAACUCUUUAGCAGGCCAAUCAGCAAAGCACUCCAAGAAGCCUCGACAGUCUCCGUUCAAGGCCAUUCCAACAGGAUCUCCCAUCGCCCUCUCUCUCUCUCUCUCUCUCUCUCUCUCUCACUUGUAUAAUUGAUGCACAGAACAAGCUAUACGAUGUUCUUCGAUAUCCAUAUAAUUAAUUACUUCCAUCGCCGUCCCUUAUAUAGAAGUUCUAAACGAAGUUGGCAUAAUCACUUUGCCUAUUUUACUAAUAAAGCUCGAGCAUUAUAAGGGAAAAAAAAAAAGUUCGAAAGUGACAAAACGGAAAAGAUGGUAAAAGAACAAAGUUCUGAAAAGAGAAGUGAUUAUUGAUGAAAAUUUGUUUACAUUGUACGGUAUUGUUCCUUAAAUUCAUAGAAUGUGAAGUUACCAAAAGAGCAAAGUUAAAAGUAAAAUAAAAUUAUUAUGUUUGAGAUAAAAGAGAAAAAGAAUAAGAAAAAGAAAACGCAUGCAAUUAAAAAUGAUAUUUUUUGUUGAUUCAAGAGGCCAAUCACCUCUGAAAUGAAAUUAACUUUUGUCUUUCUAUGUGUUUGGGAACGAUAUAUUAUAUAUGCAAAAACGAACAGUUGUAUCUAAAAUUACAUUUGGGAAAGUAUAAAGAUCACGUUCCACGUCAUAACGUUUGUUAACAAAUGAUGUCAAUAAAAAGAAUAGAAUAUAUAAAUUAUUUCCAGGCUCAAGUUACAGCUCCGAGAAGGUGUAGGGUCCAUGUUGUACAUCAUAAGGUUUGUUAAUCAAUGGUGUCAGAAAAAUAGAGUAGAAUAUAUAUAAUUUAUUUCCACAACUUAAUUUUGUCUCCAUUGCUUUUUCCGCGAAUAUAUAUAAAAAGAGUGGGAGAGAUCCUAACCCUUACUUUAAUAACAUGGUGAUUAUUGUAAACGCGAUUGUGCUUUGACUAGACUAAAGCCUUUUGCUAUUCUACAUGUUAUCAUUAUUUCUCGUCAUGGAGUGGCAGCCAAUCAUUAAAAAAUAAAUAAAAAUGUAAAAAUAUUUGGAAAGUUUAAAACUUAUGAUAGAAUUCGGCCUUAUUUUGUAUAGAUGUGUUGUGAAAAUCAACUGUAUACUAUACUGUAAAUAUAGCUUUGGAAAAAUAUCUUUACAGACUUUUAUUGUAAAAUCAACUUAACUUCCAAACCAUAACAGUAACUAUUUAUUAAAUACUUUAUUGAUCUAUUUUAAAAGCUUUCACUGCUCAAUUACAAUACCAAACAAGAUGUUGACCUAAGUUGGUUCCAACCACAAUACCAAAUAGGGACUUACAUUCUAUCAGUUAAGUCAUUAAGUUUAUUUCUUUUUUUAACUUAUUACAAAUUUUCAACCAUUAAGCUAUUAAGCUAUUAAGCCAAUUUUCUUACCUUCUUAUUUAAUCUAAAAAGUCUGAAUAAUGUUAUUAAAGAUAUUAUUUAAAAUAUUCCUAUCCAACUAAUUUAUUUUCAUCUUUACCUAAAUAUAUAAAACUUACUAAUUAGCAUACUAUUCAUCUUUAUAACUUGUGAGAAUAUAGUAUAUUUUUUAUUUUAAUCUUUUUUAUUUUCUUCAAAUUAGCAUUAUCUAUUUUUGUAAUUUUUUAUGAGUAUUUUUUUAUAUGAAACACCAUAAAGUGCAAUAGAAUUGAUUCACACGUUCUAAUUUAGAAUAUUAAAGGGUUGUAUUCACCUUAACAUGAUUCAUGUUAUGAUAGAAUAAUAUCAUAUUUUUGUUCAAUGAGAUUUUAUUAUUUAUUUGACAUUUGAAAUUUAUGAGCGUACAAAUGUAAAAGUAUUGGUUUUUAGAUUUUUAAGUUGAAAAAAAUAAUUAUCGUUCAAAAAUUCAUAUUAAAAAAAUAUGUUAUUUGGAUUUAAACGUUUAGCUCUAUUCAAAAUUCAGAUUAACUUGGGUCUACUCAAAUUUUAGAUAAAAAAAACAAAUGUCACCUAAGUAAAUCUAUGAUGAUACAAGCAUAUUAGUAUUUAAAAAAAAAAAUCAGCAUCUUCUUUUUUUAAAUAUUACACAAUAUAAAUUAAGCUUCAUAGAAUGCGAGUGUGAAUGGAAUUUAAAGCAUAUGGCCAUUCUUCCGUAGCUGUCCUUAUCUCAUCCAUAAGUGCCAUCUCUGUCUCUCACGUAGUCACUGUAUAAUUGAGACACAAAACAAGCUAUACGUGUUCUUCGAUAUCCUUAAUUUUACUUGUCUUAAUAUAUAUGAGUAGGUUUGAUGCAUCCUUCUACAAAUUCUCUAAACUAAGUUGGCAUAAUUAUAAGAAUAAAAUAAAGUUAGUCCGUCGGGUCAAGAAAAAGAAUAGAAUAAAUUAUUUAAUUUCAAAACAACUUUAAUCCUUCCGCGAACAUAAUAAUCACAUUUAUUCUACCGUGUUCUUCGAUAUCCUUAAUUUUACUUGUCUUAAUAUAUAUGAGGUAGGUUUGAUGCACCCUUCUACAAAUUCUCUAAACGAAGUUUGUAAUAAUUAUAAGAAUAAAAUAAAUUUAGUCUGUUGGGUCAGGAAAAAGAACAGAAUAAAUUAUUUAAUUUCCAAACAACUUUUGUCUUUCCGCGAAUAUAAUAAUCAAAUUUAUUCUACCGCUUUUGUCUCCAUUGCUGAAUUUGUCCGCGAAUAUAAUAAUCUCCAUUUUAUUUAAGUAAAGGCGAUUGUACUGUGCCUAAGCGUAAAGCCAUUUGCUAUUUUGGCGGCUACAUGUGUUACAGGCCAAUCCACGUGCCAAGAAUAGACAGGACUUGUCCAUGCAUAUCAUAAAGUGCAAUAAAAUUGAUUCACAUGUUGUAAUUUAGAAUAUUAAAGGGUUGUAUUUGAUAAGGAAAAAGAUGAUAAGGAAAGAACUCAAUCAUUGGAAAAUCAUGAAGAUCAAUUUACGGAAAGAACUCAAUCAUUGGAAAAUCAUGGAGAUUAAUUUGCAGAAUGCAUAGCACUAUCAAAGGGAUUUCCAACGUCUAGAUUAUCUCUAUAGAAUAUCUUCAAUGAUUUAAUUCUUUUAUAAAUAUUCCUUUUAUGCUAGCAGUACAUAAAUUUCAUGCAUUAGUGGGUAUGAUUUGGCCAUUAGUUAGGACAGCAAUAAGUAACUGGACUCGCGAUUAAGUAACCAAAUAGCAGUGUCUCUGUGCGUGAUAAGUCAAACGAAUCAUCAGUUUGAAGCAACUGUGGCAACAUGCGCUGCAUUAGCUAGCAAGGGGUCGACACUCAACACGAAGACCCCUUUAAGGCAAAUUCUGGAUGUUAGAGAUUAUACUAAUGAAGAAUUUGAUCACCGUGAACAUAACUCAAUAGCAACAGACCUGAUGCAUCCCAACGGCUCCUAGAAUAUCAUGCAUAAGAUUAAGUCAUGAGAUUGCAUCAACGAUCAAGCCUUUAUUUUAUGUAAAAAAACAAUCUCAAUUACUUUCUCAUAUUUACAUUUUCCACAGUACGUAUGUAUUCAAGCAGGACAGAAAUGUAAUUAAUUAAUUAAAAAGAUAGCAAUAAAUGUUUAAACUCUUGAUAUAUAAAUAAAUAUAUUCAUUAAUAUAAAUAUAUUCACUACUACUCAUAUAUAAAUAAAUAAAUUCAUUAAUAUACAUAUUUUAGUUUUCUGAAAUACAGAAUGAAUGGAAAGAUUUAAUCAUUAUUACCCAAGUGUUUGGCAAGGACAGCAAUAUGAAGAAUGGAAAUUUUGUCCCAACAAAUCUUCGGCAGUUAGUUGAGCAAAGUAAUCCAAGAAGGCUUCACAGUCUCUCUUCAAGGCCAUUUGUUAUCAUCUCCACUGCUAUCUAUCUCUUUCUCACUUGUACAAUUGACACACAGAACAAGUUGUACGUACCCGUUCUUCGAUAUCCGUAAUUUUAAAAUUGACCAUUUUCUCACUCUAAGAAAUUUGGGAUAUGACAUAGAACUAGAUCUCGAUUGUAUUGCGGUGUUGUGGAAAAAAAAAGGAUAUAACUAAAAUAAAAGUCAAUAUUUUAUGAUCAAUAUAGUUUUUAAAUAAUUUCGAUAAAAAUAAUAAAGAAUAUUAUAGAUUUUCAUUCUACAAGUGUGGAAUAAAAUUAACUUAAUUUUCAAAUCAUAAGUCAAUAAUAAUAAAUAUUUGCCAAAUAUUUUAAUGUUGUAGUUUAAAAAGCUACUCUAUACACAUCCUUGAUUGUACAAGCAUAUUAUUAUUAAAAAAAUUAUCUAUUUUUUUGUUAAUUACUUCUUUUUCCAAUUAUUGCAAAAUAUAGACAAAACUCAUGCUUGGUCGAACGUUUUUAUUGUUAAUAGAUUAUUGUAAGUUGACUAUAAACUUGGUUGAUAUUCAGUAUUCGACGUAAUGUCUUGGCCGGAUGUGGUUUGUUUGAGGGAAAUACUCCGACGAGACCAGACGUGAUGAGCAGAUGUUUGGUGGCAGAAGUCUGCGAGCAGGUGUGUCCUGUAAGAGCCAGGUAGCAGGGGAACAGGGGCAGGAAUAUCCUGCUCAUCCACGACCACGUCAUCCGCGAGGCCAAUUUCCUGUAAGAAGCAUAAAGCCAUUCCUGCUGUAUUCUUGCUAAGGGUUGAUUCGAGGAGACCCGGUCAACGACAGUUGGCGAGACAUGCUCUCCAGCCCGAGAAUCUAGGCACGAAGGCCACGCAACCACCCACGACUACGGAAAUGGGGAAUCCACGUUCGAGAGGUGGGAGGAUAACGGGCGUAGACUGCGGAAAACUGGGAUUCAGAGGAAGCCUAUAAAAAAGUUGCCAACGAAGGUAAAAGGGUUAGCAAUUUUGAGAUUAGAACAGAGAUUAAAGAAAUUUUAAAGAAGAGAAAACUACCCAAAAGCCAUAAGAUCUGUGGCAAGCGUACCCCGAACCUUCAUAUCUGACUUGAGCGUCGGAGGGUUUACGCCGGGAAAACAACUGGCGUGCUCUGACUUGUUUCUGUGGACGCAGGAAUACUUGGAGACAAAAGCAUACUAGGAGAGAUCCUGGUCGAGGUGAGGUUGAUCGAGCAGAUAUCCUGGUAGUAGAAAGAGCGUAACCAGAAUCUCGCAUCAACAUAGUUAUUCCAUUGCAUCAAUUAAUUGCACGGUUGAAUACCAUAAUUGUUUUGCCUUAAAACAUUUUCUAAUUUCUUUCUUGGACGUUCUUCAAUAUUGAGAAAUAUAUUUAAUUUUCUCCGAAUUUUUUUUCUUUCAUAGUGACAUAAUCCAAAAAUUUAAGGGUCCAUUUGAUUACAAUUCAAAAAUAAUUUAAACAAAUAUAAUCUCAAAAUUUGUGUUGAAGUUUUAAUGUGUUUACUUUUUAUUAUUUAGCCUGACAGCACUCAAUUCCCUCUCCACCUGUGUGAACGGAAUUUAACUCCUAAAUCUCUUGUUUCAAGAAACUAAAAGAGAUUUUAUUAUCUUAACUAAAUGGUAACUACAAGCUUUAAUGUCUUUAUAUAAUAUUUAAAACAAACAAUUUCAACAACUGAAACAUGUUUAACAAAAUUUCUAAUUAAUAAAAAAUAAAAAUACUUGUUUAGGUGGUGUGAUUUCAAAGGUAAUAUUUACUUAAGCAUUUACAAUUUUAUUUUCCUUUCAGCUAAUUACAUUAUAUCAAGCAGUAACUUGACCAAAAUAAGCAUAAAACAAGCUUCAUCAAGAUUCAAUAUUGAUUAUAUUCUGUUAGCUUCUAUUCUGUUACAUUAUACCUGUUAGGCUUGCCACCAAAUAAAAGCUGGCGCAGUUGUGUGUCACUUUGCACGUUCAUCUACUUAGCAUCAGGACAAUGCUUAGAUGCCCAUUUUCGGAACCUGUUAACGGCAGCUUCUUGCUCUGCUCUGGCCACCUUCUCAAUCUCAGAAAGAUAUUCCCGAUCAACCAACAUCCCCUCAGUUUCCAUUUUAACUAGAAUCUCACCGAAUGGUUGCCAGUAUUCCGGAUAAAAGUAUUUUUUUUCAAGCUCUUACAAAGCUUCAGUGUGUUUAUUGAAUCAAAGGCAGAAUAAGAGAUCCACAAUUCUCGCUCCUCUCUUUGAAGCUCUUCAACAGGAGCAAUGGUGCUUAUUUUGCCAGCAGAUCCAUCCUUUUUCAACUUUCUCCUGCCAAAGAUAUCUUUCAUUGAUAUUUUGCCCAUGAAACGCUCAUCUGUGUUGUCCUUAGACAUGUCUUUCUGAUAAGCUUUCUUAUCCUCAGACAUGACUUUCCGAUCACCUGUAAGUGAUUCAGACUGUAACCACCCUCUGUGUGUCUCGAUGAAUCCCAAAGCUGUGCCAUAUGCAUUGUGUCAGCAUGAAAACCAGAAACCUUCAGCCCAUAGUUCUCAAGGACAUGGUUAUCAAAGCUAUAGUUAUGCCAAACCUACACAAAUGAUAGCUGUUAAUAUAAGAUCAUAUGAAAAAGCAGACGACAUAAUUUUUUUUUCUUUUUUUGUGAUCCAAGUAAACUAAUACAGAGUAAAGCAGUUUGUUUAGCUAAGUAAAGGAAAUUGGAUCAGUUACGUCUAUAGAAGGUGGAAACAGCUAGAAAUCCACCAUAAAAAGAGAGAGAGAGAGAGAGAGAGAGCACAGAGAGAGGAAACAGCUCUGCAACUGAGCAGAGUAUUUCCUUUCUUUGAUCGGCGUACAACAUAUUUUCCUCAACUAACAUAAAUAGCUAUCUAAGGGGGAAAUUGGAGUUUUAGGUUUCAUCAAAUCUAUGAACUGUACCACACGGGUAGGAGAACAUAGCAUAGAUGUAGAGGUAAACUUGUAACCCAGUAGACAGCAAUGGGAACCCUAGCUUAAAUUGGAAAAGAGCAACAAAACUUGAGGAGAAAAUGCACAGCGUAGGCAGUCACCGUAAAUCUUAAACCUGUCACUGCAAAGCAAUGACAAUAAAACUCCAUCUAAUUAAACCAUAAUAUGUGAAAAAUCAGUUAUCCAGAAAUUUACUAAAGCGCAUAACCAGCUGCAAGUCCAAUGCUUGAACCGUGCACCAAUCACAUAAUGACUGGUGCAGAUUAUCAAAGAAAUAUCCGCCAAUCCAUUUCUCCAUACUGCUAACCAGAUGAUAAUUAUUCUAAUUAAAAAAAAGCGUGCAUAUGAAAGGGACUAUAAACAAGAAAAAGAUGGGGUGAAGGGGGAGGAAGGGCUCACUUUUUUGAUGGAUGGAUCCUCAAAAGAUGGAGCAAAUUCAUUAAAAAGGUCCCUGCCACCACCGUCAAGAAGAUCAACCCAGAUGCAGGACUUCCCAUUUCCAAAAUCUGCUUCUGGUCCAGAAUAAAUACUGAAGCAUAUCACUUCUCCAUGAUCAACAGGUGUCUCUUGCUUCACAUCAAUUUUGGCCACCAAUAAACAUGCUAUAAUUAGAUUCCUGUAUGCACAAAACUAGGAUAUCUAGUAUCUACAUUGAGUAAAAUGUGUGCUUCUAUACAGGAAGACAUGCAAGGAAGAAGUAAAAAAGAAGGCAACUAAGUACAUCACUCAUUACCUGCCGACAAAAAAUAAAAUAAAAGUACCAAUUUCAACUAGAAGAAGAAAAGAACAAAGUACCUCAGUAUCACAUGCAUGGACAAGAUGCUUAUAUUUGUUUGUAAGCAUCCAUACAACCUUCUUUGCGGCAGAAACAUUAUCGACAACCAUAACAUUGCUGUAGAAGCUAGCAAGUUUACUGCGAAGAAUCUCAAGUUUUUCACUAUUUUCAUUUUCUGAAGCCUUUAUGUUCUGGCCAGUACCUUCUGCAGCAUCAUUCUUAGGAUUCUUUUGAUUACUUCGCUUAGAACUAACUAGUUUUGGAGGAGGUGAAUAGGAACUACCAUCUUCAAAGCACUCAAUCUCUGAGUUCCUGAAAUCUGACAAGUUGGGAGCUGUCAAAACAGUGGCUCCUUUUCUCUCUUGAUAUUCUGCAACUUCCUUUUCAUAUCGCAAGCACUCCAUAUUAGUCUUCUUGUCUAAGGGUAUUUGAUCAUUCACAAAGUCUUUGCUUUUUUCUUCACUGCCAGUAACUUGUUUAGUAACAGCCAUCACAGAUCCAGGAUGAUUCUUAGGAUGGCCACCUACUGCACCAUUUCUGAGAUCUGCUAGUCCCUUAAAAAUGGGCUUCUUCUGCUGCUCAAAUUUCUGAAAAUAAUGUGGCUUAGAACUCGUGAUUGGAGAAAAGAAACUACUGUCUUGCAAGCACUCAGUCUUUGAUGAAGUAAGUGAUCUGUUGUGCUUGGACUCCAGUAUGUUGAUAACAGUAGAAAUGGCAGCUCUUUUUCUAUCUUGAGCUUUUGCAUCUUCCUUCUCAUCUCUCGAGCUCUCUGUAUUUGUCUGACAAGAUUCUACUUCUUUCAUUACAUGCAGUCUGGUCGUUUCUGUCAUCCACCCUCUCGAACUGUGGAUAGUAUUUUUUGCAGAAAAUGUUUCAUUGCUGAAAUUAGAAGGAUUAGGACGAUAGAAGGAUGCAACCUCCAGAAAUUGUUUUCCAUGAAGUUUUUCUCUUUUUUCAUCUAUUUUUGGCAGAUCAAAAGUUCCUUUCGAGGAGUAGUUUCCUUCAAAACUGUUGAGAUCUUGGCAGAAAGGGACCAUCUUAGCUGAUGAAGCACCCACCGAAAGUCUAUAAGCAUAUUUUUUAAUGGGAAAUCUCCUAGCAUUGUUAAAAGAACUAUAAAAUCGGGGAAAACUACUCGACAUCAUAAUGUUGGGAAAGGUAGUGUUCGUUACGCAGCCUUCUCUCCUGAAAUUUUUUUCAAUGGAAACAAUAUCAAAGGCAGCAGAAGGUCAAGCAACCAUGAUAAUAUACAAAUUGCUUCAUGCCAAGUAAGAAAGGGAAACAUCUCAAACAGCGCCAAUAAGAAUUUAGAACCGUAUGCACAGCUCAAAUCCACUGAAAGCUGAACAUCAGUACAGGAUGACAUUUGCAACAUAACAUAUCAUAUCAUAAUCACACAUAGCAACAAUAUGGCAAACCAAAACCCAGUUAACAGAAUUAAAAUGUGGGUGUUACAUAAUCUUCAAAAGUCAAAACCCAGAUAGCAAAAGCUAUGCACGCAAAAAUACAAUCUCUUUAACUUCUCCAAUUGAACAAAGCAAAACUGUAAGUGGGUAUCAAAUAACCCUAAAAACUCAGAAAGCAAAAGCAAUAAACAGCACGAAAACACAACAAAUAAGAGCCGUUUAAAAGAAGUGAGAGGGACAUUAGGAGAGGAGCAAGGAGACCACUUUCUGGUGGUGAGAUUCGUGGAGACUCCCAUGACCGUUAUCAAGUUCCCAACUUUUGUUCUGCUAAACAGCAGCUUGUUGCCAGCGGUGCUUGUGCUUGUAAGAGCCGUUUUGAAGGGUUUAAGAGGGGGCAGAACGGUAAUAAAGGUGGGAUUUUGAGGGUGGGGUUUAAGAGUGUGGCGGGUCUGUGUCUGUUUCUGUAGCUGAAAUACCGAGUGUGGCCAUCAACGGUCAGAACUCAGCAGUCGGCACUACUUGACGAGCCAGCGACAAUGGUUAUAGCUAAAACCCUUCGUUGCACUGGCGCCUUCAUUAUUACUUUUUUUAAUUUAAUUUUUCAAUUUUUGGCUUUUGGGUAAUUUGUCAAAAUCGCCCUUCAGGUAUGGCGUAUUUGCAAAAUUGAUGUCAAGCAUUGUUUAUUUUUGAAAACCCUCUGCAAAAUUUUGAAGUUUGACAUUUGUUAACUGGUUAAGAGUAAAAUCAUAGAAAUACUUGACAAAGUGAAAUACUCAAGUUUUGCGUAUGUAAUCAUUCAUAAUUAUAAUAAGUUAUUAAUUGUUUGAGACUAAGUUUAAUUUAAAUUCUUGGAUCCUUAGUAUAGUAAUAUUAUAUAAUCAUAAUAAAUAUCAAGCUAAAUUCGGUACGUUAACACUUUCUCUCUUAAUUCAUUUAUAAAAACUGUUAAAUAAAUAGACUAAUUACAUCUCUUUGCUCUUUCUUGAUAAAACUGUCACUUUUGAGAUAAAAUUAAAACAAAAAAAUGAAAAAUAAAGAAAUAUCAUGUUUCUAAUUUUCACAUCAAAUUAAACGCAACGGUAAGUCAACAAAUAAAGAAUGGCUCGUUAAAAGACUAUCAAUUUUGUUAAACACAUUUUGAUUGCAAAAGUCACUGUCUAUAUACAUAAAGUAUUUUUGGAUUUGGUUUUUCUAGUGGAUCUAAAGAAACUAAAUGUGUUUUUGAUAUGACUUAUUUAAUAGUCAUAAGUAAUUAUUUAAUUUCAUAAGCUCUUUUCAAAUUUAUUUUUGGUAUUUAAAUUUUUCAAAUAGAAUUUUUGAAAAUUAAAUAAGUUAUUUUACUUCUAUUUGCAAAAGCUCAAAUUUUAGGCUUUUAGAGUAGAAGUUUAUUUAAAUAUUAAAAUGUUUAAAAGAUCCUCUAUUUAUUUGAUAAUCUUAUUUCAUUUAUUUCGUAAAAUAAUUUUAAAAACAUUAUUUAUUAAAAUAAUUUUAUAACUUUUAUUAAAUGCUCUUAUUGACAACUAAAUAAUUAAAAAAAAUUAAAAAAAAAAACUCUACUUGUAAAAGUUUUACUAACAAUAGUUCUACUUAAAUAAGUUUCAUUUAAAAAUCUAUAUUUAAUGGAGCUUAAAAGUAUCAUGAUCAUUUAUUAUUAUGUAUUGGUAUGAAUUUUGCUUUUUUUUUUUUCCUAAAUUGUUUCAUAUGUACUUUUACAAAGAUUUCUCUCUCAAGUCAGGCCUUCAUUGUAUCUAAGGCGUUAUGAUACUUUCUCAGUUAAGUGAUGGUCAACAAAAAAUUUAACAGACGACAAGAGGAUUUUAAUGCAUAAAAUGACUUUUUCCAUCUAAUUGCAAAUAGAUCAUACCUCAGGGGAGGUUAUUAAAAAGUACGCACAAGAGAACAAACAUUUUAUACAAUGACUGAUGUCGACUUUGCCACGUGGGUAAUUGUCAUGUGUGGCUGUGUAGUUUUUCAGAUUCUCUAUUGAUUUUUUUAAAAUUUUAUAAUAAAUCCCACUUUUUAACCAAAAAAAGUAAUUAAACGGAAAUCAAAUCCCUUCGUGAUUUAUUAAAGUUUUGUCUGCGGUGAUGUGUUUGUCUAAUAGUAAUUUGUUUAAAAUUUAAAAUAAAUUAAAGUUAAGUUAUUUAAUUUUUACUAUUAAGUGGUAUGUAUGUGAAAUUCAUAUAUAAAAUAAGAAAAACAAACAAGUAAGACUUAAAAAAAAUUUAAAAAUCAUAAAUUUUCAAACUUUAGAUAUUUAACACACAAGUUCUAAUUGUGAUUUCAUCACAGAAUCAAUAGGUCUUUUAUUUUGACACUUCAUUAUUAGUUGGCCGCACCACCUCAGCAUAUUAAAAUGGUAUGCUUGUAUUGCAAAAAAAAAUUCUUCUAAAAUGUUUAUGUGAAUAAAAUUCAAACAUAACAAAAUUUCUCAAACAUUUUCAUUACCUCGAGAAGUUUUUAAUGAUUGCACAACCUAAUUAGCAUAUAUUAUUGUUACUAAUUACAUUUUUUUCCCAAAUACUGCAUAAUUUAAAGUAAACACCUGCUUGAUUGGUGAAUAAUGUGAAUAAAAUUUAAAGAAUAAAUUUUACCAAUUAAUAUAUAUUUGAAUAAUUACAUUAAAUAAUACACAUUAUUAAUUUGAAGUUUUCUUAAUACUAGAUUAGUGUACAUUGAGUAAAACCUUGGUUGUUCUUCAAUAUUCGAUAUCAUGCCUUGCCUUAAGGAUUUGACAUAUGAUUCCAACAUCAACUUGGUGGAACAAUAGAAUCAUAAUAUUGUAGAAACUAUUUGAAAAUACUUGUUGAAGUUAUUGGGACAAAAAAAAAAAAGGGUCCAUCUGAUGUAGGAAAUAAAAAUAAUUUUAAAAAAUUUAAAUGGAAAAAUUGGAAAAAAUAAAUUGAACAAAAUAAACAUAAAAAAAGCUUAAUCAAGAUUUCAUUGUUGAUUAUGAUCUUUAGCUCAACUUGUGGCUCUGUCAUUGCUCUUCUGCUACAUUAUACAAACAGAACCACAAGAAAAUUCCCAGCAAACUAAAACCAUAAAUAAACUAAAGAUUAUUAAAUUAAUAGUAAUGGGGACUGAUUUAUACAAUAAAAAUCCCCAAAAAUGUGGAAAACAUAUACCUUGAAACAAUAUCAUUGCAGUGGACAACGAUUUGUUUUUUAAGUGUUUUUUUUUUAAUCUUUCUUAUUAGUGAAAAAAAUAGGUAAAAUUGAAUUUUAAAUUUUGAUACUAACAAUUGAACAAACUUUUUUCAUUGUAUUUAUAAUUAAACCAAUUUUUUCAUUAGAUUUAAAAAAAAAUAGGAGAGACUACGAGAGGAUUGUAAGCCAAUUACAGUAUCCAUUUGCAUUCUUCUUCUUAUUUGAAAACUUUUGCCAUCCCUCGCACCAUCAUGCUUUGUUGUAGUUGUAAUUUCUUUAUUGUUUCUUUUUUUGUGAGCUAAAUACUCUAUUGCGGUUACGACAUCGCUCAUCUUGGCCUUGUUCCAGCUUCUUCUUGCAGACUCAUAUUGCUGCCACUGCAAGUUCUUUGGUGGUGUUUAGUUGGGAGGAGAGAAUAGAGGAAAAGAAAAUAAUUUAAUUUCUAUUUUUAUUUUCAUUGUUUGAUUGGGUAAAAUAUAUAAGAAUUUAAUUUUCAUUAUCAUUUAAUUUUUUAACUUGUUUAUUUAAUUAAAUUUAAUGAAUGAUUUAAGAAACUUAGCAAAAUAAAUAAACUUGUUUAUUUAUUUAAUAUGAAAAUAUAAAAAUAUAAAUUAACCAUUGUCGGAACUCUGACGGACCGUCGCCAUAUAGUCGCCCGAUAUCUGCGGGACCAUAGCCAGAACUCUAUUAGACCGUCGGAACUCUGUCGGACCGACGUUUUAUAUAUAUAUAUAUAUAUAUAUAGUAAUUUUCCAAUUAGGGAUUCCUGACUUUAAUAAAGUCAAAGAUUAGUUAAAAGACGAAAUAAACACAGACUCCAAUGCACUGUAUUUUGUCAUAUAAUAUAUUAAAAUUUAUUUUUUUUGUCUUUUAGCUAAUCUUUGACUUUAAUCAAGUCAGGGAUUGAUAUCAUACAUACAUACAUACAUACAUACAUACAUACAUACAUACAUACAUAUAUAUAUAAGGACUUUUUAACAUUAAAAAAAUUUGGCAUUGAUAUUAAAUUGUAUUUCAUUAUUAAUAUAGGGGUCCGCCUACGUUACAUGUAGUGUAACGUACACUCAGCCUGUGAAAUUUCAUCUAGCCCCUUAUACUUUCUGUUAUUUAUAUUUUAUUCAUAAAUAUUAUAAAUUUUUUUAAAUGUACAAUUUCAUUUAACCCCUUAUACACUCAAUUUUAUUUUAUUAAAACCCUAGAGUAUGAAUUCGCCCCUAUAAUAUUAAAUUCUCAAAAUAACCUCUAUUUAAUUAAAAAAUAUAAUUAUUGUUAAAUGAAUUAUAAUUAUAAUUAUUAUUUUAUUAUAAUCAUAAAUAUUUUUUUAAUAGAUUAUUGUUAUUAUUAAUAACAAGAAUAAAAAGCAUUAUAAUUAAUUAAUCUAUUAACAAUAAUUAAUAAUAUUUUUUAUUAAAUUGUUAAUAAUAAUAAUAAUUAAUGAUUAUCUAGAUUUUUUUUAAUAUUUGGUAUAAAACUUAUUUUUAUAAUAAAAAUUGUUAUUACUCACACCCAAGUCACUAUCUAAACGCAAGGUAUUUUUCCAGCCUCCGCUCUCCUGGCAGCCUAAAAGUCCACACACGCAUGAGACCCCCUUGCCCAAACAACUCAAAAAAUAUUUAUUAUAAUCAUAAAUAUGUUAAUCGGAACUAGUUUAUUCAAAAUAAAAGUCUCCGCUCUCCUUUCAUAUUUUAUUAUAAUCAUAAAUAUAUUAAUUAUCAUUGAUUAUUAUUAUUAACAAUUUAAUAAAAAAAUAUUAUUAAUUAUUGUUAAUAGAUUAAUUAUAAUACUUUUUAUUCUUGUUAUUAAUAAUAACAAUAAUCUAUUAAAAAAUAUUUAUGAUUAUAAUAAAAUAAUAAUUAUAAUUAUAAUUCAUUUAACAAUAAUUAUAUUUUUAAUUAAAUAGAGGUUAUUUUGAGAAUUUAAUAUUAUAGGGGCGAAUUCAUACUCUAGGGUUUUAAUAAAAUAAAAUUGAGUGUAUAAGGGGUUAAACGAAAUUGUACAUUUCAAAAAAUUUAUAAUAUUUAUGAAUAAAAUAUAAAUAACAGAAAGUAUAAGGGGCUAGAUGAAAUUUCACAGGCUGAGUGUACGUUACACUACAUGUAACGUAGGCGGACCCUUAAUAUAGAUAAUUUAGUAUUUAUAGAGAGUUUAGUAUUUAAGGUAAAGGAUAAAUUUGUCCAAAGAAAAAAAUUGUAAUUCUUUUUCCUAUUAAAUUUUAUGUCAAAUUAAAUAAUGAAAUUUAAUUUCAUUAUCCUCCUCUACUCCUUUAUUCCACUCUUUUCCUUCUCUUCCCCCCCUUUUUUUUUAAUUAAUAACCACCAAAGAGGUGGGGGGUUAGGCAGGACUCCUACCUAUCAGAUAAAUCAAUAAAAAAGUAAUUACAUUAAGAGGGUAACAGAACCGAAAACCUCACAAAGCAGAUGUAAAUACAUAAAAAUAAAACAGAAAAUACACCAUCUAUUGAAACAAUAAAUCAACAAUCCUAUCGUCUGACAUGAGGGAAAGUUUGCGCAUCUAAAUGAAGAAUGCCAGAUAAGCCCGCAUGUAGAUCCUGAGCACAUAAGAAAUGUCGGCUAACCCGGUGAGAGUAAGCCCAAUUGGCCAAAAAAUCAGCAGCAGAUGUAGCCUCCCGAAGCACAUGUCUAAUCACAAUGUGAAAGGAAGAUAUCAAAGGGCACACCCAACGUAAGAAGUAAAUAUAAUCCUAACGAACAAGACCCUGGGAGUGAAUUCAAGAAACCACCGUGGUUGGGUUUGAUUCUACCUCAAGUGCAGAGUACCCACGUUGAGUAGCGAGCUCCAACCCCUCGCAAACAACCAUAAGCUCACCUUCUCCUCCCCUUUCUUUAAAUCAGACAUAGCCUUAGUACAAACCUUUUAUAAGGUAGUUCCCUUCUAAUAAAAAUUGCCAAUAACAUAAAUGAUGAUUGAUUUCAUACUUUUACGUUAUUGAAUCUUUUGUAUAGUAAAAUUAUGCUUUGGAGUCAUUUGAAACAAUAAGAGAGUGAAUUAUAAUUCUUCUUUUAACUGUUUUUAAAUUCUUUAGAUGAAGCUGAAUUUUUUACUUUCUUGGUGACUAAUACUUUGGACAAUGAAUUUUUAACUCAUUUGACAAUAUUAUAAAAAUUCACCCUGCCCCUGCCCCUCCCCCUCCCCCGGUGUUGAUGUUUACUUGCGUAGUGACAGUACGGGGACUGCGUUCCUUCGUAUUACUAAGCUUUAGCUUCUGCUAGGCUCGCCUUCUUUAUAAAAAAAAUAUUAUAAAAAUUCAUUUCGCACUUUAACAAAAUGUAGGACCUCUUAUUAAAAAAUGCACUACAUAUAUAGCGUACUUGUAUGGUUUAGAAUCUUAAAUUUUAUUAAAAUCUAAAAAAAACUAUUAUGACAGUCUUGAUGGAACGACGGUUUCCCUUUAAGGCCAUUCCAUAAGGAUUGCCGCCCUUCGUUUUCAACAUGUUAUCCAUAUGAUCCGUCUCUAUAGCGUUAUCCUCAUCACAUCUGUACGAUCCAUUUCGCUAUCUCUCUCGCUCUCUCACUUGUAUAUAUAAUUGAUACAAAGAACAAGCUGUACGUAGAUGUCCUUCAAUAUCCUUGGUUUAAAUUGUCUUAGUAUUAUAAGGUCUGUUCCUUGCAUCCUUCUACGAGUUCUAAACGAAGUUGGCAUAAUUAUAAGAAUCUUAAUAAUGGUAAAGUUAAUCGAUCGACGGGGUCAGGAAAAAGAAUAGAAUAGAUUAUUUAAUUUCCAAAAGUUUAAUUUUGUCUCUCCGCGAAUGUAAUAAUCACAUUUAUUUUACUACUUUUGUCCCCAUUGCUUAUUUUAUCCGCGAAUAUAAUAAUCACACGUUUUUAAAGUAAAGGCCAUUUUGGAAGAAGCCUGUACGGUUUGGAAAGAGGUUUUGAUUGAUAUAUAUAUAAAUAAAUAAAUAAAAAAGUGAAUUUACUCCAAGACCUUUGGCGCAACUAUACAUAACAUAGAAAUUACACUUGAAAAGGGUGAAUAAUCAAAUAAAGCAGCGGGUGCUACAACCGACCGUAAAAGAGAGGAAAUCCGCCACAUUUCCUUCUGAAAAGGUCCUUGAUUUUAUCCAAAAGCGUGCAGUGCCUAAGCCCAAAGUCUUUUGCUAUUUUGUUGAUUACUACUGCCCGUUACAGGCCAAUCCUUGGUCACUCUCAUGACUAAGGUUUUGUCUGGCCGCCACAAUCAUUAAAACCUGAGGGAAAAUAAAUGGGAAAUUAUCAAAUUUUCAUCUGAUUGGUAAAAAUGCAAAAAUAAUUGAAAGUUUUAGAACUUAUCAAUUUUUUUUUUCGCUAGAAAAAAAAUGGGAUUUGACCGAGAAUUAGGUCUUGAUUAUUACUGGUGUAUUGUUGGAAAAAAAGUUGUAAUUAUAAUAUAAAAUUAUGCGACAAAUAUAGUUUUUAAAUAGUAAUUUUAAUAAAAAUAAUAAAAAAUUAUAGGUUUUCAUCAUACAAAUGUAAAAUUAAAUCAAACUUAAUUUCAAAUCACAACAAUAAGUGUUUACCAAAUACUUUUAAUUAUGUUGUUUAAAAAUUACCACUACCCAACCACAAUAACACAAGGCCUUGAUAUAAGUUAAUCCCGACAAAUUUCUGAUUGUAACUCAAAAAAAUCAUAUUAGUAUUAAAACAAUCAACACCUUUUUUUAUUAAAUUUUUUUAAAUAUCAUAUUAUAUGAACAAAACACAUGCUCGAUUUUUUUUUCAAUUAAACCUUGACCAGUAAGGCAAUUUAUUAAAUUAAAAAGAAGGGAACACUUAUUUAGGGGACAUAAUAAACUAUAUCCCGCAAAAUAAUUUUAGAAGAACCAAUACAGAUGGGUGGCCUACAAAACAAGAUGGUUUAGCUGAAAGCGAAAAAAUAAAAAAAACCAUCACUCCGUAUUAGCAUUAUUAUGAGAGAGGAACUUAGGAGUUUCUGGAAGUUCAGAGUCCCAGCAAGUGAAAGGAGCAGCUCAGGCCCGAAUGAGCUAGGCAGCCGCCGCACAGCCCCUCGAAAGUGUGGGUAAUUGUCUACGAAAAUUCAUUUGACUCAUUAGAUGACAACAAUUAAACACAUGCUCGAUCGAAAUGCCAGUGUGAAUGGAAUUUUAAAUCAUCAAAAUCUUUAACCAAUGAUUAACACACUUGUUGUUAUUCAAUGGAGUUGUGAUUUUUACACCCCUCCAAAGUCCUUAUAAUUAAUCCCCCUUUUACAUACACGUGACUACUAGAAGUUUUGAAAAUUAUGAUACUUUAAUUUAAUUCCCAAUCAACCCUUCAUAAAUAUUUCUACAUCUCUAAAGUGAUUGUUUACUUUCUAAUGUCCCUUGUAAGUAAAUGAUGAAGGCUGAUUUUGCUUUAUUUCUAUUUUCAGUAUCGCUCAAAGAACAUCAACGGCCCCAUUUGAUUUUCGCCUUGGGUGUGAAGCUAAAAGAUCUAUGUUAUCUUCAAUUAAGUAUUCCUUUUUCUUAAAUGUUCUUUUAUCUCUCUUUUUCUAAAACCUAAAUCAUUCAAAAAAAAAAAUUGUAAAAUUUCACCCAAUUUAGCCGAAAAAUUGCCAUUCCCACGGUAUUGAUAAUUGAGGAGUGAACAACUUGCAUCAAUCAGCGGGAUUGCGGGAAAAGGAAAACCUAGAAAGAGAGUUUGCUCUUGAAGGGUUGUAAGUUUGUUCAGGGGUUAUUCGUAGAAUAAAUUUUAGAUAAUUGUAAGCACCGAAAUUUAAAAACUCUUUUAAAUGGAUUUGUUUAGAAAAAAAAAAGGUUCAUAAGAGUUCCGGAAGGGGUGCUAAUAGCUCAACUCCAUUCAAUAUUCGACGUUAUGUCUUGGCUGGAUGUGAUGAUUCAUUGAUUCCAUUGCAUCAAUCAAUCGUACUGUGGAAUAUCAUCAUUAUUUUGCCUUAAAACAAUUUCUAAUUUCUUUCUUGAAUGUUCUACAAGAUUCUGAAAUACAUCAAUUUAUGCUUAAUUUUUUAUUUCAUAAUCCAAAAUUCAAGGGUUCAUUUGAUUUACGAUUAAGAAAUAAUUUUCAAAAAUAAAAAAUGAAUUUAAAAAUGUGAUGAAGGUUUUAAUGUCUUUAUUUUCUUUAUUAUUCAUAUUAAUGGCAACCUAGUCCUCUCCCCAUCUAUGUGAAAGAGAUUUGAAUCCUAAACUUCUUUUUUCAAGAAAAGAGAUUUUACCAACUUAAAUGAUGCAAGUUUUAAUAUGUUUAUAUAAUAUCCAAAAACAAUAAUGUCAACAACUGAAACAUGUUUAAAAUAAUUUCUAAUUAAGUUAAAAAAAAAAAAACAUGUUUACGAUAUCCCCUGUUCUUUGUGUCUACAUAGUGUAUGGUCCAUCAUGUGCAAAUUUUAUGGACUUGAAUCCAGUGGCUCCUGAUAAGAGACACAUCAUUCCAAUAAAAUAGGAUAUUCUUUAUUAGAAGCUCACUCCAUAUACAUGUGUGUAUGUGUUUGUGUCAAGAAUCAUUGCUAUUAUAACAUGUGCAUAGAAGAAAUCAUGAUCAUUAUGGAUUACAUAAUUUGAAUUUGUGAUUUAUGAUAAUUUUCUUAUUAUCAUAAUUUUAAAGGUGAUGAAUCCGUGAUUUAUUAUUAUUUUUAAUAUAUUUAAUGAAUUUUCAUUUUAAGAUAGCGGGGUGUGUAAAGGCCAAAUCAAUUUGUAUGAUAUGUCUUAUAAAAUAUUAUUAAAAUAAUGAUAAUGGAGACUGAUUUAGAAUAGAAAUUGCCAAAACAACAGAAAUGAUGAUUGGUUUCUUACUUUUUGUCUUUUGUAUAAGUUAGACCUUGAAGCCAUUUAAUUGAAGCAAGAAGACAGUGAAUUCAAUUGUUUUUUAAAUACGCCGGAUGCAGCUGAAUUUUGUUUUUCUUUCUUGAUGAAUAAUACUUUGGACAUUGACUUUUGUUUUGAUCUAAAUUUUUAUCAGCGCAUAUACACGUUCGCGUUGGUUGUCAAUAUAAUGCAAUUAACUUCACUGACGAUAAUGAGUAACAAUUACAUGUGUUAACACAUUCAAUAUUUAAUUCGAAAUACACCCAGUACAUUAAUAUUUUACAUGACAUGAUACAACACACCCAAAGGAAAAACCACUGUAAGAACCAAGUAAAAUAAUUAGAGGUACAAUACAUAUAAAGAUUGCCAUCCUAUCAUGCAUACAACUUAGAAAUAACGCGUCUACUUCUUCUUCUUCUUCUUCUUCCAAGGAAAAUUAUUCAUAAAUUCCAAGUAAUAGACCUUCCCAUUAGCCAAAAAAAUCAGCACAGUAAGGAAACUCCAUGAGUGCUAAAACAAUCACUGGAAAGAUAGCAGCGGCAUAGAGAGCAGCGGUCCAUUUCUUCUCCAUACGAAUGAUGAGUAGAAGUGAAGCCGAGAAAGUAAUCAUGCUUGUUAGUACAGAAAAGAAGAGCAAAGUGAAGCCAACCAUCAACUUGCGCGGAAGUUCUCUAAGGAAAUCAGAUGACUCACGUGGCGACGUGAGGAUGGAUAGGAACAUAACAACGGAUGACAAAGAUAAGGCCAAGGAGGCAACGUCCAUUACAGUAAAAACAUAGAAAAGUGGUGACUUAAGGAAAUGGGGAAACCCCUUAUCAUUGUUACCUCCAGGUAUCGUGAAGGCAGCUGUAAAGACGACGGUUGCGAUUAGGAUUGCCAGCACGGAGCAUGCCUGAGAGGUUUCUUUGAUCCAUUCUUGUGCUUUCCUAAGUUGAUCUUCAUGUGUUAGAUUAAAGAGGUCACUUGCAGUCAUCUUAUUUUUUUCGUCGCGGUGCAUAGCAUAAUGGCGAGGCAUUAUCUCUUUUACAUGCUGCAUACACACACACACACGCGUUAAAUAGGGACGGAGGCCUAUACACAUAGCCACAUGUGUAGUCAUUAUCUCUGUAGAAUUUUAAAAUAUAGAUUCAAGGUUUUACUCAAUUGCAAAACGCUUCUAAGAGGGUUGUAAAAGGUUUUACACAAUUAAAGAAAAAAAAAGUGUUUUAUAAAAUAAUGAAAUAGUGAAUCACCUAAGAAUGAAUAUACAUAUACAUAUAUAUCACUACUAGAAAAAUGGGCUACCAUGACAGAGAAUAUCUGUCAUCCGACCCUGUUUAUGACAGAGUUUCUAUCUGUCAUUGUAGCGCCUCUCACAAAUCUGUGACAGUAAUUUAUCUAUCAUAGGUGUAUGUGACAGCUUAUAGCUAUUACAAAUGUGUCACAACAAAAGCAACGUCGUUUUAAUAUUUUAGUGGUAAAUAUGUUUUAUUGUGAAAAAACUUUUGGCGGGUAUUAUUAAUUCAAUUUUAAAUUAUGGCGCGUAAUUAUGUGUCACAACUUUAUGAUGCUAAUAUGGUGUCACGAUGUGAUUUUUUUUAAAUAAUAAUAUUAUUAAAAGAAUUUUUAAUUUUUUUAAAUCAUAAAUUUUGAAUAUUUUAAGUAAUAUUAAUAUUGUAAAUCAUUUUUAAUAUUUUUAAAUUAGAAAAUAAUUUUUAAUAUUUUUAAUAAUAUUAUUAUUUAAUAAUAUUAUUAAUAUUAUUAUUUUAUAAUUUUAUAAAUUCCAUUGAAAUUUAAAAAUCACAAUAUGUAUAAAAUCAAUACAUCCAAAUUAUCUCAACAAUAUUAUCAAAACAUCACUAAAUCAUCACUUGAAAUAACCAUAACAUUGUCAAAACAUCAUCUAUUCAAUUAUCACAAAUCUACAUCCCAACACUACCAUCUGGAUCAUUACCAGCAUACAAAAACAUCACAACACUAUAUAUCAUCUGAAACACUACCAGGCUGAUCAAGAUUCACUACUACUUAAGACUUUAUCAAACAAUAUCAGCAUACAAAUUUCACUACCACUUAGACUUUAUCAAGAUUCACUAUCAUCUGGAACAAUACCAGCAUACAAAAUUCACUGCCACUUAGACUUUAUCAAACAAUAUCAUCAUCAACUCCACUGCUCAUACUAUUAGCUCAGACACAAAGGAAGCAUACUCGAGACGCACUUCAUCAAGCUCACUUUGAGUGUAUUCACAUUUCCCUUUAAACUGUGAAAUGAUAAUCACAUGUCAGACUAAAGUGAACUAUAUAUAGUUAAAAGUAUUAAGUGAAGUAUUCUGACAAUGCAUCUGAAAGAAUGUGUACUUACAUCAUGGAGAAGUAAACUCGGGUCUACAAUUAUGUCUUUUAUAAACCUCAGCACAUAGUAUCCACACUCAGUACUCCCUGGUUGAUUUGGGGACUAUAUCAUCAACAGAAUAAUCAUUAAUACAUAUGCAUAUGAAUUCUUUCAAGUGAUUAAAUAUUAACAAGUCAUGCGCUGCCAAAAAAAAAAGAAGAAAAAAGAAAGUCAUGAUUGCUUACCAAAACUUUUGUGAUCUGUGGUUUCACCCUUUUUUUACCAGUCACCGCAACAUGCAUUGAUAUCCCACUACAUUAUAAUACAUGCAGUAAGUAAAUAAACAUGAUACAUAAAAUUAUAUUAGAAAUACAAUAUCACCAUACUUGGUAACUAUGUCCUUCAGGUCACUGUCGUCACCCAAAUCGUUGUUCGUAGAAUCCAAAUAAAACGCUUGCUUUGUCGUCAUAUCAAUUACAAUCAACACCCAAUGGAAACUAUUACACAAAGAAAUUGAAAUUAUGAAUCAAUUUUAGUAAAUGAUCAUCAAUAUAAAGUAAAUAGAACUGUACCCAGGGUUAUAUGGCAUGAAAAUCAUUUGCCCUUUGUUUGCUUUGUUCAACCGUUCGACAAUAAAUGUGCCCUUUUUACCCUUGUAGCAAAGGCAUCCUUAUCAUGGGCUGAUGAUCCGAGUUCUGUGUGUAUGAACCCAAAUGGUCUGCCCACUAUAUCAUUCGCCAUGUGUGCAUGCAACAUCCUGAUGCAAUUAAGAUGAUGAAAUAGUGAGAAUGUUGCCAAUAAAAAAUAUCACUAAAAAAAAAGAAAACAGAGAAAGGAAGCAAUAAACUAAAAAUUGAAAAUAAACUAGUAAUUAUGAUUUUGUAAACUUACGCGAUGUAUAGAUGCAUAUGAUUUGCUCCUAGCUCUUUCAUCGAAAUCAAUGAUUGACAUUCAUCGAGCCAAUAUGUGCUUUAGUUGGAUGCUUGUAUACCUCUUCAUCCAACUGAUAAGGUACGUAAUAACCCAUUUGAGCCAACUUCUUUUCACAAAGAUUUGCAAAUAUUACAAGCCCAGGCACCCGGUUCAUAUGCACAAUAUGAUAAUUCCUUGUUCUUCUUCUUGACAGUGGCUUCUCUUGGGGCUUUUUUGGUGAUGUCUUCUUCUUUGGACUGCAUGGUUUGUCUCUUGGACAAUCAAGAGUCAUUCUUGGUUUCUUGUGAGGCUUCAUUGGUGAUUCAUUCUUCUUUCUUGGUUAUUGCCUUUUCUUAAGAGUUUCUGGUUUGUCUCUAAGACAAUCAACAAUCACUUGCUGCUUUGGUGAUUGCCUUUUCGUUGGAGUUUCUGGUUUGUCUCCAGGACAAUCAGCAGUCACUUGCUUCUUUGGUGACUCAUUCCUCUUCCUUGGUGAUUGCCUUUUCUUUGUCAACGUUUCAUGCUUCUUCUUUGCAGGUGAUCCAUUCCUUGUCAUGCCGAUUGACUGACAAGCCAAAAAAAAAAAAAAAGGUUUGUUAUUGCGGUUUUGACUACGGCUAAAAUUGUCUAAAAUCCAAUGUUGAAGUCAUUUUUUAACUUGACUGUGCACAACAAUCUGUAUCAUACCUUGUCCUCAUUACGAGCAGUCAUUUCUUCAGCUUCAUCUUUAAUUGUUUGCUCAUCUAAUGGAACGUUUGAGCUUCCAACAUCUGAAUGUCGAGGUUGCUUUUUAAUCUUCUUCUUCAGAUCACUCAACUCUGCUUCUUGCUUAUCUAACCUCUCUAGUAUGUUUAGUCGCUCUUGUCGUAACUGAAAUGAAUUGUUUGGGGUGUCAAAGUACAUCUUAGGCGAUAUAAAUUUCCCAACACCCUGCAUAUGUCCAGAAGUGGCAGGCUUUCCAAUUGAACGUGCAAGAAUAUCAUUUCUUGCAUCAGCUUUAAAUUCUCAUUUUUUAGCUUUCUCUUCCAGUGCAUCCUAAUUGCAUAAUAAUCAUAUUGAUGAAUAUCAAUUUUUUUCCAACAGAACCUAAUUAAAAAAAAAAACUUGCUAUUACUUACAAUCUUCUUCACAACUGAAUCAACAUCAGGAUCAUAUUCACCGUUUUUCAUCUUCCUAGCACGCUUCCAUGCUACACUCCUGUCAACUUCAGUUUCGACAAGUCCAGUUUCCGAGCACUGUAGUUUAAAAAAAUAAUAAUAUCAUAGCUGGUAUGCAUCCUUAACUAACCAUGAAUUGCAAGCAGUAAAUUAAAACAAAAGGUUUGCCAAUUUAUCAUCAUCAAACCAACCAUCUUUAUACCAAUAGCUAUACAAGAAUGGUCAAGUUAGUAUCAUAGUACUUACAAUUUCAUCAUGCAAUCCAGCAUAUCAUUUUCUACUUAAACGAUGGUUCCACUUGUUGUAAGCCCUCUUAUUUUGCUGUUGACGCCUAAUUCUCUACAUAAAACAAUCCUUAAUUAGAUUUAAAGAUGGUUUUAUGAAAUGUCUAAAUAUUUAACAUUUAAAAGUAUUCACCUCAAACUCAGUGGACAAUCUAGAAUUCACAAAUUUAUCCCAAACAUUUUGAGGAAUAUGACUGUACUGAAAAGGUGGCCGCUUCAACCUUUUACGAUUGUGCUUGUGUGGCAAGAUAUACUUUGUGGUGAGCAAGUACUUGAAGUUUCUGAAUGCACUACCAAGUGCUUGCAAAACUUGCUUCUUACUAUUUGGAUGAACAAUAAAACGUUCCUGAGAAAAAUACAUAGCAUAAUGAUCAAAUAGUUUAACAAAUACAUUAUUCAAUUCUGAGAAAUAAAUAUAAAUAAUCAUUUUACCUUAAUAAACUCCCACAAACGGCUUUUUAAAUAUGGAGUAACCUUUCUCCAUUCUUGGUUAAUAUCCGGAAUAGAAGUACGGCCCAACAGCCCAAUAAAGCUUGCUAAUUCAGUAGCUUCAGGGCCAACAGGUACACUGAACCCAUUGUACCUGACUACAAGCUUCCCGCUGUUGAGUGUUAGAAAAUGCAUAUUUAUAAAGGAGAAAACCAUCAUUUUACAUUUCAAGUCUUACUAACAACUCUUACUUUUAUGUAUUUAAUCUUCUUGUGAUGUAAUUACGUGUGUGUUAUUUUAAUUAAGUAUUUUAUGUAUUUUAGGGGCAUUAUAGUCAUUUCACAAUAAAGGAGAGAUCAGACGGCAAAACGGACAUCACUUUUGAACUCAGGACGAUCGAAAACCUUAGGAGGAGUAUAAAAGGAAAAAUGGCAUUAUUCACAUGUACGGUACUAUUCACGUAUACGGUAUUGUAUAUGUUACUGUUCACGGCACUGUUCACAUAGACGGAUCGAUGAUGUGGCAUUGACUGAUGAGGUGUCACGAUCCUGUUGGACUAAAAUUCUUAUGUACUGUUGAUGGUGACGUGACAGCAUAUCAGUGGACGAAAAAUCUCGCGUACGGUGCAUGCAUCACACAGGAUUAUUUUCAACCAAACCGCAUUACUGUUCAUCCGGGUCAAACCGUGUUACUGUUCAUCCGCGUGGUCAAACCGUGGGCUAUUGACUGAUGAUGUGGCGCAAUCGUGAGCGUCCAAACUGUUUUUAAUCCGAUGGCCAUGAUUUACUCCAUGUAUCUAUAAAAAGGGGGCCUUCCCCCCUAAUUUGAUAUCUCUGAAUCCAUUUUUGGGAUCCAUUUUCUGUAAUUCCUUCUCCAUCUUGUAUUUUCUUUGUAUUUUAAUAAAUUUCCAUUUUGCCCCUAGUUCAAUUAUGAGUAGCUAAUUUCCUUUCAAGCUUGGGUUGAAGGUGAAGUCUCAACAUGUGUCAUGGGCUUUAUUUGGUAAAUUUAUUUUCUUUUCCCCUCUAGUUUUUGUGGAUGAUUUGACUUAUCGUCGACAAAUAAUACUGAUAUUGUCUAGAUACCGCCUUGGUUACACCGGCUCUCUAGUAUAAGGUUAUUAUUAUUUGGCACGAUAAGCCCUUAGCACCAUAUUGAUUAGAGCGUGGUUCGUGAGGUGUGGAUUCCCCCCUCAUGAUUUAAUUGGUAUUAAUAAGGAAUAUUUAGCCCAUGAUGCAUGUUGAUACGGAUCCAGAUACCCAAGUACGUCAUUUCAAUAGAAUUCUCUUCAAUUUAUUCUCGCCAUUUCAAUUCCAAUUUUAGAAUUUAUUCUCGCCAUUUUAAUUUAAGUUUUAGCAUAUUCCAAUUCAUUUCCACCACAAAUCCAAUCACCCAUUUACAAAAUUAAUUCUACACAAUUAAAAUCCACCUCCUCGUGGGAUCGACACUCGUCACCAUUGAUCUAUACUACAAUAGAUUCGUGCGCUUGCGAGUACAUUAAAAUUUGCACAACAAGUUUUUGGCGCCGUUGCCGGGGAGGUAAGUAAUUUUAAUUCAUAGAAUUAAUUUUUGUGAAUAAUUUCUUUUAAAUUGUUUUCUUGUAUUUUUUUAUUAAAAAAAAAAGUGAAUCUGCAUUUAAAGGUUAAUAUUUCUUUUCUUUUUCUCUUCUUUAAAAUUCUAUAAUUUAAUUUUCAAGUUAUUUUUUUUUCUUUGUAAUUUUUGUUUAUCUUACUAAUUUUUUUUUAGUUAAUUUAUUUCACGUAUUUUUUGUUUUUGUGUGUAUUUUUAUAGUAAGGUUGUAAUAGCGCAAUAAGGUUAGUAUUGUAAUUUCUCUCUCUUCUUUAUUUUUAUUUGUUUUGUUCCAUCUUUAUUUUUAUUUUAUUUAUUUUGCAUGCAUGGUCGUAGGUCAUUAUUACAUAAUCUUGAACCUAUAGACCUUGAACUUGAGAAAACACUUCGCACACACAAGAACGUUAAAAAUAAAUUUGAAAUGGAUUUACAAGCACCACAGGAGAGGCCAUUUAAGGAUUAUUUUAGUCCUUUAGCUAAUUUGAGCACAUCAUGCAUAAGAUACCCAAAUGUAGCUGCUAGGAGUUUUGAACUAAAACCUAGUGUGCUAAAUUGUCUCCCCACAUUUUAUGGCCUAGAAAAUGAGGAUCCAUAUAAUCAUCUGAAUGAUUUUCAUGCCAUUUGUCAAACUUUUAAAUAUGAAAAUUUUUCAGACGAUGAUGUUAAACUCAGAUUAUUCCCAUUUUCUUUAAAGGAUAGAGCUCGUUCAUGGUUAAAUACUUUGCCUGCUAAUAGCAUUUCAUCAUGGGAACAAAUGGUUACAAAAUUUCUAAAUAAAUAUUUCCCAAUGCAUAAAACCAAUGCCAUUCGCAGGGAAAUUUCAGAGUUUACCCAAAGAGAUGACGAGCAAUUUUUCGAAACAUGGGAGCGAUUCAAUGGGCUACUCUUGAAGUGUCCACAUCAUGGGUACGAAAAAUGGCACCAAUGCCAAUACUUUUUGGAGGGAUUAUUGCCGAAUGUGCAAGAAUGGCUAAUGGCAACAAGUGGAGGAGAGAUAAUGUCAAAAAAUGCAUCAGAGAUUUGGGAAUUCUUCCAGCGACAAGCGGAUAAUUCCCAACAACGGAGUCGAUCACUCAGGAAUACUAGAAGAAUUAAGGGAGUAAAUGAGGUUCACAUUGGCGAGUCAAGUUCAGAAAUCAAAGAAGUCAAGGAGAUGGUUGAAGGUCUUGCUCGACAAAUAGCAUCGUUAUCAACUGCUAAAUCAACAGAACCACAUGACCAUGACUCAUACUCAGAUCAAGCCAAUGCCAUAGGUGUAAUGAGAAAGCCAUCUAAUUACAACCCAUACUCCAACACAUAUAACCCUGGAUGGAGAGACCACCCCAAGUUUUCAUGGUCUCAAGGAUUCCAACAGAAUGGACCAGCAGCUCCAGCUCCACCAAUUCCUCAAAAUCAUCAAGCCUCUCAGCCACCAUUUAGACCAUACAAUCAGAACCAGAACUACUCUCAACCCAGACCAUGGGAGGAUUCAUUCCAGAAUCUCAAGAAUGUUACUCACUCCACGAUUGAGCAACAGAACCGCACCAUUGAUGGACUACGAAAUGAGUUGAGAGCAGGCUUCAACUCACAAGCCCAAUCAGUUUCAAGCCUCGAGAAAAUGGUAGGACAACUUGUUUCUUCAGUUCAGACUUUGGCAAUGACCGUUGAGAAAGGUAAAUUUCCAAGUCAACCAGUGCCUAAUCCUCAAGGAGUACAUGAAGCAAGUACCAGUUUACCACAACAGCAUGGAGAGGUCAAAGCAGUCAUGACCUUGCGAAAAGGAAAAGAAGUCGACAACAAAGUGGAGAUGCCGGUGACAAAAGAAAAUCGAAUUGUACCUGUGGAUGUUGAAGACUCACCACCGGAGGAAAAAGAAGAAACCAACCCACGAGAAUAUGUUCCUAAAGCUCCAUUUCCUCAGAGAUUAGCUAAAGGAAAGACGGGAAAAUCCACAGGUGAGAUUCUCGAAAUCUUCAAACAGGUAAUUGUUAACAUCCCUUUACUUGAUGCUAUUAAACAAGUUCCAUCUUAUGCCAAGUUUCUUAAAGACCUUUGUACUAAAAAGAGAAAUAUGCAUGUUCAAAAGAAGGCAUUUUUAACAAAAAACGUUAGUUCUAUACUCCAACAUAAAAUUCCUUUAAAAUGCAAAGACCCAGGCUCCCUUACUAUCUCAUGUAGUAUAGGGAACCACACAAUUGAGAAUGCUUUAUUGGAUUUAGGAGCUAGUGUAAAUUUGUUGCCUUACUCUGUAUUCGUGAAACUUGGACUGGGAGAAUUACACCCAACUCCAGUGGUGUUACAGCUUGCAGAUCGGUCUACGAAAAUACCUCGUAGUAUUGUGGAGGACGUGCUUAUCCAGGUAGACAAGUUUUAUUUUCCUGUUGAUUUUAUUGUAAUUGACACUCAACCAAUACAGGAUUCAAGGAAGCACAUCCCCAUUAUCCUAGGCCGACCUUUCUUGGCAACUGCGGAUGCUCACAUUCAAUGCAUGACUGGAAAUAUGCAGUUGUCCUUUGGCAACAUGACUAUGGAGCUGAACAUCUUCAACAUUGCCAAACAACCUCAUAAUGCAGAUGAUGGAAUUGUUGAUGUGGAUUUAAUAGAAACAAUAGUUGAUGGCACUUUUGUUUCAAACCUUAGUGAUGAUCCUUUACAAACAUGUUUAACUCACUUUGGUUUGGAUUUUGAUAUUGACAGAUUGGUCGAUGAGGUCAACGCCCUGCUUGACUCAGCACCAUACAUGGACACUAAUAAAUGGAAGUCAAGAGUUGAACAACUAGCACCAUCAGAGAAGAAAUUCAUCCCAUCAUCAGAAUCACCACCGAAACUCGAGCUCAAACCAUUGCCCAACACAUUGGAAUAUGCAUUUUUAGGAGAAGAAAGUACUUUGCCGGUAAUCAUCUCAUCAUCCCUCAAUGACGAACAAAAAGGUAAGUUGUUGGAUGUUUUAAAAGAGCACAAAUGAGCAUUAGGAUGGACCAUAUCAGACAUAAAAGGUAUAAACCCAGUAGACUGCAUGCAUUACAUUCACCUUGAUGAAAAUGCUAAAUCUACUAGGGAAAUGCAACGUCGGUUAAAUCCUAAUAUGAAAGAAGUUGUUAGAACUGAAGUCCUUAAGCUAUUAGACGCAGGUAUCAUUUACCCAAUUUCUGAUAGUUCAUGGGUCAGUCCUGUUCAAGUUGUCCCCAAAAAGUCAGGAGUCAUAGUAGUUAUGAAUGCCGAUAAUGAAUUGAUACCAACUAGAGUAACUACAGGAUGGCGUGUAUGCAUUGAUUAUAGAAAGUUGAAUUCUGUCACACGUAAAGACCAUUUUCCUUUACCAUUUAUCGAUCAAAUGCUUGAUAGAUUAGCAGGUCAUGAAUUUUAUUGCUUUCUAGAUGGCUACUCAGGAUAUAAUCAGAUUCUCAUAGCACCAAAAGAUCAAGAGAAAACUACUUUCACUUGCCCUUUUGGCACUUUUGCAUAUAGGAGAAUGCCAUUUGGAUUAUGUAAUGCACCUGCUAUGUUUCAACGAUGCAUGUUAAGCAGUUUUUCUGAUAUGGUUGAACGAUUCCUUGAAGUCUUUAUGGAUGACUUUUCUGUCUUUGGUGAUUCGUUUGAUCAAUGUUUACAUCAUCUAACGCUAGUUCUGCAGAGAUGUACCGAGAAGAACUUAGUCUUGAAUUGGGAGAAGUGCCAUUUUAUGGUAAAACAAGGUAUUGUUCUCGGUCACAUCAUUUCGAGCAAAGGUAUUGAGGUUGACAAAGCCAAGGUGGAUCUCAUUUCUAAUCUUCCUCCACCUAAAACAGUCAGAGAAGUAAGAUCUUUCCUUGGGCAUGCUGGUUUCUAUAGACGUUUCAUUAAAGAUUUUAGCAAAGUUUCUAGACCCUUAUGCAAUUUACUUGCUAAGGAUGUACCUUUUAUCUUUAAUGAUUCAUGUCUUAUGGCUUUUGAAAAAUUAAAGCAAUUGUUGACAUCAUCACCCAUCAUUCAGGCCCCAAACUGGAGCUUACCAUUUGAGCUCAUGUGUGAUGCAUCUGAUUAUGCAGUAGGAGCAGUAUUAGGACAAAGAGUUGAUCGAAUUCCCCACGUUAUUUACUAUGCUAGUAUGACAUUGAAUGAUGUACAGUUGAAUUAUUCAACUACUGAAAAAGAAAUGCUAGCAGUAGUGUUUGCAUUAGAGAAAUUUCGAUCUUAUCUCAUUGGUUGUAAAAUAAUUAUAUUCACAGAUCAUGCUGCUCUUAAAUAUCUUCUCACAAAAAAAGAUGCAAAAGCUAGACUAAUUCGUUGGGUGUUACUUUUGCAGGAAUUCAACUUGGAAUUUAAAGAUAAGAAAGGCACAGAGAAUGUUGUGGCUGACCAUCUCUCUCGUCUCCAUUUUGACACAAUUACAGAGCCAUUAAUAUUGAAUGAGUCAUUUCCAGAUGAACAAUUAAUGAGUGUGGAAGUAUUACCUUGGUAUGCUGAUAUAGUUAAUUAUCUUGUUACAGGUAAACUUCCAGAGCAUUGGACCAAGCAAGACAAGGCUAAAUUCUUUGCGGAAAUAAAGAAUUUCUUUUGGGAUGACCCAUAUUUGUUCAAGUAUUGUGCAGACCAAAUUGUUAGACGAUGUGUCCCUGAAAAUGAAAUUCAUAAUAUUCUUUCAUUCUGCCAUGAACAAGCUUGUGGAGGCCAUUUCAGUGCUAAGAAAACAGCGACUAAAGUUUUACAAUGUGGUUUCUAUUGGCCAACUAUAUUUCGAGACGCUUACACUUUCUGUUCUUCAUGUGAUAGGUGUCAACGAAUGGGGAGCAUUACACGAAGGAACAUGAUGCCACUAAAUCCAAUUUUAGUGGUUGAGAUUUUUGACGUAUGGGGUAUCGACUUCAUGGGACCCUUUCCCCCUUCUUUUGGCCAUCAAUACAUAUUGGUUGGUGUUGACUACGUAUCGAAAUGGGUGGAAGCAAUUCCAUGUAGAACCAAUGAUCACAAGGUGGUGAUAGGAUUUUUGAAAAGCAACAUUGUUUCGCGCUUUGGAUUCCCUCGAGCAAUAAUCAGUGAUGGUGGUGCCCACUUUUGUAACAAAGCAUUCAAAGCUCUUUUGACAAAGUAUUCAAUCACACACAAAAGUGGCGACUCCAUAUCAUCCGCAAACCAGUGGCCAAGUUGAGAUAUCCAAUCGAGAAAUAAAGCACAUAUUAGAAAAGACGGUGAGGCCAGACAGGAAAGAUUGGUCAUUAAGACUUGAUGAUGCAUUAUGGGCAUAUAGAACGGCUUUCAAGACCCCGAUUGGGAUGUCACCCUACAGGCUAGUGUAUGGAAAAGCUUGCCACCUACCUGUGGAACUCGAGCAUCGUGCAUAUUGGGCUAUCAAGAAAUUCAAUUUUGACAUGCAGCAAGCCAGCUCAGAAAGAAGAUUACAGCUGGCAGAACUUGAAGAAAUUCGCAAUGAUGCAUAAGAAAAUGCCAAGAUUUACAAGCAACGGAUGAAAGUCUUCCACGACAAGCAAAUUAUGAGAAAAUCUUUCACUCCAGGUCAGAAAAUGUUUUUGUUCAAUUCUCGCUUGCACCUAUUCCCAGGUAAGUUACGCUCUCGUUGGUCUGGUCCAUUUAUUGUUCAUACUAUUUUUCCACAUGGGGCAAUUGAAAUUAAGGACCCAAAGAACGGUGUCACGUUUAAAGUUAAUGGUCAAAGAUUAAAGCCAUAUCUAGAAUACCAACCACAUGGAGAAGACACCGAAAUAAAUCUGAGUGACCCACCAGAUUUGAAUUGAUUUUUAUUCUUCUUUUCGUUGAUUUGAUUUUUCUUUCUUUCUUUUUAUUAUUCUUUUGCUAAUUGAAAUUAUUUUUGCAUAAGUGUGUUUGUUUAGCAAUUAAGUUUUCUCUUAUCAUUUUUAAUCAUGAGUACCUUACUUAGACCGUUCCUCCUAAACAUUCUUAAACCACUUCAACGUGUCAAAACUCAUCUCAAAAAGAAAAUUCAAUUUUGUAAAACACAUCGUAUUUGGGUUCUACAACCACCAGAGUUAGUAGCCUAUGUUGAGGGUUUAGAACGCCAACUCAGAGACAUUGAGAGAAGUGUUUACGACAUCCAAUUGGAGCUUGAGGUAAAUUCAAUAAGAGGACGCUUUUAAUUUUCUUUGUGUGUUUUGAUUUAUUUUUCUGUUUGUGUGUUUUAGUUUGUUACCCCGAUGAAGUGGUGGAUAACGGUACUCUGUGACAAUCAAGUCGGUUACUUCAGUUUCCCAUAAUAACUGGCAUUCUGAGGCGAAAGUAUGGACAGAAACGAGAUUCUAGCGAAGCUUCACAAGCGAUUCCCUUCACUUCCUUAGAAUGCCCUCCUUACGAUCUAUAAAGCUCGGUCCGAACGCAUGCGAUUGCUCAUGAGGAAUAACAUACCUGCAGACAUCCGUUGGUUAAUUGAGGCUAAAGUACGAUUGGCAGGUGAGUCACCUCCUAAAUUUAUUGCAUACAUGCCUGGUUGUGGUAAAGGAAAUUAUGCAAGAAAACGACGAGCUCGAAGAAUUUCUGUUGCUUGUCAUAAGUGUGCCAGAAUGAGUUGCGAUAAAAACCCAUGUUCUUUAAGAAUGGUGUCUGAUAACAGGGAAGAUAAGAUUCAAUUCAUUAGGGAUGGCUUGAAUAAGGAGUCAUUGGAUGAUAUCCUUCUGUCUCUUGAAACGCAUCCCAGUGGAUAUGUGCAAGGAGCGAUUCUCCGGUUAUGGCCAUUAUUCCAGAAAGAGCAUACACGAUAUAGUCUCGGGAAUCUGACUAUAAACGACCCUGUUUGCCAGUUUAUAAGAAAACUGGAUGGGAAGCCCAUCCUCGACCCAUAGAGGGCGUUCAAGCCGUUUCUGGACGUAAAACCAGAGGAAGAUGUGAGCCACAGUCGCAACUACCUGUAAAUAUCCUUUUAUUUUACUGUUGUUUUAUUUUACUGUUGUUUUAUCGUUUGUAUUAUUGUCUUUAAUAAUUUUAUUACUGUUUACUUUUUCCUUUUUACUGUUUCCUUUUUGACUCGCGAGCCACGUGCUUUACGCGUUAUUUGACACUGACAUGUUACCUCAUUCACAGCUGUGAUCCACUGUCACCAAGAUUCUUAAAUGUGAUUUAAUUUUUGUCAAGCACUCACAAAUUAUUUUUGCAAAGUAUCACAAUGGCAGCUACUCCUAAUAGACAAUUCAAGAACAUUUGUGUACUUUCUGGAUUUACCUAUGGCAAACAUAAAGAGUUCGUGGAGGCAGCCAUAGAUCUUGGUCGAAGCAUAGCAGCGAGAAAAUUACACUUGGUGUAUGGAGGAGGUAACCGAGGAUUAUCAAAAAUGGUCUCAGAAGCAGCUUUUAUCAGAGGAAGUCAAGUGUUAGGCAUCAUCCCAAGAGUUCUCAAACCAUUGGGCAGUUCGUCUGACUCAUCAACUGGAGAAGAGUUAGUCGUCUCAGGUAUGCAAGAAAGAAUAACUGAAAUGCUUAAUCAUGCUGAUGCUUUUAUUUUCUUUCCAAGAGAUCUUGCAACACUAGAGGCACUUAUUACACUAGCAUCUUGGGCCCAUCUGCACAUCCACCAGAAACCCAUCGGUUUGUUAAAUGUCAAUAACUUUUAUGAUGGCUUUAUCGCAGUUCUUAACCAUGCAAUAAAAAACUAUUUCAUUCCUUCUAAUGUGAAAAAACUCUUUAUUUGUGCUCACACUGCUAAUGAGCUACUUGAUAUGUUACAAGCUUAUAAACCGGAGCCAGACCCCUGGACCUUUGUGUUGGAGCGACCAAAUAAUGAUGGUAACAGUAGCCGCAGUAAGAAGUACAAAUUAGAUUUAACUCUCCGCCUGUAAAUAUUUUCUUCUGUGUUGCACCACCCAGGUGAUGUCUUCUAAACUCUACUUCUUUCCUUUAAAACAUUGAGGACAAUGUUUCGUUCUGGUUGGGGGGAGGGAAUAGUCGACAAUUGUAGAAUCUUGGUUAAGUUUUUACUGAUUUUUUGUUGUAGAAACUAACUGUUGCUAACGUUUUGUGUUGAAGAUGGCUGAAUAUGGAGUGUAGUUACUCUAGAAACGCAUCUUCAUCGUUUUAAAAAAAAAAAAAAACUGUUUUCUUCCUCUUUCUCCUUUAUAAAUAUAUAAUUUCAAAUUUUUGAGUCGAAGAUGGCUGAAUAUGGAGUGUAGUACCUCUAGAAACGCAUCUUCUUAGUUUAAAAAAAAAUUCUUUUUCUAAUUAAUUUUUCUACAUCAUUUUCACAUUUCUGCAUGCAUAUUUUCCUUUCAUGUUUAGAAUAGGUUGGGGGGUAGAAUGUUGUUUAAAAAAAAAAAUUGUGUUAUUUGUUUUAACAUUGGAUGACAUGAUUAAUUUCAAAUUUUAGUAUUUGUAUUAUCUUUGGUCUUAAGUGAUGUUACGCUAUGUUUGCUACUUUACAUGUUGAUGUCGGAGACAAAUAUGAGUUGCUUGAAGGAAUGAACAUGUCAUAAAUAAGUGCCAAGUGAGUUGUUGAGCCUAUCAUUUUCUUGGAGAGUAACCCUUUUGCCCAUUCUCUAUACAGCUUAGCAGUCUAUUAUUUUAUACACGAUCUCUAGAUUUCUUUUGAGUUAACCCUUUAAAAACAAAUGGUAAAAUUAAAAAAAAAAGAAAAAAGAAAAAAAAUGUGUGUUGCUAUAUUGGGAGGUCCAUCUAACUAGUAGAUAUGGAAAAUUAUUUAGAGCCCUAAAAGACGAUGGAAAGGCCAUCUUUGAUCUGUUUGAGCCUUUCUAGCCAUCCCUUUUAUUAAAUAUCCAUAGUUACCCCUUUUGGGCCUUAAAAAAAAUAAAUAAGUAAAAAAAUAAAAAAAAAUCUUUUCUUUGUCAACUUAUCAUCUUGACCCACUCCGAUUUGGAGUAUUACCCAAUAACUUAUAAGUUCCAUCACCUAUUUAUGUUUGAGAAAAUGUAAAUAAUUAUUUUGUUUAGUGAAGUUAUGCCAAAACAAAAAAAACAAAAAAAAAACAAAACAAAACAAAAAAAUUGUUGUAAAAUAAAAAAUAACAAUAAUAGGUGAAAUACACCUUGCAACUUCAAAAAAAAAAAAAAAAAUUCUCUGCAUUUUUCUCAAACAUACACUUUAUUUUCCUUAUUUCCUUUCUUUGUUAGCUAUAUCCCUAGCCUACGUUACGUCAUAAUAAAAGUCCUUCUUGAUUUUAGGGAACUAUAGCUUGAAGUAGAAGCUAGUUAUAUGGGCUAAAAAGAUGUAGUGAUGCAUAAUAAAAAAAAAAAAAGAUAGAUAAAGUGGGUUGACUAACAUUUUAUUUGACUUGAGAUCGUAUUAUUUCUAAGAUGAGGGCAUAUUUAUUUCAUCUUGGUGAGAGCAUGUGAUAUCAUUUCUUUAUUAUUUUCUCUCUCAAUUACCAUUCAUUGGAGUGACUAUGUUUAUUGGGUUUUAAUUUCUUUGUGAGAGUGUCACUACUUCCAGUGAGAUUUUGGGGUUUGACAUGUCAUUCUUGAAAGUAGCUAUAACAAAGUCUACUGGGCUAAUUCAUGUGGAUGGUUGAUGUGGGUGUGAUGUUGCUUUAGACUGGAGAUAAUGCUUAUACUUUUAUUUGAUUGCUAUCAUUAAUCUGAUUGAAUAAACACGAGUGUUUCUAAAAAUAAAAAAAUAAAAAAAAUCAUUUUGAAUUUGAAUUUUGUUUUCGCUUUAUUUGCUAGGGACUAGCAAUAAGCUGGUUGGGGGGUGUGUUGAGUGUUAGAAAAUGCAUAUUUAUAAAGGAGAAAACCAUCAUUUUACAUUUCAAGUCUUACUAACAACUCUUACUUUUAAGUAUUUAACCUUCUUAUGAUGUAAUUACGUGUGUGUUAUUUUAAUUAAGUAUUUUAUGUAUUUUAGGAGCAUUAUAGUCAUUUCACAAUAAAGGAGAGAUCAUACGGCAAAACGGACAUCACUUUUGAACUCAGGACGAUCGAAAACCUUAGGAGGAGUAUAAAAGAAAAAAUGGCAUUAUUCACAUGUACGGUACUAUUCAUGUAUACGGUACUGUAUAUGUUACUGUUCACGGCACUGUUCACAUAGACGGAUCGAUAAUGUGGCAUUGACUGAUGAGGUGUCACGAUCCUGUUGGACUAAAAUUCUUAUGUACUGUUGAUGGUGACGUGGCAGCAUAUCAGUGGACGAAAAAUCUCGCGUACGGUGCAUGCAUCACACAGGAUUAUUUUCAACCAAACCGCGUUACUGUUCAUCCGGGUCAAACUGUGUUACUGUUCAUCCGGGUCAAACCGUGUUACUGUUCAUCCGCGUGGUCAAACCGUGGACUGUUGACUGAUGACGUGGCGUAAUCCUGAGCGUCCAAACUAUUUUUAAUCCGAUGGCCAUGAUUUACUCCAUGUAUCUAUAAAAAGGGGGCCUUCCCCCCCUAAUUUGAUAUCUCUGAAUCUAUUUUUGGGAUCCAUUUUCUGUAAUUCCUUCUCCAUCUUGUAUUUUCUUUGUAUUUUAAUAAAUUUCCAUUUUACCCCUAGUUCAAUUAUGAGUAGCUAAUUUCCUUUCAAGCUUGGGUUGAAGGUGAAGUCUCAACAUGUGUCAUGGGCUUUAUUUGGUAAAUUUAUUUUCUUUUCCCCUCUAGUUUUUGUGGAUGAUUUGACUUAUCGUCGACAAAUAAUACUGAUCUUGUCUAGAUACCGCCUUGGUUACACCGGCUCUCUAGUAUAAGGUUAUUAUUAUUUGGCACGAUAAGCCCUUAGCACCAUAUUGAUUAGAGCGUGGUUCAUGAGGUGUGGAUUCCCCCCUCAUGAUUUAAUUGGUAUUAAUAAGGAAUAUUUAGCCCAUGAUGCAUGUUGAUAUGGAUCCAGAUACCCAAGUACGUCAUUUCAAUAGAAUUCUCUUCAAUUUAUUCUCGCCAUUUCAAUUCCAAUUUUAGAAUUUAUUCUCGCCAUUUUAAUUUAGGUUUUAGCAUAUUCCAAUUCAUUUGCACCACAAAUCCAAUCACCCAUUUACAAAAUUAAUUCUACACAAUUAAAAUCCACCUCCUCGUGGGAUCGACACUCGUCACCAUUGAUCUAUACUACAAUAGAUUCGUGCGCUUGCGAGUACAUUAAAAUUUGCACAACACCCGCCACUCAUCCUCAUCCUGCCAGAGUUUUUAGUUGGUCCUCUCACAGUGGAACUGCUCUUCAGAACAUCAUUUUCAUCCUCUGAAUUAGGAAACUCAUCAGGAACCUCCUCAUCCCUUGAAUUAUCUUCAUCAAGAACCUCUUCAUUACCCGAAUAAUCAAUACUUUCCUCGUUAGAGAGUUCAUCAGCAAGUCUUUUUCCUUUAUCCAUAAAGUUGCUCCUGUAAUAAAUAUAAUAAUUAUAUAACAUAUAAAUAAUUAUCAGAAAGUAUUAGAACAUUAUAUAACAUAUAAAUAAUGUCAAAAAAGGUAAUCUAAAGUCAAUACAAGGAAAAUAUAAUAAUAAAAGAUAACGUAACACAAAACUAUUAUAAGACAUACAAGCAGUAAAUGCCAUCAGCUUUUUCAAGCAUCAAUCCAGAUGCCAUGCUUGCCAUCUCUUGCAUAUUUGUCCGCAUCAUUUAAAUUUUCAAUAUUUGGUAACCCAUUGGUCAGAGGGUUGUGUUCCAUCAUGAUAUCUAUAUCCUCAGCACUUGUCUUCUUUGGAACACAUCUACGAUGCAUAUGACUUACAACUGACCAUCUUUUAUCAAGUUGAUCAGUGACAUAAAAGACUUGUGUUGCUUGUGAAGCCAAUAUAAAUGGGUCUGAUUUAUGACCCAAGCGAUUUAAGUCCACUAAAGUGAAGCCAAAUUCAUCGAUUUUAAUACCCCCAUUAUUUUAAACCCAAUCACACUUGAACAAAGGGAUUCUAAACAUAUGGUAGUCAAGGUCCCAUAUUUCGUUAAUAACUCCAUAGUAAGACAUGUCACCAAGAAUAGGGUUUUUGUCCUUGGCACUUGCUACUUGUAAAGUUGCUGCAAUAAGACUAACUCCACUAUUUUGAUGAACUCGUUGUUCGUCUCGUUCUCGAGUAUGGAAAUGAUACCCAUUGAUGUCAUAUCCUGGGUGCUUAACUACAAAAGGACGGGGUCCUUGAGAUAACCACCUCAAGAUGUUCGAGACAUCUUCAUCAUCGUCUAUCAUCUCAUAUACCUAUAUAAUAAUAAUCGUAAUGAAUGAAUUAUUGUAUAAACAUGACAAUAACUUUACUAAAAAGAAUAUAUAAUGGAACAUAUAUUAUUAACCUUCUUAUUAAGCCAAGUUGAAAAGGUGCGGUUGUGCUCAUUGCUCAACCAUCUCUCAUUCUUGGCUUUUUGUGAAUGAUGACCCUUUAGCCAUUGAAUGUGCUCACUACAUAUUUGACAUUUACAUAUUAAGCUACUGUUCAAAUUCUUUAAAAAUAAUUCAGUAAAAGAACAAAUUAAAGGUUAAACAUUAACAAACCUAAUAAAUGGCUGAACUUCUUAUGUGUUUUGCAAUACAUAUAAGUGCGCUUGAUGAAUUAAGGAAUGAUCAACUUGCUCAAAUUUUCCACCAGGCAAAGGCUUAUCAAUUGAAGAGGUUUCAACAUGUCCAGGAGGAAGCCCAAUUGUACGCAUGUUUGAAACAUAUUCUGCACAAAAUUCCAGAGCCUCUUCGGCAAUAUAACUCUCGGCUAUGCAUCCCUCAGGGUUAUUACGGUUUCGAACAUAAGCCUUUAGGCCUUUCAUGUUCCUCUCAAAUGGGUACAUCCAUCUUAAGUAUACCGGCCCACAUAGUCUAACUUCAUUAACUAAAUGGAUGGUUAAAUGGAUCAUUAUGUCAAAAAAGGAUGGUAGAAAGCAUUUUUCCAGCAAGCAUAAGGUCAGCGCAAUGUCUUCUUCCAUUUGGUCAAGUUUGGUCACAUUAACAACCGUUGUGCAUAAGGAAUUAAAGAAGAAGGACAAUAUAAUAAUGACAUAUUUAACAUGAUCUGGUAAGAUAGACCUUAAAGCAAUAGGUAAAAGUUGUUGCAUGAGAACAUGACAGUCAUGAGACUUUAAACCUUGCAGUUUUAAGUCUUUCAUUGACACUAGGUUCUGAAUGUUUGAAGAAUAACCUACAGGAACCUUUAUGCUUUUUAAUGCUUCACAAAACCUUUUCUUUUCUUCUUUGGUCAAGGUUUAACAAGCUGGAGGCAAAAAAGUACGAUUAUUUUCUUUAACAUCAGGUGCCAAUUUUUGCCUAAUCAUUAAAACUUUUAGAUCCCACCUCGACUUAAUGCCAUCUUUGGUCUUUCUCGGGAUAUUUAGUAAUGUUCUGUAGAUGCUUUCACAAAUAUUUUUUUCAAUGUGCAUAACAUCUAACUGGUGACGAAUAAGCAAGUACUUCCAAUACUCUAACUUAAAGAAUAUUGAUUUUUUCUUCCAUCAAACACGAUCGUCAUCAUCAACCUUUUUCUCGCUUCUUUUUUUGCGCUUUUUAUCUUUCACUUUACCCCAUUUGUUUUCAAUACUCUCCACCUUUCGAAAAAUGGCCUCACUAGUCAAUGGUUUCAGAGGAGGCUCUCUUUCAUGUUUAUUAUUAAAAGGUUGCUUUUGAGUUCGAAAGGGAUGAUCAUGAGGAAGCCAACGGCGAUGGCCAAUAUAAGCAUUUUUUUACUGUGUUUAAGUCUACAUUUUGGCAUAUCUUCACCGCAAUAAGGACAAGCAUAAUAACCCUUAACCGUACAACCCGCCAAAUUCCCAUAAGCGGGAAAGUCAUUUAUAGUCCACAAUAGUACAGCCCGUAAAUUGAAGAACUCUUUUUUGUAGGCAUCAUAAGCUUCCACACCAACAUCCCAUAGAGUUUGCAAGUCCUCUAUUAGUAGUGCCAAGUACACAUCAAUAUCAUUACCGGGUUGUUGUGGACCAGAAAUUAAUAAGAAUAACAUCAUAAAUUUUCGUUUCAUACACAACCAGGGUGGAUCGAAGAUUGUAUGUUACAAGAAGAAUGGCCAGCAACUAUACGUACUACUAAGAGAGCUAUGAGGAUUAAUGCCAUCAGCUGAUAGGGCAAGACGCAGAUUUCUAGGCUCUAAAGCAAAGGUAGGCCAUUUUUCAUCAACUAACUUCCAUGUCGGUGAGUCAGCUGGAUGUCGAAGCUUACCAUCUAUUUCCCUCUCAUUUAUAUGCCAAGUCAAGUCUUUGGCAGUUUGUGAGGACUGAAACAAACGCCUAAAUCUAGGUAUAUGAGGGAAAUACCAUAACACUUUUGUAGGAACCCCCUUCCUAUAAGCAGCAACACUACCAUCUCUUUUCUUCCACCUAGAUUCACCACAUGUAGGACAAUUAGAAAGGCUUUCGAGUAUUCAAUCAUUUGGACAAGCAUGAAUUUUGAUAUACUCUAAGCCUAAAGCACUCAUUGUCUUUUUGGCUUCAUACAUUGAUACAUGCAAGUCAUUUCCUUCCGGUAACAUGUCAGAAAGAGCACUCAACAAAUCUGAAAAGCUACUAUCAGACCACCCAUAUCUGCCCUUUAUAUUGUACAAUUUAACUAAAGCUGAUAACUUGGUAAAUUUGUUUGAUCCAGGGUACAAAGGCUUCUCAGAAUCUUCUAAUAGUUUUUUGAAUGCUUUAGGAUCACUAUCACAAUCCUUAAAAGCAUCUUCAACCAUUUCAACAGUAUUACCACCAUCAUAAUCCAUAUAUCCACUGUCAUUUUGGCAACCUAUAUUGUCAGGAGAUUUGUUGCGGAUAUCUUCCCCAUGCCAAACCCAUGUUUUGUAUGACAUAUCAAGACCCCAUAUAAUUAAAUGAUCUUUCACUUCUUUAGGCCUAUGAAAUGCUAAAUUCCGACAUUUAUCACAUGGACACCUAACAACACUAAUUUCUUGAUUACUUUCAACUGCAGUCUUAAUAAAAUUUUCCACACCAGCCUCAUACUCAUCGGACAAUCUAUCAUAUUUAAGCCAAGAUUUAUCCAUUUUUUGUCUAGUACCUGACAUAUAAUUGAGAUAAAUUUCAACAUAAUGUACUAAUGGGCAGCAAUGAUAAACGGUUUCCAUUAUCAAUAAAUUAAGCAACAAAACAUUAUUAAUAUUCAAUUUAUAAAUUCAAUGAAAUAAAUAAGUUUAAAAAAAAAAACUCGUCAUCAUGUGCAACAAAUAUAACUUUACCAACAUGCUAUCAUCAUUGACCAAAACCACCGACUAACCAUACCCAACUAAUAAUAUCCUAAAUAACUUGGCCCACAUACAUUUAACAUUUAUUUAAAAAAAAAAUUCUAGCAAUCCAGCAUUUCAUGGACCACAAGACUAUAUAUAUAUAAGCAACUAAACAUUACUUGGUCCACAUGACCAAACUUGCCCCCACAUGGUACCAUUUCCUUCAAACAUAAAAAAGACAAUUGAAAAGGGGGCCUCACUUUUUAACUCAAUAAAUUACACAAAAUCUAGCUCACACUCAUUAAAGAAAAUGUCAACACGAUUGGACCACAGUUUCGGAUUCAUCCCAACAAAAGACACUAGUAAAUGAAAAGUACUAUACCAUCAACCAAAAUCACUUCACACACAUGCAAGCUUUGACUGAAAAUUUACAGAAUAUAACAAUAUUCAUACAAACCAUUGGUAGCAAACAUUUUUCAAACAUUGAACGGAAAGGCAAGUAAAAAAUUGAACAAACCUGAUGUUAGAAAUCGAGUUUGAAAGGGAACAGGGCAGUGAAAUCCUGCGAUUCAGAAGAAUUUUUUUUUUUAAAAAAAAAGAUGAGGACAUGCUAAAUUAAAUGAUUGAGCAAUUUCUAGAUUUAACAGAAGGACAAAGUAUAAGCUUCUUGAAUUAAAAAAUAAACAAAAAAUAUAACAACAGAAACAAACGAGAAUUAAAAAGUAAUAGUAAAGAUAAACCUAGGGCAUAAAUUAUGAAUAAAUAAGGGAAAUAACAACAAAACUAACAAUUAAUUUUAUAAUGACCAAUUGAUUUAUUCUUAAUAAAAAUUAAAAAAGUUAAUUGACGACAAACCUAGGGAUUCAGCGAUUACAGGAUGGCUUCUCCAACGCCGAUUAAACAAUACAAAGAAGUAGUGACACCGACAGUUUCAAUAAUGGACGUGAAGGCGCAACAAUGAGCAUAUGUGGUGAUUUUGUUCCUAAAAACAAUGGGUUCGAAAUAAUGGGGGUUCAAAAUAAGGACGGGAAGGCUCCUUCAAUAGCAUAAACUAUGAUUUUGGUUUCCAUGCAACGGAUUUCAAAACCAAUUUGCAGAUUAAAAUAUGUUAAUAAACGGAUUUUGAGGGGUUUCAUUGCUUUGGUUUCUCAGCCCUUGCUGAUGGAGUGAUGGGUCAAAGGUGCCAACACUUAGAAUUUUUUUUGUGUUUAUGGUUUACAACAUACUUAAACGAUAGCGUUUAAAUGUUAAAUAAUUAUUUUUAUUUUAAAAAUAUUUUAAAUCUGUUAAACGGUGUUGUUUUAUCUCCAAAUUAAUUCCACUCGAAACCCACGGUUUGAUUAAAUACUAAUACGCUAUCAUGUUUAUCUGAUAUAUAAACAAUCUAUCAGAAAGCUGUCAUGAAUUUAUGAUGUACGAAAAUUCUAUCAUAUGUCUAUCAUAUUCUUAUGAUAAAUGACUAAUUUUCUAAUAUCUAUCACAAAAAUUCUGUCAUGGUAGCCCAUUUUUCUAGUAGUGUAUAGAGAGAGAGAGAGUGAGUGAGAGAGAGGGGGAAGGGGAUAGAGAGAAGGAGGGAGUACUAAUUUAGUCCAAGAUUGUGUACUUUAUUAAAGUUUAAGAAAACUAUUAAACCACAUAGUAUAUAUAGGGGGAGAGAGCGAACGAGCUAUUAUUUAAUAACAGAUCUAUUAAGUUAUUAAAGUAAAUAAUAAAUUAAAAGACAAGUAAAAGUGCAGUGUAUUUUAUCUAGUAAUAUAUAUUGAUGUAUGUGUUUUUCUUGUUUUUGAAACUUGUCCCUUAUUUUGGUAAGUUAAGGAUAUCCUUCAAUGAAAAAAAUUAUUUUACAUAUAUGAAGAUACUCAAAUAUGGUGUCUACAUAAAUUUUUUGUGUGGAUUUUAGGUUUUAUAACCGUUUGAAAGCCUUUCACAUUAUUUCAAAAAUAUUUUACACUGUUCUAAAAUCCUAUAUCUGUAUGAAAAUUCAUGUGCACAUAAGUUAUAUAUAUAUAUAUAACUGAAUAAAUUACAUUUUGUGGGACAAAAUUAAAUAUUAUCGAAGGGCUUACCUCGAACAAUUGUAACUCCUCCUGAAAUUGGAGAACAGGGCCAGGGUGUGUUCCUUCUUUAUAAUGUUUCAUGUCUGCGACAUGGUGCAAUAAUGUGUAGCCUUUCUUGUCAAUUCUUGAAGCCCAUUUGGGCACAGACAGUUGCAUUUCCUUCGUGAUGAGUUCAAAGACCUUAUAUUGACGACGCUUUAGGGCCACAUGUAAUAUAUUCUGCUCUUUCUCAUUCAAGUUAUCUAACAAUAUUGCUUGAGGAUGUUGAUGGAUUAUCUCCUUCCAAAUCUCUGUUAUUCCAUUGCUUGUUGCAAAGAGUAGCGUCAACCUGAUUGCCCAAUUCUUAUCCUUUUUAUGAUUAGGAACUCCUUUGAUAGUGCAAUCUUUCUUCACAAACAAUUCGACCAAUUCUGCAGCUGAAAAAUCAACAAAUUUUUUUGCCUUGAUCAUAUUUCCUUUGUUAGUGCAAUCUUUCUUCAGCAGCAAUUCGUCCAAUUCUCCAGCUGAAAAAUCAACAAGUUUUUUUGCCUUGAGCAUAUUUCCUUUGCCUAAUCCUAAGGAAAUUGUGGAAAUAUUAUCUGGCGAAGUUGUGGAACUUUCUGCAUCCGGCGAGAAAAUUUCUGGGUUCGGCAAGGAACUUGUGGAACUUUCGAGGUUCGACGAGGAAAUUUUUGGGUUCGGCAAGGAAGUUGAGGAACUUUCUGGGCUCGGCGAGGAAAUUUCUGGGUUCUGCUCUCCAUCCCCAAGACAAAGGGUUUAUUCUUUAACCAGCUUUUUGAGCAGUUUAUUCGCAUUUUUAUGCAUUUGCUUUUUCAUCCAGAUUUUCUUUAUCGCCGGACAUCCUGGUCAUGCAUGCAUCAACUGUUGGGAAAAUAUGCUCUUUAAAAGCAUGUGUUUAUUUAAUUGUAAUAAACAAUUUUUCUGAUUAAUAAAAUAGAUGAGGUAUUUUAUUCAAAUAUCUUAAUUGCAUUAAUAUUUGUAUUAAAGUCCAUUUAAUCAUAUUAUAUGUAUUUAUGUGAUCACCAUGUGGAUUCACAGAAGACAUAAAUACAAGUUAUCUUAUGAUUAAAUAAAUUUAGUUCGCAGUUGAUAAAUAAAGUUGGUCACUUUAUUUAGGUAUAGACUGUAAUAAAUUCAUUGAAUGAUUUGUCUUAAUCAUGUAUGAAUUUGUUGAUGUAGUACGACUAUAUUGAACAGGAUCACAUAUGAGAUUUAAUUAACUUUGUAAUAACUGUUAGACUUAUUAAAUCUCAUAGGCAUUGAUUUUACUGUAAUCUUAAUCUUGAGUUUAUUAUGAUUUCAUGAUUGUAAUUGUUAUUCCAUUUGAGUUACCAAUGGGCACGACACAUCCUUGUGGUCAAGAUUACUCGGUAUCUUGGUGGGAGCAAUUAUGAGUAUUGGAGUUAUGGAUUAACAAUAUAGAAUUUGUACAACACAUCUCUUGAUGGGUUUUCGGCACUUGAUCAUAGAAUUCUUUGGCCAGAGUGUGUCAACAUAUUUAGUAUGUUGAAAAUGAUCAUUAGAGAAAACCAGUAAGGAUCAAGGAAUAAGAUGUUAUUAAAUUGAUUGGACAGUUGAGAUAUCAAUUUAAUUAACGAUGUGGUACAAAAGAUUGUGCAGUAAAGAAAUCAAUGUGGCUUGGGACGAAUUAUUAUUUGAGCAUACAAUUAUGGAAGUCAGUUCCAAUCUUUUAGUGGAGUAGAUUUGGAAUUAAAUAAUUAGGCUAGUUUAAUUACAGGCCCAAUUGUUAUAGCCACUAUUGUAUGUUCCCAAAUGAUCCCCGGGUUAGCUCAUUUAAUUGACCGCACCACUACUGGACUAAUAAGCAAGAUAACUAGCUAUUUGGGUCAAAAGCCUAAAUAUAUCAUUUAGUGGGAGGCUCCAUUUAAUAAGCUUAUGUGGAAGGGGCCUUAUGUUAUUUUACAUGGUGGGUCCCCUAUUAAAUGAAAAGUAACGUGAGUUUUAUUUUGGGAAUUCUUGGAGCCUAGGGUUUUCACUAAAGGGAGAUAUAAAAGGCUUAUUUUCUCUAAAGAAAAAUGGGAAGCCACUUUAUACAAAUCGGAGAAUAAGAUUUUUCUCUCCAUUGUUGAGAGAAAAAUUUUCUCGUGCUAGUUGCUUUGGUAGUGAUAACGGCGCCCACACGUCAAGUGCAGAUCGAACCUGAGUCAUAACCUGGAAGAUCAUUGGUGACAGUUCGUGAUCUAACAAGCGUGGUGGUGACGGAUCGUGAUAUAACAGGAGUGGUGGUGGCGGAUCGUGAUCUAGGAGCCUAAAUCACUUUAGCGGAAAAAGCCAACUCCGAUUUUCAAGGUACGAUUUCUAGAAUACGAAUUCUUAUAUAUUAUAUGAGAGCGAUCUUCAAAAUGUUUAUAAAAAUUUAAAAACCUGAUUUUUCCCCAACAUCAAUAUCUUGUUAAUUUAUAAACAAUUUCGCACGCAAGUGCGGCAAAGCCAUUCAUCAACUGAAUGAAUUGCUCAAGUUAUGUUACAUUUCCCCUGUUCUGCUGCGUAAUUCAUAAAUGUAGAAGUAAUUAAUGAAAUUAUUAUUGGUCGCACCUUCAAUCACUUGCCUCCAAAUGCCAGUGUACAUCUUCCAAAUUGGAAUUCCUGCAUUUUGAUUAACUGCUCAGUAGGCUUGGCAAAACCCCAGGUCCGGUCCGGGUUUGAUGCAACCCGGGACCGGACCGGAUGCCAAAAAUUGAAACCCGGACCUGGACAAAACUCGGUUUUUGCAUGUCCGGUCCGGGCUUGAGCCCGGCGUGUCCCGGGUCUGGGUUUUGUCUUCUGGGCUUCUAAGCCCGCAAACAAUGAUUUCAAAAAAAAAAUUCUUUCAUUUUAAUGAUACCAUUUGCAAAUCUUGCCAUGAUGGCAUACACGUAUGUCCAAACAUAAAUUCCCGGAGUCUGUAACACCAAAACCAUGAAAUUCAAUUAACUAGAGUACCGCAAAUUGAUUGUAACACCAAAACCGUGAAAUCUCGACACAAACCCCCUAGUUUCAUCAUACAAUCAUAUGUUGUGUGCGUUUGCUGAUGCAUUUUAGGGCCAAAUUAUUCAGACUCUUGAAAUUGAAGAGUGAUGACUGCUUGACUGGUGAUGGCUCAAAUAAAUUUUACACUAUAUACAAACUAGUGAACCUUAUCUAGCUAGCUUUCAUCCCGUUCAGCUAAAAUGCAAAAUGAUAGAUGUGUAGAGAUAAUGAGAUGUUACUUGUCUAUAUUCACUGUAGAUUGGUUUUAGAUGAAAUGGAAUUGGCCGGGAUGGAGAAAAAAAGAAAUGGAGAAAUUAAAAAAAUGUUGGACGUAUACAAAUCAUAAAAAUUAAGUAUUACACGAGCAGGCAAUAAGGAUCCCUCACAAAAUUGGCCAUAUUUUCCUCAUAUUCUACGGUCAAAACCACUUAGCCUCACAACAACAGCAAGUCAGCAACCAUGCACAAAAUUGGCCGAAAAUAAACACGAAUAACAAUAGCCAACACCAACAGAGAAGCAAUCGGCAAAAAUACAACUGAGAAGACAAAAUAUGGAAGGAAAAAAAUCAAUACCUGCGGCUGGUAGUGGUGGCUGUGAUGGCAGAGUGAUGGACUGAUGGUAGAUGACAAAGUGGCAAUGGAGAGUUGGAGACGGUGGCGCUGAGGCUAACGGCGCCAAAGGGGGCUGCACUGCGCUGCUGCCGCUGCACGAACGACUUUCGUCACAGUCGCAACUGAGCAAAACCGAGUCAGCAAAUGCAAACGAGAAGAGAUGAUGCCGACUGCCGAGUACCUAGGGGCGACGGUGACGGACUGACGGUGGGUUCUAGCCGACGGUGACGGUGGGUUGCAGCGUCGCUGCUUAUGCCUUUGGGUUUGGGUGUUUUGCGAUUUGGGGAAUUAGGGAUUUUCGGAUUUGGGUUUGGGCAACUGGUUUUAGUUUUUUUUUUUUUUGUUUAUUAGGAAAACGGUUCCGGGUCCGAGUUCCAGGUUUUUGGUGCUGAACCCGGACCGUGCCCGGAUAUGUCCGGGUUUUAAAUUCUGAAACCCGGAUCCGUUUUUUCUGUAUAUGCGGUCCGGGUUUUGCCCGGACCGGAUUGGCCGGAUCCGGUUCGGGCGGGUUUUUUUGACACCCCUACUGCUCAGGCGCAAUUUUACAACUAUAUGUAUAUUUAUACGAUAUGACAAAAUUAAUGCCACCACAUCAAAAAGGAAACCGCUCCCUAUAAUAAGAUACUGUAUGUUUGGACAAAAAUGGCAUGCAAGCACCACCCUUCUAGAAGGUGGGCUUGCUCAUUUUGAAAAAGGAGGCGCUGCUUCCUUCUUUGACUUGAAUAAAUGAAAAAAAAAAGAAAAAAAAAAAAGAGUGAUGCGGCACCGCAUAGGUAAAAGAAAAAAUAAUAAAAUAAUAAAAUAAUUAUUUUAAUUGAAAACGAAGGGAAAUGAAGCCUAUAAAUAGAAGGGUUCAUUUCCCUUAUCAGCAUCCAAUUCUUCUCUUCUUCUUUAGAUCCAUUUUGAGAGGAGAAAAAGCCAAGUGAGAGUUGAGUGAUUAGUGAGUGAGAGAUUGAGUGUAUUGGGGUUCUAGGUAGUGAGCCAAAAUAUUACAGUACUUGUAAUAAUAAUUUCACUAGUAAAAUAUUUUCUUUCUGUCUUCGCCCAUGGACGUAGGCUAAAAGCCAAACCACAUAAAUUUGGUGUCCUUGUGUGAUUCUGUUGUCUCAUUAUUUCUCAAUUUUACUUUAGUUGCCUGUAUGCUUCACCAAUCAAUUUCCAACAUGUCUUUGUAUAAAUUGGUAGUUAAGGUCAUCAUCAUGAGAAUUUGUACAAGUCCAUAGAAAUUAAAGAAAAAAGGAACUUCAUCUUUUCCCCGUACUAUUUAAGGUAUUUCACACUUCCCCCCUUAGUAUUUUCAAAAUUGGCAUACUGUUAUUGCGUCUAGAGGAUUCCACUUCACUGUGAUGAUUCUUCAUCUAUAUCUAGUGUAUUUUUGAGUUACCAAAAAAAAAAAAGAAGGGAAAAUCGACGUCUAAAAGAAAAACUAGCUUUUAUAUUAUACUAUUUAUUGUUUAUUUAGGUCUCAAAACUAAUAUUCUGUUUGGUUUCUAAAAGACAAUUGCUCUAAAAUGAAAGUUUUAGUUAUUAAUGGAAAAUUCGUGGGUAUUUGGUAAAGCUAAACCACUAGAUGUCAUAAAAGUUCUUUUUUUAUUCUCAUUUUUGGAGUAAACUUAUCAAUAAAUAAUUGUGAAAAAUAAUCAAUUUAAAAGGCAAACUGAGAAAGUGUUUACAGCUGAGUCGUCAAAAAGAUAGCCAAAACAAAUAUUAUGACUUGUAACCGCAGCUAAAGCUGUUAGUUCGGAUUUUCAUUUUUCAAUUUAUAGAGUUAUAGUGAUUAAUGAAACCACUAUAUUAUGAUUAUGAACAAAUUAAAGCUGCCUCAACACUACCUCUCGUCCGCUUUCUGCAGGCGACGCGAUUGUCAAUUUUACCAGUCUCCAAAUAUUCUUUGUAAUUGUAGUCAACGCAAUCGUCAUCAUCAUACGUUGGAAGACCUGCAAUUAGAAAUUGCAAUUGUAACGGCAUGCACCGAAGUCAACUGGACUAUAUAUCCCCUUAGAGAUGGAACUAUAUAUGUGUAUAUAUAAUUAAUAUAUAAAAAAUGCUAAAGAAAUUGAAGGCUGAUAGAAUGUUAACAGGAAUAAUGGUAUAUCAAGUCGGGCUUACUACAUGGUAAUCUCGGCCAGAUGUACCCUUGUUUUUGUUGAAUUGUUCUUUGUUAAUAGUAAUGUUCCAAUGAAAGAUCUCUUAAGUUAUUAAGUUAAUUGCCAACAAAGUAACCCCGAACGGAUGUAUUUACACUUCAUUAAUCAGCUUUAAUCUCUUUCAUAUGGUUUUUGCAUCCACGAAAGCAAGAAAUAGAUGAAUAUAUUCACGUACAAGAAGAGACAAGACUCGUCCAUAUCUCCGCGGUCUUCGAAUAACUCUUGAAAGCAGAUGGCAUUAGAGCUAGUAAAUGAAGACAUGUCAAGCCAUCAGGCCCCUCGGACGUUAGUUUGUUCGCAAGGCUUGAGUGGUGUUUAAGUAACCAAAUAGCAGUGUCUGUACGUAUUGAAGCAGAUUAAUUAAUUAGUUAAUUAAGAAGACAACUAAUAAAUUUUUAAACGUUAAUUUAACUCUUUUUUUUAAUUAAUAACCACAAAAAAAAAAAUGGAGUUAGGCGGGAUCCCUGCUUAUCAUAUAAAUCAAUACAAAAAUAAUUACAUAAGAAUAAUAACAUAACCCAAAACCUUCUAAAACAGAUGAAAAUAAAAUUUAAUUUAACUAUUGAUCUAUUUAUGAAUGAAUGAAUGAGAGAUUUAAUUACUAUAUUUUACCGAAGUGUUGGCCAAGGACAGCCAUAUGAAGAACGGUCUUGCCAUCAUUUCUACGGAAAUGAUAACGUAAGUCACCAACUUGCUCAGUCCAGAUUUGCAGCAGUUUAGUUUUCCCAAGAGCAGCAGCCCUGUAAACUGGGGUUUCCUCCAAACCGUUUUUAGCCUCAAGUAGAACUUUGUACGCAUGAUCGCCAGACUUUCUGGAAAAGUCGACCAAAACUCUGGCCACGUCAAAAUUUUCGACGACGGCCGCUUCGUGAAGACCAUUGUUUCUAAACGCAUCUGUUUGCUUCAAGACUUCAAGUCUGGUCUCCGGUGUUAGCGUUUCGAGAAAUUCCUGGAUCAGCUGAGGGUCUUCCAUGGCCGCUGCAAUGUGAAUUGCUCUGUCCCCGUUGACUGUCCUGUAUCCCAACAAAUCUUGAUCUCUUUGGCCAGCAAAGUAACGCAAGAAGCCUCGACAGUCUCCCUUCAAGGCCAUUCCAUAAGGAUCCAUUUCUCUCUCUCUCUCUCUCUCUCUCACUCACUCACACCAUUAUAUAUAUAAUUGAUACACAAAAAGCUGUGCGUGUUCUUCGACGACUUUAAUUUUAAUUGUCUUAAUACAUAUAGGUUUAAUCAUUCUAGAAGUUCUAAACGAUGUUAUCAAAUUGGCACAAUCACUUGCAUAUUUAUCUAUAUCUAUAUCUAUAUAUAUAUAUAAAGCUAGGACUUGAGGAGGUGAUGUGGCAUCACUAUUUUGCUUCUUUUUAUAUUCUCUAUUAUCUAAUAAAUAGAGAAUUGUUUUUUAGAUUUGGUUUUUCAUCUUCUCAUAAUUAAUUUGAUUGUAUUUAACUCAUUUAAUAAAUAGUAACUUUAUUAAUAUAUAUCAUUCCUCAUCUUUUUAUAUUUUCUAUUAUCUAAAAUAUUGGUGGAUAUUCUUUGUACUUUUUUCUUUUUAUAUUUAAAUUCAACAAUAUGUAAUAAUUAAUAAUAAUUAAUUAUAAGUCUUUUGAAACAUUUAUUUAUUUUAUUAUGCUAGCAAUUAAACUUUAGUGGCAUAAAAUACAUGAAUUAAUUAACAUAGGAAGAGAGGUUCUUUCAUUUUCUCUCAACAAUGCCACUAAGGCCUAAUUUUAAUGCCAUAAUCCCAUAUUUAAUUAUGCAACCUUUUGUUGAGUGUCUUUUGGCUUCUUCAAAAUUUAUUAUGCUAUCAAUUAAACUUUAGUGCCUUAAAAUACAUCACCUAAUUAACAUAGGAAGAAAGGUUCUUUCAUCUUCCCUCAACCUCAUCUUUUUAUAUUCUCUAUUAUCUAAAAUAUCUAAAAUAUUCUUUGUACAUAUUUCUUCCUCUUUCUAUUUAAAUCCAACAAUAUGUAACCAUUAAUAAUAAUUAAUUAUAAGUCUUUUGAAACAUUCAUUUAUUUUAUUAUGCUAGCAAUUAAACUUUAGUGGCUUAAAAUACAUGAAUUAAUUAUCAUAGGAAUAGAGGUUCUUUCAUCUUCCCUCAACAAUGCCACUAGGGCCUAAUUUUAAUGUCAUAAUCUCAUAUUUAAUUAUGCAACCUUUUGUUGAGUGUCUUUUGGCUUCUUCAAAUUUUAUUAUGCUAGCAAUUAAACUUUAGUGCCUUAAAAUACAUCAACUAAUUAACAUAGGAAGAGAGGUUCUUUCAUCUUCUCUCAACCUCAUCUUUUUAUAUUUUCUAUUAUCUAAAAUAUCUAAAAUAUUAGUGGAUAUUCUUUGUACAUGUUUCUUCCUCUUUCUAUUUAAAUCCAACAAUAUGUAACCAUUAAUAAUAAUUAAUUAUAAGUAUUUUGAAGCAUUCAUUUAUUUUAUUAUGCUAGCAAUUAAACUUUAGUGGCUUAAAAUACAUGAAUUAAUUAAUAUAGGAAGAGAAGUUCUUUCAUCUUCCCUCAACAAUGCCACUAGGGCCUAAUUUCAAUGUCAUAAUCAUAUAUUUAAUUAUGCAACCUUUUGUUGAGUGUCUUUUGGCUCCUUCAAAUUUUAUUAUGCUAGCAAUUAAACUUUAGUGGCUUAAAAUACAUCAAUAAAUUAACAUAGGAAGAGAGGUUCUUUCAUCUUCCCUCAACAAUGCCACUAGAGCCUAAUUUUAAUGACUUAAUCUCAUAUUUAAUUAUGCAACAUUUUGUUUAGUGCCUUUUGGCUUCUUCAAGCUCUCUAAACACUAAAUAUUUAAGAUUUGUUAUGUUUAGGGUUUUUUUUAUUUAUUUAAUCAACACCCUCUUUAGAAAAAUACUUGUAUUUUUAUUGUUUGAUUUAUUUGAAUUUUUGGUAUUGUGUGCUUCAUGGAGUACUCUUUUCUUCAUAAGUUGAACAAUGAUAAAGAUAGUUGGAUGAUAAGGGUUAGGCUUUGUAGGAUGUGGGAGUCUACUAAUACUAAAAAAAAUGGAGAAUUGAUUAGUGUUGAUAUAAUUUUUAUUGAUGAAAAGGUUGUAUAAAAAAUUUAUUCUCCCAUUGUUUUCUCUAAUUUUUUUCCCAAUUGUUUCACACUUAAUGUAGUAUGUGUUUUUUUUUUCGUAGGAAAAUCUAAUGCAUGCAACAAUCAGGAAAACUUUAGUGACAAUGUUUAAGCACAUGUUGAGUGAGGGUUCUUUGUACAAUGUCAAGAAUUUGAAAGUUGUUUCAACUACAGGCGAGUACAGACCACUUUCAAAUCAGUAUAAGAUUAUUUUCUUGGUUAUAACUUCUCUUAAGAGGUUAGAAGAAGGAACUGUCAAGAUUCCGAUUAAUGGAUUUCAAUUCGUAUCUCCGAAUUUGAUUGAUUUACGUGUGAAUGAUAACACAAUCCUCUCAAGUAUUUUUUUUAAUUAUUAAUGUUUGUUAAUCUUUAAGUGUAUAUUAGAAAUUAUUAAUCCUUAUGUUUUAACAUGUUUAUGUUAUUUUUCCAUAAUAUUACAGAUGUUAUCAGAAGUUUAUGUGGUCUGGGUGAUAUUGAGAUCGUUGGAGCUGGUUGGAAAAAAAGAGAUAUAAAAAUUCUAACGGAUUAGUAAGUUGAAUAUAAUCAAGAAAACUAUGACUUUAUAUUUUUUAGUUAUUUAUGUUAUUUUUUAGUUAUUGGUUCUCUUUACAUUAUUAACUUUUGUUAAUUUUUAUGGAUAGCUCGGUAACAACGAAGAUUACUUUAUGGGGAAAGUUAGGGGAGAUGUUUGAUCCAAACUUGUACAAGAAAGACGAGGGUCCUUGUAUUGUGAUAGUAACUUCUACAACCAUUAAAAAAUUCCAAGGUGAUUAUUUUAUUUAGAUCCCACUAGUUAACAUUUUCAAAUGCAAUGUGGCUAUUUUAAUAUUAUACACAAAUUUAGAUUUUGUUCAAGUUUCGUUUUACGUUACAUUUUCUCUAAACAGGUGAGGUUAAUUUCUCUACGACAAGUGCAAGCAAAAUCUACAUAAAUCUUCAAAUAUAUUAUGUAGCAUCAUUAAUUGAAAGAUUUUCCACCGUCUCCAACGUUGUGCAAGUUAUUGAAAGUUCGAAUGUGAAUAAGAUUACUUUUGAGAAAGAGAUGUUCCUUAACAGGAUGAGCAUUAAAGAACUGUUGGAGGCUGAUUGGAGUUCUCAAAUGAAGGUGAUUUUUCUUUUUUUUUUUCCUUCUCAUCCAUUUGUGUUAUUUGUUCCUAAAUAUUGGAAUGUCCUUAUUAUUUUUGUAAAUGUUUAUUGUUUAAUUGUAGGAAUAUAUUGUUACUGUGCGGGGCAAGAUUAGUGAAAUAGACAACUCCUUUGGAUGGUACUAUGUUUCGUGCAAAACAUGCAUAAAAAGGUCAUACCUACAAAUGGUAUUUAUAUGUGUGGCACUUGCAAAAAGGAAUGUGACUAUCCUCUUGUGAUGUAAGAAAAAUAAUAUUAUUUUUUAAAAAAUUGCUUAUUAUGUUGUUAGUUUUUCAUUCUAAUUCAUUAUUCUAAUGUAGGUACAAAAUACAUAUAAAAGUCAUGGAUAAAACGGCAGAGACAACUUUUGUCUUAUUCAAUCAUGUAGCUGAGAAGUUACUUGAUACAUCAGCCCACAAGUUGUUUAAUAGACUACCUUUACAUAGUAAGGAUGUCCCUGCAGAAAUUCAAAGCCUUUGUGGAAAAGAUUUUGUUUACAAACUGAAAUUGAAUGAUUACAAUUUGAAAGAGGGACUUGAGAAUUUUACUGUGUCAAAGCUUUUCACCCCUGAUGAGAAAUUGGAGCUAGAACAAGAAUUGAAGAAGGACAAAAAGGUAUUAUCUACCUAUGCUAGGUUCAAUUUGUAGGCAAUAUAUGUAAUGUUAAAAAAAAAUUAAUUGUUGUUUUUUGUAGGAAAAAAACAAUACAGAUCAUGAAAAUGUGGAAAUAUAUGAAAGAAAGGAAGGACAUUCCCAAGAAAUGGUAAUUUUAUUUACUCUUAUUUCCCAGUUGUUUUCCUUUAUGAUUAAAAUUAGCAUGUUCAGUUUACUCAUAAUUAUAAUUUCCUUGAUUAAAAAAUUACAGGAUCCUCAUGAUAUCUUAUCAAAUAAUUUGGAAGAUUCUGUGGGAGAUUUUCAUGUUACUAAUGCUGGUAAGAAUAGAAAGAGAAAAAACCAAAUUAUUGAUGAUGAUAAAGUUAGUGAUGGUGGAAGUAAUCAAUACACAAAACAUGUUUAGUGUUGUUGUUGGUCGUCUUUUUACAUGUGUGUUAGUCUUUUGACCUUUUUUUUCUUUUUAGAGUGGUAAUAUUUAAGUGUGAUAUGAUAUGUCUUAUUUUUCUGUCUAUGUAUGUAUUUGUUUUGAACGAUUGAGAGAACUUAUUUUUCUUGUGUUAUAUUUCUUUCUUGGCAUCUUGCUCCGUUCUAUAGAUGAAUGUAGAUAAUAAAUUGGUAGUGACAAUGCAAAAAAAGGCUUAUCAUCAUCAACAAGAGUGAUAGCAACAAAAACAAACGCUAGACGCAAAUAAUUGGAUUAAUCUCUACACUUCACUUGCGAUAAAAUAUAAAUUUAAUUUUUGUUACUUUGAGUUUCAGACUUUCAAUCACCGAAAUCUGAAAAAUGAAACCCAAAAGAUCUAAUCCGAACGCUCAAGAUUGAGAUCAAUAAGUUAAAAAUAAUAGUUAUAUGUAUGCUUAUACCACUUAACACAUAAUGUUUCUAAUUCAUUGAUUGCUAUUGUGAAUAAUCUCUUGGGUAAAUUUUGAAUUAUUCCAAAUUGAUUAUUUUUAAAUUACUUCAUUAUUUUUAAAAUCUUCAAGUUAUUUUUAUUUUUGCUUAAAAAAUGAGGGGAGAGAGGUAAUUUACAUUUUUUUAAAUUAUUUUAAUUACGAAUAUUUUUUAAAUUAUUUUCCUUACUAACAUUAUUUUAAUAUGAUUAGUCUACUGAACAAAUGAAACUAUUCAUAUUAUAUUUGUAUUUAUUGAAAAUUUUUAAAUUUCAAUUUUUUUUAACUCUUCGAGAAGAAACCCUCCCUAAAUUCUCUAUCUUCCAUCACAAAUCAAUCUCCCGAAGUCUGUUGUUGAUUGGCUUUAUAAACUUAAAGUUUGUAAUGCAAAACCGAAAAUCUUUUUUUCGUUCAUUUGUUGCCCUCUCUUGCUCUUUCUAACCAUUUUAACCAGCCAUCAACUUGGUCAAAUUAAGUGACUCAAGUCCCCGCACGAGGACUUAAAUGAUGAAACUAAUGAAUUGGGCACCUGAAAACUCUGCGUUUUGCUCUGUUUUUGAUAUAUUAACGUCCAACAUGUUCCUAGCCUUAAAUUCCAAAGUUACCCAAAACUAAUUUGGGAGGAAUGUUUUACUUAAUUUACAUUUUAGUUGCCUAAGAAAACAUUAUUGUCCUCCAAUAAUAAAUAAAAUAAGUGGGAACUUUGAAAAUUCAAACACAAAAAAAACUCAUUUGAACCGUUGGUUUUUUACAACUGCUGUAUUCAAGAAUAAAAAAGUUAAGAAAAGAUGAUAACGUAUAAAAUCUAAAAAUAGCAUUGAAAAAGAGCCAAAAGGAAAUCUGGAUAAUAAUAAUAUCAAUGUCCUUAUAUUUUAUCAAAUAAGGAUAUUGUUUAUCAAUUUGUAUCAAAUGGGCUCCUAACCAAGAUUGAAUAAAGAUUCAAUGUUGAUCUAAUUUUUGUGAUGAAUUUUAUAAAGGUUUGUCGUUUGAUUAAUAGUUUUUAAAUAACAAUAUAGAUACAACUAAAUUUUAAUCAUAUAUUAUUAUAAAUAUACACAUAUAAAAAAAUAAAUAAAAAAAGAUUAACACUUAAUCUAGAUUCAACAAAAUUGGAUUUUGAAUGACACAUAUUUAUAGCUUAAUAAUUGAAAGGUGUUUUAUUAGUGAUUGUAAAAGAGAUUGGGACUUAUUUGAUGCAAAUAGACAAUAUAUGUUUAUAAAACAUUAAAAGGAAAAAGCAAUGGAUCCAAUUAUUAUCACUCCGAAAAGAAAUCACAUUGUUUCAAAUCUUCACAAAAUACAAAAUACAAAAAUGGACUGUUUAUUUUUUCACGUCAUAACAUAUAAUUUAAUUAAUAUAGGAAUGAAUGUUCUUUUAUCUUCCCUCAACAAUGCCACUACCAAGGCCUAAUUUUAACGUCAUAAUCUCAUAUUUAAUUAUACAACAUUUUGUAUCUACUUUUUUAUUUAUAGAUAAGUCUUAAUGAAUAAUUAAUUUUCGUCUUAAAUCUAAUUAACAUUAAUUUAAAGAAUUGAAACUUAAGACGGUUCCUUUAGCAAAUGUUAAUUGCUAACAACAAGUUUAAGAUUUGUUAAGUGUUUAAUUGCAACCCAUUAACGGUUUUGACAAUGAUUGAGGUUUAAAAGAAAUAAAGAAAGAAAUGGGGAGACGUCGUAUUAAAUUGGUUUUAUUAUCAACAAUUAAUUAAUCAUUAUAUCAUUUUCAAUUAAUUAGAAAACGUUUAGACUCACAAGAGCUUGAGGUAAUAGCAACAUUAUCGACUAAUGAUAGUCUUGAAGAUGAGAAAGACGGAAAUUGCCAUAAAACACAUCAUUUGCGUACCAAUUUCACCCAAUAAUUGAAAAUUGACAAAUUUCUCAUAAAAUUUAAACCUAGAUAAAAGAAAUAAUAAGAAAACAAUAGUUAGCUACCGUCAAUAGAAAAAUGAAAGUCGGGUAAAAGACAGAAGAUUUGGUUGAGAAAUCAAUACUAUUACAGCACUCACGUUGUUAUCCAUGUCUCUUAAUUAAUUAUAAGCCUUGACUACAAGAGGUGAUGUGACAUCACUAUUUUACAUCUUCUUAUAUUCUCUAUUAUCUAAUAUAUUGGUUGCGAUUACAAAAUAAUUACAUUAUAAAAUAUUAAAAAUAGAAUAUAAUUAUUAGGUUACAAAAGAUUACAUGUCUUUUCCUCUUUCUAUUUAAAUUCAACAAUAUGUAACCAUUAAUAAUAAUUAAUUAUAAGUCUUGAAACAUUCAUUUAUUUUAUUAUGCCAACAAUUAAAUUUUAAUGGCUUUAAAAAGCAUCAAUUAAUAAAUAUAGAAAGGAAGGUUCCUUCAUCUUCCCUCAACAAUGCCAUGGGCCUAAUUUUAAUGUCAUAAUUUCAUAUUUAAUUAUGCAACCUUUUGUUUAGUGCUUUUUGGCUUCUUCAAAUUCUAUAAAUAUUAAGUAUUUAAGAUUUGUGGCAUCAUUAUUUCUCAUCUCUUUAUAUUCUCUAAUAUCUAAUAUAUUAGCUUAAAUUAAAAAAUAAUUACAUUACAAAAUAUUAAAAAUAGAAAAUGAAUAGAAAAUGAUUAUUAGAUUACAAAAGGUUACAUGUCUUUUCCUAUUUCUAUUUAAAUUCAACAAUAUAUAACCAUUAAUAAUAAUUAAUUAUAAGUCUCGAAACAUUCAUUUAUUUUAUUAAGCCAACAAUUAAACUUUAGUGGCUUAAAAUACAUCAACUAAUUAAUAUAGGAAGGAAUUCUUUCAUCUUCCCUCACCAAUGCCAUUACUAGGGUCUAAUUUUAAUGUCAUAAUCCCAUAUUUAAUUAUGCAACCUUUUAUAUUUGUUUUUUUAAAAUAUGAUAAGCCUUAGUGAAUAAUUAAUCUUCAAUGUCAAAUCUAAUUAACAUUAAUUUAAAGAAUUGAAACUUAAGACGGUUUCUUUAGCAAAUGUUAAGUGCUAACAUAUUUUAGAUUUAUUAACAUCCAUGGAACUAGCUGAGAAGGUCCACUAUUCUACUAUUUCAAUUGAUCAAUAAUGAAAAUCAAAACCCUUUGAUUUUUGCCCAAACUACUUCUUCUUCUUCAUAUUUUCUCCGCUAAACCCAGGUAAUGUUAAUAAACUCAACUAUAUAUAUAUAUAUUGAUUUACGUUUUUUUUUUCAAUCCAUGCUUUGAAAGCUUAGACCCGUUUAAGAAUUAUUAGUAGACACAUGUUUUAUCAGUGUCAUCUUAGGAUGACAAGAGGAUCAUAUGUCUAUUAAUAAUUCUUGAAUUUUUCUCGACUUGGACAAUUUGGGAAUGCAUAAUUUUUUUUAGUUCCAAGUAGGUGAAGUUUUGUUUCACGUAAAAGGAAAUUUCGAUAGCUGCUCAUCAUGUUCUCUGGGUACAUACUAGAUGAAUGCAUAAAUCUAGGUCGUGUACUUGGAGAACUAUGGGGAGAUGCUGUCGAAAUUUCUGUAAAUGUGGAAGAAACUUCACCUACUAGGAACUGAAAAAAAUUGUUCAUUCUUGAAUGGGAUUUAUAGGACCACCUACCAUUUGUAAAUGUGAAGAGAAUGUUGGAAAUUGGGGAAGCGAGGUGUUGAGUUGGUAAAUGUAAUUGGUUGUGGUUUUGCUGAGUUGAGUUGAGUUGCUAAAGAAACCAUUAUUGGCUGUUAACAAUCACAUAUUCUCAUCAAACAUUUAGUUGAAUAUGUCAAACACACAGACUAUCAUGCUUUAAUUUCUUUAGAGUAUGACAUGUUUGAAGUUUGAUUAUUGAUUCCAAUUAGGCUAUAUAUAUUUAUAUUUUGGUAUUUUAGUACAUAUAUUUCAUAAUUUUGUAGAAACUAUUAUAUAUUAGUGUUUAGAAAGUGUUAGAUAUAUUCUCUGUCUAAUAUAAUUUUAAUAUAUUUUGUGAUGAAAAUAAAAUACUCCAAGAGCAUCCUAUUGCACAGAUUAUUUUAUAAUGUUAAUGUUGAUGAUGCAAAUAUAUAAUUCACAUAUAUAGAGUAUGGAGCGUAACUUUAGAUUGUAAAUUAAACAAAUAUUUUUAUGAUCAAUACUAGCUACUGAUGAUCAAGCUUAAGUAAUUGUGAGCUACUGCAAAUCAAUUAAAAAGCUUAUCACCAAGUUCAAGUUACUAUGGCAGUAAUAUAUAAGAGUGAAAGUGUUGGCUCUUGUGUUUAAUUAUUUGAAAAUCAAUGUGUACGUAAUCAAAUUUUAGCAUCUCAAUUUCUUUGGAUCAAUUUAAUUUGAUGCCAAUUUGUCAAUGCGUUCUAUUUGUUUAUCCUUAUCGAAUACGUUUACUCGAUUUCAUUAUUAUGAAAACUUAGUUUUAAACAUAAUAUGUUGUUCUUAUUUUUAUUAACACCGGAUUACUUUAUUUUAACAGAUUACUGCUCACUUGUCUUUGCAAUUGUUGCUAUCUACUUGUUUGCGAAAAAGCAUAAGGUAAGAAAGAAAAAUCUUUGAAUAAUCUUUGGUUGUCUAAUUUAUGCGAUUUACACGUGAAGGUAUUGAAGAUUUUCACUUUAAUUUUUCAAUGCAAACUUUGAAAGCUUAGACCUGUUUAAGAAUUAUUAGUAGACACAUGUUUUAGCUCGUGUUUAUAUUUAUUGACUAAUUAAUCUCUGGUGGAGUUUUAUUUAAUUGUUAUAUAAUUCGCAUGCAUGAGGUACAAUUAAAAGAGGCGGGUCUUUUCUGAACGUGAACUAGCUAUAUUUGACUCGGAGGAUCCAGUGUCAAUCUGGAUAUUUGGUGUUUUGUGGAAAUAAACAGAUAGAAAAGGUUUAACUAAAUGCUUAAGUUGUUCUCGACUACAUUGUACAAUGUACUUGACUAUUAGAGUGAUAGAUUUUGCCUGUGUGAUUGGAACAAUGCUAAUGAUUCUAAUAUUUAGUCUUAAUUGAUGUGGUACAUAUCUUUUAAAUGAUAAAAUAAUAAUUUUAUGAAACUAUCCAAUUGCUUUUCUAACCUUCAAUUUUUGGUUUGAAUUGAAUUUUAUGAAAUUCGAUAAAGUAAACAAAAAAAUUAAUGCCUCCCAUUUGCAAGCAUUUCUAGGAAAUCUUAGAAGUACAAAAUAGCAAACUUCAAAAUGUCUUAAUUCAAUAUCAUUAAUUUGACUAUUGACUUCUAAAAAAAUGCAAAAAAUAAUUAUGAACAAACAAUUAUUUCACAAUACAUGUAUGCAAUAUUAUUAAUUCUUAUGCAAACAAAAAAAAUUAAUUGAUUAAUAACUAUUAACUCUUUGUGAGUGAAAAAAGAUAGAGACAAAGGGUGGAAAAAACAUAUCAUUUUUACAGUUCACCAAAUGGGGAAGUUGGAAAAAAAGAUAUAAAAAGUUUUAACAGAUUAAUAAGUCAAAUAUAAUCAAGAAAACUAUGACUAUAUAUUUAUUAAUUAUUGUUUUAUCAUAAGAAUUGAUCGACAAUUUGACUUCACUAAUUUUAUUAGUUCUUUCCUAAUUUUUAAUUUUCUUUUUCACUAAAUACAUCCAAUAUUUGUUGAAGAAAAACCAUUAAAGUAAAAUGAAAAAGGAUAUAGCCCUUAGAGAUUAUUCAAUGUAUUCACAAGAAAAAUUAAUUAGAAAAUAUGUUCUAGGCAGCCCAAGCAUCUUCUCCCAAACGCAGUAGAAUAAACAACAGUACUUGGCAGUUAGCAUAAUUAUUAAAAGAAAAAAUCUAUGAAAAUCACUCUAAAUCCAAAUGGAAUGUAGAAUGAACAACCUCAAUUCCUUGAAUUAUUGCCUAAUUAUUUGUUCUAAUUCUUAAGAAAAACAAUUUUUUUCUUUUCCUCACACCCCACCUCUUCAUAAACACAAAUAAAAAAGUCAAGUGGUAAUAUUCAUAUUGAAAUAGGGAAUAAUAAUAUUGGUGAUUUGGAAUUAAAAAAAGUAACCAAUUGUAUAAUAACGUAAUUCAAAACUUUCGAAUUUAAUGAUAAUACGAUAUCCUUAUAAUGAGUUUUUCUCUUUACAUUAUUCACUUGUGGCAAUUUUUAUGGAUAGCUCGGUGAUAUCAAAGAUUACUUUAUGGAAAAAGUUGAGGGAGAUGUUUGAUCAAAAUUUGUACAACAAAGAUGACAGUCCGUGUAUUGUAAUAUUAACUCCUACAACCAUUAAAAAAUUCCAAGGUGAUUAUUUAUUUAGAUCCCACUAAUUGACAUUUUCAAAUGCAAUGUGGCUACCUUAAUAUUAUACAUAAAUUCGGAUUUUGUUCAAGUUUUGUUUUAGUUCAUAUUUACUCAAAAUUAAUUGCCUUUAAAUUUACAUUAGAACUGUUAAAGUGGAUUUUUGUUGACUUUCUAUAUUAAUUUAGGGUAUCGUAAUUAGACCUAAAAUCAAUCAAACUUAGAAGUUUGUUCUGAAAAAAUGUGUUAACGUUGUUUCUAAAUACACAAUUAUGGAAACAAUUCAUAAUUAUUUAUCGGUUUGAAAAUAACAAAAACAUUACAUUAAUGAUUAUUUUGCAUGGAUUGAUUUGAUAAUAUCACAACUGAAAAAGCUCACAAUGUACCCACCAAAUUCGAAGAAUAAUAACCUAAUAAAGAAGUAAUCUAAAAGCCUAUGUUCGUGGCUAUAAGCACAACAACAAUUAAUGCCAAUGUGACACUUGCAUGAGUUUAAAAUUAAAUUGAAUUGGUUAAAUUAAAUCCCAUUUUAUUUUGUUUUGUUUUUAGUUAUUUGUUUUUUGUUCUUUCUAACAUAUGGUAUGUAUUCGUUCGAAAAAUUCAUUGCAAUUCUUAUUUCAAUAAUUGAAAAAUAUAUUUUUUCAUCUCUUUUGAAAUUUUUUUUUAUAUUUUUGGUUUCUCUUGUUAUGAUUUGUAAUAAAACGUUUUGUUAAUUUUAGAAUAUUUUGUGAUAUUGAAUUCACUUUAUUGUUCACCAGAGUAAAUGGAAUUGAUUUCUGCAACUAUUAAUGAUUUUGGUGACUCAAGGAAUAUUCCGCCAGAAGUUUGUCUCUUGCGGCAUCAACUUUCAUCUUUAGCUCAGCACGAAAGGAUUAUGAAAUUAAAGCUUAGGAAAUAUGCAUCAAAUUUCCAGUGUGACAAUAAACAAUGCAUAUGUUGUCGUAGGGGUGGGCAUAUUUUAACCGAACCGAUCCAAACCGAUCCAAACCGACCAUUUGGAUCGGUUUCAUUAGUAAAAAAAUUGGUUUCGGUUUAUUGGAUUGCAAACCGACAUCACUCGGUUUGGAUUUCGGUUUGGAAGGAUUCCAAACCGAUUCAAACCGAUCCAAUCCAGAAAUAUUAUAUAAUUACAUUAUAUUCUAAGUUAAGCAAUCUAACUAAUUAUAUUUAUCAUUUUAUGCAGAUUUUGACAAAUCAAAAGUAAUUGGGCCAUAAGUUUUGAUGGACAAGAUGCACAAUAUUUUAAUUGUCAAAUGUCGUUCAAGUUUAUUUUAAUUUUGUGAGUUUGUUUUGAAUGAACAGGUUAAGAACUUCUUUAUUAAGAUGUAUUAUGCUGUAAACUUGUAUGGAUGUAUCUUUGAAUUGUUAUGUAGAUAUCAAAGUAGAUAUGAAUAAUAUAAAAGAGGUAUCAAUUUGGAUUACGGACACAAAAAAAUAACAAAUAAUUUAGGUAAAAUAAUAUAAAAGAAGUGGGCUUUUAGUUAAUAAGCUCAAACCGAGGAUCCAAACCGAUCCAGUCGGUUUGGAUCGAUUCGGUUUGAAAAAAUUUUAGGUUGAUAUCGGUUUGAAAAUAUUUCAAACCGAUAAGUUUGGAUCGGUUUGAGAAUAUGUCUCAAACCGAUCCAAACCGAAUUUGCCCACCCCUAGUAUAUAUAUAUAUAAAGCUGGGACUUGAGGAGGUGAUGUGGCAUCACCAUUUCUCAUCAUCUCAUAUUCUCUAUUAUCUAAUAAAUUGGUUGAAAUUAAAGAAUAAUUACAUUACAAAAUAUUAAAAUAGAAAAUAAUUAUUAGAUUAUAAAUGAUUACAUGUUUUUUCAUCUUUCUAUUUAAAUUCAACAAUAUGUAACCAUUAAUAAUAAUUAAUUAUAAGUCUUGAAACAUUCAUUUAUUUUAUUAUGCUAACAAUUAAAUUUUAGUGGCCUAAAAUACAUCAAUUAAUUAAUAUUAAUAUAUGAAGGAAGGUUCCUUCAUCUUCCCUUAACAAUGCCAUUAGAGCCUAAUUUUAAUGUCAUAAUCUCAUAUUUAAUUAUUCAAUCUUUUGUUUAGUGCAUUUUGGCUUCUUCAAACUCCAUAAACAUUAAAUAUUUAAGAUUUGUGGCAUCAUUAUUUCUCAUCUUUUUAUAUUCUCUAUUAUCUAAUAUAUUGGUUGAGAUUAAAAAAUAAUUACAUUACAAAAUAUUAAAAAUCUAUAUAUAUAUAUAUAUAUAUAUAAAGUUGGGACUAGAGGAGGUGAUGUGGCAUCACUAUUUCUCAUCGUCUUUUAUUCUCUAUUAUCUAAUAAAUUGGUUGAUAUUAAAAAAAUAAUUACAUUACAAAAAAUUAAAAAUUAAAAAUAAUUAUUAGAUUAUAAAAGAUUAUAUGUCUCUUCCUCUUUCUAUUUAAAUUCAAUAAUAUGUAACCAUUAAUAAUAAUUAAUUAUAAGUCUUCAAACAUUAAUUUAUUUUAUUAUGCCAACAAUUAAACUUUAGUGGCUUAAAUAUAUCAAUUAAUUAAUAUAGGAAUGAAUGUUCCUUCAUCUUCCCUCAAUAAUGCAAUUAGGCUCUAAUUUUAAUGCUAUAAUCUCAUAUUUAAUUAUACAACCUUUUGUUUAGUGCAUUUUGGCUUCUUCAAACUCUAUAAAUAUUAAGUAGUUAAGAUUUGUAGCAUUAUUAUUUCUUAUCUUUUUAUAUUCUCUAUAAUCUAAUAUAUUGGUUGAGAUUAAAAAAUAAUUACAUUACAAAAUAUUAAAAAUAGAAAAUAAUUAGUAGAUUAUAAAAGAUUACAUGUCUCUUCUUCUUUCUAUUUAAAUUCAACAAUAUGUAACCAUUAAUAAUAAAUUAAUUAUAGUUUUGAAACAUUCAUUUAUUUUAUUAAGCCAACAACUAAACUUUAGUAGUUUAAAAUACAUCAACUAAUUAAUAUAGGAAGAAAGGUUCUUUCAUCUUCCCUCACCAAUACCACUAGGACCUAAUUUUAAUGUCAUAAUUUCAUAUUUAAUUAUGCAACCUUUUAUUUAGUGUCUUUUGGCUUCUUCAAAUGAUAUAAAUAUUAAGUAUUUGAGAUUUGUUAUGUUUGGGUUUUUUUUUUAUUUAACCAACAUCUUCUUUAGAAAUGUUCUUGUGUUUUUAUUUUUUGACUUAUUUAAAUUUUUUGUAUUUUGUGCUUCAUGGAGUAUUCUUUUCUUCAUGAGUUAAACAAUGAUAAAGAUAGUUAGAUGAUAAGGGUUAAACUUUGUAAAAUGUGAGAGUCUGUUAAUACCAAGAAGAAUGGAGAGUUGAUUAGUGUGAACAUAAUUUUUAUUAAUAAAAAAGUUGUGUACACUUAACUAUACACAUUAAUAUAUAUUUUUAAAGUUAACAAAAAAUACUUAACUUUCAUAAGUAACAUUAGUUUUAUAAAGCUGCGUUAGUUUAAAAAAAACCAAUUCAUAUUUUUUUUUAUCAAUUUUAUCAGUGUAAAGUAAUAAAAAAAUAAUAUGAAAAUUUUUUUUUUAAAGCCGCACGAAGUGCGGUUCUAUUUCCUAGUUAUAUUAAUAGAGCUCGAGCAUAUUAGUUAUGAGAAUAAAAUAAAGGUGAAGUUAAUCUCUCGGGUGAGGCAGAAGAAUAGAAUAAAUUAUUUCCAACAGCUUUGCUGGUUCCUAUUCCUUUUUCUGCGAAUAUAAUAAUCACAUUUAUUCUACAACUUUUAUCUCCAUUGCUUUUUAAUUUCCGCGAAUGUAAUAAUCACAUUUAUUCUAAAGUGUUAAAAUACCUAAAAAUUUUGAAUUUAAAAAAAAAAAAUCAUCUUUUUUUCACCUUGGCGUUAAGAAAGUUGGAAUUUGUUAGGAAAUGUUUGCAAAAUGAUAAUUUUACUCUUGUAAUAUAAACAAUGUCGGAUUUGAACGUUUAAUUUCAGAAUAUUUUGCCCUUAAAUAAUUUCUAAUCUCCUUCUUGCAUGUUUUUCGACAUCGUAAAAUACAUUAAGCUUAUUCUUCAAUUUUUAUUUCAUAAUGACAUAAUCCAAAAGUUUGACGAUUCAUUUGAUUUAUGAUUAUUCAAAAAUAUUUUUCAAAACUCAAAACAGAAUCUAAAAAAUUGAGUUGAAGUUCUAAUAUUAUCUGUUUAUUUUUAACAUUUAUCCAAUUCUCUUCCCUAUUAGCGGGGUCGAAAAUUGACCAACUUAGAAAGCCAAACUGACAAGAUGUUUACAGCUGAGCUUUCAAAAAGCUAGCCAAAACAAAUACAGCCCAAGUACAAUCGGGAGUCGUAUGUGUAAGUGGGUUAUGACUUGUAACCAUAGCUAAAGUUGUUUGUUCGGGUUUUGAUUUUCGAAUUUAGCGUUAUAAAGAAGCCACUAUUUCAUGAUUAUGAACAAAUUAAAGCUGCUCUUUUGCCAUUACUCUUCUCUGCCUGGCUGAUGCGAUUCUGCAAUCCUACUUGUCUUCAAAUCUCUUUUAUAAUUGUAGUCAACGAUAUCCUCAUCCAGAUACGUUUGGAAGACAUGCGAGUAAAAAUGUGAUUGAAUUUAACUCUAUAUAUUUUAAGUUCUAAUGAUGUAGACCUGCAAGUAUUUAUUUAUUUAUUUUUAAAUUUCACUUCAUCGUAUAUAUGUAUAAAUGCAAAUUAAAUAAUAAUUAUUUCUCCUAAUUAAUUUGCUAAUUGUUUCCACUGCAAAGGCAUGCACCUAAGUCAACUGGACCAUAUAUCUCAUAAGAGAUGGAACUAUACGUACAUAAUUAAUGUAUAAAAAAUGCUAAAGAAAAUGAAGGUGAAUAGAGGUUUGACAGAAAUAAUAGUAUAGUAAAUUGGGGUUUAUUAUGUUAAUUAAUUGAUUUUUUAAUUAAGUCUAAGUCGAUGUUUCUGUCAAAUUUUUCAAUCUUACUCAUGAUAUAUAAAUAUCAUGCAUAUGUUUUUCAAAAGAGAACUGAUAUUCAGUCAAAAUACUAACAAAAAUAAAGUAAAUCCGGCCAGGUUUACAUAGUUAAAUGCCAACAUAGUAACCCUGGCUAGGUGUAUAUAUACUGUAUUUGUCAGCGUUUAAGUCUAUUUUAUCAUUUUUUUUCUCCAUGAAAGGUAGUAAUUAGUUUUAUAUAUCUACGUAUUAAGAAUGUAUGGACAAGACUCGUCCAUAUCUUCAUGCGCUUCGUAAUCUUGAAGAUAAUAAUAAAUUUUUAUACUCUUGAUCUAUAAAGAAAUAAAUUCAUUAAUUUAUGUAUAUAAAUUCUGUUGGGGAAAAGUCAGGUUUUUAAAUUUUUUAUAAAACUUUUUGAAGAUCGCUCCCAUAUAAUAUAUAAGAAUUUGUAUUCUAGAAAUCGUACCUUGAAAAUCCGAGUUGGCUUUUUCCGCUGAAGUGAUUUAGGCUCCUAGAUCACGAUCCGCCACCACCACUCCUAUUAGAUCACGAUCUGUCACCACCACGCUUGUUAGAUCACGAACUGUCACCAAUGAUCUUCCAGGUUAUGACUCAGGUUCGAUCUGCACUUGACGUGUGGGCGCCUUUAUCACUACCAAAGCAACUAGCACGAGAAAAUUUUUCUCUCAACAAUAGAGAGAAAAAUCUUAUUCUCUAAUCUGUAUAAAGUGGCUUCUCACUUUUCUUUUUAGAGAAAAUAAGCCUUUUAUAUCACCCUUUAGUGAAAACCCUAGGCUCCAAAUAAUCAAAAAAUAAAACCCACGUUAUUUGGUUUUUCAAUAGGGGACCCACCUUGUAAAAUAACAUAAGGCCCCUUACACAAAAGCUAAUUAAAUGGAGCCUCCCACUAAAUGAUAUAUUUAGGCUUUUGACCCAAUUAGCUAGUUAUCUUACUUAUUAGUCCAGUAGUGGUGCAGUCAAUUAAAUGAGCUAACCCGGGGAUCAUUUGGGAACAUACAAUAGUGGCUAUAACAAUUAGGCCUGUAAUUAAACUAGCCUAAUUAUUUAAUUCCAAAUCUACUCCACUAAAAGAUUGGAACUGACUUCCAUAAUUGUAUGCUCGAAUAAUAAUUCGUCCCAAGCCACAUUGAUUUCUUUACUGCACAAUCCUUUGUACCACAUCAUUAAUUAAAUUGAUAUCUCAACUGUCCAAUCAAUUUAAUAACAUCUUAUUCCUUGAUCCUUACUGGUUUUCUCUAAUGAUCAUUUUCAACAUACUAAAUAUGUUGACACACUCUGGCCAGAGAAUUCUAUGAUCAAGUGCCGAAAACCCAUCAAGAGAUGUGUUGUACAAAUUCUAUAUUGUUAAUCCAUAACUCCAAUACUCAUAAUUGCUCCCACCAAGAUACCAAGUAAUCUUGACCACAAGGAUGUGUCGUGCCCAUUGGUAACUCAAAUGGAGUAACAAUUACAAUCAUGAAAUCAUAAUUAACUCAAGAUUAAGAUUACAGUAAAAUCAAUGUCUAUGAGAUUUAAUAAGUCUGACAGUUAUUACAAAGUUAAUUAAAUCUCAUUUGUGAUCCUGUUCAAUGUAGUCGUACUAUAUCAACAAAUUCAUACAUGAUUAAGACAAAUCAUUCAAUGAAUUUAUUACAGUCUAUACCUAAAUAAAGUGCCCAACUUAAUUUAUCAACUGCGAACUAAAUUUAUUUAAUCAUAAGAUAACUUGUAUUUAUGUCUUCUGUGAAUCCACAUGGUGAUAACAUAAAUACAUAUAAUAUGAUUAAAUGGACUUUAAUACAAAUAUUAAUGCAAUUAAGAUAUUUGAAUAAAAUACCUCAUCUAUUUUAUUAAUCAGAAAAAUUGUAUAUUACAAUUAAAUAAACACAUAUGCUUUUAAAGAGCAUAUUUUCCCAACAAACUCACCAUUAAUUACUCAUGAUCACCAGUGCGUUUCUAAAAUGCAGAUUGAACGAGAGAUUUAAUUAUUAUUACCGAAGUGCUUGGCAAGGACAGCAAUAUGAAGAAUGGAGAUAUUAUCCCAACAAAUCUUCAGCUGUUAGUUGAGCAAAGUAAUCCAAGAAGCCAUCAUCACAUUCUCUCAUUAAGGCCAUUCCAUAAGCAUCUUCCUUCGUUAUCCUCAUCUCAUCCAUAAACAUAAGCGCCAUCUCGCUUCUCUCUCACACUUGUAUAAUUGAUACACUGAACAAGCUGUGUUCUUCGAUUUCCUUAAGUUUAAUUGUCUCAAUAUAAGUUGGCAUAAUCACUUUGCUUAUUUUCUUAAUGAAGCUCAAGCAUUAUAAGAAUAAAAUAAAGAUAAAGUAUUUAACCUAUCGGGUUCAGAAAAGGAAUAGAACAAAUUAUUUCAACGAUUUUUGUCUGCAUUGCUUUUUCAUCGAAUAUACAUAAUAACCACCAAUUCACCAUAUUCUCAUAACGUAAAGGCGCUUGUGCUUUGCCUAAGCCUUAAGGUUUUUGCUAUUUUAUAAAGAAAUCAUGACCAUUAUGGAUUACAUUGAAACGACCUGCCCCGAAUCAUAGGGAUGAGUCUAUUUAGUCUCAUCAAACUGAAUAGAUAAUAAUCUAAUUAGUAGGGAUUCUGCCGAAAAUUUGAUAAAAUUUUCUUUAUAAAUAUAACACUUCGAGCUUGUAAAUAUGUAAUACAAGUACUCCCAAAAUAAAUCAAUAUACAAGCAACUCCAAGGAUCAACAUUCUCAGUGAAAAUACUGAAUUAUUACCUAAGAUAUCUCCAGAGUAUCGAAAGAUUAUAUUAGAACUAAUAUUAAUAUACAUUAGUUUAUUCUUAAUCCCAAAAGAAUAAUACAACAAAAUUUAUACAAUCUAAAAAGAAAAAGAUGAUCUGGAUGUCCUAACAAAAAAAAUCAUCUAUAUUUUCUAAUACCAUCAUGUGACAAACUCAAAAUAUAUCUACAAUCGUUGGGUCGAUUUAGUGUACCUGCAACCUCUUAUUGUGUGGGGGGGGGGGGAAGAGGGAAUAUAAUAAAACGAAAUGAAUAUAAAACUCAUUGAGCUCAGUGAGUGGAUAUUAGUUUUUUUUUGGAAAAUAAAUUUACUAAAAAAAAUAAUUUAAUCUUUCUUUGAACGAUCCCAUCAAAAUAUCAUAAGAACUUAAAUAAAUUUAUUUAAUUUAAAUCAUGCACUGAUAUAACAAUAAUACAUAAUACUGCAUAAAAUCAAUGAAAUCAUAACACUUAUAAUAACAGAGGGUGAAUGCCGAAAUUAUGACUAAACAAGUACCCAUGAGAAAUAAUCUUGUCAUAUCCUAACCUCAACGGACAGGCAAUGAUGUACUAUCUAGAUACUAUCAUGCCCUCGGGCUACACGAAUAGACAGGGAGGUGCUAUCUCAUAUCUCAUCAUAUCUGUAUAUGCAUAAUCUAAUCCCCAAAUGAUGAAAACACCCAAGCACACAGCUCAAAACCUUUAUGUGUAUUUAGACGGGCCCCAAAGGCCUGUAUCUCAUCUGUAUCAUCUGUAUCUGUAUUAUUGUUAUCAUUAUAUCACAUGCAUAUGCCCCCAAAAGGCAGAAGUGCCUCGAAAUAAAUUUUGUUCACGCAUUGAUAUUUUAUUAAAAUGUUUGGUUAAUGGUUUUUUGUAUUGAUUUUGAAUAAAUUAUGAUAGUAUUUUAAAGGCGAGAAAGGUGGAUUUAGAUGUGAUAAUGAAAAGAAAAUGGAUUUUAAGUAUGUUAAAUAGAAAAGAAACAAGAUUUAUAUUAUGAUUAUAUGUUUAUGUAUAUGUGUAUAAAACGUUGUUUGUAAAAUUAUUGGACAAUAUCCUUCCUCGGUUACAGUGAUACAGAUAUGAUGAGGUUUUUAGGGCCCGUUUGAUCACAUAUAGAGACUUUGAGCCGUGUGUUUAGAACAUUUAAAAUAUUUAUUUCGCAAACAUGUUUUACUAUCAUAAUUAACUAUGAAAAUAAGUUUUGUAUAUUUUACUCACAGUGACGACUUUUAGAUUCUGUUAUCGCCCAUGUUCGAGGACUGGUUCUCGCUUGCAGAUCCUUUUAAAUUUAGGAAAUGAUAUAAUUAUUUUCCGUAAAUCGAAAUUAGGACUAAAUUUAUGCAAUAAACUCGAAACGAACAUCUAUUCAUAAUUUACAACUUUCGUGUCGAUAAAAUUACUAAAAUACUAUCGAAUCCGUAAAUUAUUAGAAUACUCUGAAAUUGUAAAUCACUACAAUACCUUUGAAAUCGUAAUUACAUCCAAUUCUCAAUUUCAGAAAUUAUUAAAAUCUAUAUCGGGUCAGAAAUUACAAAAUCACCCUCAAAAUGUGAAAUUACUGAAUUGCCCUCGCUAACGGUAACUGGGAAGGUAAGUGUGAAAUUUUCAGCCACGAUGAGUCUAAUGGUGCCUGCAGUGACCUCCCACGUGUGCAGACGGUGGCAGAUCGAAGUCCCAAAGCCGUGAGCUUUCCGGCAACGGAUCGACAGCAAUCCGGCCGUUUCGGGUGGCGGGAUUGGUCGGAAAAUGAUGAGGGUGAGCUAAGGAUCAAGAUCCAGGCGGUGGCAUCAUCCAAAACUGGCGGAAUCGACAACGAGAAGAGGUGGGUUUUGCCGCAGCUUUUCGAGCUUCAAAAGGCGGCGUUCCGGUCAGUUUUCGGCGGCGAGGAUGGUACAGAAACGAUGGCCGUCUUCCAAGCUUCAAAUCGGUACCUUGAUCGGCCGGAGGGGGUCGGAAUUGCGAGAUAUGGCCGGGUCGAUUUUGUGUCAAACGGGUCAGGUUUCCCGGGUCGGUUUGAUAGCUUCCUCCCUCCCUCUCUCACACGUGUGGUCUCUUCCUGUCCUUCAAGCCUUUUAUUUAUUAUUAUUAUUUUCUUAACCGCUUUUUUUUUUAUAAUUUUCUUCCUGUCCUUCAUUUUAUAAUUUUCCCUUUUGAGUUUUGGCAAAACCCACAUUUUGUUUUUCCCUUGAAAGAUCAAACCAACCUUAAUAUCAUAUAACUACUAGCUGCUGAUUGCACAGCAAAAUUUAUCACUCAAAAUAAUCAAAUAUGUAGCUAACACCACAGUGAUUUUUGAACAAACAUGCCAGUAUGUAACUCACUUCAUCAAUUUUCCAUUACUCAUAAGUCACAAGUUCGUUGAAAUAGCCAAUACGACUUGGUAUGCAGUGUGGUUGCAAUCAAGAAUGAUCCAAAACACUCUAAAUACCUAACCAUACUAACUGUUAUUUUUAUUUUUCAAAAAAUAAGUAAACACAAUUUUCAUUCUAUCUAUUGGCUAUAACAGUAGCAGAGAUCAAGGAAGCCAUCCUUAAAUUGGAAAAGACCUUGCUAUAAAGGAAAUGAAGGAUUUGAAUUACUUGGUAUAGAAGUAACAAGAAGCAGCAAUCAACUCACUGUGUCUCAAGUAAAGCACCAAAUGGGAACCUACAAGGGAAUGCCAACCCUUCCAAGUACAUAAUUUGGAAGGUGAGGAGUUCGUGAUUUAUGAUGAUUUCUUCGGAAGAAGAUGGAUACGUAACUUAUGAUGAUUUUUUUACCAUAGUUCGGAAGAUGAUGAAUCCAUAAUUUAUGAUGAUUUUUUAAUAUAUAUAUAUAUAUAUAUAAAAUUUUUGUUUUAAGAUAGAGAGGUUGCGAAGCCCAAAUCAAUUUUUAAUUAUAAUCUUAUAAAAAACUAUUAAAUUAAUGGUAAUGGGACCGAUUUAUCGUACAAAUUGCCAACAACAUAAAUGGUGAUUGAUUUGUUACUUUUAUGCAAUUUUGUAUAAACUGAGCCUUGGAGCCAUAUGAUACAAGAAGAGUCGGAAUUAUUAUUAUUAUUAUUUUUUCAAUUGUUUCUUAAAUUCGUGGAUGAAGCUGAAUGUUUUUUUUUUCCUUUCUUGAUGAAAAAUAUAUUCUUUGGAUAGUGACUUUCAUUCUGAUCUAAAUUUUCAUUUGAGCACAUACAUGUGGGUGUAAGUUGUCAAUAUAAUGCAAUGAUGAUUCUAUCAAUAUAUAUAUAUAUAUAUUCAUAUUGAUGAUAAUAAGUAAACAGAUAGAUCAUACAUUCAUUAUUUAAUUUGAAAUACACACAGUACAUUAUUAUUAUUUGCCACAGCAAACCCAUCUUUUACUUGAAGUAAUACGACACACCCAAAGGAAAAAUAUAUGUGAGAACAAAUGAGAUAAAUAGCGUUAAUUAGAGCUGCAUUACAUAUAAGGAUUGUCAUCAUAUCAUGCGUACGUAUUAAUUAUUAACGCCAAUGCGCCCUCUUCUUCUUCUUCGAAGGUCCCCAGUAAUCCUUAAAAUUAGCCGCAAAAUUAGCAUAGACAGGAAACUCCAUGAGUGCUAAAACAACCACUGGAAAGAUAGCAGCAGCGUAGAGAGUGGCGGUCCAUUUCUUCCUCAAACGAAUAAUGAGCAGAAGUGAAGCCGAGAAAGUAAUCAUGCUUGUUAAUACAGAGAAGAAGAGUAAAAUGAAGCCAGUCGUCAGCUUGAACGGAAGGUUGCUAAGGAAAUCAGAUGACUCACGUGGCGAGGUGAGGAUAGAUAGAAACAUCACAACGGAUGACAAAGAUAAGGACAGCGAGGCAACGUCCGUUACGGUAAAAACGUAGAAGAGUGGUGACGUAAGGAAAUUGGGAAACCCCCUAUCAUUGUUACCUCCAGGUACCGUGAAGGCAGCUGUAAAGACGACGGUCGCGAUUAGGAUUGCCAGUACGGAGCAUGCCUGAGCGGUUUCUUUGAUCCAUUCUUGUGCUUUCCUAAGUUGAUCUUCAUGUGUUAGAUCGAAGAGGUCACUUGCAGUGAUUUUCUUUUCUAUGUCGCGGUGCAUGGCAUAAUGGCGAGGCAUUAUCUCUUUUACACGCUGCAUACACACACACACACACACAUAUAUAAUGCAUGGAGUCCAUCAGAAAAUAUAAAUAUAUAAUAUUAGAGUAUGCUUUUAUUUAUAUAAACACAAUGAAUAAAUUAAAUGUGCUUGGGGGACAAAAUUAAAUAUUAUCAAAGGGCUUACCUUGAACCACUGUAACUCCUCCUGAAAUUGGAGAACAGGACCAGGGCGGAUUCCUUGCUUAUAAUGUUUCAUGUCUGCGACAUGGUGCAAUAACGUAUAGCCAUAUUUGUCAAUUCCUGCAGCCCAUUUGGGCACAUACAGUUCCAUUUCCUUCAUGAUGAAUUCAAAGACCUUAUGUUGACGACGCUCUACGGCCACAUGUAAUAUAUUCUGCUCUGUCAGCUCAUUCACGUUAGAUAAUAGUACUUGAGGAUCUUGUCGGAGUAUCUCCUCCAAAAUUUCUGUUAUUCCGUUGCUAGCUGCAAAGUGUAAUGUCCUAUCCUGUGUUGUGGCGUUUUCACCAUCCUCAACUGGGUCGUUAGUGCCAUCUUUUUUCCUCAGCACCUCGAUCAAUUCUUCAGCUGAAAGAUCAACAAGUUUUUUUCCCAAGAUGUCCUUUCCUUUGCCCAAUCCCAAGGUAAUUGUUUUCGUUUCUUGUUCCGUUGUUUCGGAAAUUUCUUGUUCCGUUGUUUCCGCCUUUUGGGGAUCAGAGGAAGGGUUCAACCUUUUUAUUUCAACCAGGCUUUUGACAAGGGCAACCGCAUCUUCAUGCGUUUUCUUUUCCUUCCAGAUUUCCUCAAUCCAUGAACAUCCUGGUGAUGCAUGCAUCAACAUCUUAUUAAUUUAUGAACAAAAUUAUGCACGCAAACGGCAAAACCGUUCAUCAAAUGAAUUGAAGUUAUUAGACAUUUCCCUGUACUUCUAAUGUGUCUCAUAUAUGUAGAAGUAAUUAAUGAAAUUAUUAUUUGUCGCACCUUCAAUCACCUGCCUCCAAAUACCAAUAUACAUCUUCCGAAUUGACAUUCCUGCAUUUUGAUUAACCUGGUCAGGAAAAAUUUUAUAUGCACAUAAUUAUGAUAUGAAAAAUUAAUGCUAACGCAUCGAAAAGGAAACCGCUCGGACUCAAGUUAAAAGCGUGGGGGUUUAAAUAUAAGGAGACAUGUGGAUGCAAUUUAUUUGAGAUGGUAAAUAUUUUAAUCUGCAAUUUGUAGAUAAGCUCCUUACCAUAAGAUAUGCAUGAGUCCAUAGAAACUAAAGAAAAGGGAACAUCUUUCCCCCAACUAUUUGAGGUAUUAUAUACUUUUCCUCUCGAUAUUUUCAAAACGGUCAUGUACCUCGUUGUUAAAGAGAGAAUACAUUAAAACAAUCCUUUUUACUAUUUUGUCAUUGAAGCAAUAUAUUUUUAUCCUAAAAAUUAAUGAAUAAAAUAAAAUCUAAAUAUUUAUUUGAAUAUUAAAUUUGUUAAAAUAUAAAUUGCAACAAAUUUCCAAUCGGUCUCUUUUGUCAUUAUUUUUUUCUGACGUGCCAAUGAAAAUAUUAAAAUCAGACUUUCUAUUUGAUACAGAGAUAUUUUUCAAAGAUCAAGGUAGACUGGAUAGUAGCUCAAAUGUUUAAGGGGGAACAAAUAGAUUUCUAAUAAAAAAUACAAAAAAAAGAGCAUGCAAUGAUAAUACCAUUAGAUGUCAAAAUUAAGGCUUCGUUUGCCUUCUGGGCUAUAUAGAAUGAAAAUUUUCGUUACUAAUAGAAAAUUUAUGGGUAUUUUAUAAAAUUAAACACUACUAGAUGUCAAGUAAAAAUUGGAGUAUAUUAUCAAUAAAUAAUUGUGAAAAAUAACCUACUUAAUUAAAAGCCAAACUGACAAAGUGUUUGCAGCUGAUUAGGUGUGCAAAAAGCUAGCCGAAACAAAUAUAGCCCAAUUACGAUCCAGAGUCGUAUGCGUAGGGGGGUUAUGACUUAUAACCGUAGCUAAAACCUAAAGCUGUUAGUUCGGGUUUUGAUUUUUGAAUUUAUAGAGUUAUAAUGAUUAAUGAAACCUCUAUACUAUGAUUAACAAAUUAAAGCUGCUCUUUCAGCAUUACCUAGCCUCUUCUUUGUGUGGCCGCGGCGAUUGUCAAUCUUAUCAGUCUCUAUAUCUUCGUUAUAAUUGCAGUCGUCAUCCAGACACGUUGGAAGACCUGCAAUUAGAACUACAAUUGAAUUUAGCUAUAUAUAUUCUAAGUUCUAAUAAUGUAACAAAGCACUUUUUUUUUUUUAAAUUUAUGCUUAAAUACAAAUUAACUAAAAUAUUUCUCCUAAUGAAUUUUCUUAUGUUCCCAUCGUAGCCGCAUGCACCCAUGACAACGGGACUAUAUAGAUCCGUUUGGGGUAACUGCGCUGCCACAGUGUAGCUCCUCCACCUCCUUGAUUUUAAGAAGAUUCUCUUAGAGUAAAGGGUAGAGCAGCUACCCCAAACGGCCUCCAUAUCCCUUUAGAGAUUAAAUUAUAUUUGCAUAUAAUUAAUCUAUUAAAAACAUUAAGAAAAACUAAAGGCGGAUAGAGUGUUGGGCAGAAAUAACAGUAUCUCAGUCGGGGCAGGUGGACCAUUGUUUCCGUAUAUUUUCCAUGAGAACGCUGAUAUUAUGAAAAAAAAAAAUACUGAAAGAAACAAAAUUAAAUGCAAUCAAAUUUGCAUGGUUAAUUGCUAAUAUAACCCGGACCGAAUGUAUGUAUAAUAGACAAAGUCAAUAUUGAUGCUUAUUCAUUUUUAUAACUUUUCUCUGCUGUAAAUCUCUUUUAUGUAUAUUUUAGUUACGAUCGACGGUACAAUCAGUGGAACAAAUUGUUGUCUUGUAUUACAAAUAUUGAGUGAACUCAAUGAGAAAUAGUAGAGUCAUAUUUUCCAAACCUGACAUCAAACAAUGUAUCCACGCACGAUAAUGGAAAGGACUCUUGAUCAUUCCCUUCUUGUCAUCCGCACUCUUGAAAGCAUCUGGCAUUAGAGCUAGUAGUUCAAGACAUGUAAAGCCCUUAAGCUUGUCGGACGUGGACGAGAGCUCGUCGGACUUCAGCGUUGCACGUUUUUCUGCAACUCUUGCACGUUUUUCUGCAAGGCUUGAGUCGUGGUUAAGUAACCAAAUAGCCGUCUCUGUACGUAGUCGAGAAAAUUAAUUAAUCAGUUAAGAAAAUAAUAAUAAAUUUUUUAACUCUUGAUCUAUAAACGCAUGAAUUAAUUGGAGAUUUAAUUAUUAUAUAUUACCGAAGUGUUGGCCGAGGACAGCCAUAUGAAGAAUUGUCAUAUCAUCUUCUCUACGGAAAUGAUAACCAUAACUUGAGUCACAAAAUUGCUCAGUCAAGAUUUGCAGCACUUUAGUUUUUCCAAGAGCGGCAGCCCUGUAAACUGGAGUUUCCCCCAAACCGUUACGAACCCUGAGUAGAUUUUCGUGCGCAUCAACAGACAUUCUGGAAAAGUCAACCAAAACCCUGGCCACGGCGAAAUCUUCGACGAUGGCCGCUUCGUGAGGACCAUUGUUUUCAAACGCAUCUGUUUGCUUCAAGGCUUCAAGUCUGGUAUCUGGUGUUAGCCUUUCGAGAAAUUUCUGGAUCAGCCGAGGGUCUUCCAUGGCCGCUGCAAUGUGAAUUGCGGAGUCUCCAUUGGCUGUCCUGUAAUCCAACAACUCUUUAGCAGGCCAAUCAGCAAAGCACUCCAAGACGCCUCGACAGUCUCCCUUCAAGGCCAUUCCAACAGGAUCUCCCAUCGCCCUCUCUCUCUCUCUCUCUCUCUCUCUCUCUCAUUUGUAUAAUUGAUGCACAGAACAAGCUAUACGAUGUUCUUCGAUAUCCAUAUAAUUAAUUACUUCCAUCGCCGUCCCUUAUAUAGAAGUUCUAAACGAAGUUGGCAUAAUCACUUUGCCUAUUUUACUAAUAAAGCUCGAGCAUUAUAAGGGAAAAAAAAAAAAGUUCGAAAGUGACAAAACGGAAAAGAUGAUAAAAGAACAAAGUUCUGAGAAGAGAAGUGAUUAUUGAUGAAAAUUUGUUUACAUUGUACGGUAUUGUUCCUUAAAUUCAUAGAAUGUGAAGUUACCAAAAGAGCAAAGUUAAAAGUAAAAUAAAAUUAUUAUGUUUGAGAUAAAAGAGAAAAAGAAUAAGAAAAAGAAAACGCAUGCAAUUAAAAAUGAUAUUUUUUGUUGAUUCAAGAGGCCAAUCACCUCUGAAAUGAAAUUCACUUUUGUCUUUCUAUGUGUUUGGGAACGAUAUAUUAUAUAUGCAAAAACGAACAGUUGUAUCUAAAAUUACAUUUGGGAAAGUAUAAAGAUCAAGUUCCACGUCAUAACGUUUGUUAACAAAUGAUGUCAAUAAAAAGAAUAGAAUAUAUAAAUUAUUUCCAGGCUCAAGUUACAGCUCCGAGAAGGUGUAUGGUCCAUGUUGUACAUCAUAAGGUUUGUUAAUCAAUGGUGUCAGAAAAAUAGAGUAGAAUAUAUAUAAUUAAUUUCCACAACUUAAUUUUGUCUCCAUUGCUUUUUCCGCGAAUAUAUAUAAAAAGAGUGGGAGAGAUCCUAACCCUUACUUUAAUAACAUGGUGAUUAUUGUAAACGCGAUUGUGCUUUGACUAGACUAAAGCCUUUUGCUAUUCUACAUGUUAUCAUUAUUUCUCGUCAUGGAGUGGCAGCCAAUCAUUAAGAAAUAAAUAAAAAUGUAAAAAUAUUUGGAAAGUUUAAAACUUAUGAUAGAAUUUGGCCUUAUUUUGUAUAGAUGUGUUGUGAAAAUCAACUGUAUACUAUACUGUAAAUAUAGCUUUGGAAAAAUAUUUUUACAGACUUUUAUCGUAUAACUAUAGAAUAAAAUCAACUUAACUUCAAAACCAUAGCAGUAACUAUUUAUUAAAUACUUUAUUGAUCUAUUUUAAAAGCUUCCACUGCUCAAUUACAAUAUCAAACAAGAUGUUGAUCUAAGUUGGUUCCAACCACAAUACCAAAUAGGGACUUACAUUCUAUCAGUUAAGUCAUUAAGUUUAUUUCUUUUUUUAACUUAUUACAAAUUUUCAAUCAUUAAGCUAUUAAGCCAAUUUUCUUAGCUUCUUAUUUAAUCUAAAAAGUCUGAAUAAUGUUAUUAAAGAUAUUAUUUAAAAUAUUCCUAUCCAACUAAUUUAUUUUCAUCUUUACCUAAAUAUAUAAAACUUACUAAUUAGCAUACUAUUCAUCUUUAUCACUUGCGAGAAUAUAGUAUAUUUUUUAUUUUAAUAUUUUUUAUUUUCUUCAAAUUAGCAUUAUCUAUUUUCAUAAUUUUUUAUGAGUAUUUUUUAUAUGAAACACCAUAAAGUGCAAUAGAAUUGAUUCACACGUUCUAAUUUAGAAUAUUAAAGGGUUGUAUUCACCUGAACAUGAUUCAUGUUAUGAUAGAAUAAUAUCAUAUUUUUGUUCAAUGAGAUUUUAUUAUUUAUUUGACAUUUGAAAUUUAUGAGCGUACAAAUGUAAAAGUAUUGGUUUUUAGAUUUUUAAGUUGAAAAAAAUAAUUAUCGUUCAAAAAUUCAUAUUAAAAAAAUAUGUUAUUUGGAUUUAAACGUUUAGCUCUAUUCAAAAUUCAGAUUAACUUGGGUCUACUCAAAUUUUAGAUAAAAAAACAAAUGUCACCUAAGUAAAUCUAUGAUGAUACAAGCAUAUUAGUAUUUAAAAAAAAAAAUCAGCAUCUUCUUUUUUUAAAUAUUACACAAUAUAAAUUAAGCUUCAUAGAAUGCGAGUGUGAAUGGAAUUUAAAGCAUAUGGCCAUUCUUCCGUAGCUGUCCUUAUCUCAUCCAUAAGUGCCAUCUCUGUCUCUCACGUAGUCACUGUAUAAUUGAGACACAAAACAAGCUAUACGUGUUCUUCGAUAUCCUUAAUUUUACUUCUCUUAAUAUAUAUGAGUAGGUUUGAUGCAUCCUUCUACAAAUUCUCUAAACUAAGUUGGCAUAAUUAUAAGAAUAAAAUAAAGUUAGUCCGUCGGGUCAGGAAAAAGAAUAGAAUAAAUUAUUUAAUUUCAAAACAACUUUAAUCCUUCCGCGAACAUAAUAAUCACAUUUAUUCUACCGUGUUCGUGUUCUUCGAUAUCCUUAAUUUUACUUGUCUUAAUAUAUAUGAGGUAGGUUUGAUGCACCCUUCUACAAAUUCUCUAAACGAAGUUUGUAAUAAUUAUAAGAAUAAAAUAAAUUUAGUCUGUUGGGUCAGGAAAAAGAACAGAAUAAAUUAUUUAAUUUCCAAACAACUUUUGUCUUUCCGCGAAUAUAAUAAUCAAAUUUAUUCUACCGCUUUUGUCUCCAUUGCUGAAUUUGUCCGCGAAUAUAAUAAUCUCCAUUUUAUUUAAGUAAAGGCGAUUGUACUGUGCCUAAGCGUAAAGCCAUUUGCUAUUUUGGCGGCUACAUGUGUUACAGGCCAAUCCACGUGCCAAGAAUAGACAGGACUUGUCCAUACAUAUCAUAAAGUGCAAUAAAAUUGAUUCACAUGUUGUAAUUUAGAAUAUUAAAGGGUUGUAUUUGAUAAGGAAAAAGAUGAUAAGGAAAGAACUCAAUCAUUGGAAAAUCAUGAAGAUCAAUUUACGGAAAGAACUCAAUCAUUGGAAAAUCAUGGAGAUUAAUUUGCGGAAUGCAUAGCACUAUCAAAGGGAUUUCCAACGUCUAGAUUAUCUCUAUAGAAUAUCUUCAAUGAUUUAAUUCUUUUAUAAAUAUUCCUUUUAUGCUAGCAGUACAUAAAUGUCAUGCAUUAGUGGGUAUGAUUUGGCCAUUAGUUAGGACAGCAAUAGCUUAAGUUUAGGCCACUUGCUCCUUUAAUCUCACGUAUUGUCUUGUAUAAAUUUAUGGUUUCAGUUGCAAUAAAGGUCAACCAAUUCUCUCACGCUUCAAUUUCUUUAGUAUUCACCUGAACAUGAUUCAUAUUAUGAUAAAAUAAUAUCAUAUUUUUGUUCAAUGAGAUUUUAUUAUUUAUUUGACAUUUGAAUUUUCUGAGCAUACAAAUGUAAAAGUAUUGGUUUUUAGAUUUUUUAAGUUGAAAAAAAAAUUAUUGUUCAGAAAUUCGGAUUAAAAAAAUAUGUCAUUUGAAUUUAAGUGUUCAGCUCCAUUUAAAAUUCAAACUAACUUAGGUUUAUUCAGAUUUUAGAUAAAAAAAAAACAAAUGUCACCUAAGUAAAUCUAUGAUCAUAAAAGCAUAUUAGUAUUUAAAAAAAAAAAUCAGCAUCUUCUUUUCUCAAAUAUUACACAAUAUAAAUUAAGCUUCAUAGAAUGCGAGUGUGAAUGGAAUUUAAAGCAUAAGGCCAUUCUUCCGUGGCUGUCCUUAUCUCAUCCAUAAGUGCCAUCUCUGUCUCUCACUUAGUCACUGUAUAAUUGAGACACAAAACAAGCUAUACGUGUUCUUCGAUAUCCUUAAUUUUACUUCUCUUAAUAUAUGAAGUAGGUUUGAUGCAUCCUUCCACAAAUUCUCUAAAUGAAGUUGGCAUAAUUGUAAGAAUAAAAUAAAGUUAGUCUGUCGGGUCAGGGAAAAGAAUAGAAUAAAUUAUUUAAUUUUCCAAACAACUUCAGUCUUUCCGCGAACAUAAUAAUCACAUUUAAUCUACCGUAUUCUUCGAUAUCCUUAAUUUUACUUGUCUUAAUAUACAUGAGGUAGGUGUUUAACAAAAAUAUAUAUAUUUAUGUAUGAGGUAGGUUUGAUGCAUCCUUCUACAAAUUCUCUAAACGAAGUUUGUUAUAAUUAUAAGAAUAAAAUAAAGUUAAGUCUGUUGGGUCAGGAAAAAGAACAGAAUAAAUUAUUUAAUUUCCAAACAACUUUUGUCUUUCCGUGAAUAUAAUAAUCAAAUUUAUUCUACCGCUUUUGUCUCCACUGCUUAAUUUAUCCGCGAAUAUAAUAAUCUCCAUUUUAUUUAAGUAAAGGCGAUUGUGCUGUGCCUAAGCGUAAAGCCAUUUGCUAUUUUGGCGGCUACAUGUGUUACAGGCCAAUCCACGUGCCAAGAAUAGACAAGACAUGUCCAUGCAUAUCUUCGUGCGCCUCGUACUCUUAAAAGCGGAUGCCAUUAGAGCCAGUGGUUGAAGGCAUGUCAAGCCAUCGUCCUUCUUGGACUUGGUUCUUUUCCAAGACUGGACUCGCGAUUAACCAAAUAGCAGUGUCUCUGUGCGUGAUAAGUCCACGAAUCAUCAGUUUGAAGCAACUGUGGCAACAUGCGCUGCAUUAGCUAGCCAGGGGUCUACACUCUACACAAAGACCCCUUUAAGGCAAAUUCUGGAUGUUAGAGAUUAUACUAAUGAAGAAUUUGGUCACCUUGAACAUAACUCAAUAGCAACAGACCUGAUGCCUCCCAACGGCUCCUAGAAUAUCAUGCAUAAGAUUAAGUCAUGAGAUUGCAUCAACGAUGAAGCCUUUAGUUUAUGUAAAUAUCUUUGUAAUUAUGAGAUGUGUUUUAUUCCUUUUAAAGCAUGAUACAACUUGUAUAUAUGCUGUACGAUUUGUUUGAGUAGAAACAAUCUCAAUUACUUUCUCAUAUUUACAUUUUCCACAGCACGUAUUCAAGCAGGACAGAAAUGUAAUUAAUUAAUUAAUUAAAAAGAUAGCAAUAAAUGUUUAAACUCUUGAUAUAUAAAUAAAUAAAUAAAUUCAUUAAUAUAAAUAUAUUCACUACUACUCAUAUAUAAAUAAAUAAAUUCACUGAUAUACAUAUUUUAGUUUUCUAAAAUACAGAAUGAAUGGAAAGAUUUAAUCAUUAUUACCCAAGUGUUUGGCAAGGACGGCAAUAUGAAGAAUGGAAAUUUUGUCCCAACAAAUCUUCGGCAGUUAGUUGAGCAAAGUAAUCCAAGAAGGCUUCACAGUCUCUCUUUAAGGCCAUUUGUUAUCAUCUCCACUGCUAUCUAUCUCUUUCUCACUUGUACAGUUGAUACACAAAACAAGUUGUACGUACCCGUUCUUCGAUAUCCGUAAUUUUAAAAUUGACCAUUUUCUCACUCCAAGAAAUCUGGAAUAUGACAUAAUAGAACUAGAUCUCGUUUCUACUGCGGUGUUGUGGGAAAAAAAAGGAUAUAGCUAAAAUAAAAGUCAAUAGUUUAUGAUAAAUAUAGUUUUUAAAUAAUUAAAUAAAAAUAGUAAAGGAUAUUAUAGAUAUUCAUUGUAUAAGUGUGGGAUAAAAUUAACUUAAUUUUCAAAUCAUAAGUCAAUAGUAAUAAAUAUUUGCCAAAGAUUUUAAUGUUGUAGUUUAAAAAGCUACUCUAUGCACAUCCUUGAUUGUACAAGCAUAUUAUUAUUAAAAAAAUUAUUAUCUAUUUUUUUUGUUAGUUACUUCUUUUUCCAAUUAUUGCAAAAUAUAGACAAAACUCAUGCUUGGCGAACGUUUUUAUUGUUAAUAGAUUAAUGUAAGUUGAUUAUAAACUUGGUUGAUAUUCAAUAUUCGACGUAAUGUCUUGGCCGGAUGUGGUUAUUCCAUUGCAUCAAUUAAUUGCACGGUUGAAUACCAUGAUUGUUUUGCCUUAAAACAUUUUCUAAUUUCUUUCUUGGACGUUCUUCAAUAUUGAGAAAUAUAUUUAAUUUUCUCCGAAUUUUUUUUUCUUUCAUAGUGACAUAAUCCAAAAAUUUAAGGGUCCAUUUGAUUACAAUUCAAAAAUAAUUUAAACAAAUAUAAUCUCAAAAUUUGUGUUGAAGUUUUAAUGUGUUUACUUUUUAUUAUUUAGCCUGACAGCACUCAAUUCCCUCUCCACCUGUGUGAACGGAAUUUAACUCCUAAAUCUCUUGUUUCAAGAAACUAAAAGAGAUUUUAUUAUCUUAACUAAAUGGUAACUACAAGCUUUAAUGUCUUUAUAUAAUAUUUAAAACAAACAAUUUCAACAACUGAAACAUGUUUAACAAAAUUUCUAAUUAAUAAAAAAUAAAAAUACUUGUUUAGGUGGUGUGAUUUCAAAGGUAAUAUUUACUUAAGCAUUUACAAUUUUAUUUUCCUUUCAGCUAAUUACAUUAUAUCAAGCAGUAACUUGACCAAAAUAAACAUAAAACAAGCUUCAUCAAGAUUCAAUAUUGAUUAUAUUCUGUUAGCUUCUAUUCUGUUACAUUAUACCUGUUAGGCUUGCCACCAAAUAAAAGCUGGCGCAGUUGUGUGUCACUUUGCACGUUCAUCUACUUAGCAUCAGGACAAUGCUUAGAUGCCCAUUUUCGGAACCUGUUAACGGCAGCUUCUUGCUCUGCUCUGGCCACCUUCUCAAUCUCAGAAAGAUAUUCCCGAUCAACCAACAUCCCCUCAGUUUCCAUUUUAACUAGAAUCUCACCGAAUGGUUGCCAGUAUUCCGGAUAAAAGUCAAACAUGGAUUUUCCUGGAACUGGUUUCCCAUCAAGUUUCCAUGACAUUUCUAAAAGUAUUUUUUUUCAAGCUCUUACAAAGCUUCAGUGUGUUUAUUGAAUCAAAGGCAGAAUAAGAGAUCCACAAUUCUCGCUCCUUUCUUUGAAGCUCUUCAACAGGAGCAAUGGUGCUUAUCUUGCCAGCAGAUCCAUCCUUUUUCAACUUUCUCCUGCCAAAGAUAUCUUUCAUUGAUAUUUUGCCCAUGAAACCCUCAUCUGUGUUGUCCUUAGACAUGUCUUUCUGAUAAGCUUUCUUAUCCUCAGACAUGACUUUCCGAUCACCUGUAAGUGCUUCAGACUGUAACCACCCUCUGUGUGUUUCGAUGAAUCCCAAAGCUGUGCCAUAUGCAUUGUGUCAGCAUGAAAACCAGAAACCUUCAGCCCAUAGUUCUCAAGGACAUGGUUAUCAAAGCUAUAGUUAUGCCAAACCUACACAAAUGAUAGCUGUUAAUAUAAGAUCAUAUGAAAAAGCAGACGACAUAAUUUUUUUUUCUUUUUUUGUGAUCCAAGUAAACUAAUACGGAGUAAAGCAGUUUGUUUAGCUAAGUAAAGGAAAUUGGAUCAGUUACGUCUAUAGAAGGUGGAAACAGCUAGAAAUCCACCAUAAAGAGAGAGAGAGAGAGAGAGAGAGAGAGCACACAGAGAGAGGAAACAGCUCUGCAACUGAGCAGAGUAUUUCCUUUCUUUGAUCGGCGUACAACAUAUUUUCCUCAACUAACAUAAAUAGCUAUCUAAGGGGGAAAUUGGAGUUUUAGGUUUCAUCAAAUCUAUGAACUGUACCACACGGGUAGGAGAACAUAGCAUAGAUGUAGAGGUAAACUUGUAACCCAGUAGACAGCAAUGGGAACCCUAGCUUAAAUUGGAAAAGAGCAACAAAACUUGAGAAAAUGCACAGCGUAGGCAGUCACCGUAAAUCUUAAACCUGUCACUGCAAAGCAAUGACAAUAAAACUCCAUCUAAUUAAACCAUAAUAUGUGAAAAAUCAGUUAUCCAGAAAUUUACUAAAGCGCAUAACCAGCUGCAAGUCCAAUGCUUGAACCGUGCACCAAUUACAUAAUGACUGGUGCAGAUUAUCAAAGAAAUAUCCGCCAAUCCAUUUCUCCAUACUGCUAACCAGAUGAUAAUUAUUCUAAUUAAAAAAAAGCGUGCAUAUGAAAAGGACUAUAAACAAGAAAAAGACGUGGUGAAGGGGGAGGAAGGGCUCACCUUUUUGAUGGAUGGAUCCUCAAAAAAUGGAGCAAAUUCAUUCAAAAGGUCCCUGCCACCACCGUCAAGAAGAUCAACCCAGAUGCAGGACUUCCCAUUUCCAAAAUCUGCUUCUGGUCCAGAAUAAAUACUGAAGCAUAUCACUUCUCCAUGAUCAACAGGUGUCUCUUGCUUCACAUCAAUUUUGGCCACCUAUAAACAUGCUAUAAUUAGAUUCCUGUAUGCACAAAACUAGGGUAUCUACAUUGAGUAAAAUGUAUGCUUCUAUACAGGAAGACAUGCAAGGAAGAAGUAAAAAAGAAGGCAAAUAAGUACAUCACUCAUUACCUGCCGACAAAAAAUAAAAUAAAAGUACCAAUUUCAACUAGAAAAAGAAAAGAACAAAGUACCUCAGUAUCACAUGCAUGGACAAGAUGCUUAUAUUUGUUUGUAAGCAUCCAUACAACCUUCUUUGCGGCAGAAACAUUAUCGACAACCAUAACAUUGCUGUAGAAGCUAGCAAGUUUACUGCGAAGAAUCUCGAGUUUUUCACUAUUUUCAUUUUCUGAAGCCUUUGUGUUCUGGCCAGUACCUUCUGCAGCAUCAUUCUUAGGAUUCUUUUGAUUACUUCGCUUAGAACUAACUAGUUUUGGAGGAGGUGAAUAGGAACUACCAUCUUCAAAGCACGCAAUCUCUGAGUUCCUGAAAUCUGACAAGUUGGGAGCUGUCAAAACAGUGGCUCCUUUUCUCUCUUGAUAUUCUGCAACUUCCUUUUUGUUGAAAGGUUGACCAAAUCAAAUUGUGAUUUGGUUUUCCUUAUAUAUUUAGGUGUAUAUUUGGUGUAAAUAUAGAGAGUUAUUGCUUCCUAGAAAUCAGUGUGUAAUAUUCUGCUUUAAUUUUUUCCUUUCCUUUCUUAGUCUCUUGUAUCCCUAUAUUAAGACUGUGUACAGUCUCAUGAAGUAAAAAAAUUGAGAAUUGUUCCAUAAACUUUUUCUCUACCUAUUUUCACAUGGUAUCAGAGCUAGGCUCCCUUUCUUUCUGAUCUCUUCCCUACCAUGUCUGACCAAAUUUCCUCUACUCCUAGUGGUUCAACUACUGCUACUCCUAGUGGUUCACUAGCCCAAACAGGUAGUAUUAUUAAUGCUCUAUUUAGCCACUCAACUACUGCACCAUGGAUUAUUGAUUCGGGUGCUUCUGAUCAUAUGACUAGUAUUUCUAGUUUAUUUGAUUCCUAUUAUCCUUGCCCUGGUAACAAAAAGGUAAGAGUUGCUGAUGGAAGCUUAUCUUCCAUAGCUGGAAAAGGAUCAAUAAAAAUCUCUGGAACCAUUGAGCUUAAAAAUGUGCUACAUGUCCCUAAACUUUCUUGCAAUCUGUUAUCUGUCAGUAAAUUAACCAAAGAUUCUAAUUGUUGUGCUGUCUUUUUUGACUCCCAUUGUGAAUUUCAGGACAGGGACUUGGGGACGAUGAUUGGCAGUGCUAGUUUCCGAGAAGGUCUUUACUAUUUUGAUGACUACUUAUCAAGGAAUAAACAAGCUCAAGGUUUGAACAGUAGUAUUAGUUCAAACUCUGCUAGGGAUCAAAUAAUGCUUUGGCACCUUAGACUAGGACAUCCUAGCUUUCCUUAUUUGAAAUAUUUGUUUCCAGAUUUAUUUAAAAAUGUUGAUUGUACUACUUUUCAGUGUGAAAGUUGUUUUUUAUCUAAAAGUCAUCGAAUUUCAUAUAAAGCACUUACUUAUCGUGCCUCAAAACCUUUUUAUUUAAUUCAUAGUGAUGUUUGGGGACCCUCAAAAAUCAACACUUUAACUGGAAAAAAAUGGUUUGUAACAUUCAUAGAUGAUCAUACUCGGCUUUGUUAGGUUUAUUUAAUGAGAGAAAAAUCUGAAGUUGAGGGGUUAUUCAAAGAUUUUUAUAACAUGGUUGAAAAUCAUUUUCAAACAAAAAUAAGCCUACUCCAUACAGAUAAUGGUACUGAAUAUUUUAAUAAUUAUCUAGAGGUGUUUUGUAAGGAAAAGGGUAUAAUUCACACAUCCACUUGUCGUGAUACUCCACAACAAAAUGGAAUUGCGGAACGGAAAAACCGCCAUUUACUUGAAGUUAGUCGGGCUAUCAUGCUCUCUAUGCAUGUUCCUAAAUAUUUGUGGGGUGAUGCUGUUUUAACAGCAUGUUAUUUGAUUAAUAGGAUGCCUACCCGUGUUUUAAAGUAUCAAUCACCUUUAGAAUACUUCACACUUAUAUAUCCUUCUAGUAGGAUUACCUCCAAUAUUCAGUUAAGAGUCUUUGGGUGCACUGUGUUUGUUCAUGUUCCUAAUCAUCUUAGAUCUAAAUUGGAUCCUAGAUCUGAAAAAUGUGUUUUCUUGGGCUAUGCUCCUAAUAAAAAAAGGUUACAAAUGUUUCAAUCCUCAAACAAAGAAAUUCCAUGUCAGUAUGGAUGUUAUAUUUCUCGAAAAUCAACCCUUUUUUGGCCAAAAUUCUCUUCAGGGGGAGAAAGAAAAUAGUGAAGAUCAUUUUUGGCAUACUUCUACACCUAUGCCUAAUCUUUGGCAUACUUCUACACCUAUGCCUAAUCCUUUUUUACCUGAUCUGGGCACUUCAACUCAAACUCAAAAAACUGAUAUUUCUAAUAAUGAAAAACUAGGAACCCUUGAACUACAGGAACCAAGUGUUAAUGUACCAAAGACAGGGGGAGAAAUACUACAAGAUAAAAUUCCACCACCAGAGCUUCGGGUUUAUACUCGAAAGUAUCAUCACAGCAGUAAAGACCCUCCCAUAAACUCGGUACAGCCUCAAUCGUCGCCUCCAAGCACUGAUUCCUCAGAAAAUUCAGGUAACAUUUCUUCUCCUAAACAUUCCAGCAUUUUUUUUCCUGAUCUUGACUUACCCAUAGCACAUAGGAAAGGAAUCCGAACUUGUACUAAGCACCCCAUUGCUAGAUAUGUUUCCUAUGAAAAGUUGUCCAAUAAACAAAGAGCCUUUACCACAAAAAUCUCUCAGAUACCAAUUCCUAGAACCAUAAAAGAAGCCCUAGACCAUCCAGAUUGGAAGUUAGCAGUUUUAGAGGAAAUGAAUGCUCUAAAGAAGAAUGGUACGUGGGAGAUUGUGGAUUUACCAAAAGAAAAGAAAACUGUGGGUUGUAAGUGGGUGUUUACACUUAAAUGUAAUGCUGAUGGGAGUGUUGAGAGAUAUAAGGCAAGGCUUGUAGCAAAAGGGUUCACUCAAACUUAUGGAAUUGAUUAUCAAGAAACCUUUGCCCCCGUUGCAAAGAUAAAUUCCAUCCGGGUCCUUAUCUCAUUGGCUGUACAUUCUGAUUGGAAUCUAUACCAGUUAGAUGUUAAAAAUGCUUUUCUGAAUGGGGAGCUAGAAGAAGAAGUCUUUAUGGAUUUACCACCAGGUUUUGAGGGAAAUCAUGGCAGCAGUAAAGUGUGUAAACUACAUAAGUCUUUGUAUGGGCUCAAACAGUCUCCUAGAGCAUGGUUUGAACGCUUUGGUAAUGUUAUGAAGGGACACGGCUACUCCCAAAGUCAGGCAGAUCAUACAAUGUCUUACAAACAUUCUAUUGAAGGGAAAUUAGCCGUGUUAAUUGUAUAUGUAGAUGAUAUAAUUUUGACUGGUGAUGACUUAGUUGAGAUUUGCAGAUUAAAGAAAGUGCUUGCACGUGACUUUGAAAUCAAAGACUUAGGCAGCCUGAAGUAUUUUUUGGGCAUGGAGUUUGCUAGAUCAAAAGAUGGGAUUGUUGUGUCUCAACGCAAGUAUGUUCUUGAUUUGCUUGAAGAGACAGGUCUACUCGGAUGUAAAGCAGCCGAGACACCCAUAGAUCCUAAUAUGAAAUUACAGCCAGCUAAAAUUGAAGAUGUGACCAACAUAGAUCGGUACCAACGCCUUGUAGGUAGAUUAAUCUACCUUUCACAUACACGCCCGGACAUAGCCUUUGCAGUGAGCUUAGUCAGCCAGUUUAUGCAUGCUCCAGGACCAGAACACUUUGAAACUGUAUAUAGAAUCCUUAGAUACUUAAAAGGAUCUCCAGGUAAAGGUCUUUUGUUCAGAAAAAACGGGCACCUACAAGUGGAAGUCUACACUGAUGCUGACUGGGCUGGUAGUGUAACCGAUAGAAGAUCCACUUCUGGUUACUGCACCUUUGUUGGAGGAAAUUUGGUCACUUGGCGCAGCAAGAAACAAACUGUGGUAGCAAGGAGUAGUGCAGAGGCAGAAUAUAGAGCAGUAGCUCUAGGAAUUUGUGAGGUUUUUUGGAUCAAAAAAAUUCUUGAAGAACUUAAGGCAAGUAAUUCUCUACCUAUGAAAGUAUAUUGUGACAACAAAUCUGCCAUUGCAAUAGCACAUAAUCCAGUACUCCACGACCGAACUAAACAUGUUGAAGUGGACAAACACUUCAUAAAAGAAAAACUGGACAGUGGUUUGGUCUGCAUGCCCUACAUUCCUACAAAUGAGCAGAUUGCGGAUAUACUCACCAAGGGACUACCUAAGAAACAUUUUGAGAAAUUGGUUUGCAAGCUGGCCUUGAAAGACAUUUUUAGACCAGCUUGAGGGGGAGUGUUGAAAGGUUGACCAAAUCAAAUUGUGAUUUGGUUUUCCUUAUAUAUUUAGGUGUAUAUUUGGUGUAAAUAUAGAGAGUUAUUGCUUCCUAGAAAUCAGUGUGUAAUAUUCUGCUUUAAUUUUUUCCUUUCCUUUCUUAGUCUCUUGUAUCCCUAUAUUAAGACUGUGUACAGUCUCAUGAAGUAAAAAAAUUGAGAAUUGUUCCAUAAACUUUUUCUCUACCUAUUUUCACACUUUUCAUAUCGCAAGCACUCCAUAUUAGUCUUCUUGUCUAAGGGUAUUUGAUCAUUCACAAAGUCUUUGCUUUUUUCUUCACUGCCAGUAACUUCUUGUUUAAUAACAGCCAUCACAGAUCCAGGAUGAUUCGUAGGAUGACCACCUACUGCACCAUUUCAGAAAUCUGCCAGUCCCUAACAAUGGGCUUCUUCUGCUGCUUAAAUUUCUGAAAAUAAUGUUGCUUAGAACUUGUGAUUGAAGACUAGAAACUACUGUCUUGCAAGCACUCAGUCUUUGAUGAAGUAAGUGAUCUGUCAUGCUUGGAUUCCAGUAUGUUGAUAACAGUGGAAAUGGCAGCUCUUUUUCUCUUUUGAGCUUUUGCAUCUUCCUUCUCAUCUCUCGAGCUCUCUGUAUUUGUCUGACAAGAUUCUACUUUUUUCAUUACAUGCAGUCUGGUCGUUUCUGUCAUCCACCCUCUCGAACUGCGGACAGUAUUUUUUGCAGAAAAUGUUUCAUUACUGGAAAUAGAAGGAUUAGGACGAUAGUAGGAUGCAACCUCCAGAAAUUGAUUUUUGUAAAGUUUUUCUUCUCUUUUUUCAUCUGUUUUUGGCAGAUCAAAAGUUCCUUUUGAGAAGUACUUUCCUUCAAAACUGUUGAGAUCUUGGCAGAAAGGGACCAUCUUAGCUGGCGCAGCACCCACCGAAAGUCUAUAAGCAUAUUUUUUAAUGGGAAAUCUCCUAGCAUUGUUAAAAGAACUAUAAAAUCGGGGAAAACUACUCGAUAUCAUAAUGUUGGGAAAGGUAGUGUUGGUUACGCAGCCUUCUUUCCUGAAUUUUUUUUCAAUGGAAACAAUAUCAAAGGCAGCAGAAGGUCAAGCAACCAUGAUAAUAUACAACUUGCUGCAUGCCAAGUAAGAAAGGCGGAACAUCUCAAACAGCACCAAUAAGAAUUUAGCACCAUAUGCACAGCUCAAACCCACUGAACACUGAACAUCAGUACAGGAUGACAUUCGAGACAUAACAUAUCAUACAUAAUCACACAUAGCAUCGAUAUGACAAACCGAAACCCAGUUAACAGAAAUAAAAUGUGGGUGUUACAUAAUCUUCAAAAGUCAAAACCCAGAUAGCAAAAGCUAUGCACGCAAAAAUACAAUCUUUUUAACCUCUCCAAUUCAACAAAGCAAAACUGUAAGUGGGUAUCAAAUAACCCUAAAAAGUCAGAAUGAAAAAGCAAUAAACAGCACAAAAACACAACAAAUAAUUUCAUAACAUAACAAAUUAGAGCCAAAAAUAUAUAUGUAAAAAAAUUGAACCGAACCUUUUAAAAGAAGUGAGAGAGACAUGAGGAGAGGAGCAAGGAGUCCACUUUCUGGUGGUGAGAUUCGGGGAGACUCCCAUGACCGUUAUCAAGUUCGUAACUUUUGUUCUGCUAAACAGCAGCUUGUUGCCAGUGGUGGUUGUGCUUGUAAGAGCCGUUUUGAAGGGUUUAAGAGGGGGCAGAACGGUAAUAAAGGUGGGAUUUUGAGGGUGGGGUUUAAGAGUAUGGCGGUUCAGUGUCUGUUUCUGUAGCUGAAAUACGGAGUGUGGCCAUCAACAAUCUCAACUCAGCACUACUUGAUGAGGCAGCGACAAUAGUUAUAGCUAAAACCCUUCGUCGCACUGGCGCCCUUUAUUAUUAUUAUUUAUUCUUAUUUUUAUUUUUUAUUUUUUAUUUUUUUUUACUUUUGGGUAAUUUUUCAAAAUCUCCCUUCAGGUAUGGUGAAUUUCCAAGUAGAUGACGAGAAUUGUUUAUUUUUGAAAACCCUCUACAAAAUUUUGAAGUUUGACUUUUGUUAACUGGUUGAGUAAAAUCAUAAAACUACUUGACAAAGUGAAAUACUCAAGCUUUACGUGUGUAAUCAUUCAUAAUUAUAGAUAAUUUACUAUUUAUUUGAGAUUAAGGUUUAACUUAAAUUUUCGGAUUCCUAGUAUAGUAUUAUAGAAUUCAUAAUAAACACCAAACCAAAUCUAGCACUUCAACACUUUCUCUCAUAAUUCAUUUAUAAAAACUAUUAAAUAGACUAAUCACAUAGCCUUGCUCUUUCUUGACAAUAUCUAAGUAAAAAACUACCACAUUUGAGGUAAAAUUAAAACAAGAAAAUCUAAAAACAAAAAAUAAAGAAAUUUAAUGUUUCUAAUUUUCUCAUUAAAUUAAAUGUAACGGUAAAUUAAUAAAUAAAGAGUGGCUAGUUAAAAAAGACUAUCAAUUUUGUUAAACAUAUUUUGAUUGCAAAAGGCACUAUUUGUACACAUAAAGCAUUUUUGGAUUUGGUUGUUUUAGUGGCUCUAAAGAAAUUAAUUGCCUUUUCAGUAUGACUUAUUUAAUAAACAUAAGUAUUUAUUUAUUUAAUUUAAUGAGCUCUUUUCAAAUUUAUUGUUGUUGUUUAAAUUUUUUGGUAGAACUUCUAAAGGCUAAAUAAGUUAUUUUACUUUUAUCUACAAAAGCUCAAAUUUGGAGUAGAAGUUAAAAAGUUUUUUUUAAAAUAUUAAAAUAUUAAAAUUAUCCUUUAUUUAUUUGAGAAUCUUAUUCAUUCAUUUCACAAUAUAACUUUAAAAUAAUUUUAUAACUUUUACUAAAUGCUCUUAUUGACAACUAAAUAAUUAAAAAAAAUUUAGAAAAAUCUCUACUUACAAAAGUUUUACUGACAAUAAUUCUACUCAAACAAAUUUUAUUUGAAAAGUUAUAUCUAAUAGAGCUUAAAAGUAUCAUGAUCAUUUGUUAUUAUGUAUUGGUACGAGUUUUUUUCUUUUAUUUUUAUUUUUUCCCAAAUUUUUUUAUAUGAACUUUUAUAAAGAUUUCCCUCUGAAAUUGAGUAUAGAUUUGUAGGUAAGUCAGGCCUUGAUUGUAUCUAAGGGCGUUGUGAUGCUUUCUCAGUUAAGAGAUGAUCAACAAAAAUUUUAACAAAUGACGAGAGGAUUAUAAUCAAUAAAAUGACUUUUCCAUCUAAUUGCAAAUAGAUUAUACCUCAGGGGAGGUUACGAAAACGUACGCACAAGAGAACAAACGUUGUAUACAGUGACUGAUGUUGACUUUGCCACGUGGGUACUUGUGAUGUGUGGCUGUGUAGUUUUCAGAUUUCUGUCAAUUUUUUAAAAUUUUUAUAAUAAAUCCCCCUUUUUUAACUAAAAAAAAUAUUUAUGCGGCGUUUACUAAAUUACAAUCGGAAUAAAUUGAAAUCGAAAUAAGUAGAAAUGAGAAUGUGGUAGAAUUAAAAUAGAUAAUGAGAAUUAAAAUAGAUAAUGAGAAUUAAAAUAAGUUGUUUAUCUCAACUGUAAGAAUUUGAAUCGAAAUCAGAAUGAGUUAGAUUUUCAUUAAUGUGUUUACUUUAUAUUGUAAUCGGAAUCAUAAUAAAUUAAAUUAUUAUAAAUUACUAAAAAGUCGUUAAUAAUAAUGACAAUAAUAUUCAUUAAAAAUAAAUAAAUAAAUAAAUAAAUAAUAAUAAAUUUAAUAUAAUCUAAUAGUAAUAACAACAUUUAAAUAUUAUAAAAUAAUAAAUAAAAUUAAUAAAUUUUAAUAAAAUAAUAAUAAUGACAUUAUUAUUAUUAUUAUUAUUAUUAUUAUUACAACAACAACAACAACAACAGCAAUAGCAACAAUAGCAACAACAACAACAACAAUAAUAAUAAUAAUAAAUGACCUACUUGAGAGCAAUAUUAGAGUAAGCUUUUAUAUGCAAAACCAUUUCACAAUGUUGUAGACUCAUUUACAAUAUUAUAAAAAUUCAUAUUGCACUUUAAUAAAGUGUGAGAUCUCUCAUUAAAAAUGAACUAUAUAGAUAUAUAGGAUAGUAAUAUAGUUUAGAAUCUUGAAUCUUAUUAAAGUUUGAAAAAACUAUCAUGUCAAUCUUGACAAAAAUAAUGGUUUCCCUUGAAAGCCAUUCCAUAAAGAUCGCCUUUUUGUUUUCCACAUUUUAUCCACAUGAUCUAUCUCUAGCGUUAUCCUCACCACAUCCGUAUGAUCCAUUUCUCUUUCUUUCACUCACUUGUAUAUAUAAUUGAUACACAGAACAAGCUGUAUGUAGAUGCUCUUUGGUAUCCUUAAUUUUAAGGCAAAUGCCAAGUUACUUUUAACUAUAAUUUAUGCCACACAUACAAAUCAUGCAGAUACCACUAAUAUGUUACUGUCAUUGUGUGUGGCAUAAGUUACAGUUGAAUAUAACUUAGGGGGUCCUAAUCUUAAUUGUCUUUGUCUUAGUAUCAUAAGGUCCGUUCGAUGCAUCCUUCUACAAGUUCAAAGCGACGUUGGCACACUUAUAAGAAUAAGAGUAAUGGUAAAGUUAAUCUAUCGAUGGCGUCACGAAAAAGAAUAGAAUAAAUUAUUUAAUUUCCAACAACUUAAUUUUGUCUCUCCGCGAAUAUAAUAAUCACAUUUAUUCUACUACUUUUGUCCCCAUUUGCUUAAUUUAUCCGCGAAUAUGAUAGUCACACGUUUUUAAAGUAAAGGCGAUUUUGGAAGAAGCCUGUACGGUUUGGGAAGAGGAUACUUCAAGGCCCGGGGCACAACCAUGCAUAAUAUAGAAAUUACACUUGAAAAAGGGUGAAUAAUUAAUUAAAGCAGCUGGUGCUUGCUACAACUAUUGUAAAACAGAGAAAAUCCGCCGCAUUACCUUCUGAGGAGGUCUCCUUGAUAUCCAAAAACGUGCUGUGCCUAGGCCCAAAGCCUUUUGCUAUUUUACCGAUUACUGCCCGAUGCAGGCCAAUCCUUGGUCACUCUCAUAAAUAAGGUUUUGUCUGGCCGCCACAGUCAUUAAAACAUGAGUGAAAAUAAAUGGGAAAUUAUCAAUUUCUCGUCUGAUUGGUGAAAAUGCAAAAAUAGUUGAAAAUUUUAAAACUUCUCAUUUUUCUUUUCUUUUCCACUAGAAAAAAUAUGGGAUCUGACAGGGAAUUAGGUGUUGAUUGAUAUGAUCUAUUGUUAAAAAAAGUUAUAAUUAUAAAAUAAAACUGUGCGAUAAAUAUAGUUUAAAAAUAAUAAAUUUAAUAAAGUAGUAAAGAUUUAUAGGUUUUAUCGUAUAGAUGUAAAAUUAAAUCAAACUUAACUUUCAAAUUAGAACAACAAGUAUUUACCAAAUAUUGUUAAAUAUGUAGCUUAAAAACUACCACUACUCAACCACAAAAACACAAGGCCUUGAUCUAAGUUAAUCCCAACAAAUUUCCAACUGUAACUAAAUAAAAAAAAAUCAUAUUAGAAGCAAAAAAAUCAACAUCUAUUUUUUAUUGAUUUUUUUUUCAAAUAUCAUGUUAUAUGAACAAAACACAUGCUUGACUUCUUUUUUUCAAUUAAACCUUGACCAGUAAGGCAAUUUAUUAAAUUAAAAAGCAGGGAACACUUAUGUAAGGGAUAUAAUAAACUAUAUCCUGCAAAAUAAUUAAAAACCUGAAACAGUGGGAUCAAGAUCCUCUCUUGAUCUGAGCAAAUUCUAUUAAUGUGAUUGGUGUUUAAUAAAUUCAAAAGAAAAAAUAGUUAAAUCCUAAUCAUUCACUAACACUAAAAGACAGAUAACACAAGAUCUGUAAAAUAUCAGCAGUGUUCAGAUCAAAAGAAAAUCUUAAUCCGAAACAGUGAGCCCUGAACAAUUUUUUGGUUUACCAGAUAACCAAAAAAAAUGAAAAAUAAAAAACCAUUUCUCCGUUAGCAUUAUUAUGAGAGACGAACUUGGAAGCUUCUGGAAGUUCAUAGUCCCAGCAAGUGAAAGGACCAGCUUAGGCCCGAAUGAGCUUUGCUGCCGCCACACACACAGAGGCCACAGCCUGUGGAAAGAUGUAGCUAAUACGAAAAUUCAUUUGACUCACUAGAUGACAACAAUUAAACACGUGUUUGAUCGAAUGCGCGUGUGAAGGGAGUUUUAAAUCACCAAGGUCUUUAACCAACAAUUAACACUUGUUAAUCAAUAGAGUUGUGCUUUUGACACCCCUCUAAAGUUAAUCAGGAAUGCUCAGAUUAUAAGAAGAUCCUAAUCCAUUUAAAAUACAUCUUACAAUUAGAAGCUUUGAAAAUUAUGAUACUUUAAUUUAAUUCCCAAUCAACCCUUGAUAAAUACUUCUACAUCUCUAAAAGAACUAUCUACUUCCUAAUGUCUAUUGUAAUUAAAUGAUGAGGGCUGAUUUUGUUUUAUUUCUAUUUUCAGUAUCGCUUAGAGAAGGUCGAUGACCUGUUUGAUUUUCAUUUUAGGUGUGAAGCUAAAAGACCUAAGUCAUCUUCAAUUAAAUAUUCUUUUUUUUUUUAAAUGUUCUUUUAUCUCUCUUUUUCUAAAACCUAAGUCAUUAAAAAAAAACUGCAAAAUUUCACCCAAUUUAGCCGAAAAAUUGCCAUUCUUACUGUAUUGAUAAUUGAGGAGUGAACAACUUGCAUCUAUCAGCGGGAUUGCGGGAAAAAGAAAACCUAGAAAGUGAGUUUGCUCUUGAAGAGUUGUAAGUUUCUUCAAGGGUUACUUGUUGAAUAAAUGUCAGAUAAUUGUAAGCACCGAAAUUUAAAAACUCUUUUAAAUGGAUUUAUUUAGAAAAAGGGUUCAUACGAGUUUUGCUGUUUUGGAGGGGGUGCUAACAGCUCGACUCUAUUCAAUAUUCGACGUUAUGUCUUGGCCGGAUGCGAUGAUUCAUUGAUUCCAUUGCAUCAAUCAAUUGUGCUAUUUUGUCUUAAAGCAAUUUCUAAUUUCUUUCUUGAAUGUUCUACAACAUUUUGAAAUACAUCAAUUUAUGCUUAAUUUUUUAUUUCAUAAUCCAAAAUUUAAGGGUUCAUUUGAUUUACGAUUCAAAAAUAAUUUUUUUAAAAAAAAUGAAUUUAAAAAUGUGUUGAAGGUUUUAAUGUGUUCAUUUUUCUUUAUUAUUUAUAUUAAUGGCAACCUAAUCAUCUCCCCACCUAUGUGAGAGAGGUUCGAAUCAUAAACCCAUUUUUCCAAGAAAAGGGAGUCUACCAAUCUAAAUAAAUGAUGCAAAUUUUAACAAGUUUAUAUAAUAUCCAAAAACGACAAUUUAAACAACUGAAACAUGUUUAACGUAAUUUCUAAUUAAAAAAAAGAAAAACAUGUUUAGUUGCUGUGAUUUUAAAGGUAAUUCUUAAUGAAGUAUUAAGUUUCAUAAAAUUAUAGUCUUGUUUUCCUUUUAGAUAAUUGCAUUACAUCAAGGAGUAUCUUAGAACAAAAUAAAAAUGAAACAAGCUUCGUCAAGAUUUCAAUAUUUAUUAUCUUUAGCUUAGCUUCGAUUCUGUUAUGUUAAACGAAAAAAAGUAAUUAAAUUAAUGGUAUGGAGACUGAUUUACACAACACAAAUUGCCAACAACGUAUACUUUAAUUUGUAGUUAACAUGGAUGUUGUGUAACAGACCAAAUUCGUAACCCAACUGAAGCAAUUAAUCAGUUUUACAAACAAGCAAGAACCCAGAAAACGAACCAGGGGAUACAGUCAAGUAACCAAGAACAAGAAAGCAAACUUAAACAAGAGAUACAAAACAGAGGUUAACGUGGUUCAAUACCAUGAGUACUUACAUCCACGAUCAGGAACAGUAGAGCUAAAGCUUUAUUAGGAGAUAUCAAGAUUACAAUGGAAUCCACUCAGAGCAAGAAACUAAACUCACACAGAGAAUCUUUCUCAACUCACAAACUAUCUCACUUGACUAACUGAUCAGCUCUCUCUCUCACUGAAGCUUAUAAAGCUAGCAAUUUACAGCUGGUUAUAACGACUAACUAAAACCACCUGAGGACCCACCCAUGCUGACUCAGCUUUCCAACUCAGCUAAUAUAACCGAAUAUAACUAACUUGAUCCCACAAAUCUCCACCUUAGUUAACUCGGUUAUAGCUUUACUCAUCACUGCUCCAUCACCAGUUAACUUUGUCUCACAAGUUAAUAACCCCAAUCAAGUCCAAGGAGUUCCUGAACUUAACUGUUGGCAAAGGUUUUGUUAGCAUGUCUGCUGGAUUUACUUCAGUAGGAAUUUUAAUGACAUUAAUCACACCAUUUCGAAUUUCUUCCCUGAUAAAGUGCAUCCUCACAUCCACAUGUUUUGUUCUUUCAUGGUACUUGGGGUUUUUGCUCAACUGUAUAGCACUUGAGCUAUCACAAUUGACAGUGACUGAUUCUUGUUCCAAACCCAGUUCUGUAACUAACCCCUUCAACCAUAAUGCUUCUUUCACAGCCUCUGUUAAAGCAAUAUACUCUGCCUCUGUUGUUGAGAGAACAACUACUGAUUGUAAUGUUGACUUCCAGCUCACAGCAAGAAACUAAACUCACACAGAGAAUCUUUCUCAACUCACAAACUAUCUCACUUGACUAACUGAUCAGCUCUCUCUCUCACUGAAGCUUAUAAAGCUAGCAGUUUACAGCUGGUUAUAACGACUAACUAAAACCACCUGAGGACCCACCCAUGCUGACUCAGCUUUCCAACUCAGCUAAUAUAACCGAAUAUAACUAACUUGAUCCCACAAAUCUCCACCUUAGUUAACUCGGUUAUAGCUUUACUCAUCACUGCUCCAUCACCAGUUAACUUUGUCUCACAAGUUAAUAACCCCAAUCAAGUCCAAGGAGUUCCUGAACUUAACUGUUGGCAAAGGUUUUGUUAGCAUGUCUGCUGGAUUUACUUCAGUAGGAAUUUUAAUGACAUUAAUCACACCAUUUCGAAUUUCUUCCCUGAUAAAGUGCAUCCUCACAUCCACAUGUUUUGUUCUUUCAUGGUACUUGGGGUUUUUGCUCAACUGUAUAGCACUUGAGCUAUCACAAUUGACAGUGACUGAUUCUUGUUCCAAACCCAGUUCUGUAACUAACCCCUUCAACCAUAAUGCUUCUUUCACAGCCUCUGUUAAAGCAAUAUACUCUGCCUCUGUUGUUGAGAGAACAACUACUGAUUGUAAUGUUGACUUCCAGCUCACAGCAAGAAACUAAACUCACACAGAGAAUCUUUCUCAACUCACAAACUAUCUCACUUGACUAACUGAUCAGCUCUCUCUCUCACUGAAGCUUAUAAAGCUAGCAGUUUACAGCUGGUUAUAACGACUAACUAAAACCACCUGAGGACCCACCCAUGCUGACUCAGCUUUCCAACUCAGCUAAUAUAACCGAAUAUAACUAACUUGAUCCCACAAAUCUCCACCUUAGUUAACUCGGUUAUAGCUUUACUCAUCACUGCUCCAUCACCAGUUAACUUUGUCUCACAAGUUAAUAACCCCAAUCAAGUCCAAGGAGUUCCUGAACUUAACUGUUGGCAAAGGUUUUGUUAGCAUGUCUGCUGGAUUUACUUCAGUAGGAAUUUUAAUGACAUUAAUCACACCAUUUCGAAUUUCUUCCCUGAUAAAGUGCAUCCUCACAUCCACAUGUUUUGUUCUUUCAUGGUACUUGGGGUUUUUGCUCAACUGUAUAGCACUUGAGCUAUCACAAUUGACAGUGACUGAUUCUUGUUCCAAACCCAGUUCUGUAACUAACCCCUUCAACCAUAAUGCUUCUUUCACAGCCUCUGUUAAAGCAAUAUACUCUGCCUCUGUUGUUGAGAGAACAACUACUGAUUGUAAUGUUGACUUCCAGCUCACAGCAAGAAACUAAACUCACACAGAGAAUCUUUCUCAACUCACAAACUAUCUCACUUGACUAACUGAUCAGCUCUCUCUCUCACUGAAGCUUAUAAAGCUAGCAGUUUACAGCUGGUUAUAACGACUAACUAAAACCACCUGAGGACCCACCCAUGCUGACUCAGCUUUCCAACUCAGCUAAUAUAACCGAAUAUAACUAACUUGAUCCCACAAAUCUCCACCUUAGUUAACUCGGUUAUAGCUUUACUCAUCACUGCUCCAUCACCAGUUAACUUUGUCUCACAAGUUAAUAACCCCAAUCAAGUCCAAGGAGUUCCUGAACUUAACUGUUGGCAAAGGUUUUGUUAGCAUGUCUGCUGGAUUUACUUCAGUAGGAAUUUUAAUGACAUUAAUCACACCAUUUCGAAUUUCUUCCCUGAUAAAGUGCAUCCUCACAUCCACAUGUUUUGUUCUUUCAUGGUACUUGGGGUUUUUGCUCAACUGUAUAGCACUUGAGCUAUCACAAUUGACAGUGACUGAUUCUUGUUCCAAACCCAGUUCUGUAACUAACCCCUUCAACCAUAAUGCUUCUUUCACAGCCUCUGUUAAAGCAAUAUACUCUGCCUCUGUUGUUGAGAGAACAACUACUGAUUGUAAUGUUGACUUCCAGCUCACAGCAAGAAACUAAACUCACACAGAGAAUCUUUCUCAACUCACAAACUAUCUCACUUGACUAACUGAUCAGCUCUCUCUCUCACUGAAGCUUAUAAAGCUAGCAGUUUACAGCUGGUUAUAACGACUAACUAAAACCACCUGAGGACCCACCCAUGCUGACUCAGCUUUCCAACUCAGCUAAUAUAACCGAAUAUAACUAACUUGAUCCCACAAAUCUCCACCUUAGUUAACUCGGUUAUAGCUUUACUCAUCACUGCUCCAUCACCAGUUAACUUUGUCUCACAAGUUAAUAACCCCAAUCAAGUCCAAGGAGUUCCUGAACUUAACUGUUGGCAAAGGUUUUGUUAGCAUGUCUGCUGGAUUUACUUCAGUAGGAAUUUUAAUGACAUUAAUCACACCAUUUCGAAUUUCUUCCCUGAUAAAGUGCAUCCUCACAUCCACAUGUUUUGUUCUUUCAUGGUACUUGGGGUUUUUGCUCAACUGUAUAGCACUUGAGCUAUCACAAUUGACAGUGACUGAUUCUUGUUCCAAACCCAGUUCUGUAACUAACCCCUUCAACCAUAAUGCUUCUUUCACAGCCUCUGUUAAAGCAAUAUACUCUGCCUCUGUUGUUGAGAGAACAACUACUGAUUGUAAUGUUGACUUCCAGCUCACAGCAAGAAACUAAACUCACACAGAGAAUCUUUCUCAACUCACAAACUAUCUCACUUGACUAACUGAUCAGCUCUCUCUCUCACUGAAGCUUAUAAAGCUAGCAGUUUACAGCUGGUUAUAACGACUAACUAAAACCACCUGAGGACCCACCCAUGCUGACUCAGCUUUCCAACUCAGCUAAUAUAACCGAAUAUAACUAACUUGAUCCCACAAAUCUCCACCUUAGUUAACUCGGUUAUAGCUUUACUCAUCACUGCUCCAUCACCAGUUAACUUUGUCUCACAAGUUAAUAACCCCAAUCAAGUCCAAGGAGUUCCUGAACUUAACUGUUGGCAAAGGUUUUGUUAGCAUGUCUGCUGGAUUUACUUCAGUAGGAAUUUUAAUGACAUUAAUCACACCAUUUCGAAUUUCUUCCCUGAUAAAGUGCAUCCUCACAUCCACAUGUUUUGUUCUUUCAUGGUACUUGGGGUUUUUGCUCAACUGUAUAGCACUUGAGCUAUCACAAUUGACAGUGACUGAUUCUUGUUCCAAACCCAGUUCUGUAACUAACCCCUUCAACCAUAAUGCUUCUUUCACAGCCUCUGUUAAAGCAAUAUACUCUGCCUCUGUUGUUGAGAGAACAACUACUGAUUGUAAUGUUGACUUCCAGCUCACAGCAAGAAACUAAACUCACACAGAGAAUCUUUCUCAACUCACAAACUAUCUCACUUGACUAACUGAUCAGCUCUCUCUCUCACUGAAGCUUAUAAAGCUAGCAGUUUACAGCUGGUUAUAACGACUAACUAAAACCACCUGAGGACCCACCCAUGCUGACUCAGCUUUCCAACUCAGCUAAUAUAACCGAAUAUAACUAACUUGAUCCCACAAAUCUCCACCUUAGUUAACUCGGUUAUAGCUUUACUCAUCACUGCUCCAUCACCAGUUAACUUUGUCUCACAAGUUAAUAACCCCAAUCAAGUCCAAGGAGUUCCUGAACUUAACUGUUGGCAAAGGUUUUGUUAGCAUGUCUGCUGGAUUUACUUCAGUAGGAAUUUUAAUGACAUUAAUCACACCAUUUCGAAUUUCUUCCCUGAUAAAGUGCAUCCUCACAUCCACAUGUUUUGUUCUUUCAUGGUACUUGGGGUUUUUGCUCAACUGUAUAGCACUUGAGCUAUCACAAUUGACAGUGACUGAUUCUUGUUCCAAACCCAGUUCUGUAACUAACCCCUUCAACCAUAAUGCUUCUUUCACAGCCUCUGUUAAAGCAAUAUACUCUGCCUCUGUUGUUGAGAGAACAACUACUGAUUGUAAUGUUGACUUCCAGCUCACAGCAAGAAACUAAACUCACACAGAGAAUCUUUCUCAACUCACAAACUAUCUCACUUGACUAACUGAUCAGCUCUCUCUCUCACUGAAGCUUAUAAAGCUAGCAGUUUACAGCUGGUUAUAACGACUAACUAAAACCACCUGAGGACCCACCCAUGCUGACUCAGCUUUCCAACUCAGCUAAUAUAACCGAAUAUAACUAACUUGAUCCCACAAAUCUCCACCUUAGUUAACUCGGUUAUAGCUUUACUCAUCACUGCUCCAUCACCAGUUAACUUUGUCUCACAAGUUAAUAACCCCAAUCAAGUCCAAGGAGUUCCUGAACUUAACUGUUGGCAAAGGUUUUGUUAGCAUGUCUGCUGGAUUUACUUCAGUAGGAAUUUUAAUGACAUUAAUCACACCAUUUCGAAUUUCUUCCCUGAUAAAGUGCAUCCUCACAUCCACAUGUUUUGUUCUUUCAUGGUACUUGGGUUUUUGCUCAACUGUAUAGCACUUGAGCUAUCACAAUUGACAGUGACUGAUUCUUGUUCCAAACCCAGUUCUGUAACUAACCCCUUCAACCAUAAUGCUUCUUUCACAGCCUCUGUUAAAGCAAUAUACUCUGCCUCUGUUGUUGAGAGAACAACUACUGAUUGUAAUGUUGACUUCCAGCUCACAGCAAGAAACUAAACUCACACAGAGAAUCUUUCUCAACUCACAAACUAUCUCACUUGACUAACUGAUCAGCUCUCUCUCUCACUGAAGCUUAUAAAGCUAGCAGUUUACAGCUGGUUAUAACGACUAACUAAAACCACCUGAGGACCCACCCAUGCUGACUCAGCUUUCCAACUCAGCUAAUAUAACCGAAUAUAACUAACUUGAUCCCACAAAUCUCCACCUUAGUUAACUCGGUUAUAGCUUUACUCAUCACUGCUCCAUCACCAGUUAACUUUGUCUCACAAGUUAAUAACCCCAAUCAAGUCCAAGGAGUUCCUGAACUUAACUGUUGGCAAAGGUUUUGUUAGCAUGUCUGCUGGAUUUACUUCAGUAGGAAUUUUAAUGACAUUAAUCACACCAUUUCGAAUUUCUUCCCUGAUAAAGUGCAUCCUCACAUAAUCGUCAUCAUCAUACGUUGGAAGACCUGUAAUUAGAAGUUGCAAUUGCAACGGCAUGCACCGAAGUCAACUGGACUAAUAUAAACGCAUCUUUAUGCUUCAAAACUUCGAGUCUGUUCUCCGGUUCUAGCCUUUCGAGCAAUUCCUGGAUCAGCUGAGGGUCUUCCAGGGCCGCUGCAACGUGAAUUGCUGAGUCUCCAUUGACCGUCCUGUAAUCCAACAACUCUGCAGGUCGUUGACGAAAGUAAACCAAGAAACCUUGACGGUCUCCAUUUAAGGCCAUAUUCCAUAAGGAUCCAUCUUUCUCUCUCUCACUCACACUCUUGAAUAUAUAAGCUUUAAUGCAUCAUUGUUGAAGUUCUAAACGAAGUUAUCAAAUUGGCACAAUCACUUUGCAUUUUAUAUUAAUAGAGCUCAAGCAUAUUAAUUAUAAGAAUAAAAUAUUGGUGAAGUUUAUCUCUUGGGUCAGGUAGAAGAAUAGAAUAUAUUAUUUCCAACAGCUUUGGCGGGUCCUUAUUGCUUUUGCUGCGAAUAUUAUAAUCACAUUUAUUCUACAGCUUCUCUGCCUCCAUUGCUUUUGAUUUCUGCGAAUAUAAUAAUCACAUUUAUUCUAAAGUGUUAAAAUACCUGAAAAUUUUGACACUUACGAUUUCUCCACCCGGGUUUUUUUUUUUAUAAAAAAAAUCAUUUUUUUUUCGCCUUGACGUUAACAAAGUUCGAAUUUGUUAGGAAAUGCUUACAAAAUGAAAGUUUUGCUCUUGUAAUAUAAACAAUGUCGGAUUUUAACGUUUAAUAUCAGAAUAUUUUGAUUUGCCCCAAAACAAUUUCUAAUUUCCUUCUUGCAUGUUUUUCGACAUCGUGAAAUACAUUAACCUUAAUCUUCAAUUUUUAUUUCAUAAUGACAUAAUCCAAAAGUUUGAGGAUUCAUUUGAUUUAUGAUUCAAAAAUAUUUUUCAAAACUCAAAACUCAAAACAGAAUCUAAAAAAUUGAGUUGAAGUUUUAAUAUUAUCUGUUUAUUUUUAACAUUUAUCCAAUUCUCUUCCCUAUUAGCGGGGUCGAAAAUUAACCAACUUAAAAAGCCAAACUGACAAGAUGUGUACAGCUGAGCUUUCAAAAAGCUAGCCAAAACAAAUACAGCCCAAGUACAAUCGAGAGUGUUGAGAAGUGAACACAAAUCUGGAAUUGUGGUUGAAUAUGACAUGUCCGUUUGAUGUUUUGAGACUGGAUGAUAUGUCGGUUGUGUGGCACAAGAGAGCCGUAUGACAAGCCUGGUUGAUCAGCCGAGUGAUUAAGUUAAGCAGGUGCUGAGGCACACGACUUCACUUAUUCUAAACGGCAGAAGAAGGCAGCGUUUUGGAUGCAGUUACUACACGUGUCUUGAGGCCGGUUUAAAGGGCUGGUAAAGCUGUUAAAGUAAGCGGGAAAAUUCUGGGUUUGUUGCCAACAAACCCAGGGUUGUUACGCUGGCUUCUGGGGAUUGUUUCUACAGCAAUCUAGGCGUGUAUAUAAGGCUUCAUGGUCUCGUAUUUGGCUUGCUCAAGUGUGUAACAGUUUCUCAGAUUACUUGUAUCUUGUAAACACCAAAUCAGUAAAAGCUCUUUCUCUUUUUCACAGUGGAUGUAGGUCAAUUGGUGGCUGAACCACUUAACUCUUUUAUGUUCGUGUGUGAUUGUUUCUGCUUUCUUUAAGCUUGUUAUCUAUUGAUUCGAAUUGAUGAUUUCACAAUGAUUUCACAAAGCUUUAGUUGGUCAUAAUUAGUUCUUGGAUUAAAGCUAAGUCGAGUGAAUCUUGGGGGAUUAAGAUCGGUUCUUGACUGGUUUUGGUCCAACAGAGAGUCGUAUGUGUAAGUUGGUUAUGACUUGUAACCGUAGCUAAAGUUGUUUGUUCGGGUUUUGAUUUUCGAAUUUAGCGUUAUAAAGAAGCCACUAUUUCAUGAUUACGAACAAAUUAAAUCUGCUCUUUCGCCAUUACUCUUCUCUGCCUGGCUGAUGCGAUUCUGCAAUCCUACCUGUCUUCAAAUCUCUUUUAUAAUUGUAGUCAACGAUAUCUUCAUCCAGAUACAUUUGGAAGACCUACGAGUAAAAAUGCGAUUGAAUUUAACUCUAUAUAUUUUAAGUUCUAAUGAUGUAGACCGGCAAGUAUUUUUUUUAUUUUAAAUUUCACUUCACCAUAUAUAUGUAUAACCGCAAAUUAAAUAAUUAUUUCUCCUAAUUAACUUGCUUAUUGUUUCCAUUGCAAAGGCAUGCACCUAAGUCAACUGGACCAUAUAUCUCAUAAGAGAUGGAUACAUAACUAAUGUAUAAAAAAUGCUAAAGAAAAUGAAGGUGAAUAGAGCGUUGACAGAAAUAAUAGUAUAGUAAAUUGGGGUUUAUUAUUUUUAAUUAAGUAUAAGUCGAUAAUCUCGGCCGGGUGUACCACUGUUUCUGUCAAAUUUUUCAAUCUUACUCAUGAUAUAUAAAUAUCAUGCAUAUGUUUUUCAUAAGAGAACUGAUAUUCAGUCAAAAUACUAACAAAAAUAAAGUAAAUCCGGCCAGGUUUACAUAGUUAAAUGCCAACAUAGUAACCCUGGCUAGGUGUAUAUAUACUGUAUUUGUCAGCGUUUAAGUCUAUUUUAUCAUUUUUUUUCCUCCAUGAAAGGUAGUAAUUAGUUUAUAUAUCUACGUAUUAAGAAUGUAUGGACAAGACUCGUCCAUAUCUUCAUGCGCUUCGUAAUCUUGAAGAUAAUAAUAAAUUUUUAUACUCUUGAUCUAUAAAGAAAUAAAUUCAUUAAUUUAUGUAUAUAAAUUCACCAUUAAUUACUCAUGAUCAUCAGCUCGUUUCUAAAAUGCAGAUUGAACCAGAGAUUUAAUUAUUAUUACCGAAGUGCUUGGCAAGGACAGCAAUAUGAAGAAUGGAGAUAUUAUCCCAACAAAUAUUCAGCUGUUAGUUGAGCAAAGUAAUCCAAGAAGCCAUCAUCACAUUCUCUCAUUAAGGCCAUUCCAUAAGCAUCUUCCUUCGUUAUCCUCAUCUCAUCCAUAAACAUAAGCGCCAUCUCGCUUCUCUCUCUCUCACUUGUAUAAUUGAUACACUGAACAAGCUGUGUUCUUCGAUUUCCUUAAGUUUAAUUGUCUCAAUGUAAGUUGGCAUAAUCACUUUGCUUAAUUUCUUAAUGAAGCUCAAGCAUUAUAAGAAUAAAAUAAAGAUAAAGUAUUUAACCUAUCGGAUUCAGAAAAGGAAUAGAACAAAUUAUUUCAACGACUUUUGUCUGCAUUGCUUUUUCAUCGAAUAUACAUAAUAACCACCAAUUCACCAUAUUCUCAUAACGUAAAGGCGCUUGUGCUUUGCCUAAGCCUUAAGGUUUUUGCUAUUUUAUAAAGAAUUCAUGACCAUUAUGGAUUACAUUGAAACGACCUGCCUCGAAUCAUAGGGAUGAGUCUAUUUAGUCUCAUCAAAUUGAAUAGAUAAUAAUCUAAUUAGUAGGGAUUCUGCUGAAAAUUUGAUAAAGUUUUCUUUAUAAAUAUAACACUUCAAACUUGUAAAUAUGUAAUACAAGUACUCCCAAAAUAAAUCAAAAUAUAAGCAACUCCAAGGAUCAAUAUUCUCAGUGAAAUACUGAAUUAUUACCUAAGAUAUCUCCAGAGUAUCGAAAGAUUAUAUUAGAACUAAUAUUAAUAUACAUUAGUUUAUUCUUAAUCCCGAAAGAAUAAUACAACAAAAUUUGUACAAUCUAAAAAGAAAAAGAUGAUUUGGAUGUCCUAAUAAAAAAAUCAUCUAUAUUUUCUAAUACCAUCACGUGACUAAAACUUAAAAUAUAUCUAUAGUCGUUGGGUCGAUUUGGUGUACCUGCAACCUCUUAUUGUGGGGAGGGGGGGGGAAUAUAAUAAAACGAAAUGAGUAUAAAACUCAUUGAGCUCAGUGAGUGGAUAUUAGUUUUUUUUUUGGAAAAUAAAUUUACUAAAAAUAAUAAUUUAAUGAACGAUCCCAUCAAAAUAUCAUAAGAACUUAAAUAAAUUUAUUUAAUUUAAAUCAUGCAUUGAUAUAACAAUAAUACAUAAUACUGCAUAAAAUCAAGGAAAUCAUAACACUUAUAAUAACAGAGAGUGAAUGUCGAAAUUAUGACUAAACAAUUACCCAUGAGAAAUAAUCUUGUUAUAUCCUAACCUCAACGGACGGGUAAUGAUGUACUAUCUAGAUACUAUCAUGCCCUCGGACUACACGAAUAAACAGGGAGGUGCCACAUCAUAUCUCAUCAUAUCUGUACAUGCAUAACCUAAUCCCCAAAGGAUAAAAACACCCAAGCACACAGCUCAAGACCUUUAUGUGUAUUUAGACGGGCCCCAAAAGCCUGUAUCUCAUCUGUAUCAUCUGUAUUUGUAUUAUUGUUAUCAUCAUAUCACAUGCAUAUGCCCCCAAAAGGCAGAAGUGCCUCGAAAUAAAUUUUGUUCACGCAUUGAUAUUUUAUUAAAAUGUUUGGUUAAUGGUUUUUUGUAUUGAUUUUGAAUAAAUUAUGAUAGUAUUUUAAAGGCGAGAAAGGUGGAUUUAGAUGUGAUAAUGAAAAGAAAAUGGAUUUUAAGUAUGUUAAAUAGAAAAGAAACAAGAUUUAUAUUAUGGUUAUAUGUUUAUGUAUAUGUGUAUAAAGCGUUGUUUGUAAAAUCAUUGGACAAUAUCCUUCCUCGGUUACAGUGAUACAGAUAUGAUGAGGCUUUUAGGGCCCGUCUGAUCACAUAUAGAAGCUUUAGGCCGUGUGUUCAGAACAUUUAAAAUAUUUAUUUUGCAAAUAUGUUUUACUAUCAUAAUUAACUAUGAAAAUAAGUUUUUUAUAUUUUAUUCACAGUGACGAUUUUUAGAUUCGGUUAUCGCCCAUGUUCGAGGACUGGUUCUCGCUUGUAGAUCCUUCUAAAUUAAGGAAAUGACAUAAUUAUUUUCCGUAAAUCGAAAUUAGGACUAAAUUUAUGCAAUAAACUUGAAACGAACAUAUAUCCAUAAUUUACAACUUUCGUGUCGAUAAAAUUACUAAAAUACCAUCGAAUCCGUAAAUCAUUAAAAUACUCUGAAAUUAUAAAUCACUACAAUACCCUUGAAAUCAUAAUUACAUCCAAUCUUCAAUUUUAGAAAUUAUUAAAAUCUAUAUCGGGUCAGAAAUUACAAAAUCGCCCUCAAAAUGUAAAAUUACUGAAUUGCCCUCGCUAACGGUAACUCGGAAGGUCAAGUGUGAAAUUUUCAGCCACGAUGAGUCUAAUGGUGCCUGCAGUGACCUCCCACGUGUGCAGACGGUGGCAGAUCGAAGUCCCAAAGCCGUGAGCUUUCCGGCGCCCGAUCGACAGCAAUUCGGCGGUUUCGGGUGGUGGGAUUGGUCGGAAAAUGAUGAGGGUGAGCUAAGGAUCAAGAUCCAGGCAGUGGCAUCAUCCAAAAAUGGCGGAAUCGACAACGAGAAGAGGUGGGUUUUGCCGCAGCUUUUCGGGCUUCAAAAGGCGGCGUUCCGGUCAGUUUUUGGCGGCAAGGAUGGCAUAGAAACAAUGGCCGUCUUCCAAGCUUCAAAUCGGUACCUUGAUCGGCCGGAGGGGGUCGGAAUUGUGAGAUAUGGCCGGGUCGAUUUUGUGUUAAACGGGUCAGGUUUUCCGGGUCGGUUUGAUAGCUUCCUCCCUCCAUCUCUCACACGUGUGGUCUCUUCCUGUCCUUCAAGCCUUUUAUUUAUUUAUUUAUUAUUAUUAUUUUCUUAACUGCUUUUUUUUUUUUCCUCACAUAUGUUACGUACAUAAUUUGGAAGGUGAGGAGUUCGUGAUUUAUGAUGAUUUCUUCGGAAGAAGAUGGAUACGUAACUUAUGAUGAUUUUUUUACCAUAGUUCGGAAGAUGAUGAAUCCAUAAUUUAUGAUGAUUUUUUAGUAUAUAUAUAUAUAAAUUUUGUUUUAAGAUAGAGAGGUUGCGAAGCCCAAAUCAAUUUUUAAUUAUAAUCUUAUCAAAAACUAUUAAAUUAAUGGUAAUGGGACCGAUUUACUGUACAAAUUGCCAACAACAUAAAUGGUGAUUGAUUUGUUACUUUUAUACAAUUUUGUAUAAACAGAGCCUUGGAGCCAUAUGAUACAAGAAGAGUCCGAAUUAUUAUUAUUAUUUUUUUUAAUUGUUUCUUAAAUUUGUGGAUGAAGCUGACGGUUUUUUUUUUUCCUUUCUUGAUGAAAAAUAUAUUCUUUGGAUAGAGACUUUCAUUCUGAUCUAAAUUUUCAUUUGAGCACAUACAUGUGGGUGUAAGUUGUCAAUAUAAUGCAAUGAUGAUUCUAUCAUUAUAUAUAUAUAUAUAUAUAUAUUCAUAUUGAUGAUAAUGAGUAAACAGAUAGAUCAUACAUUCAUUAUUUAAUUUGAAAUACACACAGUACAUUAUUAUUAUUUGCCACAGCAAACCCAUCUUUUACAUGAAGUAAUACGACACACCCAAAGGAAAAAUAUAUGUGAGAACAAAUGAGAUAAAUAGCGUUAAUUAGAGCUGCAUUACAUAUAAGGAUUGUCAUCAUAUCAUGCGUACGUAUUAAUUAUUAACGCCAAUGCGCCCUCUUCUUCUUCUUCGAAGGUCCCCAGUAAUCCUUAAAAUUAGCCGCAAAAUUAGCAUAGACAGGAAACUCCAUGAGUGCUAAAACAACCACUGGAAAGAUAGCAGCGUCGUAGAGAGUGGCGGUCCAUUUCUUCCCCAAACGAAUGAUGAGCAGAAGUGAAGCCGAGAACGUAAGCAUGCUUGUUAAUACAGAGAAGAAGAGUAAAAUGAAGCCAGUCGUCAGCUUGAACGGAAGGUUGCUAAGGAAAUCAGAUGACUCACGUGGCGAGGUGAGGAUAGAUAGAAACAUCACAACGGAUGACAAAGAUAAGGACAGCGAGGCAACGUCUGUUACGGUAAAAACAAAGAAGAGUGGUGACGUAAGGAAAUUAGGAAACCCCCUAUCAUUGUUACUUCCAGGUACCGUGAAGGCAGCUGUAAAGACGACGGUCGCGAUUAGGAUUGCCAGUACGGAGCAUGCAUGAGCGGUUUCUUUGAUCCAUUCUUGUGCUUUCUGUUGAAAAGUCAGCAAUCAAAGCCAACUUUUCAAAAAGGAAACACACAGCUAGCAUGCAAGCUUUUGAGAAAAUACAAAGUUGGCACCGGCCCUUGAUAAUUAAUUGGCAAGUUGAUGGAGGAGCCACAUGCAUUUCUUUUGUUUUUCAAGUCGGCGCCAAAUUAUAGGACUCUUGCCAACUACUUGAAGAAUUUUUUCAGUGAAGCUCAACUAUAAAUAGUGCUUCAUUUAGAGAGAAAUAUGCAUCCCAAAAUUGUUAAGCUUAUAAGUUUCUAAGCUUUUGAGAGAAGUGAGAGAAGUGUGUCUGGGGAAUUUAUUUUUCUUGCAGAGUGUGAGAGUACUGGGUAUAUUUGGGUUUCUGGGAAGUGAGAUUAGUUACUCAAAUAUUGUACUCUAUUAAUUGUUAAAUAAACAAUUAUUCUUUUUUGCCUCCGUGGAUGUAGGUUUAAUUACCGAACCACGUAAUUCUUGUGUCCUUUAUUUUUCUAUAAUUAUUUGGUGCGCUUGAUUCCACAUUCCGCGCACAACAAGUGGUAUCAGAGCCGACGGUUCGUACUUGGGGGGAUACGGUACUAUUCACGUAUACGGUACUGUUCACGAAUACGGUGGAGACAGCAAUUUGUACUUGGGAGACAGUCUAUUGAAAGUAGUGUGUAUUUUUGCAUGUCUAGGAAAGUUCUGUCAACAAAGGUGAUAAGAGUCUAAGGAUUCUGAUUUUUAAUUGGGACCGAGUUCCCGUCCAGUUUCCUGGGAACUUUCCUGGUGCAUUUAUUCACGCGAAAUUAACAUCAUAGAGACUGUUUUUUCAAGUGGAAAUAGUUCGUUGAGAAAAUGGUAGAAGGUGAAACUUCCAGAAUUGGGAAGAGAUCUACCGAGACUAUUUCAGGAGACACUUUAGGUGGGAGGCGAGAUUUGUAAAAUCGCUAUUCAGCACAUGUUAUAGGAGGCCAGAAGAUCGAUGUUAAAAAGUUUGAUGGGAAAAUCAACUUCGGCAUGUGGAGGCGCGAAGUUAUGGAUGCCCUUAUUCAAAUCGAUCUCGAUGUUGUUCUGAAAAAUAAAAGACACUUGUAUGAUGAAGAAAUUUGGGAUCGUAUGAAUGAAAAAGCAUGUGGUCAGAUCAGAUCUUGUUUGACCAAGGAGGUGAAAUACUUGGUGAAAGAUGAGGAGUGUGCGGUGACUUUAUGACGUACAUUGGAGGAGAAGUACCUGGUGAAAAGUCCUGAAAAUCGCCUUCAUGCAAUGAGCCAAGUAUAUGGUUUUCGAAUGAAGCCUGGGGUGUCAAUGCAUGAUCAUGUUUCAAGAUUUGAAAAGUUACUUGCUGAUUUGAAGAAUCUUGAUGAAGAUAUUAAGGAUGAAGUCAAGGCUAUGAUUCCGUUACACUCACUACCAGAGGAAUAUAGCCAUUUUGUGACUACUUUGAUAUAUGGGAAGAGUGUGAUCGUCUUUAAAGAUGUUUGCACAACAUUGACUAGCUUAGAGAUUCAGAAUAAUGAUAAAAAUUUUGAACGAGCAUCGUCUGAAGCUUUGGUGAGCAGAGAUUGGGCGAUGGAGAAACAGAAGAAGCGUGGUGGAAAGAAUUCUCGAUCCAAAUCGAGAAGCAGAAAUAUAGCUCGAGAUGAGUAUGCCUUUUGUCAUGAAAAAGGCCAUUGGAGGAAAGAUUGUCCAAAGGCUCAAAAGAGAGAUGGGAAGAAACCAGCAGUAGCAAACAUGGCACGGAAAGAUGAGGGCUCUGAUUAUUCACUAAGUAUUACUCCUGCAGCAUACGUGGCUAGUUCGAGUGAGUGGAUACUUGAUACUAGAGUAACCUAUCAUUUGUGUCCUAUUAAGGAAUGGUUUACGGAUUUUCGUAAUCUGGAAUCCGGUGCAAUUGUGAUGGGGAAUGAUCAACCUUGUCGUACAAUGGGGAUAUGAACAAUUCGGCUCAAAAUGUUUGAUGGAAUGGUCAGAGAACUCAAAGAGGUUAGAUUUGUUCCAGCUUUAAAGAAAAAUCUAAUUUCUGUGGGUGCUUUGGAAGCUAAAGGCUACAAGGUUACCAUUGAAGAUGGUAUAAUGAAGUUUAUACAUGAGGCUAUGGUGAUUCUGCAAGGGGUUCGGCGUCACAAUCUGUACUAUUUGAAGGGAGGUACAACUGAUGAAGCAAAUGGUGUUGAGGCGUACAGUGACACCACCAAGCUAUGGCAUGUACGACUGGGACAUGCUAGAGAGAAGUCUUUACAAACUCUGAUGAGGCAUGGACUCUUAAAAGGUACCAAAACCUGUAAAUUAAAUUUCUGUGAGCAUUGUAUAGUAGGCAAGAAAACAAGGGUCAAGUUUGGUACAGCUAAUCACGAUACUCGUGAGAUCCUUGAAUAUGUUCAUAGUGAUGUAUGGGGACCAACCAAGACUGCAUCAAUUGGUGGAAGCCAUUAUUUUGUUACAUUUGUUGAUGAUUUCUCUAGACGUGUGUGGGUGUACACCAUGCGAGCAUACUCCGCAACAGAACGGUGUGGCUGAGCGUAUGAAUCGUACUUUACUGGAGAAAGUAUGGUGUAUGUUAUCUAAUGUUGGUUUAGAUAAAAAGUUUUGGGCUGAAGCUGUGAGCUACACAAGUCACUUGGUAAACCGGUUGCCUUCUGCUGCAAUUGGAGGUAAAACUCCUAUGGAAAUGUGGUCUGGAAAACAUGCACAAGACUAUGAUUCCCUUCGUAUAUUCGGGUGUCUAGCUUAUUAUCAUGUCAAAGAUGGUAAACUGGAUCCUCGUGCUAGAAUAGCUAUCUUUAUGGGAUUCAAAGGUGGAGUAAAGGGCUUCAAGCUUUGGGAUCUCGAAGAUAAAAAGUUUGUGUGUAGCAGAGAUGUCACAUUUGAUGAAGCUUCAAUGAUGAAAGCUUCAAGUUCUCAGCAGGUGGAGAACAAGACCAAAGAGGUAUUGCAGCGGGUGGAGUUUGAUGCAACUCCAUUUGUACCAGUUAGUUCUACAUCAAAGAAUAGUUCAACUAUGGAGGUAACACCUAGAAUUGAAGAAGAGGUUGUUUCUUCUGAUGUCCUACAAAAUGAAGAAACAAUUGAUGAUGUAGAUAAUGAUGAUUUUAUAGCAACAAGGAGGCCAAGAAGAGAGAUAAAGAAACCCGGAUGACUUACUAAAGAUAUGGUGGUAGCCUAUGCACUUCCAGUUAUUGAUGAUGACAUCCCCAACACUUUCGGUGAAGCAUUACGCAGCAGUGAAAGUGAUCAGUGGGAGUUAGCCAUGGAGGAAGAGAUGAAAUCUCUCCAUUAAAACCAGACUUGGGAACUUGUAAAGUUACCAAAAGGGAAAAGGGCUAUUGGUAAUAAAUGGGUCUACACCAAAAAGCAAGGAUCUCCGAAUCAAUAAACUCCUCGAUACAAGGCAAGGCUCGUGGCAAAGGGUUUUGCUCAAAAGGAAGGUAUUGACUACAAUGAAAUUUUCUCUCCAGUUGUAAAACAUACUUCCAUUCUCAUCCAACUUGCCUUAGUUGCAGAAUAUGAGUUAGAGUUGGCUCAGUUGGAUGUUAAGACGACGUUCUUACAUGGAGAUUUGGAGGAAGAAAUCUAUAUGAUUCACCCUUGUGGUUUCAAAGUUGCUGGAAAAGAGAAUCAGGUGUGUAGGUUGAUUAAAUCUUUGUACGGACUGAAGCAAUCGCCAAGGCAGUGGUACAAUAGAUUUGAUCAAUUUAUACAAGGGCAGAAAUUUACCAGAAGUGAACACGAUCAUUGUGUUUACUUUAGAAGACUACCAGAUGGAGCUUUUAUCUAUUUGUUACUCUAUGUCGAUGAUAUGCUUAUAGCUUCGAAGAAUAGAGAUGAGAUCGAAAGAUUAAAGAAGCAGCUGGCUUCAGAGUUCGAGAUGAAAGACUUGGGUGAUGUACAGAGAAUACUUGGGAUGAAGAUUCGUAGAGACAAGAAGAAUGGGAGCGUAUGGUUGACUCAAAAGUCUUAUUUGAAGAAAGUGCUAGAAAGAUUCGGUAUGGAUGACAAAACUAAACCGGUAUGUACACCUUUAGCUCCUCAUUUCAAAUUAAGCUCCUCAUUUCAAAUUAAGCUCUUCUUCAUGUCCUAGAUCUCAAGAGGAGCGCGAUUACAUGGCUCGUGUUCCAUAUGCUAGUACUGUGGGUAGUCUUAUGUAUACUAUGGUAUGCACAAGGCCCGAUAUAUCUCAAGCAGUGAGCAUGAUUAGUAGAUACAUGCACAAUCCGGGUAAAAAUCAAUGGCUUGCGGUAAAGUGGAUUCUCCGAUAUCUGUAUAGGACAAUUGAUGUUGGGUUAUUGUUCAAGAAAGAUUGUGGUCAACAAUGUGUUGGGUAUUGUGAUUCUGAUUUCGCUGGAGACCUUGACAAGCGAAGAUCAACAACAGGCUACGUAUUCACAUUGGGUGGAGGUCCGGUUAGCUGGAGGUCGAUUCUACAAUCGACAAUUGCUCUGUCCACUACAGAAGCAGAGUAUAUGGCAGCAACUGAAGCUGUAAAAGAAGCUAUCUGGUUGAAAGGCUUGUUAGGUAAUUUGGGAGUAAUCCAGGAGAACAUUGCGGUCUUUUGUGAUAAUCAAAGUGCGAUAUUCCUUGCGAAGAAUCAAACAUAUCAUGCUCGGACGAAGCACAUAGAUAUGAAAUAUCAUUAUGUGAGAGAGAUUAUCGAGAGCGGUGUUGUGUUGUUGAGAAAGAUCGAUACCAAAGAUAAUCCAUCAGAUAUGUUGACGAAGGUAGUUUCUGGAGUUAAGUUUCAACAUUGCUUGAAAUUAAUUCAAAUCCUUCGAUUGUGUUAAGAUAUGUCCUUCGGGAAUUAUGAACUACGGUUGGCUUGAUCCCAAAUUUUAGGUACGUAGGUAGUCGAAUCGACAUAGCCAUUCUGGAUCCUUAUUGAAGGACCACUUUGGGGAUGAUGGUUCGUUAAUAGUCGGCUCAGAUUUGUCUAAAUCUUCGCCGAGGUGGAGAAUUGUUGAAAAGUCAGCAAUCAAAGCCAACUUUUCAAAAAGGAAACACACAGCUAGCAUGCAAGCUUUGGAGAAAAUACAAAGUUGGCACCGGCCCUUGACAAUUAAUUGGCAAGUUGAUGGAGGAGCCACAUGCAUUUCUUUUGUUUUUCAAGUCGGCGCCAAAUUGCAGGACUUUUGCCAACUACUUGAAGAAUUUUUUCAGUGAAGCUCAACUAUAAAUAGAGCUUCAUUCAGAGAGAAAUAUGAAUCCCAAAAUUGUUAAGCUUAUAAGUUUCUAAGCUUUUGAGAGAAGUGAGAGAAGUGUGUCUGGGGAAUUUAUUUUUCUUGCAGAGUGUGAGAGUACUGGGUAUAUUUGGGUUUCUGGGAAGUGAGAUUAGUUACUCAAAUAUUGUACUCUAUUAAUUGUUAAAUAAACAAUUAUUCUUUCUUGCCUCCGUGGAUGUAGAUUUAAUUACCGAACCACGUAAUUCUUGUGUCCUUUAUUUUUCUAUAAUUAUUUGGUGCACUUGAUUCCGCAUUCCGCGCACAACACUUUCCUAAGUUGAUCUUCAUGUGUUAGAUCGAAGAGGUCACUUGCAGUGAUGUUCUUUUUCUCGUCGCGGUGCAUGACAAAAUGGCGAGGCAUUAUCUCUUUUACACGCUGCAUACACACACACACAUAUAUAAUGCAUGGAGUCCAUCCGAAAAUAUAAUAUUAGAGUAUGCUUUUAUUGAUAAAAACACAAUGAAUAAAUUAAAUGUACUUAGGGGACAAAAUUAAAUAUUAUCAAAGGGCUGACCUCGAACCACUGUAACUCCUCCUGAAAUUGGAGAACAGGACCAGAGCGGGUUCCUUGCUUAUAAUGUUUCAUGUCUGCGACAUUGUGCAAUAACGUAUAGCCAUAUUUGUCAAUUUCUGCAGCCCAUUUGGGCACAUACAGUUGCAUUUCCUUCAUGAUGAAUUCAAAGACCUUAUGUUGACGGCGCUCUACGGCCACAUGUAAUAUAUUCUGCUCUGUCAGCUCAUUCACGUUAGAUAAUAGUGCUUGAGGAUCUUGUUGGAGCAUCUCCUGCAUAAUUUCUGUUAUUCCGUUGCUAGCUGCAAAGUGUAAUGUCCUAUCGUCUGUUGUGGCGUUUUUACCAUCCUCAACUGCGUCGUUAGUGCCAUCUUUUAUCCUCAGCACCUCGAUCAAUUCUUCAGCUGAAAAAUCAACAAGUUUUUUUCCCAAGAUGUCACUUCCUUUGCCGAAUCCCAAGCAAAUUGUGAAAAUUUCUUCUUUCGUUGUCCCCGAAAUAUCUCGUUUCCUUGUUUCGGAAAUUCCUUGUUUCCUUGUUUCGGAAAUUUCUUGUUCCGUUGUUUCAGCCUUUUGGGGAUUAGAGUAAGGGUUCAACCUUUCUAUUUCAACCAGCCUUUUGACAAGGGCAACCGCAUCUUCAUGCAUUUUCUUUUCCUUCCAGAUUUCCUCAAUCCAUGAACAUCCUGGCGAUGCAUGCAUCAACAUCUUAUUAAUUUAUGAACAAAUUUAUGCACGCAAACGGCAAAACCGUUCAUCAAAUGAAUUGAAGUUAUUAGACAUUUCCCCCGUACUUCUAAUGUGUCUCAUUUCCCCUGUACAAAUAUACCAAUUACGAUCCAGAGUCGUAAGCGUAGGGGGUUAUGACUUAUAACCGUAGCUAAAGCCUAAAGCUGUUAGUUCGGGUUUUGAUUUUUGAAUUUAUAGAGUUAUAAUGAUUAAUGAAACCGCUAUACUAUGGUUAACAAAUUAAGGCUGCUCUUUCACCAUUACCUCGCCUCUUCUUUGUGUGGCCGCUGCGAUUGUCAAUCUUAUCAGUCUCUAUAUCUUCUUUAUAAUUGUAGUCGUCAUCCAGACACGUUGGAAGACCUGCAAUUAGAACUACAAUUGAAUUUAACAAUAUAUAUUCUAAGUUCUGAUAAUGCAACAAAACACUUUUUUUUUUAAUUUAUGCUUAAAUACAAAUUAACUAAAAUGUUUCUCCUAAUCCAUUUUUUUAUGUUCCCAUCGUAGCCGCAUGCACCCAUAUCCAAACCUGACAUCAAACAAUGUAUCCACGUACGAUAAUGGAAAGGACUCUUCAUUUCCUUCAUGUCAUCCGCACUCUUGAAAGCAGCUGGCAUUAGAGCUAGUAGUUCAAGACAUGUAAAGCUCUUAAGCUUGUCGGACGUGGACGAGAGCUCGUCGGACUUCAGCGUUGCACAUUUUUCUACAACUGUUGCACGUUUUUCUGCAAGGCUUGAGUCGUGGUUAAGUAACCAAAUAGCCGUCUCUGUACGUAGUCGAGAAAAUUAAUUAAUCAGUUAAGAAAAUAAUAAUAAAUUUUUUAACCCUUGAUCUAUAAACGCAUGAAUUAAUUGGAGAUUUAAUUAUUAUAUAUUACCGAAGUGUUGGCCGAGGACAGCCAUAUGAAGAAUUGUCAUAUCAUCUUUUUCUCUUUGGAAAUGAUAACUUGAGUCACAAAAUUGCUCAGUCAAGAUUUGCAGCACUUUAGUUUUCCCAAGAGCGGCAGCCCUAUAAACUGGAGUUUCCCCCCAACCGUUACGAACCCUGAGUAGAUUUUCGUGCGCAUCAACAGACUUUCUGGAAAAGUCAACCAAAACCCUGGCCACGGCGAAAUCUUCGACGACGGCCGCUUCGUGAAGACCAUUGUUUCCAAACGCAUCUGUUUGCUUCAAGGCUUCAAGUCUGGUAUCUGGUGUUAACCUUUCGAGAAAUUGCUGGAUCAGCUGAGGGUCUUCCAUGGCCUCUGCAAUGUGAAAUGCGGAGUCUCCAUUGGCUGUCCUGUAAUCCAACAACUCUUUAGCAGGCCUACCAGCAAAGUAAUGCAAGAAGCCUCGGCAGUCUCCCUUCAAGGCCAUUCCAACAGGAUCUCCCAUCGCCCUCUCUCUGUCUCUCACACACUUGUAUAAUUGAUACAUUGAACAAGCUAUACGUGUUCUUCGAUAUCCAUAUAAUUAAUUACUUCCAUCGCCGUCCCUUAUAUAGAAGUUCCAAACGAAGUUGGCAUAACUUUGCCUAUUUUACUAAUAAAGCUCAAGCAUUAUAAGAAAAAAAUAAAGUUCUAAAGUAACAAAACGGAAAAGAUGAUAAAAGAACAAAGUUCUGAAAAGAGAAGUGAUUUGACACCGGACACAAUAGAUGAGAAAGCACAACGUCACACACCCAAGAAAUCACAAGCUCAUCACCACAGCAAACAACAAAAGGAUACAAAAAAAUAUUCACCACCUAAAGUUGUUAAACUAAGGAUACAGAACUUAAAACACUCACCACUCAAUGGAAUCCACCAAAGAGAUACAGAGUUUGAUAAUAGCUCAAAGUUCAUUCAAUUUCCAAAAUUAAUAUCUAUCCUUUGGUUACAACUACAUAAGCUUAAAUAACUUUCUUAGAACAAUCCUCCAAGCAUAGAUAUACUACAAAGAAACCCUUCAAAUAACUUGACUUCAAAUACCAACAUUAAAGCUAGACAUUAAUAAAACAUUGGUAUGCUUAAAACACAGCAAAGAGCAUUAAAAAAAAUCCAAGUCCCGAAAUAUUCUUCUUGACUCAAAACUGAACAGUCUGCACUUAACUGAUCAUAAUUUACUGUAGAAAACUCCAAAUUUAGAUUAGUAAAAUUCAUUGGAAAGCUAACAGAAAUAUCUUUCCAAUGAUGUAUGGAUCGAAAAUUAAUUCGAUCUCAUGCAGUACAGUUUAAUUCCCAAAGAUGCCCCUUCUGCACAGAAAUUCUGCUCACUUGAUUAAUGUAAGAACUUGAGCUACACUUGGUAUAAUUUGAUUACCAAAUAUUUCAAACACUCAUGUGUUAUGAUUAUUGAUGAAAAUUUGUUUACAUUGUACGGUAUUGUUCCCUUAAAUUCAUAGAAUGUGAAGUUACCAAAAGAGCAAAGUUAAAAAUAAAAUAAAAUAAUUAUGUUUGAGAUAAAAGAGAAAAAGAAUAAGAAAAAGAAAACGCAUGCAAUUAAAAAUGAUAUUUUUUGUUGAUUCAAGAGGCCAAUCACCUCUGAAAUGAAAUUAACUUUUGUCUUUCUAUGUGUUUGGGAACGAUAUAUUAUAUAUGCAAAAACGAACAGUUGUAUCUAAAAUUACAUUUGGGAAAGUAUAAAGAUCACGUUCCACGUCAUAACGUUCGUUAACAAAUGAUGUCAAUAAAAAGAAUAGAAUAUAUAAAUUAUUUCCAGGCUCAAGUUACAGCUCCGAGAAGGUGUAUGGUCCAUGUUGUACAUCAUAAGGUUUGUUAAUCAAUGGUGUCAGAAAAAUAGAGUAGAAUAUAUAUAAUUUAUUUCCACAACUUAAUUUUGUCUCCAUGCUUUUUCCGCGUAUAUAUAUAAAAAGAGUGGGAGAGAUCCUAACCCUUACUUUAAUAACAUGGUGAUUAUUGUAAACGCGAUUGUGCUUUGACUAGACUAAGUGCCUGUUUGGUAUGGCUUAUUUAAGAGCCAUAAGUGCUUAUUUAAUCGUAUAAGUACUUUUUAAAAUUUUUUAUGGUGUUUGGUUAUUUUUUUAGUAGAGUUUUUUUAGCUUAAAUAAGCUAAUUUACCUCUACUAACAAAAGCCCAAAAUUUGAGCUUUUGGGAGUAGAGGUUAUAGAGCUUUUCUAAAAAUAUCUAAUAUAAAAAAUAUCACACAAUUUAAUGGUUCAAAAGUACUUUUUUUAUUGACAACCAAACACCCAAUGACUUUUUGUCCAAAAGCUCUAUUGGUAUAAGCUCUAGUGCUAUAAGCUCUACUGUUAUAAGCUCUAUUUAAUAAGCUGUACCAAACGGAGCCUAAAGCCUUUUGCUAUUCUACAUGUUAUCAUUAUUUCUCGUCAUGGAAACUAAAGUUGGUUGGUGUCAUGGAAACCAAAGUUGGUUGGUGUGAGUGGUUCGGCACUCUCACUCCUUAAGAGAGGUCAGGGGUUCAAGCCCCGUUCUCGUAUGGAGUCACCACUUUGGCCAGCACUUUAUCCCUUAUGGGUCGACCCGGUGCGAGCGGGGAUUAGUCUGGGUUGUGGUACGGGCUUAAAGGUGCCUCCCACAGUUGGGGCCCACUCAGGACCACCUCGUGGUUCAGACAAAAAAAAAAAAUUAUUUCUCAUCAUGGAGUGGCAGACAAUCAAUAAAAAAUAAAUAAAAAUGUAAAAAUAUUUGGAAAGUUUAAAACUUAUGAUAGAAUUUGGCCUUAUUUUUUAUAGAUGUGUUGUGAAAAUCAACUGUAUACUAUAUUGUAAAUAUAGCUUUGGAAAAAUAUCUUUAUAGACUUUUAUCAUACAACUAUAGAAUAAAAUUAACUUAACUUCCAAACCAUAAUAGUAAUUAUUUAUUAAAUACUUUAUUGAUCUAUUUUAAAAGCUUCCACUGCUCAAUUACAAUACCAAACAAGAUGUUGAUCUAAGUUGGUUCCAACCACAAUACCAAAUAGGGACUUACAUUCUAUCAGUUAAGUCAUUAAGUUUAUUUGUUUUUUUAACUUAUUACAAAUUUUCAAUCAUUAAGCUAUUAAGCCAAUUUUCUUAGCUUCUUAUUUAAUCUAAAAGGUCUGAAUAAUGUUAUUAAAGAUAUUAUUUAAAAUAUUCCUAUCCAACUAAUUUAUUUUCAUCUUUACCUAAAUAAAACUUACUAAUUAGCAUACUAUUCAUCUUUAUAACUUGGGAGAAUAUCGUAUAUUUUUUAUUUUCUUCAAAUUAGCAUUAUCUAUUUUCAUAAUUUUUUAUGAGUAUUUUUUAUAUGAAACACCAUAAAGUGCAAUAGAAUUGAUUCACACGUUCUAAUUUAGAAUAUUAAAGGGUUGUAUUCACUUGAACAUGAUUCAUGUUAUGAUAGAAUAAGAUCAUAUUUUUGUUCAAUGAGAUUUUAUUAUUUAUUUGACAUUUGAAAUUUAUGAGCGUACAAAUGUAAAAGUAUUGGUUUUUAGAUUUUUAAGUUGAAAAAAAUAAUUGUUGUUCAAAAAUUCAUAUUAAAAAAAUAUGUUAUUUGGAUUUAAGUGUUCAGCUCCAUUUAAAAUUCAGACUAACUUGGGUCUACUCAAAUUUUAAAUAAAAAAACAAAUGUCACCUAAGUAAAUCUAUGAUGAUACAAGCAUAUUAGUAUUUAAAAAAAAAAUCAGCAUCUUCUUUUUUCAAAUAUUACACAAUAUAAAUUAAGCUUCAUAGAAUGCGAGUGUGAAUGGAAUUUAAAGCAUAUGGCCAUUCUUCCGUAGCUGUCCUUAUCUCAUCCAUAAGUGCCAUCUUUGUCUCUCACGUAGUCACUGUAUAAUUGAGACACAAAACAAGCUAUACGUGUUCUUCGAUAUCCUUAAUUUUACUUCUCUUAAUAUAUAUGAAGUAGGUUUGAUGCAUCCUUCCACAAAUUCUCUAAACAAAGUUGGCAUCAUUAUAAGAAUAAAAUAAAGUUAAAGUAUGUCGGGUCAGGGAAAAGAAUAGAAUAAAUUAUUUAAUUUUCCAAACAACUUCAGUCUUUCCGCGAACAUAAUAAUCACAUUUAAUCUACCGUGUUCUUCGAUAUCCUUAAUUUUACUUGUCUUAAUAUACAUGAGGUAGGUGUUUAACAAAAAAAUAUAUAUUUAUGUAUGAAGUAGGUUUGAUGCAUUCUUCUACAAAUUCUCUAAACGAAGUUUGUUAUAAUUAUAAGAAAAAAAUAAAGUUAAGUCUUUUGGGUCAGGAAAAAGAACAGAAUAAAUUAUUUAAUUUCCAAACAACUUUUGUCUUUCCGCGAAUAUAAUAAUCAAAUUUAUUCUACCGCUUUUGUCUCCAUUGCUUAAUUUAUCCGCGAAUAUAAUAAUCUCCAUUUUAUUUAAGUAAAGGCGAUUGUACAGUAGGCGGACUAAUUAGAUUACAGUAAAGUAUCGAUUUCCCUUUCUAGCCUUUCGGAUUUAUAAGAUCAAUUCGAUGGUGUUCGGGUUUUCUCGAAGAUAGACAUGCAGAGUGGGUAUUAUCAGAUCAAAAUUCGGCCAGGUAAUAAGUGAAAUCGAAGUUUAAGAAAAAGAAAGAGUUGUAUGAAUGGUUUAUUAUGCCAUUCCGAUUAUCAAACACCCCUAGUACUUUUAUGUGUUUGAUAAAUCAGGUUCUGAAACCAUUUUCCUGCAAAUUUAUUAUGGUGUAUUUUGAUGAUAUUUUAGUUUAUUCUAUUAAUGUGGUGACGCACCUACAACAUUCAAGAAUGGUUGUGGAGGUGCUGGGAAAAAAUAAACGUUACAUUAAUCGGAAAAAGUGUAGUUUUUUGUAGAGUAAUAUAAAGUUUUGGGUUUUAUAGUUGGAGUAGAUGGGAUUCAAGUUGUUGAGUUGAAAAUACAAGCCAUUAGAGAAUGACCUAUGCCUAAGACUGUAGGUGAAGUUUGGAGUUUUCAUGGACUGGCAACAUUUUAUAGGAGAUCCAUUCAUGAUUUUAGCAUUGUAGCUGCAUCUAUUAUCGAGUGCUUGGAGGAAAUGAAGUUCAAGUGGGAAGAAGAGCAAAAAGCGAGUUUUGCUUUACUAAAGGAGAAUUUAUCCUUGGCCCCUGUGUUAACCUUGCCAAACACAGAUAGAUUGUUUGAGGUCGACUGUGAUACUUAUGGUAAGGGAAUUGAUGCUAUUCUUUCUUAAGAAAGACGAGUAAGAUGCAUGUGAGAUAAAUGAGUUAUAUGUAGAAGUUUACUUUUGUUGUGAAGCAUAAAUCUAGGCAGCAAAACAAAGUGGCAGAUGCAUUUAGUAUACGAGCAACUUUACUAGUGACUUUUAUCAAUGAAGCUACUGGUUUUGAGUGGUUGAAGGAGUUAUAUGUUGAAAAUGACAACUUUGCAGACGAUUUCCUUAUUCAAAAUGGGUAUUUGUUCAAAGCUAUUCAAUUAUGCAUGCUCUAAAGUUCUUUAAGAGAGGAGAUUAUCUGUGAGUUGUAGGGAGAAAGACUGGGUAGACAUCUUGGUCGAGAUAAGACUUGGGCGCUUAUGACGGAUCGAUAUUAUUGGCCACAAUUGAAUAGAGAUGUGCAUAAGAUUGUGCAGAGGUGUCAGAUUUGCCAAGAGGGCAAGGGACAUCUGCAAAACACAUGAUUAUACAUGCCAUUACUUAUUCUAGAAAAUAUUUUAUUGGAUUUGUCCAUGGAUUUCAUGUUAGGAUUGUCGUGCACAAUGAUGGGUCAAGAUUCUAUAUUGGUUGUAGUGGAUAGGUUUUCAAAAACGGUGCAUUUUAUUGCUUGUAAAAAGACAUAAGAUUCUACUUCAAUUGCGCAUUUUUUCUUUCAAGAAAUGGUACGUGUGCGUGGUAUUUCAAACACUAUAACUACCAAUAGGGAUGUGAAGUUCAUAGUAAGUUUUGGCAUCAUCUCUGAGAUAAGUUUAGUACACAGUUGCUGUUUAGUAGUGCUUUUCAUCUGCUUAUAUGUUGCAGCUACCAGAUAGCUGGAAUAUCUAUCACACAUUCAAAGUUGCUCAUCUGUUCGAAUAUCAUCUUGAUGACAAAGUGUUGUACGAGCCAAAUUUGAGGACAAGUUCUUUUCAAGUGAAAGGGAUUGAUGUAGAAUGGUUGCGUGUCGUGAACAAGUUACCUUUUGGAGGGCAUAACUUAGGCUAAAGAUGUUCGUUUGGGGUUUAUAAUAUACAUUUUGAAACUUGCAGCAAGAUAAAUCAAACCUAAAACUGUUGCACCAUUCUAGGCUAUGCUCAAGCCCGAAAUUUCGUUUCUUUCUUGGUCAUUUUUAAGUUUUAAGAUUUUUUUAUUUUUCUUGUUUCUUCUAGGAUUUUUAUCUUUUUUUUUAUAAGUUAGAUUUGGACACCAUUUUUUUAGAUUUCUUAUUUCGAUUUGGAGAAUUUUAUUAUACAAUAAUAUUUUGGAUUUGUCUAUUUUGCUAAAUUCACAAUAUUUAGGCUUAUUAUAAAAGGAGCUCAAAAUCCUAAUUUUAUUAAUUUAGACUUUUCAAUAAAAAUUAUCAUUAUUCGGGAACCUAGUUUCUUCUAACAACAAACCUUUUAAUGUUUCCGUUUGUCAAAAAGAAUGCAAACGAAUAGCAAUACAUGCGUACGUCCACCCGCUUGUUGUGCGCUAAAUACUCUAUUACUGCUACGAUAUUGUUCGUCAUUGGCCUUGUUCCAACUUCUUCUUGCAAACACAUAUCGUUGUUGCAGCCCGCAGCAAGUUCUUUGUUCAACAUUUUAUAGGGUAGUUUCGUUCUAUAGCUUGCAAUGGUAAUAUGGGAACUAUAGCUAGCAAUUGUAAUAUGGGAACUGACUUAGAAUACAAAUGGCCAACAACUUAAAUGACGAUUGAUUUCAUACUUUUAUAUUAUUGAAUCUUUUGUAUAAUAAAAUUAGGCCUUGGAGCCAAUUGAAAUAAAAAGAGAGUGAAUUAUUAUUCUUCUUUCAUUUGUUUUUUUAAAUUUGUCAGAUCAAGCUGAAUUUUCUACUUUCUUGAUCACUAAUACUUUAGACAAUGGCUUUUGAUCUGAACAUGUUGGUUUUAGUGUUAGGAAAUUGAUGGGUGAAGCAGACACGCAGCUAAAGUGAAGUUGGAAGAAAAUAAAGAACAAGCACAAUAGAGGACACCAGAAAUUAUGUGGUUCGGCUUUUAGGCUACGUCCACGGGCGAAAACAGAAGAAAUAUAUUAUACUAGUGAAAAGGAGUUACAAAUAUUGUAGUAUUUUAGUUCACUACCCAAAACCCCAAUACAUCCAAACUCUCAAAUCACUAAACACUUAAGAGUUUAUUAAACUCUUAAUACUCUCAACUCUAAAGGAAGGCAAUGUUUCUCUCUUGAUGGAAUUGGAUACAAGCUCUAGAUUGAGAGGUUGUAUUUAUAGGCAAAACUUUGCCUCAAAAGUCAAACAAGUGGCCAUAAACUUCAAGCCAUACAGCUCAAAAAUUUCAAACUUUGAAUUUUUAGCUUUGAAUUUUUCUUUUCUUUUCUUUAAACUGUCUAGAUGCUGCAGCCAAUUUUGACAUUCUCCCACUUGGAGAUUAGAUUAAAAAUCAAUCAAUCUCCACACCAUCCUUUCUGCUUCGCCAUAAUCAUGUUGCCUACGUUUCUGCUAGGCCACGAGAGGAUCUACUCCAGAUAAACUUGUCAGCAUUUAUCGGUUUGGUCAAAACAUCUGCUAGGUUCUCUUUGGUAUGGAAUUUCUAAAAAUCCACACUUCCGUCUUCCACUACUUCUCGAACGAAGUGAUACUGAACUCCUAUGUGCUUUGUCCUGGAAUGAAAGACUGGAUUCCUUGCAAUGUGUAAGGCACUCUGACUGUCACAAAAUACAGGAAUUUUCUGUUGUUUGUGCCCGAACUCCUCCAAUAAUCUUUGUAUCCAAAUAGCUUCCUUACAAGCUUGUGUAGCUGCCAUGUAUUCUGCUUCUAUUGUAGAUAAAGCCACAACGGUCUGCAGUUUAAAAACUCAGCUUACAGCUGCUCCCGCAAGUGUAAACACAUAGCCAGUAGUGGAUUUUCUUUUAUCAAGAUCUCCUGCAAAAUCUGAAUCCACAUAGCCCCUGACAAUAAACUCUGAUCCUCCAUAAUAUAAUGCAACAUUUGAGGUUCCUCUGAUGUAUCUCAGAAUCCUCUUCACAGCUAUCCAAUGCUCUCCACCAGGAUUCGCCAUGUAUCGACUGAUUGCUCCCACUACUUGUGUAAUGUCUGGCCUAGUAUAUAUCAUAACGAACAUCAAACUUCCCACUGCUGAUGCAUACGGUACUCGAGACAUCUCAUUACUCCGUUUUAUUGCUAGGACACAUACUUGAGGAUAAUUUGAAAUUAACAGGAAGUGGGGUAGAGAUUGACUUACAAUCUUACAUGUUGAAGUGCCGUAAGAUUUUCUUCAAGUAAUUCUUCUGUGAAAGCCAAAUCUUCCUGUUAUUUCUGUCUCGGUGAAUUUGCAUCCCUAGAAUCUUGUUUGCUGGUCCCAAGUCCUUCAUUUCAAACUCCCUAGCCAACUAUGCCUUCAAUUCUUGGACUCGAUCUUUGUUGGGGCCUGCUACCAACAUGUCAUCCACAUACAACAGCAAAAUAAUGAAAUCAUUAUUUUCAAACCUCUUGUAAUAUGCACAAUGGUCUGAACUGAGUCUGUUGUAUUCAAGGCUCAUAAUGAAGAAAUCAAAUCUCUUAUACCAACACUUCGGCGCCUGUUUGAGACCGUAUAGAGAUUUGUUUAACCUGCAAACCAAGUUUUCCUUUCCUGUUUCUGCAAAACCUUCUAGUUGGAGCAUAUAUAAUUCUUCCUCAAGUUCUCCAUGAAGAAAUUCAGUUUUCACAUCCAACUACUCAAGAUGUAAGUCAAAUGUAGUACACAUUGCCAAGACUAUUCUGACUGUAGUGAGUUGAACCACCGGUGAAAAUAUCUCGUUGAAGUCAAUACUUUUUUUCUGAGCAUAUCCUUUCACCACCAAUCUCACACGAUACCGCUCCACUUGGUCAUUGCCAUCACGUUUGAUCUUGUAGGCCCAUUUGUUUCCAAUGACUUUUCUUCCACGUGGAAGUAGUACAAGUUCCUAUGUCUUGUUCUUGUGUAGAGCUUAAAUUUCUUCCUGCAUUGCUGUCAUCCACAAAGCAACAUCUGAGCUUUCUAAAGUUUCUUGGAAAGUUGAUAGCUCUUCAUCCUCUAUUAGAAGAUAGUACGCAACAUUGAUCUCUGUGACAUACUCCGAGUGCCACGCCGGCGGUCGUCUCUCACGAGUUGACCGACGAGCUUCUGGAGCCUCAGACUCGACUGGUUCUUGUUCUUCGUGCUCUGGUGCUGCUUCCGAAGAAUUUGAAUCUUCUAGAUUAUUUUUCACAUAUACUAGCACAGUCUCUGACUUUUCUUUUGCAGUGCCAUCAUCCUCAUCUCUCCUUUGCAGUUGAUCUUCUACAAAGAUAACAUUUCUACUGAUGACGAUCUUGUGGGCAGUGGGGUCCCACAGACGAUACCCCUUUACUCCAUCAGCAUACCCCAAAAAGGUACAUUUUGUAGAUUUUGGAUCCACCUUUGUUCUUUCUUGGGCAUUGUAUAUCACGUACACAGGACAUCUAAAUGCAUGUAGGUAGGAAUAAUCAGCUGGCUUUCCAGUCUACAUCUCCAUCGCUGUCUUCAGGCCAAUAGCUGUAGAUGGCGACUGAUUUAUUAUAUAACAAGCAGUUUUGGCUGCUUCUACCCAGAAUAAAUUGGGUAGACUAGCAGUCCUCAACAUAGCUCUUAUUCUUUCUGUAAGAGUUCUAUUUAUCCGCUUCGCCACUCCGUUUUUUUGAGGAGUGUAUGCUACCAUGAACUGCCUCUGAAUACCUUCUUGCUUACAGAAAGUAAGAAACUUGCCGUCUGUAUACUCUCCACCAUUAUCCGUCCUCAAGCACUUGAUCAUUUUACCAUAUUCAAGUUCCACCCGCACUUUGUAUUAUUUAAACACUGGAAAUAAAUAUGACUUUUUCUUAAUUGGAUACACCCAACAUCUUCUGGAAUAAUUAUCAAUGAAAGUCACUAUGUACUUUGUACCUCCUAUGGAUAUAUUCUGUGAUUCCCAAACAACAGAAUGAAUCAAGUCUAGAAUGCAUUUACUUUUAGCAAUAGAUCUACUGAAUUUUAAUCUAUGCUGCUUACUUAUAACACAAUGCUCGCAAAAUGGUAAACUUACCGAUUUGAGCCUCUGAAGCAAUUUUCGUUCAAAGAGAAUUUUCAAACCUUGUUCUAACAGGUGGCCAAGUUUGAAAUGCCACAUCAUCGUUCACUCUUCUCUAUUUGAUGCGACACACGCAUCAGCCUCCUGUAGUGUUUCUCCUUUAAGCAUGAAUAGAUUAGGACCGAUCUUUUCUGCUUUCAUCAAUAUAAGUGCUCCUUUAACGAUCUUAAUAAUUCCAUUAUCCACAUGAGUUUUGUAACAAUGACUAUCUAUUUGUCCCAAAGACAAUAGAUUUUUCUUCAGGCCGUUGACAUGUCGUACCUCCCCAAUUGUGCGAAUUGUACCAUCAAACAUUUUUAUUUUGAUAGUACCAAUACCAGCGAUCUCCAAGGUAUGAUCAUCUCCCAUAUAUACAGAUCCUCCUGAGAUAGAUUCAUAUGUGUGGAACCAUUCUCUCCGAGAGGUCAUGUGCCAGGUAGCUCCUUAGUCUAUAAGCUAGACAUCAGAUAAUCGUUUUCUGCCUUCUGAAACAAUUGUUGCCUCGCUUUAGAGAAUUUCGCCAUCAUCCGAGGUACUUGCUACACAACCCUGAGCAUUUGAUGACUCAGGUUCUUUGCCCUCUUUUCUCUUCUGGUUACUCAAACACUCUUUCUUGACGUGCCCUUUCUUGCCACAGUUGUAGCAUUUAACAUUCUUCUUACUUUUGAAUUUUGAUAUACCAUGAUUUUGACACCCAUUAGGGCCACGUUUCGUUGAUCUCCCUCUCGUCACCGAUAGCGCCUCCGCUUGCUGCGAACUUGCUUGUCUGUUUUCCUUAUUUUUCCGCCUGCUCUCCUCAUUUAAUACGGAGGCUGCAACAUCGUCGAAAACUAGACUCUCCACUGGAUUGUUGUUCGUCAGGUUGAUGAUGAGUUGAUUAUACACAUCUGGUAGACUUUGAAGUAGAAGCUCUGCAUGUUCAUUUUCCUCUAUAUUAUGACCCAACGUUGUGAGUUGUGAAAAUAGAGUUUUCAAGGUGUUGAUGUGGUCGGUCACCAUUGUAGAUUCCGCCAUUCGAAGAGUAUAAAGUUUCUUCUUCAAGAAGAUUUUGUUGUGUAGUGACUUGGCAUCAUACAAUUUUGUGAGAGUAUCCCAUAUUUCUUUUGUUGUAUUUUUCUCUACCACAUUGGAUAAUACUCCAUCUGCAAGUGCCAAGUGUAGAUCAGAAAUGGCGUUGCCAUCUAUCUCGUUCCACCUGUCAUCAGUUAUCUCCAUGGGCCUUUCUCCAAUUGCUGCCAAGCAAUUAUUUUUCCUCAAUACAGCUUUCAUCUUCAUUUUCCACAACAAAAAAUUAUUUCCGUUAAACUUCUCAAUUCCAUACUUUGCCACCAUUUUGUUGAUAAAUACUGCACACAAGCUAGUGUACCACCCUGAAUAAUUGUGAGUAUGUGUAAGAAUGCACAUCGGGAAAGUUCCCAGGAAAGACUGGAGGGGUCACAAUGGUCCCACUUAAAACUCAGACUCCUUAAGCUCUUAUCGCCUUUGUGACAUAACUUUCCUAGACAUGUACAAAACCACAUAGUUGUUUUACUCACACCACUAUUCCCUACUUUGCACCGCAAAAUUCUUGGAUCACUCCCACCAUUUCACGUCAAUAGUACCGUAUACGUGAAUAUUAAUGUAUAUGUGAACAAUGCCGUAUAUGUGAAUAGUACCCCUGAUGUGAACAGUACCUGACUCCAAAAAAUACAAUCAAUAGCUCUGAUACCACUGUUAGGAAUUUGAUAGGUGAAGCAGACACGCAGCUAAAGUGAAAUUGGAAGAAAAUAAAGAACAAGCACAAUAGAGGACACCUGAAAUUACGUGUUUCGGCUUUUAACCUAUGUCCACGGGCGAAAAUAGAAGGAAAAUAUUAUACUAGUGAAAAGGAGUUACAAGUAUUGUAGUAUUUUAACUCACUACCCAAAACCCCAAUACACCCAAACUCUCAAAUCAUUAAACACUCAAGAGUUUAUUAAACUCUUAAUACUCUCAACUCUAAAGGAAGGCAAUGCUUCUCUCUCGAUGGAAUUGGAUACAAGCUCUGGAUUGAGAGCUUGUAUUUAUAGGCAAAACUUUGCAUCAAAAGUCAAACAAGUGGCCAUAAACUUCAUGCCAUACAGCUCAAAAAUUUCAAACUUUGAAUUUUUAGCUUUGAAUUUUUCUUUUCUUUUACCAAACAUUACAGCAUCUAGAAUUUCAAAGCAAAGUGCCAACCAUUUUGCUUCUUCAAACCUUCUAGAUGCUGCAACCAAUUUUGACAUUUAGUUGUCAAUAUAAUGCAAUGAACUUCAUUGUCGAUAAUGAAUAAAUAAAUUAUUUAGUAUUGAGAUAUAGCAUCUGUAACUUAAAAGCUAUAAUAACAAAGUGUUUGGUGAAUAUUAGUAGUUGUGUCUUGAAAGUUAAGAUGAUUUAACCCCAAAAUUGUAUGAUGAAAAAUUUAUUAUAUGUUUAUUAUUUUAUCAAAGUUAUUAUUUAAUAGUCAUAUUUAUUAUAUAUUAUUGACUUUUAUUUCAUAAUUAUAAUUUUUUUCAAUGGUUGCGGCUUUAAAGUUAUAAUAUUUCAACAUCAAAGGAGGCCUAAAUUUAUUAUACAUAUUCAUUAUUUAAUUUGAAAUACACAAUUGUACAUUUUUAUUAUUUUGUCACACCAAACCUAUCUAAACGACCAAAGCAAUACAAAUUGAACAGCCGAGGAAUGUAUUGCAUUAACAUUUGAUACACAUAUAUAUACUACAUGCAAAAGGAGUUCCAAUUAAUCAAUAAAACAAUUGUUGUACACAAGAAGUACAUAAAGGAGUACUCUUGGUAAUUGUGAUCAUGCUGAGCAGAAUUGAUCUUCUUGCCAAACAUUAUGUUUUGCAUUACAUGAUACGAAACACCUAAAGGAACUCGUAAGAACCAAAAAUAAAUAAAUAAAUAACAUCAAUUACAGAUACCUUACAUAUAAAAAUUGUCUUCAUAUCAUGCAUAUUAAUUAAUCCCAAUGUGUCUUCCUCUUCUUCUUUCGAGGAAAAAUGCCCAUAAAUUCCAAAUAAUAGACCUUCAAAUUAGCCACAAAUGCAGCAUAGAAAGGAAACUGCAUGAGUGCUAAAACAAUAACUGGAAAGAACGCCGCAGCGUAGAGAGUGGCAGUCCAUUUCUUCUCCAAACGAAUGAUGAGCAGAAUUGAAGCCGAGAAAGUAAUCAUGCUUGUUAGUACAGAGAAGAAGAGCAAAGUGAAGCCAAUCGUCAGCUUGCUUGGAAGUACGCUUAGGAAAUCAGAUGAAUCAAAUGACGACGUGAGGAUAGAGAGAAACAUCACAACGGAUGACAAAGAUAAGGCUAAGGAGACAACGUCCAUUACAGUAAAAACGUAGAAGAGUGGUGACUCAAGGAAAUGGGGAAACCCCUUAUCGUUGGUCCCUCCAGGCACCGUGAAGGCAGCUGUGAAGACGACGGUCGCGAUGAGGAUUGCCAGUGUGGAGCAUGACUGAGAGGUUUCUUUGAUCCAAUCUUGUGCUUUCCUAAGUUGAUCUUCAUGUUUUAGAUCGAAGAGGUCAUUUGCAGUCAUUCUCUUGUUUUUAUCACGGUGCAUGGCAUAAUGGGGAGGCGCUAUGUCUUUUACACGCUGCAUAUAAUGCAUGCACAGAUACAAUCAAAAAGAUAUAGUAUUAGAGGAUACUUUUAUUUGUAAAACCAUUUGACAAUGUCAUGACAUCAUUAUAAAACUUCAUCCCGACUUAAAUAAAACGGGGAUUUGUUAUAUAUGUAUAGGGUGAGUUUUCAAUAAAGGAACCUGAUCGUAUUAAAUUAGAGAUAAGAAUUAAAAAUUAAAGAACACUGAUUUUAAUUUAUUAUAGGAUAGAAAACAUUAUACUGUAGUAUUUUUUUUAAAUCUUUUAACUUAUCACUAAUUUUAAUGUAGUUAAGGAUCCUUGAUUAUAAUAUACAUACAUACAUGUGUGUGAAGUAGUUUUCUAGUUUGGGGUUCUGAAGUGCAGGAAAAAUUUAGGAAAGCUUUAAAACCAUGGGAUUUAAGAGACUUAAAAUUUAAAACGCUUAAACCGCACGGUUUAUGUUGUUUCAUAGAUUUUUUUUUCACUUUAAAAUUUCAAAUUGGAACAUGUUUACAUACAUACAUAGAUACAUACAUGUGUGUGUGUGUAUCAAAUUGGAACAUGUUUACAUACAUACAUACAUGUGUGUGUGUGUGUAGAGAGAGAGAGAGAGAGAGAGAGAGAGAGAGAAAUGUUCUAAUAUGGAAUUUUAAAGUGCGGGAUCGUCUGGAAAAACGCAUAAACUGUGCAGUUUAAGUAUUUUAAGUUUUAAACCUUUAAAACCCUGCGGUUUUAAAGCUUUCCCAAAUUUUUCCUGCACUUUAACAUCCCAUACCUAUAUAUAUAUAUAUAUAUAUAUAUAUAUAUAUAUUAUCAAAGGGCUUACCUCGAACCAUUCAAGCUCGUCCUGAAAUUGGAGAACCGGACCAGCUUGGGUUCCUUGCUUAUAAUACUUCAUGUCAGCAACCUGGUGCAAUAUUGUGUAGCCUUCAUUAUCAAUUUUUAAAGCCCAUUCGGCCAGCGACAGUUGCAUUUUCUCCUUAAUGAUUUCAAAGAUCUCAAGUUGACGAUACAUUAUGGCCACAUGCAAUCUAUUCUGCCCUUUCUCAUUCACGUUAUCUAAUGUUUGAGGAUAUUUAUGGCGUAUCUCCUCCAAAAUCUCUAUUAUUCCAUUGCUCACUGCAAAGAGUAAUAUCCUCAUCGUCCUCAUCGACGAGGUCAUAUCCUUCGUUGUAUCAUUUUCCUGAUCGACUGCUUGAGGAUAUUGAUCAACGUGUGCUUUGUUAGUGCAACCUUUCUUCACCUGCAUCAUUAAUUCGACCCAUUCUCCAGCCGAAACAUCAACAACCUUUUUUUCAAUAUUUCCUUUGCCUAAUCCUAAGGAAAUUUCUGUAACACCUGGGGUCGGCUUUUCAUGCGUUGCGCAAUCAUCAAUUCUUUUUUCAACCAGCAUUUUGACCAGUGCAACCGCUUUUUUAUGAAUUUGCUUUUUCUCCCAGAUUUUCUUAAUCGCCGGACAUCCUGGCCAUGCAUGCAUGCAAGAACUACAUAUUACUAAUUUAUAAGCGGCAAAUCCAUUCAUCAACUGAAUGAAUUGAAGUUGUGAUAAAUUUCCCCCGUUCUGCUGUGUAAUUCAUAUUAUCAUGUAUGUAGAAUUAAUUAAUGAAAUAAUUAUUGGUCUUACCUUGAAUUACUUGCCUCCAAAUUGCAAUGUACAUCUUUGAACUUAAAAUUGAAAUUGCUGCAAUUUGAUUAACCUGGUCAGCCACAAUUUUACAACUACAUAUAUAUAUAUAUAUGAGAUAGUAAAAAAUUAAUUUGUAGAUAGGGUAUGUACGAGUCCGUAGAAACUAAAGAAAAAGGGAACUUCAUGAUCCCCCCCACUAUUUGAGGUAACACACAGUUUACACCUAAUAUUUUCAAAAUGGCCAUAUAUUGCACCAUUGAAAGGAAAGACAUUAAUGUUAGUAAAUUGUUGGGUGGCGCAGACACGCAGCUAAGUUGAAAUUGUAAGAAAAUAAAGAACAAGCACAAAAAAGAGGACACCAAAAAUUACGUGGUUCGGCUUUUAGCCUACGUCCACGGGCGAAGACAGAAGGAAAUAUUUUACUAGUGAAAAGGAGUUACAAGUAUUGUAGUAUUUUAGCUCACUUCCCAAAAACCCCAAUACACCCAAACUCUCUCAAUCACUGUAAUAAGAGCUCAUAAAUGCAAGCUCUUGAAUUCUCUCUCGACUCCCUAAAUUGCUCUCUGAAUAAUGGAAUGAAUAAGCUCUUCAUUUGCACUUGUAUUUAUAGCAAAAUGUUGGCCAAGAAAGUCAAAGCCGUGGGUAUCAAAACUUCUUCAAAACCGUGUUCAUCAAAGUUUGGUGGGUGAAAACCGUGUUCAAUUUUCAAAGCCAUGUGCCACCAUUAUUUGUUUAUGCAAAGCUUCUAGAUGCAGCUUCUAGAUGCAGCCGAUUGACAUUCUCCCACUUGGAGAUUAGAUUAAGGACCAAUCAAUCUCCACACCAUCAUUUCUGCUUCGCCAUAAUCAUGUUGCCUACGUUUCUACUAGGCCACAAGAGGAUCUACUCCAGACAAACUUAUCAGUAUUUAUCGGCUUGGUCAAAACAUCUGCUAGGUUCUCUUUGGUAUGGAUUUUCUGCAAAUCCACACUUCCAUCUUCCACUACUUCACGAACGAAGUGAUACUGGACUCCUAUGUGCUUUGUCCUGGAAUGAAAGGCUGGAUUCCUUGCAAUGUGCAAGACACUCUGACUGUCACAAAAUACAGAAAUUUUCUCUUGUCCGUGCCCGAGCUUCUCCAAUAACCUUUGUAUCCAAAUAGCUUCCUUGCAAGCUUGUGUAGCUGCCAUGUAUUCUGCUUCUGUUGUAGAUAAAGCCACAACGGUCUGCAGUUUCGAAACCCAGCUUACAGCUGCUCCUGCAAGUGUAAACACAUAACCAGUAGUGGAUUUCCUUUUAUCAAGAUCUCCUGCAAAAUCUGAAUCCACAUAGCCCCUGACAGUAAAUUCUGAUCCUCCAUAACAUAAUGCAACAUCUGAGGUUCCUCUGAUGUAUCUCAGAACCCUUUUCACAGCUAUCCAAUGCUCUCCACUAGGAUUCGCCAUAUAUCGACUGACUGCUCCCACUGCUUGUGCAAUGUCCGGUCUUGUACAUAUCAUAGCGAACAUUAAACUUCCCACUGCUGAUGCAUACGGUACUCGAGACAUCUCCUUCCUCUCUGCUUCAUUACUAGGACACAUACUUGAGGAUAAUUUGAAAUUAACAGGAAGUGGGGUAGAAAUUGGCUUACAAUCUUGCAUGUUGAAGCGUCGCAAGAUUUUCUUCAAGUAAUUCUUCUGCGAAAGCUAAAUCUUCCUGUUAUUUCUGUCUCGGUGAAUUUGCAUCCCUAGAAUCUUGUUUGCUGGUCCCAAGUCCUUCAUUUCAAACACUCUAGAGAUUUGUUCAACCUGCAAACCAAGUUUUCCUUUCCUGUUUCUGCAAAACCUUCUGGUUGGAGCAUAUAUAUUUCUUCCUCAAGUUCUCCAUGAAGAAAUGCAGUUUUCACAUCUAACUACUCUAAAUGUAGGUCAAAUGUAGCACACAUUGCCAAGACUAUUCUAACUGUUGUGAGUCGAACCACGGGCGAAAAUAUCUCGUUGAAGUCAAUACCUUCUUUCUGAGCAUAUCCUUUCACCACCAAUCUUGCACGAUACCGCUCCACUUGGUCAUUGCCAUCACGCUUGAUCUUAUAGACCCAUUUGUUUCCAAUGGCUUUUCUUCUACGUGGUAGUGGUACAAGUUCCCAUGUCUUGUUCUUGUGUAGAGCUUCAAUUUCUUCCUGCAUUGCUGUCAUCCACAAAGCAAUAUCUGAGCUUUCUAAAGCUUCAUGGAAAGUUGAAGGCUCUUCAUCCUCUGUUAGAAGACAGUAUGCAACGUUGAUCUCUGUGAUAUGCUCCGAGUGCCAUGUUGGUGGUCGUCUCUCACGAGUUGACCGAUGAACUUCUGGAGCCUCGGACUCGACUGGUUCUUGUUCCUCGUGCUCUGGUGCUGCUUCAGAAGAAUCUGAAUCUUCUAGAUUAUUUUCCACAUUUACUGGCACGAUCUCUGACUUUUCUUUUGUAGUGCCAUCAUCCUCAUCUCUCCUUUGCAGUUGAUCUUCUACAAAGAUAACAUCUCUGCUGAUGACGAUUUUAUGGGCAGUGGGGUCCCACAGACGAUACCCCUUUACUCCAUCAGCAUACCCCAAGAAGUUACAUCUUCUAGAUUUUGCAUCUAACUUUGUUCUUUCUUGGGCAUUGUACAUCACGUACACAGGACAUCCAAAUGCAUGUAGGUAGGAAUAAUCAGCUGGCUUUCCAGUCCACAUCUCCAUUGCUGUCUUUAGCCCAAUAGCUGUAGAUGGCGAUCGAUUUACUAUAUAACAAGCAGUUUUGGCUGCUUCUGCCCAGAAUGAAUUGGGUAGGCCAGCAGUCCUCAAUAUAGCUCUUAUUCUUUCUGUAAGAGUCCUGUUCAUCUGCUCCGCCACUCCAUUUUGUUGAGGAGUGUAUGCCACUGUGAACUGCCUCUGAAUACCUUCUUGCUUACAAAAAGCAAGAAACUCGCCGUCUGUAUACUCUCCACCAUUAUCUGUCCUCAAGCACUUGAUCCUUUUACCAGAUUCAAGUUCCACCCGCGCUUUGUAUUCUUUAAACACUGGAAAUACAUCUGACUUUUUCUUAAUUGGAUACACCCAAUAUCUUCUGGAAUAAUCAUCAAUGAAAGUCACCAUGUACUUUGCACCUCCCAUGGAUAUAUCCGGUGAUUCCCAAACAUCAGAAUGAAUCAAGUCUAGAAUGCAUUUACUUUUAGCAAUAGAUCUACUAAAUUUUAAUCUAUGCUGCUUACUUGUAACACAAUGCUCGCAAAAUGAUAAACUUACCGAUUUGAGCCCCGGAAGUAAUUUUCGCUCAGAGAGAAUCUUCAAGCCUUGUUCUGACAUGUGGCCAAGUUUGAGAUGCCACAUCAUCGUUGAUUUUUCUCCAUUUGACGCGACACACGCAUCAGCCUCUUGUAGUGUUUCUCCUUUAAGCAUGAAUAGAUUAGCACCGAUCUUUUUUGCCUUCAUCAAUACAAGCGCUCCUUUAACGAUCUUCAUAAUUCCAUUCUCCACAUGAGUUUUGCACCCAUGAUUGUCUAUUUGUCCCAAAGACAAUAGAUUUUUCUUCAGGCCGUUGACAUGUCGUACCUCCCCAAUUGUGCGAAUUGUACCAUCAAACAUUUUUAUUUUGAUAGUACCAAUACCAGCGAUCUCCAAGGCAUGAUCAUUACCCAUAUUUACAGAUCCUCCUGAGAUAGGUUCAUAUGUGUGGAACUAUUCUCUCCGAGAGGUCAUGUGCCAGGUAGCUCCUGAGUCUAUAAGCCAGACAUCAUAUAGUCAUUUUCUACCUUCUGAAACAAUUGUUGCCUCGCUGUAGAGAAUUUCACCAUCAUCCGAGGUACUUGCUACACAACCCUGAGCAUUUGAUGACUCAGGUUCUUUGCCCUCUCUUAUCUUCUGGUUACUCCAACACUCUUUCUUGACGUGCCCUUUCUUGCCACAGUUGUAGCAUUUAACAUUCUUCUUACUUUUAGAUUUUGAUCUACCAUGAUUUUGACUCCCACUGGGGCCACGUUCUGUUGAUCUCCCUCUCGUCACCAAUAGCGCCUCCGCUUGCUGCAAACUUGCUUGUCUGUUUUCCUUAUUUUUUCGCCUGCUCUCCUUAUUUAAUACGGAGGUUGCAACAUCGUCGAAAACUAGACUGUCUACUGGAUUGUUGUUCGUCAGGUUGAUGAUGAGUUGAUCAUACGAAUAUGGUAGACUUUGAAGUAGAAGCUCUGCACGUUCAUUCUCCUCUAUAUUAUGACCCAAUGUUGUGAGUUGUGAAAAUAGAGUCUUCAAGGUGUUGAUGUGGUCAGUCACCAUUGUAGAUUCCGCCAUUCGAAGAGUAUAGAGUUUUCUUUUCAAGAAGAUUUUGUUGUGUAGUGACUUGGCCUCGUACAAUUUUGUGAGAGUAUCCCAUAUUUCCUUCGCUGUGUUUUUCUCUGCCACACUAGAUAAUACUCCAUCUGCAAGUGCUAAGUGUAGAUCAGAAAUGGCGUUACCAUCUACCUCGUUCCACUUGUCAUCAGUUAUCUCCAUGGGCCUUUCUCCAAUUGCUGCCAAGCAAUUAUUUUUCCUCAAUACAGCUUUCAUCUUCAUUUUCCACAACAAAAAAUUAUUUCCGUUAAAUUUCUCAAUUUCAUACUUUGCCGCCAUUUUGUUGAUAAAUACCGCACACAAGCUAGUGUACCACCUUGAAUAGUUGUGAGUAUGUGUGAGAAUGCACACCAGGAAAGACUGGAGGGGUCACAAUAGUCCCACUUAAAACCCAGACUCCUUAAGCUCUUAUCGCCUUUGUGACAGAACUUUCCUAGACAUGUACAAAACUACACAGUUGCUUUACUCACACCACUAUUCUCUGCUUUGCACCGCAAAAUUCUUGGAUCGCUUCCACCAUUUCACGUGAAUAGUACCGUAUACGUGAAUAGUACCGUAUACGUGAACAGUACCAUAUAUGUGAACAAAACCGUAUACGUGAAUAGUAUCGUAUACGUGUAUAGUGCCGUAUACGUGAAUAGUACCCCUUACGUGAACAGUUCCUGACUCCAAAAAAUACAACCAAUAACUCUGAUACCACUGUUAGUAAAUUGUUGGGUGGCACAGACACACAACUAAGUUGAAAUUGUAAGAAAAUAAAGAACAAGCACAAAAAGAGGACACCAAAAAUUACGUGGUUCGGCUUUUAGCCUACGUCCACGGGCGAAGACAGAAGGAAAUAUUUUACUAGUGAAAAGGAGUUACAAGUAUUGUAGUAUUUUAGCUCACUUCCCAAAAACCCCAAUACACCCAAACUCUCUCAAUCACUGUAAUAAGAGCUCAUAAAUGCAAGCUCUUGAAUCCUCUCUCGACUCCCUAAAUUGCUCUCUGAAUAAUGGAAUGAAUAAGCUCUUCAUUUGCACUUGUAUUUAUAGCAAAAUGUUGGCCAAGAAAGUCAAAGCCGUGGGUAUCAAAACUUCUUCAAAACCGUGUUCAUCAAAGUUUGGUGGGUGAAAACCGUGUUCAAUUUUCAAAGCCAUGUGCCACCAUUAUUUGUUUAUGCAAAGCUUCUAGAUGCAGCUUCUAGAUGCAGCCGAUUGACAAUUAAAACAAGCAUUUUAUGGUUGUUUACUUGUGGGAUUGGGGACUCAAAAUUCAGAAUUGGAAUGAUUGUUGCUGUUUAUUUGUAAAAAUUGAAGGAGGGGAUGAGAAUGAAAUGGUAGAGCCACAUAAAAUUAGGAACAAGGAAUGGCCCAAGAGGGUUAGGAAUCAAGUUUCUAUUUCUUGAACUCACAAUUUUACCCUACCUAAAUUUCAUAAUUCUACUUUUGUCUUUGAUUAAAAUAUUAUUAUUAUUAUCACUAUUGUUGUUGUUGUUAUUAUUAUUAUUAUUAUCUUUAUUUUUGUCAUUAUUGUUAUUAAAAACAACAAUAACAACAACGACAACAACAAUAAUAAUUGUUGUAUUAUUAUUGUUAUUACUCUUAUUAUUAUUGUCAUUGUCUUUAUUAUUAUUAUUAUUGUCGUUGUUAUUGUUAUUACUAUUAUUGUUGUUAAAAUAAUUUCUAAUAAAUAAACACAAUUAUUAUUACAAAUAAUAAUAAUAAUAACAACAAUAAUUAACUAAAGACAUUUUAGUAACUUGAAGCAAUUCAUUGCGAUUUCAAAACAAAGUAAACACAUCAAUGGCUAUGCAAUUCAUUCGAAUAUCGAUUUCUAUAACGCAAGUAAACAAUUUAUUUUAAUUCACAUUUCUCAUUCUCAUUCCAGCACUUUCCGAUUUCUAAUUGGUAAACACCAUUACUAUUUUCCUUAGUCAACAUAAUUUCUCCUAGAAAUUAACGAAUAUAUAAAGGAUAGCUAAUCAAGUAGAGUAACAGCCCAUGUGGCCUGAUCUCAAUAGGAGAGCUUUGGUUAAUUAACCUAUAUAAAUACUGAGCUUUCGAUCAUAGCUCAAAUAUUUAAGGGGAAAAAUAACUAGGUUUCUAAAGAAAAAAAUUAGAAAACAAUGAAUAUACAAUAUAAAGUUUGCAUACUGUUAUUUUCGUCUAAAAAGAAACUAGCUUUUAUAUUAUUUUUCAUUAGGGUCCAGCUAUGGUGCCACAGUUGUAUGGUACCACAGCUGGAUCCAGCCAUUGGAUCUAACUCUAGUGACAACUGUGGACUAGAUUCAAUGGCUGGAUCCAACUAUGGUACCAUACAACUGUGGUACAAUAAGUUUGUCCUUUUCAUUAUUUAUUUUGGUCUUCAAAUUAAGGCUUCGUUUGGCUUCUAAGCCACAGUUGCUCUAGACUGUAAGUUUUAUUUAUUUUUUAAAUAAUAACUAACACAUUCAUUUAAGCUCGAACCGAAGACCUAUUGAACAUAUGCAUGCAUGUGGCAAACAAUUGUAUGUGGCUAGCAUGUAACUUUAUAACUCUUGGCAUAAAGUUCUUGAGUAAGUGAGAAAAGUGGGAGGAAUCAACUUUUGACUUUGACACUAAACUGGAAAAGUUGAGUGGAAAUUUAUAUUAUUUUAAUGCUCACCAUUGUUGAUUUUUGGGCAUGGCUUGGCCUAUAAAUAGAGGCCUCAUUUGCCCUCUUCAAUCAUCCCAUUUUUCUCUAAUUCAAGAGAGAGAGCCAAGAGGCGUAAGUUGAGAGUGUUGAGAGCUUUGAGCUCUAGUUCUAGUGUUUUGAAAGUUUGGGUGUACUGAGGUUUUGAGUUAUGAGAUAAAAUAUUACAAUACUUGUAAUUCCUUUUCACUAGUAAAAUAUUUCAUUCUGUCUUCGCCCGUGAAUGUAAAUUAAAAGCCGAACCACGUAAAUUUUGGUGUCCCUGUGUGAUCAUUAUUUCUCAAUUUCAUUUUAGUUGUGUGUCUGCUGCACCGCCGAAUUUCCAACAAGACCUAUGCUCCUUACCAACUGUAGUUAGACCUUGUCUUCAUCAAAUGAAAGUUUUAGUUAUUAGUGAAAAAUUUAUGGGUGUUUGAUAAAAUUAAACACCACCAGAUUGAAGAAAUUUAAUGGUACAUGAGAGGUGCUGCACUCAAUUAAUGUAGGUAUGCCAUCUAUGCAUUUGUUUUCUAGAAUCUCUCACUAGAUUGAUGUCAUAAAAAUUUUUAUUCUCAUUUUUAGAGUAUAUUUAUCAAUAAAUAACUGUGAAAAAUAAACCAUCUUCUAAGAAAAAUUGACAAAGUGUUUACAGCUGAGUUGUCAAAUGCUAGCAUAAAUAAAUACAGCCCAGGUGCGAUCGAGAGUAUUGUGUCGGUGGGUUAUGACUUGUAACCGCAACUAAAGCCUAAGCCGUUUGUUCUGUUUUGAUUUUUGAAUUUACAGAGUUAUAAUGAAGCAACCAUAUUAUGAUUUUGAAAAAAUUAAAGCUGCUAUGUCACCAUUACCUCUCCUCUUCUUUGUGUGGCCAAUGCGAUUGUCAAUCUUACCAGUCUCCAAAUCUUCUUUAUAAUCAGGGUCAACGUUGUCGUCAUCCAGAUACGUCGGAAGACCUGCAAUUAAAAAUUAGAUGAUGUAGCAAAUCAUUUUUUUUUUUCACUUCACCCUAUAUACGUAUAAAUACAAAUUAAAUAAUUAUUUCUCCUAAUUAAUUUGCUUAUUGUGCCCAUUGUAACGGCAUGCAUCCAAGUCAACUGGACUAUAUAUUCAUUUAGAUAUGGAACUUAUGCGGCUAUAUGCAUAUAAUUAAUAUAUAAAAAUUGCUAAAGAAAUUUGAGGCUGAUAAAGCAUUGACAGAAACAACUAUAUAUCAAGCCGGGGUUAUUGUGUUCAUUGAUUUGGUAAUCUCGGCCAACUAUCAUUGUCUCUAGCCAAAUUCUUUGGUCUAAAGUAUCAUUGCAUAUAUAUAUAUAUAUAUAUAUAUAUAUAUAUAUAUAUAUGUGCGUGUGUGUGUGUACACAUACCUGACUAUAUAAAAGUUAUUGAUAAACUAAAAAAUAAAAACACAUAUUUUAAUACACUUUAAAAAAAUACAUGGUAUUAAAGUCUAUAUUUCUUUAUCUUGUAAUUUAUCCCAGACUUUAAUAUGCUCAAGAUCCUUAAAUAAAAAAUUAUUAUAUAAAAAGUGCGGAUAUCUAUAAUUUUUUAAAAUGCAGAUUCAAAAUUUUACAACAUUCUAAAAGGUUGCUGCGAUAUUGUAAAAUGAUUUUUUCAAUGGUCGACAACGUUGUAAAAUCCUAUGGUAGACAACGUUGUAAAAUCCUAAACUCAGAAAUUUAUAUAAUGAGGACAUCCACCCCUAAAAAUGACUAUAAGAACAGUGAUAUCAAAUAAAAUCCUGACAAAGACAACGUUAGACCCGGCCGAAUUCACGUUUUUAAUUGCCAAUAAAAUAACCCGAUCGGUUCUAAUGCACUGUAUUUGUCAGCGUUUAGUCUCUUUCAUCAUUUUUGUUUCCAAGAAAGUAAUAUGGUUUAUAUAUCCACUUACAGGAAUAGACAAGACUCGUCCAAAUCGUCGUGGGCUCCGUACUGAAAACAGAUGGCAUUAAAGCUAGUAGUUCAAGAGAAGUAAAACCAUCAAUCCCCUUGGACGUUGAUUCGUUUGCAAGGCUUGAGUCGUGAUUAAGUAUCCAAAUAGCAGUGUCUGUACGUAAUCAAGCAGGACGGAAAUGUAAUUAAUUAAUUGAUUAAUUAAGAAGAUAACAAAUAAUUUUCAAUAACUUUUAACUCUUGAUCUAUAAAUAAAUAAAUUCAUUCACCCGUACUCGAUCAUCAGUGAGUCUUUAAAAUACAGAAUGAAUGAACGAGUGAAUGAAUGAGAGAUUUGAUUAUUAUUACCGACGUGAUGGCUAAGGACAGCAAUAUGAAGUAUAGGAAUAUUAUCAUGUCUACGGAAAUGAUGCCUUAAGUUAGAGUCACCAACUUGCUCAGCGAAGUAUCGCAACGCUUCAAUUUUCCCAACAGAAGCAGCCCUAUAAAGUGGGGUUUCCCCCAAUUUGUUUUUAACCACAAGUGGAUUUUUGUCUGCAUCAUUAGAUUGCUUCGAAAAUUCAACCAAAGUUUUGGCUACGUCAACAUUGUUGAUGGUGCCCAGUGCGUGAACAGCAGUGUUUCCAUUGUCAUCUGUUUGCAUCAAGGCCUCAAGUCUUUUUUCUACUGGUAGCCUUCCGAGAAAUUUUUUAAUCAGCUCGGGGUCUUCCAUGGCCGCUGCAACGUGAAUUGCGCAUUCUCCAUUGAAUGUCCUGUAUCCCAACAACUCUUCAUCAGUUUGUUGAGCAAAGUAAUGCAAGAAGCCUUGACGGUCUCCCUUUAAGGCCAUUCCGUACGGAUCCAUCUUUUUCUCAAUUGUAUAAUAGAUGCACAGAAGAAGCUGUCGUUUCUUCGUUAUCCUUAAUUUUAAUUGUCCUAAUAUAUAUAAGGUUUUAUGCAUCUUUCUACAAGUUCUAAACGAAUUUGGCAUAAUCACUUUGCAUAUUUUAAUAAUUAAGCUCAAACAUUAUAAGCAUAAAAUAAAGUAAAGUUAAUCUAUUGGGUCAGGAAAUAGAAUAGAAUAAAUUAUCUAAACAACUUUUGCCUCUAGUGCUUUUUCCGCGAAUAUAAUAAUCACUAUGUUAUUAAAGUAAAAUAAGGUUUUGAUCCAUCCUUAUGAAAGUUCUAAUCGAGGCCACAGACUAAAUAGUCCAAAGGAUAACAUUUUAUAUUUAUUAAAAAUAAGAAAUUAUUAAUAAAAGAGAGAGAGAGAGAGAGAGAGAAAUGAAUAUGUUAAAAGGUAACUUCUAACCAUUACUACUCUAAAAAAUUCCUAAUUCGUCCAUUCAUUUUCACCGCCCCCACAAUUCAACCGUCACCAUUUUUGCUCAGAGUGAAUUUUAAAAUCAUGACGAGCAAGAAAGAUAAAGAAGAAGAAGAGGAGGAAGAUCCUUCCGAGCUCAGGCAAGGGGCAAAAUGACAGCUUUGAAGAAAGAGGAGAAGAAAAUGAGCUUCCGUUAAAGCCAAGGAUGUUCCUUAAUUUACCUGAAAACAAUGACUUUGAGAUCUUUUGAUGCAACAUAAGUUAAAUGUUCUAAUAUUUCGUUAAUAUUUAAGGAUACCAAAAUAAAAAAAAAAUGGUCUAAAUUCACAUUGAUUUGAAAGAAUGCCGUGAACUUAGGGUUAAAAUUGAUAUGAAAAUAAACUAAAUAACUCAUUGAUUUCGCAUAAUGCCAAAAAUUAACUAAACUAAAAAACUCACAUAGAGGUUUGAAAACUGAAAAUAUUAUUAAACUCAAACCUACCUUCAAACACUAUAAGAUAGGGUAAAACAUUGAAAAAAAAAGUACUAAAUUAUUAAGAAAAAGAAUAAUAAACCUUAGACAAUAAAGAUAGGGAUUCCUAAUAUGUAUCAUAUUCACAUUUUACCUUGCUAAUGAGGUCUCCAAUAGAAAUUGGUAUGAAACUAAUUAGCUCCUUUUAAUGAGUGUGUGGUUGGUGGGCAAAGUGAUGAGAUGAAAUUAGGUUUUUGUUGCUAUUUUUUUACUUUAUUUUAUCUUCUUUUUUGAUGGAUUGAUCUGCAGUUUGAUUGUUGAAAAAACUGCGAACAAAGAAAUUUUCGGUUUGAAAAUGAUGAGAAAUUUUGUUUUUUGGUUUUUUUGGGAUUUUGUUUUAAACUUCGUAUCGAUGAUGAGAAAGUUGACUAAUUUUUUUUCAGUUAUAAAGUCUACUGUAGAUGUUUGUUUGGAUUUUUGGAAUCAGUGAGUCUCCGAGUAAUCAAACUUCUACUUCAGUUGAAAUCUACAUUUGGCAUUUAGGUUGUUCAUGUCCUGAUAGUCGCAACAGAUGUGCUCCCCAUUUGAUUAUUAGGUUGAGAAUUUUGCCUUAAAUUGUUGGCAAUUAAUUUAGUAUGUCAAUGUCAUGCUUUCUUUAUAAAAAUAAAACUUCUUCUGUAAUUGAGACUUUUUCAUUAGGUGCCUACUCAUUUAUUUUGUGUGGGAAUUGAUUUACCAUAGCGAAUAUACUAAUUUGAAAUUUGUUGGAAUUUGGUUAGGCUUGUGAGUCAUGUUGUUAAGUUAUUAUUUUCUUUUUGUUACUAUUAUUAAUAUUAUUCGUUUAGAGAUUAAUGGAUAUAUAUUUUAUUACUAAAGUGUGGUUGAUUGUUUUGAAUCUGUCUCAUUGGUAUAUGGGUCUAGUUUUUGAAUUUAUUGGCUGUUGUGGUAACUCUACUUGUGGAGACGAUUAGGUGGUUUAAUGGCGUUGUCUUGGGUUUUGGCUUUUAAUUGUCUGUUGUUUCUGUUUUUUUUUUUUUUAAAUAUUUGUUGCUGUUUUUGAUUUUUUGGUUUUUUCGCUAUCGGUUGAUUGGGUUUACUACGAUAUUAUUUUCCGUUUUGAUUUGAUGUCAAUUUUUUUUUUCUUUUUUUCUCCUUGUCAUUGUUGCUUUCAGAGUUUUUUAUUUUGCUGUGCCAAAGAUUGGUCAAAUAGUAGUUUUAUUGCUGUUUUUCGCUAUUUUGCUGUUGUAUCUGUGAUAAUUUUUUGUUAUUUUUGAGUUUGAUUACCUGUUAGUUUUUGGCUUUUUUCCUUCUCUUUCUGGGUUAAUUUGUUGUGAUUUUUUAGUUUUGAUUUGCUUUUGCUUCUGGGUUGAUUUUUCUAUUAUUUUGGGUCAAUUUGCUGCUAUUUUUUCUGAUAAUUUCUAUACUAUUUUGGGUUUUAAUUUGCUGUAGAAACUAACAUUUUUCACAGAGUAGGAUAGAAGUCGACCCUGAGGUAUUGGAAAAUGAUCCUAAAUUAAGUUACUUUUAUAAUUAAAGAUGUAAUUUAUUAUGUUUUUGACUUGGCAAAUGGAAAAUGUAUUAUUGGUGAUAUUGAGAAUAUGAAGUGUUAAUUUAAUUCUAUUAAUUUAAAUUUAUUAAUGUAUUUAUAAUGUCAUUUAAUCAUAUGGUCUAACACUAGGGCCACAAUUCCAUAUUUAUUUCUUAUAAUAAUUAUAUAAUUAUAAAUUAUCACUUGCAUUGUCAAGGCAUUGAUUGGCUUGUGAAAUGUGCAUAUGAAAUAAAAGAUGAAGCUAAAGCACCUUGAGGAUGGAUGGUAAACAUAGUUAAUGGACUCUUAUUCCAUAAUUAUUAAUGGGGUUUAUAUUUUAAUUCUUGCAAGUUUUGGAUUAUAGUGGUGAACCAAUAUUAAGACUCUAAGUAGAUUUAGGAACCUCGAAAUUAAAUAUGUAUAUUUUUUAAAACAUAUUUUUUAGACAAUUUGUUUUUAUAUUUAUAACUUUUCAAUAUUGUAUGUGUAUAAUUGUUGAAAUUAUUUUGUAGAUAAUUUGUGUUUAUAUUUAUAACUUCUCACAUUACUAUUUUUAUUUAGUGUUUACGUUGUAAUUUUGAAGUUUUUAAUAAUAUUAAUAAUUAUAUUUAGUCCAUACAAAAUUAUUUAUAGUUUCAAGAUAAUUUAUAUGGUAGCAUAUAAAUGUAAUUCUCCUAGGAUGAGAAAUAUGCAAUUCUCUUGUGGAUGGUGAUAUUUUCACCCCACUAUUUUUGUAAAUCCACCAGACUUUUAGAAAAUAAUUACAAUGAGUUCACAAUAUUCUUAAAAAAUACAAAUCAAUAAAAGGUUUAUACAGUUAAUCAAUUAAAUCCUCUAUUAACUUUUUUUUUAGGUUCUUGGACCAUCUUUAAUCAUAAUUUUUAAUAUAAGUUUUAUUUUACUAUUUUAUUAUUAUGAUAUAAAAAGACAAAAUUACCCUAAUAAAACAUGAGUUAUUAUAUCUAAUAAUUUAUGUAUUUAAUUUUGCGACUUGUAAUCUAAUAUUUUAAAGUAAACCUAAUUAUUACACUUACGUGUAAAUGACAUAAUUAAAUUUGACAGCAUAAUAAUUUACAUGAGAAUUGCGCUAUCAAGACACUAUGUUAGUUUAAUUAAAAAUAAUAAUCAUACUAAUCAAGUUGUAUUAGAAACAAUGAGUUUGGUACAAAUUAGGAAAAUAUUGAAGUUAAAGUAAAUUCUUGAUAAUUUUACUUUAUAAGGAUAAAAUAGUCAAUUUAAGCUUAUGCCAAAGCAAUCUUUUUAAUCAAAUAUACUAAAUAAAUCUAAGUCACAAACUAAUGAAUUAAUAUAGAUUUAAUUAAUUAAUUCUUCAAAACUCUUCUUGAUUUGAAAAUUUUAAAAAUAAUGUGCAACUUUUAUAAUUUACUAGCUGUAUCAAUUUGCACCCCAUUGUAUUUCUAUAUGAUUUAGAGGAAAAAUUUAUUAAUACACCAAAGUUUUAAUAAAUUUAUGUCUAAUAGUAGACUUUUUACUUUAUUUUUAGGGUAAGUGUUUGUUUAGUCCCUAUAUUUAACUUAAGUGCUCCUUUAAUCCUUAUAUUUUAAAAAAUGUCUCAAGACAACCUUGCUGGUAACUCUAUUAUAAUCAGACCCUUACUUUGUCCUCACUUUUACAAUAAUACCCUAGCAACAAUAUUCUUGGAGAUAAUUAUGAAAAGAAAAAAAAUGUGAACUUAUCAAAUUAGCUUUAAAAUUAAAAUUAGUUUUUUUUUUUAAUUUUAUGUGUAGGAUUAAAUUAUUAGUAAGAUUAUUGUAAGGGUAUCAAACAUUACUUUAAAUUCUUUAAAUUGGAUGGUAUUAAUUUAUUUAUAAAUAAUAAUUAGCAGGAUUGCUACAAGAGUAUGAAAAAUGCCAAUUGUUUCAUACUAGUAUUUAUUUCUUAAUUUGUUGAUAAGUAAUUAUUGGUUAAUUUACUAAUUAACUUUUUUUAGAUUAAAAAUUAAUUUCAAAUGUAUUGCUGCAAGAUAUUAUUGUAAAAACAAAGAAAAAGUAAGGAUAAACAUACAACAUAUUUAAUAGUAGGGGUAUCUUUGAGGUAUUUUUUAAAAUAUAGGCACUAAAUCAGCAUUACCCUUAAUGUAUAAAAAGGACUAAAUUACAUAUUUAUUGAAUAAAUUAAAAUUAUUAGAGGAUAAAGGUUGAAGAUAUUUGAAUCCAUCAAUUUACUCUCAACACUCUCUUUGUAAUUAAGAAUUUUAUUAUAUAAAUAAAUUUUGUAAAAAUUACUUAAUCAACCAUUUCUUCUCUUUCUCUUCUCCAUUUCACAAAUUCUCAUCAACUUAUUCAAAUAUAUUCUUUUAACUAUAAAUAAUUGAUAUCACUAACUAAGAGGAAAAAUCCCACCAUUUAAAAAUAAACAUCAAUAGAUUUUUAUUGGCCAUAAAAGUUAAUUAAUAUAAAAAUUAAUUUUUACCAAAGACAAAAGCUAAUGAAAAUUAAGAAAAAAAAUUCUUAUAUAUAGAAAGUAUGAAAUAGCUAUCAUGAUAUACUAAGAAAGACAAAAAAAAAAAAGAAAAAAAAAAAGAAAAAAGAAUUCAAAAGAAAGAGAAAUUGGUGUUUAGUUUGCAUAUGAGAGUAGAGAGAGAGAAAAUACACGGUUACAAGAUAGAGAGAGAAAUAGAUUAGUGAAAGAUAAUUUUGAGAUUUUUAAAUUUUUAAUAACAAAUUUACUUUCAAAAUUGGUGUACAGAGAAAUUUAAUGGGUUCAAGUAGCCCCACUAGAGAUAAAAUCUUAUUAUUAGUGCUUAUUAUUAAAAAAAAAAUUGUUAUGGUUUGGUCCAACUGAAAUAUAUUAUAUGUAGCAACAUUCUCAUGAAUAUUCACAAUAAACUUAUAAAUUAGCGCGGGUUGAUCAAAAGUCCAGUGUUCACCUUAGUAUAAUUUAUACACAACUUCUACAUAAGCUAACGUGUAUCUAUCUAUUAUUGGAUUGCAUAAAAUCAUUUGCUUAGAAUUUAUGUCAAAAUUUUAAAUUAAGAUAGCUUAUUCUAUUAAAUAUGAUCUUAUGAAACAAUACAACUGCAUCUUAACAAAUUAAAUUCAAUAUAAUACUAUCAAACAUAUUCUAUAUAUAUAUUUUUAGCUGGUAGUUGAAAUAGGCAUUAAAAUUUAUACGUAUAAACGCUAACAAAUUCAAAUUAAUACUUUCUGGGUUAAAUUGAAAAAAAGAAAAAGAAAAAAACAAAAUCCCAUCUAUACGUCAAAGAAAUAAAGAAAAAACAAAUUAUAUCUAAUUUAGAACAUAAAACGUAAAACACGAGUCAUGGAACAAACACGAGCCCCGAACACGAGCACUCAAGCAUUAUCAGAAUAAAAUAAAGUUAAUCUAUCAGAUCAUGAAAAAGAAUAGAAUAAGUUAUUUCAACAACUUUUGUCACCAUUGCUUUUCCCGCGAAUAUAAUAAUCACCAUGUUAUGGAAGCCAAGUGGCAGCCAAUCAUUAAAAAAUAAAUAUAAAUAAAAGGGAAAAUUAUCAUCCUCAGUUUGGUAAAAGAAAAAUUUUAAAACUUACCAUUUUUUUGCUCGUAGUAACCUAGGGUAUUACAUAUUUUAAAUAAUAGUUCUGGUAAAAAAAAAUAAAAAUUACACAUUGUUAUUUGAGAAAAAUAAACUUAAUUUUUAAAAUACAAUAAUAAAUUUUUGGUAAGUACUUUUAAUUUUAUAACUUAAAAGAUAUCACUGCCUGACAACAAUACUAAACAAAACCUUGAUAUAAGUUAAUCCUAAGAAAUUUUUUAUUGUAACUCUCAAGUAAAUUUGUUAUUGUACAAGAUUCAGUUUUUUUUUUGGGAAAAAAAAUUUCAGCAUCUACUUUUUUUUUCCCAUGUAGUAUAUAACAUAAAGUUAAAAGAUGUUUGAUCGGAUGCGAGUGUGAAUGGAAUUAAAAAAAAAAAAUUGGUUAUACGGCGAUAUAACAUAAAUUUUUUUUUAAUUGGUUAAUUAUUUAAUUAUAUUAAAAUAUUUCAUAUAUUAAAUUGAUGAUUUUUUGUUAUUAGAUUAAUGAAUGUUGAGUAAAAACUUGGUUGUUAUUCAAUAUUCGACUUCAUGUCUUGGCCUGAUGUGAUGAUUCCAUUGCAUCAAUUGAUUAUACGGCGCUGGGUGGAAUCUCAUCAUCGUUUUCCCUUGAAACAAUUUCUAAUGACGUAAACCAAAUAUUCUUUUUUACGGUGGAAUAUCAUCAUCGUUUUGCCUUAGUACAAUUUCUAAUUCCUUUCUUCAAUGUCCUUCAACAUUGUGAAAUACAUUAAAAUUUUUCUUAAAUUUUUUAUUCAUAAUGACGUAAUCCAAAAAUUCUUCAAUUUUUUAUUUGAGAAUGGCAUAAUCCAAAAUUUUAAGGGCUCAUAUUUGAUUUAGGAUCAAAAGUAAAUUUCAAAAAAUUAAAACAGAAUCUAAAAAUUAAUUUCCAUUGGAGUUUUGAUGUUAAUUUUCCUUUUAUUAUUUAGCCUUACAACAACUUAAUCCCCUUCAUAUCCAAUUGAGUGGAGUACAUACCUUAAACCUCUUAUUUUCAAUACAAUAGUCUAUAUCGUUUCAACUGAAUGGCACCCACAAGUUUUACUGUGUUUAUGCAAUAUCCAAAAAUAAUAAUCCCAACAAUGGAAACGUGUUUAACAUAAUUUAUAAUUAAAUUAAAAAAUAAAUAUUUAGGCGCUGCAUGUGAUUUCUAAGAUAAUUUUUGAUGAAAUAUGAAGUGUUUAUAUAAUUACAAUUUCUUUUCCUUUUCGUCAAUUACAUUACAUCAUGCAGUAACUUAAACGAAAUAAACAUAAAACAAGCUUCAUCAAGAUUUCAAUAAUUGAUUAGUAUCUUUAGCUAAGCCUCAUUCUGUUGCAUUAUAGAUUCUAGAGCCACAAGAAACUUCCCACCAAAGCAAAGGCAGAAAUAGAAACUGUUUUACAAUACAAAUUGCCAACAACAUGGAAAAUAUAUCCCUCGAAACAUUACAGCUGAAAUAAUGUUGCUUAGAACUCGUGACUAGAGAAUAGGAACUACCAUCUUGCAAGUGAUCCGUCGUACGCUUCGGCCUUGAGUGUUCAUCUAAUGCUGGAGGAUAUUGAUGGAGUAUCUCCUCCAAAAUCUCUAUUAUUCCAUUGCUUGCUGACAAGAUUAAUGGCAACCUCAUCAUCAACCAAGUCGUAUACUCUGUUGUGGCCUUUUCUUGAUCGUGAACUGCUUUGUUAGUGCAAUCUUUCUUCACCUGCUGCAAUUCGACCAAAUCUCCAGUUGAAACAUCAACUAGUUUUUUAACUUGAUCACAUUUCCUUUUCCUAAUCCAGAGGAAAUUGUAGAAAUUUCUUUGCAUCGACUUUACUUACGGCUUUCUGUCCGUUGCCCAGUCUUCUUCUGUAGGAAGAUGAUCCUCCGUUACCCAAACGUAGUCGGUUUCUUCUCUAACCAGAACUUUGAUCGGUGCAACCGCAUUUUUGUGCUUUUGCUUUUUCUUCCAGAUUUUCUUUAUCGCCCGACACCCUGGCCAUGCAUGCGUGAACAUCUUAUUAAAUUCUAAACAAAUUACGCACGCAAAUCCAUUCAUCAAAUGAAUGAAUCGAAGUUCUAUACGUGGCAUUUCCCUUGUUUUGUUGUGUGUUUAAUUCAUAAUUGUUUGCAGAAGUAAUUAAUGUAAUAUUAUUAAUAAUGGUCGCACCUUCAAUCAGUUGCCUCCAAAUAGCAAUGUACAUCUUUAAAUUGCUGCACUUUGAUUAACCUGUUCAGGCGUAAGUUUGCAGCUACAUGUAUAUAUGAUAUGAAAAACUGAUGCUACCAUAUCAAAAAGGAAACAAUUAAAGCUGUGGGAGUUUAAAUUCAGGGAGACUGUCAUUUCCCAAGAUAUUGCAUUAUUUGUAUCAGUUUAUAGAUAAGGUCCUCCUUAUCAUAAGAAUAUUCCGUAGAAAAAAAGUCUAUGGUAUAUCAAAGAUCAUACAAUCUACACAACUAACUAUUGUAUAUGUGACACGUGUAUUUGAAUUUAAUGUAACUAUCACUUGCAUGUUGGUUUACUAUUGAGCUGAGUUUAUGCUAAUAAGAAAAAAAAUGAAAAAUAUAAAAAUAUAAAAAUAAAUCCUGACCCUAAGUUUAAUGCUCAUAAAUAACUUAUCUCAAUGCCGAAUCCUGAUCCAUGGGUAUGUAUUCCACUAUUAGGACAGAUGACAUUGAAACAAACUUUUUACUAUUUUGUCCUAAAAUAGCAAAAUUUAUCAUAGAAAUUAAUGAAUAAAAUAAAAUCCAAUUAAUAUUUUAAUAUUAAGUUUGUUGAAAUACAAAUUACAGAGAAUCUCAUAUCAGUCACUUCCGUCAUUUUGUUUUUUCAAUUUUCUAACGUGCUAAUGAAAUUAUGUGUUGAAAAAAUAGCAUAUCAAUAUGCUAUUUUGAGGGCACAUUUUGAGUGGGUCCCACUUAGCGAAAGUAAGAAAUCUUGUGAGGUUCGGAUUCUAUUCCGUGAAUACUUCGAAAGUGUAAAUUUAUUUACUCAAAAUGGUGCUUGAGUGAAUGAGAAAUUGUCUCUCAAAGUGCACCCUUGAAGUUGAAAAUUUGAAAGGAAAUGAGGUUUAAACCACAAGGGAAAAAUAAACCAACGGAUUUGUGUUUACAUAUAGACACUUACCCAUGCAUGAGCAACAAUUAUAAGGAUAGAGGCUCUCUCCACACGCGCGUGCGCAAGGGGGGUGCGAAUUUAAGAUCAAUUUGGUUGAACUCGUGUGCGUUCUGCGUACGCGAAUAUUAGCCCAAAAUCACCUAAGCUUGCAUGGCACAUUUUUAAUUUCCUUUUAAAUUUUUUGUAAUAGUUUACAAUGAUUAUUUGUGAAUCUUUUGAAUUCAAAGAAUUUGUAACAGCUUCACAAUUAUUUUUGGGUUGUUAUGCAAUUCAAUUUUGAAUUCAAUAGACUGAAUUGAAUUGUUUUUAUUUAGUUGGUUGUUACAACAAUAAAUCAUAUAUAUUGAAUUCGGAAAUUCAAUAUUAUGCUACUGUUACAUACUCACAUGUGUAUAAAAAGACAGCUUCUUCUUCUGUUUUGGACGCACAAGAACAACCAGUACAUAGAGCACUUAAAAAUUUCUUUCCUUCUUCAGACGUCCUGUUUCUAAUCGAGUUUGUACGUUGUAGUGGUUCGUUAGAAUUAUCUGUCUGUGCUUGACGGAUAAUUCGUACCUGUUGUAUCUUGGGAAAUAAACCUAAAACACUACAGUAGGUGGUAAAUAUGUUUUAAGGACACUGUGUUACAGGCCUCAUGUUUAUUUUCUCUGUUUCGUUAAUUUCUAGUUGUUGAUCUUGUUUUUUUUUUAAAUUCCAGUUGUUGUUUUUAGCUGCUGUUUAAUUCUGUUACCAAUUAAUUUCACGUAAAUUACCUAUUGUUCUUAAUUGUUAACUCAAUUUUUUUUAACAUUAUGAAAAUCUGACAUUGCAAUUGAUAAAGACUGUUUUGCCUUUAAAGUCAAGAUUUUGUUAGAAUAAGCUAAAAAUAUGCGAUACAGAGAUAUUUUUCAAAGAAAAAAAUAGGUUUUUGUAGUAUUUAUUUUAGUCAUAUAAUGGUUCCAACAUUUAAGAGGAAUAAAUAGGUUUUGAAAGAAACCCAAAAAAAAGUAUACAGUAAUAAUACCAAAGACUUCUCUGAUUAAAUUUUGCACACUGUUAUUUUCGUCUAAAAAUAUAAUUUUUAAGGUAAUUUGUUUAUUUAAAAAAAGAUUUACUUAUUUAUUUUGGUCUAUGAUAAUUCUAUGAUAUAAGAGUUAUUAUGACACUUUUGCACUUAAAUUAAGAUUACUUAGAGAGUAAAUGAGAUGUUUUUAUUGCAUUUUAGUGGUAUUUUGCAUGAAUAUCUAUUUUAGUUUAUUUUUAAUAAAUUCUACUGUUUUAGAAUAAUUUGUGUGCUUAAAUUGGAUGCAUAAUUGUAGGUGACUGGAAGCUUAAAUUUCAAGGGAGGAAUGUUGUUGCAAUAGACUUACGAAAAUAAGGAAAGAACUUGGCUAAGGAAGAAUUGAAACAAGUUUGGAACAAUGCAGAUGUUGUAGCAACCAUUACUGUAGUAAUCCUGGAGCAUUGACAAAGAAGAUUUCAUGCGAGAUCCUUACAAAAUUGCAAUAUAGAGUUUCCAAAUCUAGAAUAUACGUGCCCUAGACUUCUGGUUGCCCUAAUUUUCAACUAUAAAAGAUGCACACACAAGAGAGAAAAGGGGGGGGGGGCUGUCAACAAAGAAAAAAACUGAAAAGAAACAAGAGAAAAAUAGAAUUCAAGAGCAAGAUUUAGGGCUGUAUUAGAGGAGAAAUUGUAGAGACAAUAAGGGAAAUCAAUCAUUCUUAUUUUUUUCUUGUUUUCUCGUUUACUCUUUAAUCAUAGGGAUAUAUUUAAUGGCUGAAACUCUUUUAUUUAUUUUUCUUUUACAAAACAUGAACUAAAUUUAUUAUGAUUGAGUGAUUAACAAUCUUGAUGGUUCAUUAAAUGAAUAUAUGUGUUGUUGUUGUUUGCUAUAGUACUUUGUUUUGAUAAUUCUUAUUUCUAUUUGUUAUUUUCCUUGACCACCCAUUUAAUGAUACCUAAGAAAGAGCCAAAAAAUGGUAUAUCUGAGUGGAACAUAGCAAAGCAAUACUUAGUUUUAGAUUUAGUUUCCUGAGUUGAGUUUAACCUGAUUUCAAAAGGGUCAUACUUGAUCUAAAAUUAGUGAUGAACUAGAUAUAUGGAUUCACCUUGUACGGUAAUUAGAAUAUGAACGUGUAAUGCUAUAUCUUAUGCUGGCAUAACAAUUGGUCAUAGUUAAGUUGUAUAACGAUAUAAGAUAUUCAAUAAGCGACAGCUAAGGAUACAUAAAGAUUUUGCCUAGUGCUGUAGUAGAUGUUGUAGCAACUGAACCAAACAUUAGAAAAAUAGUCAAAACCAUUAAGUGAGUUUAAUCACUCAACUACUCUAUUCCCAUUAUUUUUAUCUUUGUAUUUGACGUGAGAAUUUUAUUUAUUGCAUUUUUAUUUAUUAGCAUUUUAUUUUAAAUAGAUUCACUAGUUUAAUAAAUUGUCUUAAUUUAAUUUAUAACAAAAUUGCAUUGUUAAGAUUGUAAGAUUGUUGAGCAACUCAUAUAAUAUCAAUCCAUGUAAAGACGAUCUCGAAUGCUUAUCAUAUAUUACUUGUUGUGUAUACUUGCACAUUAAAACUAAUAGUAUUAGAAAAAGUACAGCAGUCUCAUGGCUAAGGCUUUGUUUGGCUUCAAACCUAUCGUUGCUCUAAAAUGGCAAUUUAAUUAUUAAUAGAAAAUUUAUGAAAGCUAAACAUCAAUAUAUAUAUAUAUAUAUAUAUGGGCUCUGUCUAUCAUGGCCCUUAGGCACUGUACCCUGUUUAUUCAUCUAGAUGAAAGAUAGUAAUAUCAUGUAGUUGUGAAUUGGCCACGUGGCACACAAAGCAAACUGGGAUCACAAGUCAUUAGAUAGAAAUUGUUAAUGUAGCAAUUAUUUUAUCCAAGGAAGCAAGAAAAUGUUGGUAUAUAUAACAAUAAAUUAGUUAGGUACAAUAGAAAUUUGUCUAAGCAAAUAGUUAGUUAAGAAUAGUAUGAUGUACAUUAUUUAAAAUUUUGUAGUUGCAAUUGUAAUAAAAUGUAGGUGACUGUAGCAGUAUAUACUAUAUAAUCAAAUGGCUAAAAGUGAUGUUAAUGAAAGUAAAAAUGAUCUAAGAAUGAAAGGAUAUAAAGUAGUUGUAGGAAUUUAGGAGUGUUUAGGAUGCAAUUCGAACUGCUGAAUCCGCCUCCUCCAUAAAAAUUCGAGCAAAAAAGUAAGAAAAAAACCAAGAAAUCACCAAAAUCCGAACCACCACAUGCAGCAAUGCCACUGCCUUUGCCAAGGCCUUUCCUUGAUCAAGACUUCCAUCAAAGUUAAAAAGAGCCGUCAAUCGAAUCCCGAGGAAAAUUGUCAUCGAUUACCCGAAAAAAACUGAAAGAAAUUGACCAUAAUAACCACAAACGCUGUCACUUCCGUUCAUCGUUGUUCGCCAUGCAUUGAUUAACAGCAUCACCAUUAAUCAACUCCUUUCUGCCACCACAGCCUUUCUAACUAUUCACCACCGUUGAUCGACGUAUAGAUAACCGAAAUCGAACACAAAAACCACCACUGCUUGCCUCAAAUUUCUGACCAAACCACCAACUUUAAGAAAAACCUCCACCAGCAUCACACUCACCAUCGUCAAAUCCUCCAUAAUUGCACUGCAUUAAGAUCACUCCCCGACAGCAGUCAAAAGCAAUUGCAGUCACGGUUUAUAGAACCUUAAGACUAAUAACGAAGGCACAACAUAUGGGGGUGGUAGCCUAAUUUUACAUUACUAUUCAUUCUCAAAACCCUAAAUGUUCGAUUAGACUCAAUAUAUUCUAACAGCUUGCCAGCAAGCCGACAAAUAAAAGGGGUACGGUGCCCCUUAAGCAUUGUAGCUAGAUCCAUAUAUAUGUUAGGUAAAAGUUUUUAAUUCUCAUUUUAAGGUAUAUUUAUCAAUAAAUAAUUGUGAAAAAUUACCAGCUUAAAAGCUAAAGUGACAAAGUUCUUGAAACUGAGUUUUCAAAAUAAUAGCUAAAUCAAAUACAGAGCAAGUACGAUUGCGAUUUGCAUGUGUCAGUGGGGAUAUGACCUGUAACCCUAGCUAAAGCCUAAAGCUGGUUGUUUGGAUUUUUAUUUUUGAGUUAAAGCUGCUCUUUCACCAUUACUUCUUGUUCAAAAAUUUAUUAGUGAAGUAGACACGCAACUAAAGUGAAAUUGAGAAAUAAUGAGACAAUAUAAUCACCAAAGUCCUUCAUUUUAAACUCCCUAGCUAUUUGUGCCUUCAGUUCUUGGACUCGAUCUUUGUUGAGGCCUGCUAUCAAUAUAUAUCCAUGUAUAACAGCAGAAUGAUGAAAUCAUUAUCUUCAAGCCUUUUAUAAUAUGCACAAUGGUCUGAACUGAAUCUGUUAUAUCCAAGGCUCGUGAUGAAGGAAUCAAAUCUCUUAUACCAACACCUCGACGUCUGUUUGAGACCACAAAAAGAUUUAUUCAUCCUGCAAACCAAGUUCUCUCUAUCAUUUUCAGCAAAACCUUCUGGUUGGAGCAUGUAAAUUUCUUUUUCAAGUUCUCCAUGAAAAAACGUAGUUUUCACAUCUAACUACUUUAAAUGUGGGUCAAAUGUAGCACACAUCACCAAGACUGUUCUGACUAUUGUGAGUCGAACCACCGGAGAAAAUAUUUCAUUUAAGUCAAUACAUUCUUUAUGAGCAUAUCCUUUCACUACCAAUCUUGCACGAUAUCGUUCUACUUGGUCAUUGCUAUCAUGCUUGAUCUUAUAGACCCAUAUGUUACCCAUGGUUUUUCUUCCAUGUGGUAUGGUACAAGUUUUUAUGUUUAGUUCUUGUAUAGAGCCUCAAUUUCUUCCUACAUUACUGUCAUCCACAAAACAAUAUCUGAAUUGUUUAAAGAUUCAUGGAAAGUUGAUGGCUCUCUAUCCUCUGUUAGAAGACAGUAUGCAACAUUGAUCUCUGUGACAUUAUUGGUUAAUUUUAAACUCAAUUACUAUUGAUGCCAAUGUGAAAGUGUACUUAACAAGUAAUAAAGUGAUGAGUAUUUAAGAUCGUCUCCGCAGGGAUUGAUGUUACUAGAAAUGCUACAACAAUCACAAUAGCACUAUCUAUCUUUAUUUCAAGAUGAACAAAUUUAAUGUUGUUUACUACCAAAAUUAACAAUCGUAAGGAAAUAAAACAAAUAAUUGCAGUAGUAAGAUAAACUAAGUAAAUCACGUAAAAGAAUCAAUUGAGAUGAGGUAAUUGAAUGAUCAAACUCUCUUCAUGGGCUGACUGCUUUUCAUCAUAUUAACACCAGUUGUUACAGUAAUUCCUAUAGCACUGGACAUAAUUAUUUUGCAUCCUUAGCUGUCACGUGUUGGAUUUCUCAUGCCUUUAAGUAUCCUAACAAUGACCAAUUGUUAUUCUACAUGAGGCAUGGCAUUGUGAACAUCCAUUUUAUCAACCCUAUAAAGUGAGUGUCUAUAUCUAGUUCUUCACAAAUCUUAAUUUCAAGUAUAGUCCUUAUGGGAUUCAAGCUAAACUUAAUUCAGGAAACUCAAAUUAAGAUCAAGUUUUACUCUAAUAAUAUCUACUAAGACAAGCCCUUUUGCGGCUCUAUCUUAACUUGAACCAUUAAAUUGGUAGUCAGUCGAGAUAACAGUUAUAAUAAUAGCUACUAGAGUAAAAUGUUAUAGCAAUCAUACAGCAAGACAUAAGAACAGACAAAAACCUAUUCAGAUUAUUUGUCACUCAACUACAAGCAAGUUUAGUUCAUACUUUGAAAUAAAGAAACAAACAAUGAACUAAUGGUCACGAAAUACAUUAGUUCAAUCAAAGAGUAGAGAAAAGAACAAGUAAAGGAUGAUGAAGACUGAAUUUAGAUAACUCUACUGGAUUCUUCACUGCUGCGGACUCAGUUCCUUUGAAUUAUGAUAGUUAUCCCCUUUUCCUCUUGAUUUUUCUCAAUGUUAAUUGAUUGCCGCUGUUUUAUAUGAUGUGCGCCUCUUUUUUAUAACUGAAAUAUAGGGUAAGCAAAAACCUAGGGCGCGCAUGAGUCAAAUUAUGAAACCUUAGAUCGCGAUCCUGUAGAUUUCCUAUGCUAAGUUUCCCUAUUAUUGUUCUAGAAUUGCUAUAGCAAUGGCUGCUUUAGCAACAACUACAGCACUGCAAUGCUCCAGAUUUGGUUUCACUUCUUUUGUGGCCAUAAUCUUUAUCUUUUGUGCCAGCCUAUUGCUUCCGUAUUCUUUCCCUGAAUCAUAAGCUUCUAGAAACCUACGAUUUUGCACACAAUUUGAUCACAAAUUAAUCUAAAUCAAGUAGAACUUAUUAAGACUAAAAUAAAAUGAAUGUUUAUGCAAAAUGUAACAAAAAUACAAUAAAAACACAUCAUUUGCUCUCUAAGUGAUCUUGUUUUUAGUCUAGAAUUGCCGUAGUAACUCUCAUUUCAUAGAGUUAUCAGGCAUAAUCCGAGUACCACAUUGACAGUCGUCUCUCACUAGUUGACCGACGAACUUCUGGAGCCUCGAACUUGACUAGUUCUUGUUCUUCAUGCUCUGGAACUACUUCAGAAGAAUCUGAAUCUUCUGGAUUAUUUUCCACAUAUAUUGGCACAUUUUCUAUCUUGUAUUUUACAAUGUUAUCAUCCUCAUCUCUCCUUUACAGUUGAUCUUCUAUAAAGAUAACAUCUCUACUGAUGAUGAUCUUGUGGGCAAUGGGGUCUCGCAGACAAUGCCUCUUCACUCCAUCAGCAUAUCCCAAAAAGAUACAUUUUCUAGAUUUUGGAUCCAGCUUUGCUCUUUCAUGGGCAUUGUGCAUCACGUAAACAGAAGAUCCAACUGCAUAUAGGUGAGAGUAAUCUACUCGCUUUCCAGUCCACAUCUCUAUAAGAUUUUUCAACCCAAUUUUCAUAAAUGGCACGCCAAACUGUAUGUAAGUGAGAGUAAGUAGUUUUGUAAGCCAUAAUACGCCUGACAGCUCGUCAAACCAUGCCCUCUUCAUGUUUCUCAAUCGCGUGUUUAGGUGCUUUUUAAAGGUUUUGUCACUACCUUAAGCUACCCGUUUUCUCUUGGAUAAGUAGGGGAGCAAAACCUUAAUUUUAUGAUCAGCUUUUUACAAAACUCUUUGAAAUUGUGAUUAUUGAACUGUUUACCAUUAUCUAUUAUAAGCACAUGAGGGAUUCCAUAUCUGCAUACAACAAUCUUCCAAAUGAAGUUGGGUGUCUUCUUUUCUGUGAUCUUACUGAGAGGUUUGACCUCACUCCACUAAGUGAAAUAGUCAAUUACCACAAUGGUAUGAGCAACAGCUCCUUAUCCUUUUAGUAAUAACCUAAUCAGAUUGAUCUCUUAUUGUGUAAAUAGCCAUGAUGAGGACAUUGUAGCUUUUUUUACAUUUGUGCUACAUAACAUGUGAAGAUCUGACAGUUUUUAUAAUGCCCAAUCUUCUCUUGUACAUCCAUGUGCAUUGUCAGCCAAAAAUACCCUUACCUUAAAAAGCCUUCAAUGCUAAAGACCUCACCCCUGAGUGAUUUGCAUAGAUCCCUUCAUGAGUCUCUCUCAACACGUAUCUACUUCAUUAUUAUUCGAGCAUCGGAAGAAAGACAAUUAUAUUUUCGUUUGUACAACACCCCAUCAAUCAAUGUAUACCGGGCUGCUUGGCAUUGAGCUUUCUUCUCAUGUCUUAUCUAUAAGAAAUGUCCCGUCUUGAAUGCACAAGAUUAUUGGAUCCAUCUAUGAGCCAUCUUUAUCUAUCUUCAUCACAUCUGAUUCCUAUUUAAUGCUUGGAGAGGUUUUAACUUCCGUCUUAACUGACUAAGGCAUUCUCGUGUCUGAUGUGGUAGUUAUUUUGGCUCAGAUAUCUACUUGGUAAUUUUUUGUGCUUGAAAUCUACUUUAUGUUAAUAAGCUCGAAUUUCUUCAUUAUUUGCCUGGUCUUCCUCAAGUACGACUAAGAGCAUCUCCAAAAGGCUCUAUAAAUUUUACUCUUCAAAUAUUCAUUUGCUUACCUAUGUGACAAAUAGAUGAGUGAAAAAAAAAAUUGUUCUCCAAAAGACUCUUCAAAUAAAAACGAAUUAAAAUUAUUUUAAUUAAAUAACUAUUUUUUUAAAGGAAAAGUCAAUAGUAAUUAAAGCACAUUUCUCUUUUUCUUCAACAAAAAGUAAUAAAAUAUAAAUUGAAGAGUGAGAAAGUAACUCUUCAAAUUUGAAGAGAGAGUAUCAUUUCUUAUUUGAAAAAUCUUAAUUGGAGUAUAUUUUGGAGCCUUAAAUGUUGAUGUAGCUCUUCAAAUAAGUAAUAAAAUCUUAUUUGAAGAAUCUUUUGAUGAUGCUCUAAUAACUUUAUGAAAUUAGAGUUAUCAUGACAUUUUUAGACUUAAAUCAAUAUUAUUUAAAGAGUAAAUGACAUGUUUUUAUUGCAUUUCAGCUAUAUUUUGCAUGAACAUCCAUUUUAGUUUAUUUUUAAUAAAUUGAAUUAUUUUAAAAUAAUUUGUACUUCGGUUACAUGCAUAAUUAUAGAUGAUCGAAAGCUCAAGUUUUAGGAAAAGAAUGUUGUUGCAACAAACUUGCAGAGACAAUAAAAGAACUUGAAUACAAAGGAAUUGAAACAAAUUUGGAACAAUGCAGAUGUUGUAGUCGUUGUUAUAGCAAUUCUGGGUCAAUGAUAGAUUGGAUUGGCACGCAUCAACUAAAAGAUUGCGAUCUAAAGUUUCCAAAAAUGGAGGAUACACACCAUAUUCUUUCGGUUGCCCUAAUUAUAAGUUAUAAAAGGAGUACGCUUGCAAUGGAAAAAAGGAGCCAUCAAUCAAGGAGAAAAUUUGCAAAAAAAACAACUUGAGAACAAAAAUCAUGAGAUAGAUUAAAAGCUGAAACAAAGGAGAAAUCACAUAAAUCAAUUAGAAAUCAAUUCUUUUUCUUAUUUUCUUGUUUACUAUUUAUUUAUAGGGAUGUAUUUGAUAGUUGAACCAAUGUUAUUUACUGUUUUAUCUUAAAUUAUGAAUUGAAUUUGAUUGUGCUUGAGUGAUAAAUGGUCUUAAUGGAUGUUUGACUGACAUAUGCGUGUUGCUCUGUGUUUGCUACAUCAUUUUAUCUUGAUUGUAUUUAUUUUAAUUUUCUAUUUCAACUGACCACCCAUUUAGUGGAUACUAGUUACGAAAGAGCUUAAAAAAAGUCUGACUUAAUGGAUUUUAUUAAGACAACACUUGGUUUUAGAUUAUGUUUUCCAAGUUGAGUGAAUCUCAAUUUGAUUGGGGUCAUGCUUGAUAUGAAAUUAGUGAUGAACUAGACAUAAAGAUUCACCUUAUAGGGUAAAUGGAACCUAGAUUAUUUAAUGUUAUAUUUAAUAUUAGCGUAACAAUUGGUCACUGUUAGGUUGCAUUAGAUAUAAGAUAUCCAACAGGCAACAAGUGAUGAUGCAUGAGGGAUUCUACCCAGUGUUGUAGUGGAUGCUGUAGCAAUAGUACUAUAAUUGAAAAAUAGUCAAUGCCAUUAAGUGAGUUUGUUCACUCAACUACUCUAUUUCUAUUGGUUACAUUCUUGUGUUUGAUGUGGGAAUUUUCUUUAUUGCAUUUUCUUUAUUGUAUUUUUUUAAUUAGUGUAUUAGUUUUAUAAAUUAUCUUAUUUUAAUUUAGAACAAAACUGCACUAUUAAGGUUGCUAUAGUAAAUCUGAUAACAUCAAUUCCUAUGGAGACGAUCUGAAUACUCAUCAAUAUAUUACUUGUUGCGUAUACUUGCACAUUGACACCCAUAGUAUUAGAGAUUUUCAUACCAACAACUUUAUAUUCUCGUCCUUGGCUUGGAAGUUCUCAUUCAAAUGAUUGGUGAUGAGCUGGGAAUUUAUUUGAAUCCUCACUCUAUUUGCUCGCACAACUUAAGUUAACUUCAAUCUUACUAUGAAGGCUUUAUACUCCACCUAAUUAUUAGUUUUGUUAAAUUUAAACCUUAAGGCAUAUGAAACCUCUUCUCCUCCAGGCUUCUAAAAAUCACUCCUGCCCAUACUCUUUAGUCAUUAGAAGAACCAUCCACAGUGAUUGGCCAGAUCCUGUCUGCACUUCUGCUUGAAAAAAAUUGUGCAUUAUUGACCUCCACAUCUGGUUCUGUGAACUCGACUACAAACUCUGCUAGUGCCUAUGCUUUGAUCGUUGCUUGUGACCUAUAACUUAUUUAAACUCACUCAAUUCCACCGAUCAUUUCACAAAGUGCCUGGAAGCUUUGGGUUUAUGUAAUAUUUGAUGAAAGGUCAAUUCAUCAUUAUAAUAACUAGAUACACCUAAAAGUAUGGCUUAAGUUUGCAAGCGGCUAUGAUUAGCGCUGGGGCCCAUUUUUCCCUCUUUAUAUGCAUGUUUCUACAGUAAAAUAGAGUUUUCCUAAUGUAAUACACUGGGUGUUGGAUUCUUAUUUCCUCUCUUACCAAAACUGAACUUGUGGACACUGCUAAGCACAAAUACAAUGUAUCACUUUCUAGUUGUGUUGACAGCAAUGGGGCCUUGAGGCGACACUUCUUUAACUGAUGAAAUGCCUUCUUGUACUCUUGUGUCCUUUCGGUCUCAUUUCCUUUCCUCAUUACAUAAAAUAAGACGUGGCACUUAUAUGUUGCCCUAAACAUGAAUCGAUUUAGUGCUGCAAGUUUUCUCAUAAGGCUUUCUAUGUCCUUAAGUGUUCGAAUAGACUUCAUCUCUACACCACACGAAUUUUCUUGGGAUUUACCUCGAUCCAUUAUGACUUUCCAUGUGCCCUAAAACUUUCCAAAGCCAACUUCAAAUACACACUUCUCAUGGGUGAGCUUUAUUUUAUAUUUCGUUAAUAGCCCAAAGGUCUCUUCCAAAUGCAUUGUAUGCUCAAUCGGGUUUUUAAACUUGGUGAUCAUAUCAUCUAUGUACGCCUAUAUAGUGCACUCGAUAAGUGGCUUGAAUGUUUUAUUUACCAGCCUCUGGUAUGUUGCUGCAACAUUCUCAAGACCAAAAGGCAUUACCAUGUAACAAAACAAUCCCUAGUUAAUAAUAAAUGAAGUUUAUUCUUCGUCCUACUCAAACAUGAGGAUUUGGUUAUAGCCUACGAGAGUGUUCAUAAAGCUAAGAAAGCUAUGACUCACGGUAGAGUCUACUAUGUUAACAUGAAUAUAUUAAUAAUAUUGAUUUUGAUGAUAACAAAUUUUAAAUGGUUUUUGAUAAAAAUGUUGGAGUUAUUCCUUAAUAAACGAAAGCCUUAACAAUCAUUCCAUUCUUAUUCAUAAAAGAUGGACUUUCAACUUAGAAAAAGAUUCUCUGCAAAAUCUGGUUUAAAAUGUGAUUCUGGAAAUAAACGGUGAACCGUUUCCUUUUAAACGGUUAACCGAUUAGUACAAGAGAACAACAUAUUGCUUAAGCUCAAACCGUUUAUGAAAAAUGGAAAACACAACCGGUUAAGACUAAAUUAUUUUGCAGGUUACUGGAAACAAACAGCGAACCGUUUAUUACAAACGGUCAACCGAUAAUAUCCAGAGAAGUCAUUUCAUGAAAAUCCUUAACCGUUUACUUUAAACGGAUAACUGAUGUUCAUCUUGCAGGUCUCUGGAAUUUAACGGCGAGAGGGUAACCCUUAACGGCACACCGUUUAUUUGAAUUUGGCCCAACGGUAACUUUUGACCAACCUAAACGGUUAACCGUUAAUGGUUAACGGCGAACCGUUUUCGGACUGACAGUUUGUAACGGCUAGUUUUUCAGCUUCAAAUAUAAAUAAGCUCAUUCAAAUUCAAAGAAGAUUGAUCACAAUACGACUAUUGAGCUUAUACUUGAGAGUACAAUUUUCAUUGAGCUUUAAAAUACAUUCUUGCUUUAUCUAUUCACAUAUUGGGUAUUAUUUUGUAAUCUUAAAUACUGUGAGAGGCAAAACUAGUUUAUAAUCUAUUAUCUUUGAGUGAUUUUAAGUGUUGGGAUGCACUUGGGUUAAGAGAUUAGAAUAAUCUCUUGUUGUAAAGGUUAUUGACACCUUGGAAGUCAAAUGUAAGCAUUUGAAGCCUUGGAGGCUUGCUUAGUGGAAUCCUCAAGCUCGGAAAGCUUGGAGGCGUGGACGUAGGCAAGGUUGGCCGAACCACGUAAAAAUCUCAGUGUUUGAAUCUCUCUUCCUUUAUCCUUUUUGUUGUGGUUAACUCAUUUGUUAUUGCUUUGAAUUUGUUUCGUAUUUGCAUUGAGAUUUUAAAUUAUAAAUUGAAUAAUUUUUUAGAAUUCUAAUUCACCCCCCCCCCUCUUGGGUUGCAUAACUAGUAUUUCAUACUAGCUGGUCAAUUUUAAGAAGCCAUCUUUAGAGCAUGCCUUCUUGAGGUCUAUGAAGUAAAUGAAUAUUCUAAAUUUUCCAUUGGCUUACUUCAUUAGGACCACAUUGGAAAUCUAUUUAGGUUUGUUUACUUCCUCGAUGAAGCCUACUUUCAGCAGCUUUUCUACUUUAUUGUUUAUGGCAUCGUGUCUCAAUAAAUUAAAGUAACUUUUUUCUAUUUCAUGAGUCUUGCAUCUCUACUCAUCGCCAGCUUAUGACAAGCCAUCUUGGGAUCGAUUCCUGGCAUGUUUUUAUCCGAUAAGGCGAAUACAUCAGUAUAAACUCACAAGCAUUUGACCAACCUUGCUUUUUAAUUCAUUCCUUAAUUUUGAUCCAAUCUUGCAGUUUUCUUUGAUCACCCUACUUUAUUCUCACUAUUUUCACUUUUUCAAUAGGAUCAUGUCAUCUCUUCUUGGAGUCUCCUUGCAAAUCUAAGGAGAUUAUCUACUUGGUUUCUCUAACCGCGGUCGCAUAGCACCCUCUAGCAAUCUUCUAGUCACAUUUCACGACUCUUACCAUAUUAUUUACUCGGUACCUAAGUGCUAAGUAAUGAUUAGACAUUACUGUUAUGCUAAUCCUCAAGAAAGGCCUACUAAAAAUUAUUUAGUACGAAUUGUCUUCUAUAACCACCACGAAGUUAAGCAUCAUAAUCGUCUUGAAUAGUCUAAUACCUAUUGUUAUUGGUAGCUUCACAACCCCAUGAGACUCAGCCGUCUUUCACCAAAUCCCUUCAAGAAGGUACUGGUGUGCUCUAGUCUCAAGUAAGUAAUUCCCAUCUCGUCUAGGGUAGAUUUAAAGAUAUCCACUAAGCUUUCUGAAUCCACAUGUAUUCUAUUAAACUCCUUGCUCGCAACGUUGCCUUUUAUCACCAGGGCAUCCUCAUGUGAGUACAAUACUCUCUUCUCCUUGUCUUAUGUCCACAUAAUUAGGACUUGAUUGGUUUUUGCUCACUUUGGUGCUGGCAUGUUGAAGAGCACAUCACGGUUGAUCAUUGCAUAUCUUUUGUAAGUUUUGUGAGCUUUGUUUGAAUCUUCGGCUAAUGUUGGGCCUCUUACAAUGACUUUUUUCACUGGCUGCUCGUGAUCCAUAUCAUCAACAUUGCCUUUUGCAGUAAAUUGUUAAUCUGUAACAGGGUGAGAACCAUCAAUGAAUUCAUGAAGGUAAUAAUUUCUUACAGGAUCCUCUAUUUGGUUCUUAAAGUUAUACCACUGGAUUAUAAUGUGGUUGUGAGUGUCAUAGAUCUCAUAUAAUCUACUUCGAUCUCACAUGUUAGAAGCCUUUGUGAAUGGUGUAAGGGGAUAUAAUAAACCCCGAUCCUUAUUACAUAGUAUAGUAAUGAAAAUUUUAAGGGUGUGUACUACUUAUAGGCAAUGCUCUAGUCAAUCAUCUGCAUAGCUUUGUCCUUUGGGAAAUUACUCUGAGAAAGGGGAAGAGGUAGCAGGUGAUGCCUAUUGAAUCUGAUGUCUUUUGAAUGGUUGGUUGUUGAGUGUUAUGGUAAGGUUAUUUGAUGGUCGAUUGUGCUCUUCCCAGUGGCCUCGAUUUUGAAGGUGAUUUAGUAAAAGUCUUUCUUGAUGAAAUAGAGAAGGUUUAGGGUGACGCAUGUAGGAAUCUGCUCUCACGUCUAUUUCUUUACUCGUAUUUAGUUUUUCAUUACACUUAAUUGACCCACCCUUUUUCCAUGCUCUUUUUUCCUUGCACCUUAUCUCUUUCAGCUACUCGCUCCUCAUUCUUGCGACAUUUUUCCUUUCAAUCUCUAUGUCUCUCUUUGCUUACUCGUAAGCUGCAGAAUAAGAUUAGGUCACAGGGCUCCUCAAAUUAUACCACAAAUGCCCUAUCUUUAUUCCUUACUUCAAGCCCUUCAAGGCUUGAAGAUAGUUAAAGGCUUCAAGGUCGAGGAUCGCUCGAUGAUAGUGUUAGCCUAAAAGGGCUACACAUAAUGUAAUUUUGACGAUAACAAACAUGUGUCAUAAGUGAUUUAAUAAAUAUUGUAUUUCACAAGUUCUUGAAGGAUAAUGUUUAUACAAGUGAAUCAAAUGAAAUUAAGUUCAAGACACUCAACGGACAACAGCACAAGUUCUUGAAGGGUAAUGUUUAUACAAGUGAAUCAAAUGAAAUUAAGUUUAAGACACUCAAUGGACAACAACACAAUCAAGAAUAAAGUUUAGAGCUCAACGGACUCAUUAUUGCGAUAAUUCUUGUAAAGCCGGUAUAAUUUAAUAGAUGAAUGAUUUAGCAUUUGAGAAGUUCAAGAUUGUAUUUAAUAAAUUAUCAAUUUUCAUAAACCAAAGGUUUUAUAAUUAUAAGCUCAAGAUUUUAUUUAAUAAAUCAUCAUUUUUCAUAAACCAAAGGUUUUACAAUUAUAAGCCAAGUAUUUUAUGCAAUUAAGUUGUUUUUCAAGAUAUGAACUAAAAUGAAAAACUUCUACAAUCUUUGAUUUUAAUAAGUAUUGUUUUGAGUUCUGGAGUUGGACUUAUUUAUAAAUAUUUCAAACAAUUUGGGCCAUAUUAUAAUUUAUUAAAAUUUGAGGACCCGAAUGUAAUUCACAAAUAUGAAAUCCAAAAUUGGAUAGAGAGUGAGUGACUAACCGCUUGAGGGCUAGUGGCCAGCCGCUUAAGGAAAAUCUCAUAUUUUCAAGUUUUGGACUAAAGUGAAAGGUUUUGAGAACUUUGAAAAAUAUGGGUAUUAUACUAGAUUUUAAAAAGAACUUCUUUGGAAAAUAAUAAUUUAUUUCGGGCCAUAUCAUAAUUUCAGAAACGUUUUGGAAUGGACCUAUUUGUAAAUUUUUAUGACAUUUUGGGCUAUAGUAUAAUUAUAGAAAGUUUUGGACUAAAUUGUAAUUUUAGUGAACAUUGGUAUUGUAGCAAAAUUCAAAUUUAACGGUAAUAUCACUGGUACAAGCGGCUAGCUGGAUAAAUCAAUCGGUUAACUGCUUGGUUGCGGGAAUUUACCUGUAACAGCUAGUUUUUUUAGCUUUAACUAUAAAAACUCAACUCCAACUUUAUUUUAGAGACUCAAGCAAACAUAAACAAGUGCAAAUAACAUAUAUUGAGUUUCCAUUUCGCAAAUCAUAUAAAUGGAAUCAUUAUUAUGCUAUUAUUUGCGUAUCCACUCUUAAAGAGAGUUUCAUUAUUAUAAUUUUCAUUUCUCAUCAAAUUGUGAGUGUACAAGUGUGAGAAACACUUAGGGUGAAGAGAUUGAGAGAUAAUCUCUUGAUUGUAAAGGUCUAUUGACACCUUGGAAGUCAAUUGUAAAGAACUUGAAGCAUUUGGAGGCGUGGACGUAGACGGGAUUUACCGAACCACGUAAAAAUUAUUGUGUUUGCUCUCUCUUCUCUUACUCUUUUAUUAUUGUGCAUUAUUCAACUUAUUGUUUUUUAUUUGAUUAAGGCAAUAGAUUAAAUUGUUGUGUAAAUUGUUUAGUACAAAAUUUAAAAUCCCACUUCACCCCUCCUUUUGGGUUGCAUAACUUGCAUUUCAGAUACCUUUUGACAAAUUCUCUAAGGGUCUCAUCCUCACCCUAUUUGAUUUAUAUCAGCUCUAUCAUAUCAUCUUUUGGAGUUAGCCCUCCCUGGAAUUGAUCCGCAAAAUCUCUACACAUCUGCUUGAAGCUUUUUAUAUUAUCGCACGGCAUCCUUCGAUACCAAACUCGUACUUGCCUUUCCAAUAUUAGUGGAAAUGCUCUACAUCUCUGCAGCCAAUCAAGCCUUGCCCUCCAGUCAUGUCAUUGAAUCAUUUGAUGUGCACCAAAAGAUCACUUUUCCCAGAGUAUUUGAGAACAGGAAAGCGGAAAUCUUGUGUGUAUAAUUUUCAUUGAUAGCAAGGAUUUGUUGUCUAGCAUGAUUCUCCAACUUAGAGCCCUUCCCCGAUCUUGCAUCUCCUCAAUGACUUAUGGUAGCCUUUGCACCUCACCUUCCAAUUCCCUUGCUCGAUUAGGAUUUUGCUCAACUACUUGUUCACGUUCUUGUUCAACAUCUCGCAAAUGCUGACAUAACUCUCUUUCUUCCAUGUUUACUUCCGCGUUUGCAUUUACUAGGCAUGUGUGAAUGUCAAGUACGAUGAUUGCAUAUACUCACCAUGAGGUAUGUGUGAAUGUCAAGAAUCAUUAUUAUAACAUUUGCAUUUAUUGGAAGAAAUCAUGACCAUUAUGGGUUACAUAAUUUGGAAGAUGACAAGUUCGUGAUUUAUGAUGAUUUCUUCAGAAGAAGAUGGAUCCACAACUUAUGAUGAUUUUGUACCAUGGUUCAAAAGAUGAUGGAUCCAUCACGUACGUGAAAUAUAAGUGUGCAACCCAAGAGGGAGCGUGAAUUGGAAUUUUAAAAAAUAUCCUAGCAAAUCCACACACCAAGCAAUCUAAUGUCUUAAUAAAAAUUGAAAGCAAUAAGUUCAAUAAAAGCACAAUAACUAAUGAGUAAGGGAGAAGAGAAACAAACACAUAAAUUUUUACGUGGUUCGGUAAUCCCCGCCUACAUCCACGUCUCCAAGCGAUCCAAGCUUGAGGAUUUCAUUAUUCAAACCUUUCCAAGGCUUCAACCAUUUACAAUUGACUUCAAGGUGUCAAUGAACCUUUACAACAAAGAGAUUAUCUCCCAAUCUUUUCACUCAAGUAUCUCACACACUCAAACUCUUACAAUUAAGAUGAAGAAAUGAAAGUUACAAUAAAACUUACUCAAAGAGUAGAUAUUCAAAAAUGAAGAACAAGAAAUGAUUUAAUGUUUUGUGAUUUGCAAAUUGAAAGCUCAAGAUAUCUCAUUUGCUUUUUGUUUAUGCUUGUUGGAGAGCUUGAAAAUGAGUUAGAUUUGAGUUUUUAUAGUUUAAGCUCAAAAACUAGCCGUUAUGCACAUUUUGGUCGUAAUCGCCUUGCCGUUUAGGAAUUCGGCAUGCUGCUUUUAUGUUACCGUUAAGGCAAAAAUUUGAAUUUCAGAAUAUCCAGCAUGCCAUUUUUCAUAUCUGAUAAGUCGCUUUUGAAAUCCGGAUUGCCACUUGUGAAAUCCAGAUAGCCGUUUAUGCUCCAGAAGCUUACUGCUCAAAAUUCAGUUUGCCGUUUAACAUAUCCGGUAAGCCGCUUGCUACACUGACUGCUACAGUGAACUAUUUUUUAAAAUUAUAGUUUGGCCCCAAAACUUUACAUAAUUGUAGUGUGACCCAAAACGUUAUGAAAACUUUCAAAUAUGUCCAAUUUCAGAAUUUUAAAAAAUGCUUUGUCAAUCCCAAAAAUUUCUGAAAUUAUGAUUUCACCCAAACUAUGUGAAAUUAUAGAAUGACCCAAAAUAUUUAAAUAGUUUCAAAUAGGUCCAAAUCCGAAAUUUAAAACCCUAUCAAAAAUUUAAAAAUACUUUCAUUUUAGUCCAAAAUACUUUAAUUCCAUAACAUCAUUUUCUUAUUAUAAAAGCACAAAUCAUAAAUCUUUGCUUAAUCAAUACAUGUGGUUUGUUAUCAUCAAAAUCAAUAUUUAUAAUCAUAUAGGCUAAUAAUCUCCCCCUUUUUUAUGAUGACAAAACACAUUAUAAAAAAUUUAAUCUAAUUAUGAAAAGCUCCCCCUUAAUCAAUGUAAGUUAAAAAAAAUUAAUUUGAAAAUUAUUUAACAAGACUCCCUCUGCAUACAUGCAUACUACCCCUGGAUACAUGCAUAUUGUCAUAACACUUUUUAUAACAACACAUAUUAAAUUAUUCUCCCCCUUCAUCAUAAAAAAGAAUAAAAGCUCCCUCUAUCAAUCAUCAAAGUCGCAAUGCAAACACGUUAGUUAAAAAAAAAUAUCCAUAAGCAUAAGGAAAUCCAUAUAAUCCAUAACAAAUAAUAAAAACAAAUCCAUAUCAUCCAAAACAAAUACAUAAUCCAAAAGCAAAAUAACCAUCCAUAGAGUUGAAGAUAAAAGAACAUAAUGUAGUAAAUGAAAUAUAGGUGUGUCCAAAUACAAGCAUAAGAAACUACUCAGGUGGUGAGGAUGGAGGUGGAAAUGGAUAUGGAAUGCCGAAGUGCUCAAAGAGAAGGCGUUGUCCAUGAAUGAGCUGCUGCUGCUGCUGAAACUCAGUCUGCCGCAAAGAGAGUGUCCGCACCUCAUCCAUAAGCUGUUGAAGAGUAACCUCUUCAGAGGUAGGAGGUUGUGGAGGUGAUGAAGUGGAUGCAGAGGCACCAGAAGCUAAAGUAAUCAUGGCAGGAUCUCGGCGUCUACGCUGCCCUCGAAAUGAGAGUGAGAAAAUGGGUAGCUGAUUGGCUGGAACCACAACAUUAAAUGGCCGAUCAUCACUUGGAGCAAGAAAGAUAAACUUGUUCUCAGUGUAUUUGACCCAAGUGCCAUUUUUUCACUCAAAGCCUAAGCCGAAAAUAACAUCAUCCCCAAUACCCUUAGACGGUCUACAUGAUGGUUCUAGAAUCGACACAUUAAAAAAUUUAAGGAUACGGGUAAUGAAGUGACCAUAUGGAAGGGAGAGGGUAAUCAAGGCAGGUAUGGUCAACAUGGUGCGGAUGAUGGUAUAGCCCAAGUUAACCGGACGACGUCUAAGAAUACAGUCAAUCAAAGCAACGUCCAUGUGAGAAACCUCAUCCAAAUGCCCUAAUCUAGGAAGUACGAUGGACUGAAUAAUGCAAAGCAAAAUGCGAGUUUGAAGACAAAGACACUGAGUGCGGAAAUAAAUGGUACAGUCUUCAACAGAAAGAUCAUUACGCCGAAAAAUAUUACGAACGGCGUCAAUAUGAACAUAACUAUCAAGUUUAGGAGAUUUCCUAGGCGAAUAGAUUUCUAGGCCAAAAUCGGAUGAUCCUAUAAUAGAGUUUAACAGAGAAACGUCAAAAUCAAUCAUAACUCCUCCAACAUUGGUGAUUACUCGAGUCUUGUUCCCCUCGAAAACUUCCAUAUUUGAGUAAAACAUUUUCACCAAGUCGGGAUACACAUUCUCCUCAAUCAAAAGUGCAUAAAUCCAACCAACAUCUUCCAACAAUUGAAAUAAAUUUCUAUGACUGAUAUUGAGAGUAUGCAUCACAUCCGGUAAAACAUAAAACGUAUUGAGUACCUCACGAGUUCUGAAGCUUUAUUGAAACCGUUUGAUCAAAUAUUUCUUGUUCUGAAAGUAAGUGGACUCAAAAUUGGAUUGAUUGGAGGUGCCCCUUGCUUCCCGUGACCGGUCAGUUUGUUGAACCGGUUCUUUGCCUUUUCUUCGAACCGGCCGUGAGUUUGACAUUGGGAUUUUGAUUGAUUUAAAGUUGAAAAAGACAAAGAGAGUGAAGAUGAUGAAGAUUGAGAGUGAUUUUGAGAAGCAAUUUGGAUAAAAAAGGCUUGAGAUUAAGAAAUUUAGAGAGAGAAAAAUUAGCUGAAAAACCUAGAUUAAAUUUGGGAUAUAGAGAUUUAGAUGUUGAAAAUGGAGUUUAAGGAUGAUUUUGAGUAAAUGAAGUGAUGGGGAAUGAUUUUCAUGACUCAAUUUGAUGCGAAAAAGGAAGAGGAUGAUGGAUUUUGGAGUGAGAUAGAGUGAGGAGCAAAUGGUUUUUAGAGAGAGAGAGAGAUCCGGUUGGCCAAAUGAGAGGGAGAAGAUGAACAGUUUAUAUAGCUCCCGAAUCCGGCUUGCCGGAUGCCUUUAACCAGAAAUCUGGUUAUGUUCCAGCAAGGUCUUCACACGAAUCCGGCUAACCGGAUAUCACUAACCGGUUAGCCGGUUAUGGGACAUAAAGCAAAUUCACGUAUCCGGCUUUCCAGUUUAUCUAACCAGUAGUUCGGUUUUGAGGCAGAGAGUUGCCUUUCGAAUUCGGUUUGCUGGAUUUACGAACCGGUUAGUCGGCUGUUUGGCAUAACCAUUCAAACCGUAACCGAUUUUCCGGAUUUGAAGAACCGGCUGUCCGGUUUUGAGGCAGAGAGGAGGCUUAGCAAAUCCAGUUUUCCGAAUUGAAAAUUCGAUUAUCCGAAUGUUGACCCGAGAGCAACCAAUGCUAAUCCGGCUUACCGGUUUGCUAAAUCCGGUUAUCUGGAAUUUGUCCCGAGAGAAAUCAAUAAGAAAACAUUUUUCCGGAUGAGAGGAAGUGGUAUACCGGUUUAGACUUGGAAAUCGUUUUGACUCUAAUUGAAUUUUGGCAAGCUCUUAUACUUGUAUUACACACACUAUUUUAUUUUUGGCUUUUAAAAUUGAUUAAUUGUAAAUCAUUUUGAGAUUUAAAACUUUUUAAUAAGUCAUUUAAUGCAUCAAACAUAAAAUCAUAAAAUUACAAGCAUAUCAAGCUAUAUAAUUCAUGAAGCAUAAAUCCAUAUAAUAACAAACAUAUCAAGCCAUGAAGUAAAACAUAAGUCAAGAUGCAACAUUCAUCAUUCCAAGCUCAUGUCUUAUCUUUAUAAAAUGCUCUUCGCUAAGAGGUUUUAUAAAGAUAUCCGCAACCUGAUUUUCAGUAUAAACACAUUUAAUUACAACAUCUCCGUUUUGAACAUGAUCUCUAAGGAAAUUAAGUCUAAUUUCUAUAUGCUUAGUCCUAGAAUGUUGAAUGGGAUUCUUAGAAAGAUUUAUAACACUAGUAUUGUCACACAAGAUAGGUAUUUGAUCAAGUUUAAUACCAUAGUCUCUAAGGGUUUGUUUCAUCCAAAGAAUUUGUGCACAACAACUACCUGCGGCAAUAUAUUAUGCCUCGUUGGUUGAAAGCGCAACCGAGUUUUGUUUCUUACUAAACCAAGAGACAAGAGAAUGGCCUAGGAAGUGACAUGUUCCACUAGUACUUUUUCUAUCAACCUUAUGUCCAGUAAAAUCGGCAUCUGAAUAACAAGUUAAGUCAAUAUGAGUUCCCCUAGAAUACCAAAGGCCAAGAUUAAUGGUGCCAAUCCAAUAUCAAAAAAUGCGUUUGACAUCAAGCAUGUGUGACUCUUUAGGACAAGAUUGAAAUCUAGCACACAAGCAUACACUAAACAUAAUAUCAGUCCUACUAGUAGUUAAGUAAAGUAAGGAUCCGAUCAUACCUCGAUAUGUCUUGAUAUCAACUUCUUUACCUUUCUCAUCUUUGUCCAGCUUGAUAGUAGUACUCAUUGGAGUGCUUUUUGCCGUUCCAUUAUCAUAGCCAAAUCUUUUGCGUAGAUCUUUCACGUACUUGGCUUGAUUUAUGAAAAUCCCUUCCUCGUUUUGUUUGAUUUGAAGUCCAAGGAAGUACUUCAACUCUCCCAUCAUACUCAUCUCAAAUUCUUUGCUCAUAUAUGAUGAAAAAUCUUUGCAUAAUAACUCAUUAGUAGAACAAAAAAUAAUAUCAUCAACAUAAAUUUGAACAAUAAAUAUAUCUUGGUUCUUAUGCUUAACAAAUAAAGUUGUGUCCGCUUUUCCCAUCGAAAAAUCGUUAUCCAAUAAGAAGUUUUUAAGCCUAUCAUACCAAGCUCUAGGUGCUUAUUUUAGACCAUACAAAACCUUAGAUAACUUAUACACAUGAUUUGAAAAUUUUUCAUUUUCAAAACCAGGAGGUUGUUUCAUAUAAACUUCCUCUAUAAUAUAACCAUUUAAGAAAGCACUAUUGACAUCCAUUUGAUAUAAAAUAAAAUCCUUAUGACAUGCAUAUGCUAACAACAUCCUAAUCGAUUCUAACCUUACUACAGGUGCAAAUGUUUCAUCAAAAUCAAUUCCUUAUUCUUGGUUGUAACCUUGAGCCACUAAUUUAGCUUUAUUUCUUACAACCACACCUGAUUCAUCCAUUUUGUUUCUAAAUACCCAUUUAGUACCUAUAAUAGAUUGAUGUUCUGGAUUAAGAACUAAUUCCCACAUAUUGUUUCUCUCAAAUUGAUUCAACUCCUCUUGCAUUGCCAUAAUCUAAGAUUCAUCAUUUUCUACAUCCACAAAAGAUUUUAGUUCAAUUUGAGAAAUAAAUGCAGCAUGCUCACAUGUGUUCCUAAGAGAUGAUCUAGUGGUAACACCUCGUGAGGGAUCUCCUAAAAUUACAUCCUUAGGGUGAAAGGAAACAUACCUCCACUCUUUGGGGAAUGUUUGAGAAAUACCUUCAUUUUGCUCUACAUUUGUUUCUUCAUGAUGUUCCUCUCGAAUUCCAUGUGGUGUGUCUUUUUUGUUGUCAUUUGAUGCUUCUUCUUAUUGUUCUUCUUCUGCAUUAUCAUCAACAAUGACUUUCUUCGUAGAUGAGGGGUUAGAUUCAUCAAAUGUAACAUGCAUAGAUUCUUCCACAACUAAAGUUUUUUUAUUAUAAACUCUAUAAGAUUUGCUUGAAUUUGAAUAACCAAGAAAAAUAUCAACAUCAGAUUUUGGAUCAAAUUUACUAAGAUUAUCUUUUGUGUUCAAAACAAAACAUUUGCAUCCAAAAACUUUAAAAUAGCCAAUGUUGGGUUUUCUAUCUUUCCAAAGCUUAUAUGGAGUUUUAUUAAGAUUAGGUCUAAUCAACACACGAUUCAAAACAUAACAAGCGGUAUUGACGGCUUCAGCCCAAAAAUACUUAGGCAAAGAAUUUUCAUUCAACGUAUUCCUAACCAUUUCUUGAAUAGACUUAUUCUUUCUCUCUACUACUUCAUUUUGUUGUGGAGUCCUAGGUGAUGAAAAUUGAUGUUCAAUGCUAAAGUCAUUACAAAAAAUUUCAAAUGCAUGAUUUUCAAAUUCUCCACCAUGAUCACUUUUAAUACAAGUAAUAGAAUAACCUUUUUCAUUUUGAACCUUUUUAUAGAAAAUUCGAAAUGCAUCAAUGGCAUCAUCCUUAUUAGCUAAGAACAAUACCCAUGUGUAUCUAGAAUAAUCAUCCACAAUUAUAAAUUAAUAAAAUUUGCCACUUAAACUAGCAUAUCUAGAAGGUCCAAACAAAUUUAUGUGAAGUAAUUGAAGUGGUUUUGAAGUAAAGACAUGAUUCUUGUUUUUUAAGGAAGUUUUGAUUUGUUUUCCAAAUUAGCAAGCUUCACAAAUUCUAUCUUUUUGAAAAUUGAUUUUUGGAAGACCUUUAAUGAAAUCAUUUUUCACGAUUUUUAAAAUCAAAUCUAUGCUUGCAUGACCUAAUCUUCUAUGCCACAACCAACCAUCAUCAUGCAAUACGGAGAAACAUUUAUCAUUUGUCGAUGCACAAUCUAUAUUAAUGGUAUAGACAUUAACACAUUUAUUUCCAACAAACAAAACUUUCCCAUCACAUGCAUUCUCAAUAACACAUUUUGAUUCAUCAAAGAUAACUCUCUAUCGCUUAUCACAUAAUUGACUAAUACUAAGCAAGUUGUGUUUCAAGUUUUAACCAAAUGAGAGUAGAUGAUACAUUACCAACAUUUCCAAUGCCAAUGAUUUUUCCUUUUGAAUUAUCUCCAAAUGAUACAUCUCCAUCAUUUUCGAUCUUAGUAAAACUUGAAAACUAAGAAUAAUUCCAUGUCAUGUGUCUUGAACAACCGUUGUCCAAGUACCACUUAUUCUUCUUCUUCUUCAAGCCCUGUAGAGAAAAUCUCAAGUUUUAGGUACCCAAACCUUUUUGGGUCCUUGAGAGUUAGCAAUGGUUCCUUUUGGAACCCAAACACAUUUCACACCAUAAUAUGCAUUUCUCUUCAUUGCACAUCUAUUUUUCAUAUGACCAUCUUGAUUACAAUAAUGACAUACAAUUUAAUUGUUAAUAGAUGUAUUCUUUACAAAAUAACUCUUGUAAAAUUUUUGUUUCAAAUUUGGUUUAUAACCAAUGCCACUUUUGUCAAAUGCACAUUUUUGUGAGUUUAGCAAAUUGUCCAACAUCUUUUGCCCAUUUGUGAAUUUUAUCACAAUUUCAUUUAGUUCAUUGCUCUUCUUUCUAAGCAUCUUAUUUUCAUUUUUCAAGUCAUUCAUGUGUGACUUCAAGUGCUCAUGUGGAGUGCUCGAAUUCUCAAAUAAUGCAAUGCUAUCAUGCAAUGUUUUAUUUUCUAAUUCUAGGCAUGUAAUCUUUGCACUAAAUGAUUCAUUUUCAUUUUGAAGUUCUAUCAUCUUCUUUUUAAGACAUAUAUUCUUUUUACCAAUUUUCAUCAGCUCAUCAUGCAAAUCCUUAAAGGCAUUAUGUAAUUCAUCAUAUUUAGGAAGAACACUUACCUCAUCAAGUUCAUUACAUGAUUCUUCCUCAAAGGUCAUGAGAGCUAAAUUUAUCAUUUCUUGUUGUUCAUCAUCAUCACUUGUUUCCUCAUCGCUAUCAUCCCACGUGGCUACUAUAGCUUUCUUCUUGAGUUUGUUGAGAAGAGGACAUUCCGGUCGUAUGUGUCCGGGCUUCUUGCAUUCAUAACAAGUGAUUGGUUCCUUCUUCUCCUUCUUAUUCUUGUAGCCUCUGAACUUUCUCUGCUCAUUAUUCUUUUUGUAAAAUUUUCUGAAUCUUCUAACCAACAUUACCAACUCCUCAUCAUCCAUUUCGUUUUCCUCAUUACUCUCACGUUUUGAAGCCUUGAGAGCAAUGCUUUUCUUCUUUUCCUUAUGCCCUUUUUCAGCUACCAAAUCUUCUUCAUAUGAAAUGAGAGAACCAAUUAAACCAUCAAUAGGGAAUACAUUUAAAUCUUUGGCUUCCUCAAUGGCAGUCCUUUUUGGUCUACAUUCCUUAGGUAGCGACCUAAUGAUUUUCUUAACUUUCUCGCUACUUGAAAAGGUCUUUCCUAAGGCUCCUAGAGUGUUUACUAUGUUCGUAAAUCUAGUAUACAUAGAGUACACAUUCUCAUUUUGUUCCAUUUGGAACAAUUCAUAUUGUCGAGUGUACCUACUUAUUUUAGAUUCUUUCACUUGGUUCGUGCCUUCAUAGACAACUUCAAGUUCGUGCCAAAUCUCAUUAGCACUUUCGCAACUAGACACUCUAUGAAACUCUUUCUUAUCUAGUGCACAAAACAAGGCAUUCAUGGCCUUGGAAUUUAGAGAAGCUUUUCUCUUUUCGAAUUCAUUCCAUUUCCGUGAAGGUUUUGGAAUAUCUUCCCCGACUUCAUUUUUAGUCAAAAGCAUGAAAGGACCAUCAUUAAUGAUUUCCUAAAUUUCAUAAUCUAAGGCUUGGUAAAUUCUCAUCCUAUUUUUCCAGUAUGGGUAAUCGUUUCCAUUAAAGUAAGGUGGUCUAGUGGUGGACUGUCCUUCCAUAAAUGUGGAAUCAUUUUGAGUAGCCAUUGAUCUUUAUCUCUAGACGGUUAAGUCUAAAUAAGAGCACCUCGCUCUGAUACUAAAUGAAAUAUAAGUGUGCAACCCAAGAGGGGGGGUGAAUUGGAAUUUUAAAAAAUAUCCUAGCAAAUCCACACACCAAACAAUCUAAUGUCUUAAUAAAAAUUGAAAGCAAUAAGUUCAAUAAAAGCACAAUAACUAAUGAGUAAGGGAGAAGAGAAACAAACACACGAAUUUUUACGUGGUUUGGUAAUCCCCGCCUACGUCCACACCUCCAAGCGAUCCAAGCUUGAGGAUUUCACUAUUCAAGCCUUUCCAAGGCUUCAACCGUUUACAAUUGACUUCAAGGUGUCAAUGAACCUUUAGAACAAAGAGAUUAUCUCCCAAUCUCUUCACUCAAGUGUGUCACACACUCAAACUCUUACAAUUAAGAUGAAGAAAUGAAAGUUACAAUAAAACUUACUCAAAGAGUAGAUAUUCAAAAAUGAAGAACAAGAAAUGAUUUAAUGUUUUGUGAUUUGCAAAUUGAAAGCUCAAGAUAUCUCAUUUGCUUUUUGUUUAUGCUUGUUGGAGAGCUUGAAAAUGAGUUAGAUUUGAGUUUUUAUAGUUUAAGCUCAAAAACUAGCCGUUAUGCACAUUUUGGUCGUAAUCGACUUGCCGUUUAGGAAUUCGGCAUGCUGCUUUUAUGUUACCGUUAAGGCAAAAAUUUGAAUUUCAUAAUAUCCAGCAUGCCAUUUUUCAUAUCUGAUAAGUCGCUUUUGAAAUCCGGAUUGCCACUUGUGAAAUCCAGAUAGUCGUUUAUGCUCCAGAAGCUUACUGCUCAAAAUUCAGUUUGCCGUUUAACAUAUCCGGUAAGCCGCUUGCUACACUGACUGCUACAGUGAACUAUUUUUCAAAAUUAUAGUUUGGCCCUAAAACUUUACAUAAUUGUAGUAUGACCCAAAAUAUUAUGAAAGCUUUCAAAUAGGUCCAAUUUCAGAAUUUUAAAAAAUGCUUUGUCAAUCCCAAAAAUUUCUGAAAUUAUGAUUUCACCCAAACUAUGUGAAAUUAUAUAAUGACCCAAAAUAUUUAAAUAGUUUCAAAUAAGUACAAAUCUGAAAUUUAAAACCCUAUCAAAGAUUGAAAAAUACUUUCAUUUUAGUCCAAAAUACUUUAAUUCCAUAACAUCAUUUUCUUAUUAUAAAAGCACAAUUCAUAAAUCUUUGCUUAAUCAAUACAUGUGGUUUGUUAUCAUCAAAAUCAAUAUUUAUAGCCAUAUAGGCUAACAGUACGAUGAUUUUUUAAUAUAUAUAAUUUUUGUUUAAAGAUAGAGAGGAGUGCAAAGCCUAUAUCAAUUCUCAACCAAUAUCUUAUAAAAAAUUAUUAAAUUAAUAGUAAUGGUGACUGCUGUACCGUAUAAAUUACCAACAACAUAAAUGAUGGAUUUCUUACUUUUAUGCAAUUUUGUAUAAACUAGGCCUUGGAGCCAUAUGAUACAAGAGUAGACCGGAUUGUUAUUCUUUUUUCAAUUGUUUCUUAAAUUCAUCGGUUGAAGAUGACUUUUUUUUCUCUUUCUUGUUGAAAUAUAUAUUCUUUGGACAGUGACUUUCAUUAUGAUCUAAAUUUUCAUUCGAGCAUAUACAUGUCCGUGUAAGUUGUCAACAUAAUGCAAUCAACUCCAUAUUGAUGAUGACUCCAUCAGGAAGAGAUAGAGGAAAAAGAAACCUUCAUAUUGUUGAAAAUUCAUGCAUGUGGCAUCCAAAUUCAAGAAGGCUUGCAAAAUUUCAAAAGGUUUCCAAACAAUUAAAGAAAAAAAAUGAAAAGUUGGCAAAUUUGUCAAAUUUUCCAAAUGGACACCAUUGACAUAUUUGCAUGGGUUAUGUGGAAUAAUGUUUGGGUUACAUGGAGUAGUACUAGCUUCAAGCCUAUAAAUAGAGAGCAUUUCUUCAUUCCAUUUCAUCCCAAAAUUUGUUAAGCUUAUAAGUUCCUAAGCUUUUGAGAAAAGUGAGAAAAGUGUGUCUGAGGAAUUUAUAUUUCCUGCAGAGUGUGAGAGUAUUGGGUAUAUUUGGGUUUUUGGGAAGUGAGAUUCAUUACUCAAAUAUUUGUACUCUAUUAAUUGUUAAAUAAACAAUUAUUCUUUCUUGCCUCUGUGGAUGUAGGUUUAAUUACCGAACUACGUUAAAUUUUGUGUCCUUUAUUUUCUGUAAUUAUUUGGUGCGCUUGAUUCCGUAUUCCGCGCACAACAAGUGGUAUCAAAACCGACGGUUCGUACUUGGGGGAAUACGAUACUGUUUCACAUAUACGGUAUUAUUUCCAUAUACAGUACUGUUCACAAAUACGGUGGAGACGACCAUUUGUACUUGGGAGACAGUCUAUUGUAAGUAGUGUGUAUUUUUGCAUGUCUAGGAAAGUUCUGUCAACAAGGCGAUAAGAGUUUAAGGAUUUUGGUUUUUAAUUGGGACCGAGUUCUCGUUGAGUCUCCUGAAAAAUUUUCCGGUGCAUUUAUUCACAUGAAAUUAACAUCAUAGAGACUGUUUUUCAAGUGGAAAUAGUUCGUUGAGAAAAUGGUAGAAGGUGAAACUUUCAGAAUUGGGGAGAGAUCUACCGAGACUAUUUUAGGAGACAUUUCAAGUGAGAGGUGAGAUUUGUCAAAUCGCUAUUCGGCACCUGUUAUAGGAGGCCAAAAGAUCAAUGUUGAAAAGGUUGAUGGAAAAAUUAACUUUGGCAUGUGGAGGCGCGAAGUUAUGGAUGCCCUUAUUCAAAUGGAUCUUGAUGUUGUUCUAAAAAAUAAAAGACACUUGUAUGAUGAAGAAAUUUGGGAUCGUAUGAACGAGAAAGCCUAUGGUCAGAUCAGAUCUUGUUUGACCAAGGUGGUGAAAUACUUGGUGAAAGAUGACGAGUGUGCGAUGACUUUGUAGCAUACAUUUGAGGAAAAGUACUUGCUGAAAAGUCCUGAAAAUCGCCUUCAUGUAGUGAGCUAAGUAUAUGGUUUUCGAAUGAAGACUGGGGUAUUAAUGCACGAGCAUGUCUCAAGAUUUGAAAAGUUACUUAUUAAUUUGAAGAAUCUUGAUGAAGAUAUUAAGGAUGAAGUUAAGGCUGUGAUUCUGUUACACUCACCACCAGAGAAAUAUAACCAUUUUGUGACUACUUUGAUAUAUGGGAAGAGUGUGAUUGUCUUCAAAGAUAUUUGAACAGCAUUGACUAGCUUGGAGAUUCAGAAUAAUGAUAAAAAAUCAUGAACGAGCAUCGUCUGAAGCUUUGGUAAGCAGAGAUUGGGUGACGGAGAAAAAUAAGAAGCGUGGUGGAAAGAAUUCUCAAUCUAAAUCGAGAAGCAGAAAUAUAGCUCGAGACAAGUGUGCCUUUUGUCAUGAAAAGGGUCAUUGGAGGAAAGAUUCUCCAAAGGCUCAAAAGAGAGAUGUGAAGAAACCAGCAGCAGCAAACAUGGCACGGAAAGAUGAGGACUUUGAUUAGUCACUAAGUAUUACUGCUGCAGCAUAAGUGGCUAGUUCGAGCAAGUGGAUACUUGAUACUGGAGCAACCUACCAUUUGUGUCUUAUUGAGGAAUGAUUUCGUAAUAUGGAAUCUGGUGCAGUUGUGAUGGGGAAUUAUCAACCUUAUCGCACAAUGGGGAUAGGAACAAUUCGGCUAAAAUUUUUUGAUGGAAUGAUCAGAGAACUCAAAGAGGUUAGAUUUGUUCCAUCUUUAAAGAAAAAUCUAAUUUCUAUGGGUGCUUUGGAAGCUAAAGGCUACAAGGUUACCAUUGAAGAUGGCACAAUGAAGUUUAUACAAAGGGCUAUGGUGAUUCUGCAAGGGGUUCGACGUCCAAAUUUGUACUAUUUGAAGGGAUGUAAAACUGGUGACGCAAAUGUUACUGAGGAGCACAGUGACACCACUAGGUUAUGGCAUGUACGAUUAGGACAUGCUGGAGAAAAGUCUUUGAAAACUCUGAUGAAGCAAAUACUCUUAAAAUGUACCAAAACCAGUAAAUUAAAUUUUUGUGAGCAUUGUGUAGUAUGCAAGAAAACACGGGUUAAGUUUAGUACAGCUAAUCACGAUACUCGUGAGAUCCUUAAAUAUGUUCACAGUGAUGUAUGUGGACCAACCAAGAUUGCAUCAAUUGGUGGAAGCCAUUAUUUUGUUACAUUUAUUGAUGAUUUCUCUAGACGUGUGUCGGUGUACACCAUACGAACAAAGAUAAGGUUCUAGAGAUUUUUGUGAAAUGGAUGAAAUUGGUAAAGACUCAAACUGGUAGAAAGAUCAAAGUAUUACGAUCUGAUAAUAGAUGUGAAUAUACUUCUGAUCUAUUUUUACAAGUAUGCCAGAACAAGGGUAUUAAAAGAUAUUUUAUGGUGAGACAUACUUUGCAACAGAACGGUGUGGCUGAGCGUAUGAAUCGUACUUUGCUGGAGAAAGUACGGUGUAUGUUAUCUAAUGCUGGUUUAGAUAAAAAGUUUUAGGUUGAAGCUGUGAGCUAUGCAAGUCACUUGAUAAAUCAUUACCUUCUACUGCAAUUGGUGGUAAAACUCCUAUGGAAAUGUGGUCUGAAAAGCAUGCACAAGACUAUGAUUCCCUUCAUAUAUUCGGGUGUUCAGCUUAUUAUCAUGUCAAAGAUGGUAAACUGGAUCCUCGUACUAGAAAAGCUAUCUUUGUGGGAUUCAAAGGUGGAGUAAAAAGUUUCAAGUUUUGGGAUCUCGAAGAUAAAAAGUUUGUGUAAUAGAGAUGUCACGUUUGAUGAAGCUUCAAUGAUGAAAGCUUCAAGUUCUCAGCAGGUGGAGAAUAUGACCACAGAGGUAUUGCAGCGGGUGGAAUUUGAUGCAAUUCCAUAUGUACCAGUUAGUUCUACAUCAGAGAAAGGUUCAACUAUAGAGGUGACAUGGAGAUUUGGAGGAGGAAAUCUAUAUGAUUCAGCCUUAUGGUUUCAAAGUUGCUAGAAAGGAGAAUCGUGUGGGCAGAUUGAGUAAAUCUUUAUAUGGAUUUAAACUAAUUCUUCGAAUGCGUUGAGUUUGGAUAAUUACGAACUACGAUUGGCUUGAUCCCAAAUUUUCGGUACGUGCAGUCGAAACAACUGUCAUUCUGGAUCAUUAUUGAAGGAUCACCUUAGGGAUGAUGGUUUGUUGGUAGUCGGCUCAGAUUUGAACAAAUUUUCGCCGAGGUGGAGAAUUGUUGAAAAGUCAUGCAUGUGGCAUCCAAAUUCAAGAAGGCAUGCAAAAUUUUAAAUUUGUCAAAUGGACACCAAAAUUUUAAAUUUGUCAAAUGGACACUAUUGACAUAUUUGCAUGGGUUAGGUGGAAUAAUGCUUGGGUUAGGUGGAAUAGUACUAGCUUAAGCCUAUAAAUAGAGAGCAUUUCUUCAUUUCAUUUCAUCCCAAAAUUUGUUAAGCUUAUAAGUUUCUAAGCUUUUGAGAGAAGUGAGAGAAGUGUGCUGGUGAAUUUAUAUUUCCUGCAGAGUGUGAGAGUAUUGGGUAUAUUUGGGUUUCUAGGAAGUGAGAUUCGUUACUUAAAUAUUUGUACUCUAUUAAUUGUUAAAUAAACAAUUAUUCUUUCUUGCCUCCAUGGAUGUAGGUUUAAUUACCGAACCACGUUAAAUUUUGUGUCCUUUAUUUUUUUGUAAUUAUUUAGUGCGCUUGAUUCUGCAUUCCGCGCACAACACAUAUUGAUGAUAAUGAGCAAAGAAAUGGAUCAUAAAUUCAUUAUUUAAUUUGAAAUACACACGGUACAUUAUUAGUAUUUGUCACACCAAACCCAUCUUUUACAUGAAGCAAUACGACACACCCAAAGGAAAAAUAUGUAAGAACAAAUAAAAUAAAUAGCGUUAAUUAGAGCUGCAUUACAUAUAAGGAUUGUCAUCAUAUCAUGCAUUUUAAUUAACGAUAAUGCUUCUUCUUCCCUUCCUUCGAAAGACCCAAGUAAUGAUCCAAACCCUUCUCAAAAUUACCAUAAAGAGGAAAUGAUAUGAGUGCUAAAAGAAUCACUGGAAAGAUAGCCGCAGCGUAGAGAGCGACAGUCCAUCUCUCCCCCAAACGAGCGAUGAGCAGAAUUGAAGUCGAGAAAGUAAUCAUGCUUGUUAAUACAGAGAGGGAGAGUAAAAAGAAGCCAAUCCUCAGCUUUUUUGGAAGGUGGUCAAGGAAAUCAAAUGACUCACGUGGCGAGGUGAGGAUAGAUAGAAACAUCACAGCGGAUGACAAAGAUAAGGACAACGAGGCAACGUCCGUUAUGGUAAAAAGGUAGAACAUUGGUGAAUCAAGGAAAUGGGGGAACCCCUUAUCAUUGUUACCUCCGGGCACCGUGUAGGCAGCUGCGAAGACGAAGGUCGCGAUGAGAAUUGACAGUGUGGAGCAUGACCCAGAGGUUUCUGUGAUCCAGUCUUGUGCUUUCUUAAGUUGAUCUUCAUGUGUUCGAUCGAAGAGGUCCUUUGCAGUCAUUCUCUUUUUUGCAUCACGGUGCAUGGCAUAAUGGCUAGGCGCUAUGUCUUUUACACACUGCAUACACACACACACAUAUAUAAUGCAUGGAGUCAAUCAGAAAAUAUAAUAUUAGAGAAUGCUUUUAUUUAUAUAAACACAAUGAAUCAAUUAAAUGUGCUUAGAGGACAAAAUUAAAUAUUAUCAAAGGGCUUACCUCGAACCACUGUAACUCCUCCUGAAAUUGGUAAACAGGACCAGGGCGGAUUCCGUGCUCGUAAUGUUUCAUGUCUGCAACAUGGUGCAAUAUUGUGUAGCCUUUGUCGUCAAUUCUUGUAGCCCAUUUCAGCACAUACAGUGGCAUUUUCUCCAUGAUGAACUGAAAGAUAUUAUGUUGACGACGCCUUAUGGCCACAUGUAAUAUGGUCUGCCCUUUCUGAUUCACGGUAGAUAACAUCGCUUGAGGAUUUUGUCGGAGUAUCUCCCCCAAAAUAUCUCUUAUUCCAUUACUAGCUGCAAAGAGUAAUGUCCUAUCCGUUGCUGGGGCGUUUCUAUCAAUUUCUUUCUCAGGGUGAUCUUUUAUCUUCAGCGCCUCGUCCAAAUCUUUAGCCCAAAAAUCAACAAGUUUUUUUCCCACGAGGUCAUCUCCUUUGCCGAAUCCCAAGGAAAUUGUGGUGGGAUUUGUGGAAGUUUCUUGUUCCCUUCUUUCAGGUUUUUUUUCUAGUUUAACCAGCAUUUUGACAAGUGCAAGCGCAUCUUCACGCGUUUUCAUUUUAUUCCAGGUUUCCCUAAUAAUCCCAGAUCCUGGUCAUGCAUGCAUCAACAUCUUAUUAAUUUACUAACAAAAUUACGCACGCAAGUACGGAAAAUCCAUUCGUCACAUGAAUUGAAGUUAUUUGACAUUUCCUUUGUACUUCUAAUGUAGAAGUAAUUAAUGAAAUUCUUAUUGGUCGAACCUGGAAUCGCUCGCCUCCAAAAACCAAUGCUCAUCAUCCGAAAUAAAAUUCCUGCAUUUUGAUUAACCUGAUCAGGCAAAAUUUUACAACUACAUGUAUAUAUUUAUGAUAUGAAAAAUUAAUGCUACCGUAUCGAAAAGGAAACCACUGAAACUCAAGUUAAAAGGAUCAUACACUAAUAUUAAAAGGCAUGAGGUAUAAAAUUUUUAAAAUAUCAGAAAAGUUCAGAUCAGGAAAGGAUCCUAAUCCUUAAAGAAGUGUGAGGGUUCAAAUUUAGAAAGACAUGUGGGUGUCAUUCAAUUGAGACUAAUGACUAAUCCUCGUGAGGGUUUUUAUUUAAGGAGACAUGUGGGUGUAUUGAGAUGGUAAAAUUUUUCGCCUUGAAAAAAAGAAUUCUAUGGUUCAAGCCCGGUGAGUAACAAAUUGGGUUGCGAUUCAGCUAAACAAUAAUUUAAAAGAAAAAAAAAAUUGGAAAGACCGUCAUUUUCGAAAAUAAAAUGCUGCAAUUUGUAGCUAUGGUCCUUAUCGUAAGAAUAUGAAUGAGUUCGUAGAAACUAAAGAAAAAGGGAAUUUCAUCUUUACCCCAACUAUAUGACGCAUUAUACACUUUCCCCAGCAAUAUUUUCAAAAUGGCCAUGUACUGUCGUUAAAAAGAGAACAUAUUAAAAGAAUUAUUUCACUAUUCUGUCCUUGAAACGGCAUAUUUUAUCCUAGAAAUUAAUGAAUAAAAUAAAAUCUAAAUAAUAUUAUUAAUAUUAAAUAUGUUAAAAUACAGAUUGCAACAAAUCUGCGGUCAAUUUCUUUUGUCAUUUUUUUUUAUGCUGACGUGCCAAUGGAAAAAUAAAAAUCAGACUUUCCAUUUGAUUGGAUAAAGAUCGAUUUACCCUCCAAAAGCUAAGAUUUUGUUAAAAAAACUACCGAUAGGCCGAUACAGAGAUAUUUUUCAAAGAUCAGGGAAGAGUGGGGGGUAGCUCAAAUAUUUUAGGGUAAUAAAUAGGUUUCUAAAUUAAAAUACAAAACAAGAGCAUGCAAUGAUAUUACCAAAGACUGCUCCGACUAAAUUUGCAUGCUGUUCUCAUUUUCGCUUGAAAAAACUAACCUCAGUAUUUUUUUUUUUUUUAUCUCAAAAUUUAGGCUUUGUUUGGCUUCUAAGCCAUAUAGAAUAAAAAUUUUAGUUAUUAAUAGAAAAUUUAUGGGUAUUUUGUAAAAUUAAACACCACUAGAUGUCAAGUAAAAAUUGAAGUAUAGUAUUUAUCGAUAAAUAAUUGUGAGAAGUAACCAACUUAAAAAGUCGAACUGACAAAGUGUUUACAGCUGAUUAAUUGUCAAAAAGCAAGUCAAAACAAAUACUAAAGCUAAAGCCUAAAGCUGUUUGUUCGGGCCUUGAUUCCUGAAUUUAUAGAGUUAUAAUGAUUAGUGAAACCACUAUAUCGUGAUCAUGAACAAAUUAAAGCUGCUCUUUCACCAUUACCUUGCCUCUUCUUUGCAUGGCCCUUGCGAUUGUCAAUCUUAUCAGUCUCCAAAUCUUCUUUGUAAUUGCAGUCGUCAUCCAGAUACGUUCGAAGACAUGAAAAUAUAACUGCGAUUGAAAAUAAAUAUUUUAAGUUCUAAUCAUGUAGCAAAGCAUUUUAAAAAAACAAAAAUUGGCUGUAUCCUCUUUAUGUGUGAAUACGAAUUAACUAAAUAUUUCUUCUAAUUAAUUUGGUUAUUGUUUCCAUUGUAACAGCAUGUACCCACGUCAACAGGACUAUAUAUAUCUCCUUAGAGAUUAAUUUAUAUGCGCAUAUAAUUAAUAUAUUAAAAAUGAUAAAGAAACUGAAGGCGGAUAGAAUGUUGACCGAAAUAACAGUAUCUCAGUCGGGGCGGGUGCACCAUUUUUUGCGUAUAUUUUUCAUGAGAACGCUGAUAUUAUAAAAAAGAUACUGACAAAAAAUAGAAUUUGUUACAUGCAAUCAAAUUUACAUUGUUAAUUGCUAAUACUGUAACCCUGCCCGAGUGCAUGUACACUUUAUACGUCGGUGUUUAGUCUCUUUUAUUGUUUUUGUUUCCAAGUAAUUAGUUUAUAUAUAAUAGACUUAAGUCAAUAUUGAUACUUAUUCAUUUUUAUAUUUUUCUGCUGUAAAUAUCUUUUGUAUAUGUAGAUUUUAGUUACAACUUUACACAUGAUACUAGGAAUUAGUUAGCACUUAUCCAGGAAUCAGUUGAACAAAUUCUUCUUUUGUAUUAUAAACACUCAGUGAACCCAAUGGGAAAUAGUGGAGACAAAUUUUCCAAACCUGGUGCCAAAUAAUACAUCCACGUACGAGGAUUGAAAAGAGACGCCUGAUUCUUCAUAUCGUCCGCACCCUUGAAAGCAGUUGGCAAUAGAGCUAGUAGUUCAAGACACGUAAAGCCAAUACGCUCGUCGGACUUUGGGGGCUUGCGGGACGUCGGGAGCUAGUCGGACGUCGGGGGCUUUGUACGUUUGUCUGCAAGGCUUGAGUCUUGGUCAAGCAACCAAAUAGCAGUCUCUGUACGUAUCCGAGAAAAUUAAUUAAUUAGUUAAGAAAAUAAUAAUAAAUUUUUUAACUCUUGAUCUAUAUAUGAAUGAAUGAAUUGGAGAUUUAAUUAUUAUAUAUUACCGAAGUGUUGGCCAAGGAUAGCCAUAUGAAGAAUGGUCUUAUCAUCUUUUCUAUGGAAAUGAUAAGGUAAGUCACCACGGAAAUGACAACAUAAGGCACCAACUUGCUCAGUCAACAUUUGCAACACUUUAGUUUUCCCGAGAGCAGCAGCCCUGUAAACUGGGGUUUCCCCCAAACGAUUUUUAGUCACUAGUAGAUUCCUGUACGCAUCACCAGCCUUUCUCGAAAAUUCAACCAAAAUUCUGGCCACGUCGAAAUCUUUGACGGCGGCUGCUUCGUGAAGACCAGUGUUUCCAAACUCAUCUAUUUGCUUCAAGGCUCCAAGUCUGGUCUCCGGUGUUAGCCUUUCGAGAAAUUUCUGGAUCAGCUGAGGGUUUUCCAUGGCCGCUGCAAUGUGAAUUGCGGAGUCUCCAUUGGCUGUCCUGUAGCUCAGCAAAUGUUCUUCACUUUGGCGAGCAAAGUACUUCAAGAAGCCUUCACAGUCUCUCUUGAAGACCAUUCCAACAGGAUCUCCCAUCGCCCUCUCUUUUCUCUCUCUCUUCCUCAACUUGUAUAAUUGUUGCACAGAACAAGCUAUACGUGGUCUUCGGUAUCCAUAUAAUUACUUCCAUCGCCAUCGCCUAUAUUUAUAAGGUAUGAUGCAUCCUUAUAGAAGCUCUAACCGAAGUUGGCAUAAUCACUUUGCUUAUAUUACUAAUAAAGCUCAAGCAUUAUAAGAAUAAAAUAAAGUUCUAAAGUGACAAAGCGCAAACUAUGAUAGAAGAACGAAGAUGUAAAAAGAGAAUCGAUUAUUGAUGAGAAGUUGUUCACAUCGUACGGUCUUGUUCCCUCAAAUUCAUAGACUGUGAAAUUACCAACAGAGCAAAAUUAAACAUAAAAUUAAAUUUUAAUAUAUGAGAUUAAAAAAAAAAAAGGAAAAGAAAACGCAUGCAAUUGAAAAUGGAAUUUCUUCUUGAUCUACGAGGCCAAUAAGCUCUGAAACUAAAUUAACUUCGUCUUUCGUACGUUUCGAAGAGGUACAAUAUAUGUCCGAAACGAAUAACUGUAACUGGAAUGCCAGCACCGGAAAAGUAUAAAAGUCAUGUUCUACGUCAUAAAAUUUGUUAAUCAAUGAUGUCAGCAAACAGAAUAGGACAUAUAAAUUAUUCCAACAACUUUAUUUUGUCUCCAUUGCAUUUUACGCGAAUCUGCUUUUGACUAACACUGUAACCUUUUGCUGCUUUACACAUUACUUCAUUAUGUCUCUUGUCGCGGAGUGCCAGCCAAUCAUUAAAAAAUAAAUAAAAAUGCAAAAAUAUUGGAAAGUUUUUAGGAACUUAUAAUAGAAUUAGGCCUUAUUUUGUAUAGAUGUGUUGUGAAAAUAAACUAUAGUUUUUUUUUUUAAUACAGGAAAAAUGCAAAGGUCCGCAAGGACGAACCUUAUUGUAGUAUACGGUACGGACAGUUUUUGAAUAACAUCUUUACAGAUUUUAUUGUAGCAGUUUUUUUAUAAAAUCAACUUCAUUUACAAACUAUAACAAUAACUAUUUAUUAAACACUUUAUUUCCGUAUUUUAAAAAUUACCACUGCCUUAUCACAAUAUCAAACAAAAUUUUGAUCUAAAUCCCAACUACAAUACCAAAUAAGGACUUAGAUAGCUUUUUUUUAUUCUAAAAUUUGAAUAGACAUGAAUUUAUUUAAAUUCUUAAUAGAACUAAACGUCUAAAUCUGAAUAAUUUUUUUUUUGAAUCUCUGAAAAUAAGUAUUAAUUUUUUUUAUCUUUAAAUUUUAAAACAUGUACUUUUAUAUUUGUAUCCUUAUUAAAUUUGAAUAUCAUAUAUAUAUAUAAAAGAACAUAAAUACCAUAAUAUUUCAACAUAUAUAAGAAAAACCACAUUCAAUUGAAUAUAUAAUGAUUUUAGAAUUAUAGUAUAUAAAACACCAUGAGUUUCAAAUUUUAUCAAAAGUUCUCAAUAAUAGUACAUAAUAUAAGAUUAUUAAUGGGUAAAUUUUAUUGGGUGGCUUUUGAAAUAGGCCCUGAGAAAUAAAUUACAAAGUAGUGAUAUUUUUUUAUGUUAGAUAUUAGUUGGUUUAUUCAGAUUUCUCUAUUCAGUAUAAAGCCAAAAAAGAGGUACUUUUAUUAAGUCAAAAUUAUUUAAAAAUCAUAUUAAAUUAUGAAAACAAACUCCUCUACUUAAUUAAUUAUGUUAAGUCACUUUAAGUUAUUAAGUAAAGAAACAAACACCCUCUUAAUGACUAAAUUAACCUAAAUUCAAUCAGUUUAAGUCAUUAAGUUUCUUUUUUUCUUAACUUAUUAAAAAUUUUCAAUCAUUAAGUUAUUAAGUUAUUAAAUCAAUUUUUUUAGCUUCUUACUUAAUCUAAAAAGUCUAAAUGAUAUCUAAAAGAUAUUAUUUAAAGUAUUUCUAUCUAAGUAAUUUAUUUUCGUCCUUACCUAAAUAAAACUUACUAAUUAGCAUUACAAUUCAUCUUGAAAACUUGUAAUUAUAUGGUAGUGUAUUUUUAUUGUUUUUAUCUUCUUAUUUUCUUCAAAGUAGCAUUCUCUAUUUUCAUAAUUUUUUAUGAUUAUUUUUUAUGUGAAACAUUAUAAGAUACAAUAAAAUUGAUUAACACAUUCUAAUUUAGAAUAUUAAGGGGUUGUAUUCACUUGAACAUGGCUCAUGUUCUGAUAAAAUAUUAUCUUAUUUAUGUUCAUUGAGAUUUUAUUAUCUAUUUAACAUUUGAAAUUUGUGAGGUAUAAAUAUAAAGGUGCUUGUUUGUAGAUUUUUAAAGUAAGAAAAAAUAACCCAAUAAUAAUUUUCAGAAAUUCAUAUAUUUGAAAAAAAAUAUCAUUCAAAUUCAAGCAUUCAAUUAUUUUUAGAAUUUAGACUAAAUUGGGUCUAUUUAGAUUUCAGAUAAAUGUCACCUAAAUAAAUCUAUGAUGGUAGAAGCAUAUUAGUAAUAAAAAAAAAAUCUUUUCUUUUUCCAAAUAUUACAUAAUAUAAACAAAGCACAUGCUUGACAGACUGCGAGUAUGAAUGGAAUUUAAAGCAUAAGGCCAUUCUUCCUUUGCUAUCCUCAUCUCAUCCAUAAUGUCAUCUCUGUCUCUCACUUAGGCCCUGUUUGAAAUUAAGGUUGAAACUAAAUAAACUACUUACUUCGUAAUUUGUGACAAAAAUAAUGUUUGGUAAAUUUUGUAAAAACUAUUUUUUUUAUAAGUUUCUCCAUUUUAACAAUAGCUUUAAAAGUAAUUAAGUAGGGGUUGCUUUUCAUAAAUAACUUAUUAAAUAAGCCACAUCACCUUUUUAAAGUUUUAUUAUAACCUUAAUAAUUUAAAAAAAAUAACUAUGAUUUAUUUUUCUGUAUAUCUAAUAUAAGCUAUUAGAUAACAUAUUACCACCACAACUACUGUACAUUCUCUCCAGUAUCAAAGUUUUGAUCCACUAAUUUUAUAUUUUUUAUAUUUUACUUUUAUUUUCUAUUGUAAGAUUCAAUAAGACUUGCAUAUGAUAACGUAUAAUUUUUUGAAUUAUGAACAAUUUUACUUGUGAGUCUAGUAAGUGAGAGAUUAGGUGUAUUGGGGUUUUGGGCAGUAAGUCAAAAUAUUACAACACUUUUAAUUAUCAUAUCACUAGUGAAAUAUUUUCCUUCUAUCUUCACCUGUGGAUGUAGGCUAAAAGUUGAACCACGUAAUUUUUUUUUUAUUUUCUGUGUGUGCUUGUUCUUCAUUUUCUUUAAAUUUCAUUUUAGUUGUAACUCUGCUUCACCCAUCAAUUUCCUAAUACCGAAGUGCUGGCCAAAGGCAGCCGCAUGAGAAUGGAAAUAUCAUCGUUUUUACGGAAAUAAUAAGUCACGAACUUGCUCAGCCAAGUAUUUCAACAAUUUAGUUUUCCCAAGAGCAGUAGCCCUUUAAAGUGGGGUUUCCCCAAAAUAGUUUUUGACCUCCAGCCUAUUUUUGUCCGCACCAUGGUACUGCUUGGAAAAUUCGACCAAAACACUAGUCAUGUCACGUUUGAUGAAGCUUCAAUGAUGAAAGCUUCAAGUUCUCAGCAGGUGGAGAAUAUGACCCCAGAGGUAUUGCAGCGGGUGGAGUUUGAUGCAAUUCCAUAUGUACCAGUUAGUUCUACAUCAGAGAAAUGUUCAACUAUGGAGGUGACAUGGAGAUUUGGAGGAGGAAAUCUAUAUGAUUCAGCUUUGUGGUUUUAAAGUUGCUAGAAAGGAGAAUCAUGUGUGCAGAUUGAGUAAAUCUUUAUACGGAUUUAAACUAAUUCUUCGAAUGCGUUGAGUUUGGAUAAUUAUGAACUACGAUUGGCUUGAUCCCAAAUUUUGGGUACGUGCAGUCAAAACGACAGUCAUUCUGGAUCCUUAUUGAAGGAUCACCUUAGGGAUGAUGGUUUGUUGGUAGUCGGCUCAGAUUUGGACAAAUUUUCGUUGAGAUGGAGAAUUGUUGAAAAGUCAUGCAUGUGGCAUCCAAAUUCAAGAAGGCAUGCAAAAUUUUAAAUUUGUCAAAUGGACACCAUUGACAUAUUUGCAUGGGUUAGGUAGAAUAGUGCUGGGGUUAGGUGGAAUAGUACUAGCUUCAAGCCUAUAAAUAGAGAGCAUUUUUUCAUUCCAUUUCAUCCCAAAAUUUGUUAAGCUUAUAAGUUUCUAAGCUUUUGAGAGAAGUGAGAGAAGUGUGCUGGUGAAUUUAUAUUUCAUGCAGAGUAUGAGAGUAUUGGAUAUAUUUGGGUUUCUGGGAAGUGAGAUUCGUUACUCAAAUAUUUGUACUCUAUUAAUUGUUAAAUAAACAAUUAUUCUUUCUUGCUUUCAUGGAUAUAGGUUUAAUUACCGAACCACGUUAAAUUUUGUGUCCUUUAUUUUUCUGUAAUUAUUUGGUGCGCUUGAUUCUGCAUUCCGUGCACAACACAUAUUGAUGAUAAUGAGCAAAGAAAUGGAUCAUAAAUUCAUUAUUUAAUUUGAAAUACACACGGUACAUUAUUAGUAUUUGUCACACCAAACCCAUCUUUUACAUGAAGCAAUACGACACACCCAAAGGAAAAAUAUGUAAGAACAAAUAAAAUAAAUAGCGUUAAUUAGAGCUGCAUUACAUAUAAGGAUUGUCAUCAUAUCAUGCAUAUUAAUUAACGACAAUGCUUCUUCUUCCCUUCCUUCGAAAGACCCAAGUAAUGAUCCAAACCCUUCUCAAAAUUACCAUAAAGAGGAAAUGCUAUGAGUGCUAAAAGAAUCACUGGAAAGAUAGCCGCAGCGUAGAGAGCGACAGUCCAACUCUCCCCACAACGAGCGAUGAGCAGAAUUGAAGUCGAGAAAGUAAUCAUGCUUGUUAAUACAGACAGGAAGAGUAAAAAGAAGCCAAUCCUCAGCUUUUUUGGAAGGUGGUCAAGGAAAUCAGAUGACUCACGUGGCGAGGUGAGGAUAGAUAGAAACAUCACAGCGGAUGACAAAGAUAAGGACAACGAGGCAACGUCCGUUAUGGUAAAAGGGUAGAACAUUGGUGAAUCAAGGAAAUUGGGGAACCCCUUAUCAUUGUUACCUCCGGGCACCGUGUAGGCAGCUGCGAAGACGAAGGUCGCGAUGAGAAUUGACACUGUGGAGAAUGACUCAGAGGUUUCUUUGAUCCAGUCUUGUGCUUUCUUAAGUUGAUCUUCAUGUGUUCGAUUGAAGAGGUCCUCUGCAGUCAUUCUCUUUUUUGCAUCACGGUGCAUGGCAUAAUGGCUAGGCGCUAUGUCUUUUACACACUGCACACACACACACAUAUAAUGCAUGGAGUCAAUCAGAAAAUAUAAUAUUAGAGAAUGCUUUUAUUUAUAUAAACACAAUGAAUCAAUUAAAUGUGCUUAGAGGACAAAAUUAAAUUUUAUCAAAGGGCUUACCUCGAACCACUGUAACUCCUCCUGAAAUUGGUAAACAGGACCAGGGCGGAUUCCGUGCUUGUAAUGUUUCAUGUCUGCAACAUGGUGCAAUAUUGUAUAGCCUUUGUCGUCAAUUCUUGUAGCCCAUUUCAGCACAUAUAGUGGCAUUUUCUCCACGAUGAACUGAAAGAUAUGAUGUCGACGACGCCUUAUGGCCACAUGUAAUAUGGUCUGCCCUUUCUGAUUUACGGUAGAUAACAUCGCUUGAGGAUCUUGUGGGAGUAUCUCCUCCAAAAUUUCUGUUAUUCCAUUGCUAGCUGCAAAGAGUAAUGUCCUACCCAUUGCUGGGGUGUUUCUAUGAUCAUAAACUGCUUUGUCAGUGUGAUCUUUUAUCGUCAGCGCCUCGACCAAUUCUUUAGCCGAAUAAUCAACAAGUUUUUUUCCCACGAGGUCAUCUCCUUUGCCUAAUCCCAAGGAAAUUGUGGUGCGAUUUGUAGAACUUGUGGAAAUUUCUUGUUCCCCUGUUUCAGCCUUUUUUUCUAGUUCAACCAGCAGUUUGACAAGUGCAAGCGCAUAUUCACGCAUUUUCAUUUUCUUCCAGAUUUUCUUCAUAAUCCGAGAUCCUGGUCAUGCAUGCAUCAACAUCUUAUUAAUUAUGAACAAAAUUACGCACGCAAGUACGGCAAAUCCAUUCGUCAAAUAAAUUGAAGUUAUUUGACAUUUCCCAUGUACUUCUGAUGUGUUUCAUAUAUGUAGAAGUAAUUAAUGAAAUUCUUAUUGGUCGAACCUCGAAUCACUCGCCUCGAAAAACCAAUGCACAUCAUCUGAAAUAAAAUUCCUGCAUUUUGAUUAACCUGAUCAGGCAAAAUUUUACAACUACAUGUAUAUAUUUAUGAUCUGAAAAAUUAAUGCUACCGUAUCGAAAAGGAAACAAUCAAACUCAAGUUAAAAGGAUCAUACACUAAUACUAAAAGACAUGUGACAUAAAAUUUUUAAAAGAUUAGGAGAGUUCAGAUAAGGAGAGGAUCCUUAUCCUUAAAGAAGUGUGAGAGUUUAAAUUUAAGAAGACAUAUAGGUAUCAUUCAAUUAAGACUAAUGACUAAUCCUUAAAGAAGUGUGAGGGUUUAAAUUUAAGGAGACAUAUGGGAGGGUUUAAAUUUAAGGAGACAUAUGGGUGUGAUUCAAUUGAGAUGGUAAAAUUUUUCGUCUUGAAAAGAAGAAUUCUAUGGUUCAAGCCCGGUGAGUAACAAAUUGGGUUGCCAUUCAGCUAAACAAUAAUUUAAAAAAAAAAAAAUUGGAAAGACCGUCAUUUUCGAAAAUAAAAUACUGCAAUUUGUAGCUAUGGUCCUUAUCGUAAGAAUAUGAAUGAGUUCGUAGAAACUAAAGAAAAAGGGAAUUUCAUCUUUACCCCAACUAUAUGAGGCAUUAUACACUUUCCCCAGCAAUAUUUUCAAAAUGGCCAUGUACUGUCGUUAAAAAGAGAACAUAUUAAAAGAAUUAUUUCACUAUUCUGUCCUUGAAACGGCAUAUUUUAUCCUAGAAAUUAAUGAAUAAAAUAAAAUCUAAAUAAUAUUAUUAAUAUUAAAUAUGUUAAAAUACAGAUUGCAACAAAUCUGCGGUCAAUUUCUUUUGUCAUUUUUUUUAUGCUGACGUGCCAAUGGAAAUAUAAAAAUCAGACUUUCCAUUUGAUUUGAUAAAGAUCGAUUUACCCUCCAAAAGCUAAACAAGAGCAUGCAAUGAUAUUACCAAAGACUGCUCGGACUAAAUUUGCAUGCUGUUCUUAUUUUCGCUUGAAAAAACCAACCUCAGUAUUAUUUUUUUUUUUUAUCUCAAAACUUAGGUUUUGUUUGGCUUCUAAGCCAUAUAGAAUAAAAAUUUUAGUUAUUAAUAGAAAAUUUAUGGGUAUUUUGUAAAAUUAAACACCACUACAUGUCAAGUAAAAAUUGAAGUACAGUAUUUAUCGAUAAAUAAUUGUGAGAAGUAACCAACUUAAAAAGCCGAACUGACAAAGUGUUUACAGCUGAUUAAUUAUCAAAAAGCAAGUCAAAACAAAUACCAAAGCUAAAGCCUAAAGCUUUAGCCGUAGCUAAAGCCUAAAGCUGUUUGUUCGGGCCUUGAUUCCUGAAUUUAUAGAGUUAUAAUGAUUAGUGAAACCACUAUAUCGUGAUCAUGAACAAAUUAAAGCUGCUCUUUCACCAUUACCUCGCCUCUUCUUUGCAUGGCCCAUGCGAUUGUCAAUCUUAUCAGUCUCCAAAUCUUCUUUGUAAUUGCAGUCGUCAUCCAGAUACGUUCGAAGACAUGAAAAUAUAACUGCCAUUGAAAAUAAAUAUUUUAAGUUCUAAUCAUGUAGCAAAGCAUUUAAAAAAAAAAAAAUUGGCUGUAUCCUCUUUAUGUGUGAAUACGAAUUAACUAAAUAUUUCUUCUAAUUAAUUUGGUUAUUGUUUCCAUUGUAACAGCAUGCACCCACGUCAACAGGACUAUAUAUAUCUCCUUAGAGAUUAAUUUAUUUGCGCAUAUAAAUAAUAUAUUAAAACUGAUAAAGAAACUGAAGGCGGAUAGAAUGUUGACCGAAAUAACAGUAUCUCAGUCGGGGCGGAUGCACCAUUUUUUGCGUAUAUUUUUCAUGAGAACGCUGAUAUUAUAAAAAAGAUACUGACAAAAAAUAAAAUUUGUUACAUGCAAUCAAAUUUACAUUGUUAAUUGCUAAUACUGUAACCCUGCCCGAGUGCAUGUACACUUUAUAUGUCGGUGUUUAGUCUCUUUUAUUGUUUUUGUUUCCAAGUAAUUAGUUUACAUAUAAUAGACUUAAGUCAAUAUUGAUACUUAUUCAUUUUUAUAUUUUUCUACUGUAAAUAUCUUUUGUAUAUGUAUAUUUUAGUUACAACUGUACACAUGAUACUAGGAAUUAGCUAGCGCUUAUCCUGGAAUCAGUUGAACAAAUUCUUCUUUUGUAUUAUAAACAUUCAGUGAACCCAAUGGGAAAUAGAGGAGACAAAUUUUCCAAACCUGGUGCCAAAUAAUAUAUCCACGUACGAGGAUUGAAAAGAGACGCCUGUUUCUUCAUGUCGUCCGCACCCGUGAAAGCAGUUGGCAUUAGAGCUAGUAGUUCAAGACACGUAAAGCCAAUAUGCUCGUCGGACUUUGGGGGCUUGCGGGACGUCGGGAGCUUGGACUUUGUACGUUCGUCUGCAAGGCUUGAGUCUUGGUCAAGCAACCAAAUAGCAGUCUCUGUACGUAUCCGAGAAAAUUAAUUAAUUAGUUAAGAAAAUAAUAAUAAAUUUUUUAACUCUUGAUCUAUAUAUGAAUGAAUGAAUUGGAGAUUUAAUUAUUAUAUAUUACCGAAGUGUUGGCUAAGGACAGCCAUAUGAAGAAUUGUCAUAUCAUCUUUUUCUCUACGGAAAUGACAACGUAAGUCACCAACUUGCUCAGUCAACAUUUGCAACACUUUAGUUUUCCCGAGAGCAGCAGCCCGUAUUAUAUGUAGCAACAUUCUCAUCAAUAUUUACAAUAAACUUAUAUAUUAGCUCGGGCUGAUCAAAAGUCCAGUGUUCACCUUAGUAUAAUUUAUACACAACUUCUACAUAUGCUAUUGUGUAUCUAUUUAUUAUUGGAUUGCAUAAAAUCAUUGGCUUAGAAUUUAUGUCAAAAUUUUAAAUUAAAAUAGCUUAUUCUAUUAAAUAUGAUCUUAUGAAACAAAAUAACUGUAUCUUAACAAAUUAAAUUCAAUAUAAUACUAUCUAACAUAUUCUAUAUAUAUAUUUUUAGCUGGUAGUUGGAAUAGGCAUUAAAAUUUAUACGUAUAAACACUAACAAAUUCAAAUUAAUACUUUGAAAUUAAAAAGAAAAUCCCAUAUAUACGUCAAAGAAAUAAAGAAAAACAUGAAACAAUUUACAAAUUAUAUCUAAUUUGGAACAUAAAACGUAAAACACGAGACAUGGAACAAACACGAGCACCGAACAUGAGCACUCAAGCAUUAUCAGAAUAAAAUAAAGUUAAUCUAUCAGAUCAUGAAAAAGAAUAGAAUAAGUUAUUUUAACAACUUUGGUCACCAUUGCUUUUCCCGCGAAUAUAAUAAUCACCAUGUUUUGGAAGCCAAGUGGCAGCAAAUCAUUAAAAAAUAAAUAAAAAUAAAAGAGAAAAUUAUCAUCCUAUUGCUAAAAGGAAAAAUUUAGAACUUACCAUUUUUUUGCUCGUAGUAACCUAGGGUAUUACAUAUUUUAAAUAAUAAUUCUAACAAAAAAAUUACAUAUUAUUAUUUGAGAAAAAUAAAUUUAAUUUUUAAAAUAUAAUAAUAAAUUUUUGGUAAGUAUUUUUAAUUUUAUAACUUAAAAGGUACCACUGCCUAACAACAAUAUUAAACAAAACCUUAAUAUAAGUUAAUCCUAAGAAAUUUUUUAUUGCAACUCUUAAGUAAAUUUGUUAUUGUAAAAGAUUUAGUUUUUUUUUUUGGAAAAAAAAAAUCAGCAUCUACUUUUUUUUUUCUUCCCAUGUAGCAUAUAACAUAAAGUUAAAAGAUGCUUGAUCGGAUGCGAGUGUGAAUGGAAUUAAAAAAAAAAAUCAGCAUCUACUUCUUAUUUCAAUAAUUAACAUACUUUUUAAUUGGUUAAUUAUUUAAUUACAUUAAAAUAUUUCAUAUCUUGAUUUUUUGUUAUUAGAUUAAUGAAUUUUGAGUAAAAACUUGGUUGUUAUUCAAUAUUCGACUUCAUGUCUUGGCCUGAUGUGAUGAUUCCAUUGCAUCAAUUGAUUUUACGGCGCUGGGUGGAAUCUCAUCAUCGUUUUCCCUUGAAACAAUUUCUAAUGACGUAAACCAAAAAUUCUUUUUCACAGUGGAAUAUCAUCAUCGUUUUGCCUUAGUACAAUUUCUAAUUCCUUUCUUGAAUGUCCUUCAACAUUGUGAAAUACAUUAAAAUUUUUCUUAAAUUUUUUAUUCAUAAUGACGUAAUCCAAAAAUUCUUCAAUUUUUUAUUUGAGAAUGGCAUAAUCCAAAAAUUUAAGGGCUCAUAUUUCAUUUAGGAUCAAAAAUAAAUUUCAAAAAAAUUAAAACAGAAUCUAAAAAUUAAUUUCCAUUGAAGUUUUGAUGUUAAUUUUCCUUUUAUUAUUUAGCCUUACAACAACUUAAUCCCCUUCCUAUCUAUGCGAGUGGAUUACAGACCUUAAACCUCUUACCUCUUAUUUUCAACACAAUAGUCUAUAUCGUUUCAACUGAAUGGCACCUACAAUGUGUUUAUGCAAUGUCUAAAAAUGAUAAUCUCAACAAUGAAAACAUGUUUAUCAUAAUUAUAAUUAAAUUAAAAAAAAAUUCAUAUUUUGGUGCUGUGAUUUCAAAGAUAAUUUUUAAUGAAAUAUUAAGUGUUUAUAUAAUUACAAUUUCUUCUCCUUUUCGUCAAUUACAUUACAUCAAGCAGUAACUUCAAAGAAAUAAACCUAAAAAAAGCUUCAUCAAGAUUUCAAUAAUUGAUUAGUAUCUUUAGCUAAGCUUCCAUUCUGUUACAUUUUAAAGAUUCUAGAGCCACAAGAAACUUCCCACCAAACUGAAGGCAGAAAUAGAAACUGAUUUACAAAACAAAUUGCCAACAACAUGGAAAAUAUAUCCCUCGAAACAUUACAACUACAAUAAUGUUGCUUAGAACUCGUGACAAGAGAAUAGGAACUACCAUCUUGUAAGUGAUCCGUCAUGCUCAGAUUCCAGUAUGUUGAAAAAAGUGGAUUAUAGCUAAAAUACUGAAUUAUACGGCUAUUGUGAUGAGAGGAUAAAAGAAAAAUAUGCACUGAAAGUGAUUAACCAACACUACUAGAAAAAAAAAAAAAAAAAAACAGUUCAUUGACACCAAUUUAGUAUUAGUAAUUACUUUCCUUAACACUUACUAAUUAUGUCAGUAAUGCUCCAGUCAGAACACACUGACACUAAUUUUUAGUGUCAGUGAUUUUUAUGUCAGUAAUUCGUCUCACUACAGUGUCACAAAAAUAGUGAUACUAUGGUAUUAAUAUGUUACGAUACAAAAAUAGUGAUACUAUGGUGUUAAUAUGUUAUGAUACUAUUUAAAUAUCAAUAAUUCGCGUUACUUUAAUAUCACCCAAAUAAUGACACAAUGACGUUAGCAUUUAACGAUACUAUUUACAUGUCAGUAAUUUAUAUUACUACAAUAUCAGAAACACACUGUCUCAAUAGCAUAAAAAAUAUUAACGUUAUUUUAAAUAUUCAAUGUCAACGUUUAGUAAUGUUAUACUGCUUUUAAUUAAUAAUAUAUUUUUGUUUUAAUUAUCUUUUUCCCGUUUGUUUUACAAUUAAAAGAAAGCUUAAAAUCCCAAAUAUUCUAAAUCUCACAAUACAAUUCACAUAAUAAACAUCCCAAAUAUAUUACUUGAAGUAACAUAAUUUAACUACACAUUUUUAAAAAAAGAAAAAUAUAAGUACCAAAUCAAGUUUUGGACAAGGAAUAAACAACAAAAUAUUAAAUAAAGUUUAAACAAAACAUUAACCAACAUGAAGCAUAAUAAUGUCACAGAACAUCCACACGUGCCUUUAUUUUUUUCGACCUAUAAGUACAUAAAAUCAAUUAGUACACCACAAAAAAUAAUUCUUGUAUAUUUGAAAGGAAAAAUAAUAAUAAAUUACUCAUAUAUUACUUCACAAUUGUAGGCUGGAAUUAACUUGAUAACAUAUGUAGACCAUUGAUUACGAAGUCUGGAGAGGUCUGUCAUGGUGUAUUCAUUGAUUCCCUUGAACUUCAAUUUCAAAACAAGUUAUUCACCAAAAAUCUUUUAUAAAACUAUUUAAUUAUCAUUCAUUUAAAUAUAUUUGUGUAAAACAAUUAACUCCAAUACAUGAACUCUAAUAAUAUCAUUCUUUUAUCCAAAAUUAUACAAGCAAUCACUGAACAUCUUGACUAUGCUGAUAAAUAAAAACAUUUCAACAAGUAAUUAUCAUAUCAAUUACUACUUUUCACUCAACUUAUAUAGUAAUGUUUGAAGCCGAAGCAACUUGUGAACACCAGUAGUAACAAAUUUAAUGCAAAUAUGGAUGUAGUAUGCACAUUAUUGUAAGUAACUUUACUUAGAGCAUAUAGAAUACAUACAAAAUGUGGUAAAAAUAUAACAAUCAAGAAGCACACAUUUGGUCUAAUAAUGAAGUAUGGAGGCACAAAAUAACGAACCACAAACUUUUCCUCUAAACUUAAGUAUGAUAGUAGAGGUUUAACUCAGCCUGAAGAAAUUGUGAAGGGAGUAUCCUUUCUACUAUAAGACACGUUGCUCUCUUCCUCUAUCCUCUUUCUGAGUAUGUUUACUGGUGGACUCUCCUUCAAGACUGAGAAAUUCUUUAUAAAGCCCAUUUUCCUUAAGCUUAGAUUGUGAAUUUUCAUAAUCAAUCUAUAAAAUUAUUUAUAAAAAAAUACAAUCAUUUUCUUUAAUUCUCAUUUUUAAGCUAAACACGGAGACAUGCAUGGGGAGUAUAUAAGUCUGUAAUACAGAACCAACAGUACAAGACUAGUCUGACAAAGGCUCUCGAGAUAGACCCACCUUGGAAGGCUCAAAUCUGAAGCUGCAUAUCUAUGAACAAACACCCCUACGCAUGUGAACAUUAUAGUCCAUCCAGCAACUGUUUGCCUGUUCUCUUCAUUUAAAAUGUCUGUAAUAAUCAAAUAGAACAUAAUUAAACACUUAGAACCCAAAAGAUAAAGUAAAAAAUGCAUGGCAAAAAAAACUAAAUGGUCAAAGGGGAAUCCGGAGAGCAAUAUAUCCAAGAGUCCAACACUAUCCAACCUCCAUAAAUUAAAAGAGGAUGAUAGUAUAUCCAAUAAGAGAAUUAUUUUUGAGAUGGUAUAUUCUCAAUAAAAUCAUUAUGCAGUAGCAAACAAUAAGAUAGUAGUCUAGUGUACAUUGUCCUGUUCUAUGCAAGCAAUUUACCAUUUGGGGAGUCCAGCAGAGAUGAAAUGAAUAGAAAUAUGAGAACAACCCUUCGAAACUUGAUAAACCAAAAGACUCAUCUAUAUCAAGAACUGUUUCUUCCAACAUAAAUAAAAAAAGUCACUGACCAUUUCCCAAAUUUUCAAAACAAUCAUAGAUGUGGAUCAAUAACAUUACAGUAAUAUCAUCUCAUUAAAAGCUUCAUGGAACGUGAAGCAAAUACAACAGUUGUGCUUCCAUAGCAGGAAAUCUAGGCAUUACCUGAGGAAGAAUUGAACCCAUUAAUGUUGAGUAAAGUGCAGUAACAGCUCCAAUAGCUAUUACAUAUCUGCAACCCAAAAAUACAAUAAUAACAACAAUAAGAACUUUUGCGGAACAAAAUAUAAUGCAUUGCGUGUUUUAACCAGAACUAUAAACUCAUGAAGCCCAGUGCAUCCCAUGGCUUGCAAAUGCUGAGGAGAUUGGAGUAUCAGCAUCCAUUGCAUAAUAAGGUACCAGACCAAAAAUGACAAUGGAGACCAGCAUGUAUAAUGCUCAACAAACAGAUAGUGCAGUUCCUAUACCCAAUGGCAAAUCUCGUUGAGGGUUUUUCACCUGACAGAAUGAUUCAGAUGUGAAAUUAACUUCUAUAAACCAUCAAGGCAUUCCUAUAAAAGUAACUGCAAGCUACCACAAAAGGAUAAAGGGUUGGGCAAGGAAACAAAAUAAAAGAGAAAAAGGGAUACAUUGACAAUUAAAAGUAAUGGUAGAGAGAAGUUUAAAUAUUAGGACAGGCCAGACCAGUGGUUAGCAUGAUAAUGAAAAAUUAUAAAUCUCAGGCGCACGUAUAAACCAUAAAAAGAUAGAUAGGCCAGAAUCUGUUGGUUCUUAGGAGCAAAAGUAUCAUUGUUUAUGGACCAGCAGUUUCAAUUUUUUCAAAAUUACAUCUUCAAUUUAGGUUUGAGAGACCAUUCCUUGCCUGGCUAGUUUACCUAGUCACCAACUUUGAUUGUCCAUUGAGGACUAAAUCUAUAAAAACUUAAAAUAAGUCUCCUCCGGAGGAAAUAAGCAUAAAAAAAUUCUAACUAGAUGAGACCCCUUAGAGUGAUGAUGCUACGCAAUGGAUGCUUUAAAUGCAUCCAAUUUAAUUUAUGAUGCUAAAGGACCACCAAGUACUGAGGACUGGUAAGUGUAACACGGUCCACAAGCCAAAACAUUUCCAGCUAACAAAGCACAAUAUGUGACAAAUCAAAUUGAAAAAGAAAAAUCUUCCAAAAAGUUCAUGUCAAUUAAGAGAAAAAUCGUAGGAUGCACAUUAAUGCAUCCAUAAAUGCCCUAGUUUCUCUGUCAACAUGUUAGUCAUAAGCACAAGCCAAAAUAAAUCAUUUGACUGAAAUGGUAGAAGACCAAGCAAAUAAAUACAAGUGCCACCACACAAAGCAUUUGCAUUUCCAAAAGUGAAGUUCAUAAAGUUUUUGCGGAAGAUAUCUUUCUAAUAUUAAAGGAAAAAAAAAACACACACACAUAAAAGAACCAGUCAAUUGCAAUGGGUUUGAGAACCACAUAUACCUUUAAAUUUGAUUAAAACCUUGGAGUCACUGAGCAAAUUAUUCAGUGUGCUAUAACAUUGAUAUUCAGCAGGGCUUUGUGUAUAAGAUUGGGCUUGUAUAGCUUGGGCAGUGACUUGUACUACGGCCUGCUGGUGCAUCAUUCUAAAGGCUUCCUAGGUUACAUCCAAUGAAUAAAAAAUUAGUAUAGAUAUACGAAAAAUUUGGAUACCGAACUAACAUAAUGCUAAUGAGGCAUGACAUACAAAACAGUAUAAAUAAUAAAAGUUAUCACUCACUCAUUCAAGCUUCAGUCCUCAAAUUAUAAUUGGAAGCUAAUACUUCUUCGGUCUUGGUUGCUAAUAAAGUUGUGACUAAAUUGGAGAAUUCCUCGCAUAUUUGGCUUAAAGCUACAUAAAUAUGUUUAUAUCUUAGAUAUGGGAGUCAAAAGUGUUCACAGUUCACAUGAAGACAACUGGAUCUCCAACACCAGUAAUACUAAGAGCUUUUCUUUCGUUAAUAGUUUGCAUUAACCAUAUGCUUCAUCUAAAAAGAGAUGAAACUAAAAUUAGGAAAGAAAAAUGCCCGAUUAUCAUUAAAACUUGACCUGGAUAGCCUACUAUACAGUCCAUUUGGAUAUUUAGAAUACCAAAACAAGAUGAGAUUAUCUCAGCAAUGCAAUCACAUUACAACAUUGCUCAAAAUGUUUUUCUUUUAGAUUAAUUAAGUCAAGAGUUUUUAUCCCAAUUACAGAACACAUUUACAAAUUAUAUAUUAAAUGCUUCAGCAAGCUCUAAUUCAAAAUUCCAACUAACAGUUAACAAGUCAAGGCAAUGAAGAAAAUUCUCCCUCCCUCCAUAAAAAUAAAAUCAAAAUUCGAAGCCAAGAAUUACUAGAAUUUAAAUGCGAAACCCAAUAAAAAUGAAGGCUUUCCUAAACAAGCUAAAAUCAGAAUGAAUUAAUGAGCAAACUUUAGGUCAGCUGAAGUUAAAUUGAAUUAUCUGUGCAGGAGAAAACAAACCGAAAUUCAGCGAGUCAAGUAGAGUUGCGAGGCUCAACUUGGGCGGCACCUCGAAAAUCGGCAACGGUUGAGCAAUCACCAGACCAGUCAGUCUAUUCUGACCAGAGAACCCCAUACUCUAGCGUACAAAUAAAGGAACCCAUCAGCUUACCUCUCACAAAAGAAGACAGUAGCUCGAUUCGUUUUUCAUUGCUUGGCUAGUAGAGGCACUAGAGGUUUAGUUGGAGAAAAAGCCUGUCCUGUAACAAACAAUUAGGGUUUUGAUUCAUUUUUCAAUUUGGGGAAAAAUGGAAAAAAGGAAACAGAGUGUAAGCUUUCGAUUAUCCAUUUGAACAAAUUGAAUUCAAUUUGUAAAUGGACAACAGAGAUAAGAAGAGAUCGAGAGAAGAAAAACGAAAGAGAAAAACAGAGGGAAAGGUUAGCGAUAGUGAUAGAGAGUUUGGGUAUUGAUAGCGAGAUGGGGAAAAUUGGCUAAGGUUAUGUUUGGUACAACUUAUUAAAUAGAACUUAUAGCAGUAUACUUUAUAGAAGUAGAGUUUAUACCAAUAGAGUUUUUGGAUAAAAAAUCAUUGGGUGUUUGGUUGUCAAUUAAAAAAGCACUUUUAAACAAUUAAACGGUUUGAUUGUGUAAAAUUAAAAGUACUUUUGUGUAAUUAAAUUACCAAAAAGGAUAUGUAUUCAUAAUUAUUUAACAUGUAACAAAAUGCAGCCAAGCUAUCAAUUAAUAAGAAAAAAUCAGUUCAAUCAUUUCUUUAAUUUUCAAAAUUAAAAAUUUCAUAAUUGAUAUAUUCUCCUAAACAAAUAAUACUAUCCAAAUUAAAAUGAUAAUCAAUAAUAUAACUGAAAUGUUAACGAAAUAUGAGAAGUGUCGUAUUACCUGACAUCCUCCUCACCAAAAACGUUGGCUAUGACUAUGAUUACUCUCUCAAGUGUUGGUUAUGUAUUAGAGAUUGCAAAAUUAAAGUGCUGGUUAUUUAAAAAAAAUAAAAAGAGAUAAAGUGAAGUGGUGGCAGCAAUAUGUUUAUAUGGCGGCAACAAUUUUCGUUGGGUAGCUUUUAUACAAAGGGUAUUAUGUAAUUAAUGAAAUAUGUCAAGGAUAUUUUUGAUAUUAUAUAUUUUUUAGAAAAACUCUCUAAUCUCUACUCCCAAAAGCUCAAAUUUUAGGCUUUUGCUAGUAGAGGUAAAUUAGCUUAUUUAAGCUAAAAAAACUCUAUUAAAAAAAUAACCAAACACUAUAAAAAAUUUUAAAAAGUACUUAUGGCUCUUAAAUAAGCCAUACCAAACAGGCACUAAGUUUAGGUUAUAUUUUGCUUUAGUUAUCGUACUUUUGAUUUUUAACUUUUUAAAAUAUUAUUUAAAACUUAAUUCAACAGGUUUCGAUGGUCUGUGGCCCUGUGCUUCAAACAUCAAGAUUUUAAAAUUUAGAAGUUUUAGGUUCGAGUUGAACUAAAACAAGUUUUUAUGAAUUUUUUUUAAUCUCUAAUACUUUGUGUUAGUGAUAAUUGAUAUUUAAUUUAUUGACACAUAAAUAUCAAUAAUCUAUAAUACCUACUUGUUAAAAGCGUGAAAUGGUAUAUAUGUACACAAUUACUGAUAUUUUUUACAAAGUGUCAGCAAACUAGGUGUCAGUAAAUGUCAUUUUUGUAAUUUGAUUUUAUUCCUCUCAUCAUUUCACAUUUAUACAAAAUUGUUGUACUGUAUUUACAGCUGUAACAUCACAAGAUCAAUGGCCUAGGUAAAAUGGUGAAUACAUACAAUGU
This 294526-nucleotide long non-coding RNA is filed under the name Citrus maxima (pomelo). RNAcentral describes it as "long non-coding RNA (CMAX_LNC000848)". Lineage: Eukaryota; Viridiplantae; Streptophyta; Magnoliopsida; Sapindales; Rutaceae. The record is from RNAcentral.